This 343202-nucleotide long non-coding RNA is filed under the name Eucalyptus grandis. Its description in RNAcentral is "long non-coding RNA (EGRA_LNC001176)". The record is from RNAcentral. Lineage: Eukaryota; Viridiplantae; Streptophyta; Magnoliopsida; Myrtales; Myrtaceae.
CCUGCACUUGGAAGAAGUAGAAGGUGACGGAUGUACGCUCGCCUCGCCAAUGCUGCUUUUACCAAGGGAUGCACUCCUGCUGGAGAAGGUCAUAAACGUCAAGAGCAGUGGAAGACACCAAUCGAAAUCUCUCGUGGCAUGACUGGUUCUACCCUAGAUGCAAUCUUUCUGGUAAAGUCUCACCACAAGCUGCUCAAUAGGGAGAUUGUUGGUGCUAGAACGGAUUUUCCAUGAGAAGCCAUCCGAAAAGUGAAGGUUCGGAUUAGAGUUUCUCUUUUUGAUUGGGAAGCAACUUGGGAACGAAUCCUCGCUUCAGAUAACCUAAAACAAAGAGGCCAAAACGCUGGUCAUCAGGCGUUUCCUCUGGAAGGAGGCAGAAUCCCUGCAGCAUCUCCUUCACCGUUCAUGGACAUUGCAUGUUUUUAUUGAGCGCAAAAACUCUCCAUAAACACACAGUUGUAUGACCAAAAAGCAAAAAAGAACUCACAGUUGCAGUUCCUUUUAUGAGUAAGUUUAUCGUGACAAGACAGUGCCUCUACAGCCUAAAGUCAAGAUCUAAGAAAUUCAAGAGAAAUUUUGGAUCCAAAGGGAUACUAACACAUUCCCAAAACAGAACAAUAGUAUGGAUACAAAGACUAGCAUACAAAACUCGUCCGUGGUAAAAUCCAAGUAUUUAGGCAAGUAGAUCACGGACACCUGAUACAGAUCUAUAUUGCAUGUGACUUAGUAAACCAUUUUCAUUUUACUAGGACUGAACAUCUUUAACAUUACUCUGCCAAAAAAUGGUCAUUAGCUUAAAAGAUGGCGCUCUAAUUGGAAAAAUAGUUGGUAAAAAAAAUAUAAAUUAACGAAUUCCCACAUCUAAGUACGUUAACAAAUUGUGCGAACAGAAGCUCUCAUAACCAAGGUUAAGCAUCACAGGGGAGAUCAAUGUUGGCUCAAUUCAGUAUGAUCUGAGCAUCUGCCAGUUAUUUUAUCUGUUUAACAUCAGGAUGCUCUGAAAGAUAAGGUGUGUCUCAAGAUGUGCAAAGCAUAACUUACCAUGACUGUUCUGUGUGAUACUUAAACUCAAUCAUUUAUCAGAGAGAAAGGCCAAAUGCAAAGGUAAUAACGUGCACCUGUAGAUGAUUGAGGACAACCAGCUGAAGUUCUUUUCCAGCACCACAACCGACUAUUGAUACACGCUUCAUACCCUAUCAUUGAACAAACCAGCUGACUAAGAUAUAAAAGCAACAAAAAGAACCGAAGUCCAAAAGCAACACUGGAGCUUCAAAAACCAGUCGUACCACUUCACCCAGAGAAUUAACAAGAAACUGAUGGACUGCAGGACUGGUUCUAGCACCACCUAGAAGACUGAAAAAUUCCUCCUGAGGAGCAGAGUCAAGACCUAGAUAAGCAAACAGAAACAGUCAAAUGAAGAACAACGGAAAGCCAUCUACUGCUCUAUAUUAACAGGACAACUAACCAUGGUCAUUAAUAAAGCUUCAUAAAAAAUCAAACUUCUCAUGAAAUAUGUCCAUGGCAUCAGCCCACUGCUUGUGCAUGACCAAUGAUGAUAUCCAGACGACAUGAAGUAAAUCUUCGAUAUCAGAAGCCUGUUGAGCAACUUGAUGGUGUUCAUUACUGCAGAGAGGAAGAGAUUGAGAAUCUAAGGAGGCAUUCGACCGAUAAAGAUUCUCAGAAAUCUGUUCUCAUUUAAUUUGAGAAUGUAAAUGGUCCACAAAAUGUGUUUAGUAACUCCAAGUUACCAUUUUUACAACAGGGGUUAAACCUGCCAACUCCAAGUGGGCAUCAAGCAUUUCUACAUCUGACAUAACUAGUCUAUCUAGCAUAAACAACAUCCCCUCCAAUUUGAGUUCUUUAUCUUCAUGAACACUUUGACUGGUGCAGCGUGAAAAGGGCAACAAGAUAGCAGUACAAGAGUCGGGUACACUCCCGGUUGGUCUAAAUGAUUGUCGCUUAUGUUAUGGAAAUCUCCUAAGGCACCACUAUUAUCUAGAAGUUUAUAGGAAUCUGUCGCGUCCGUAAAUAAAAAUCGCUUUAUUCAACUAGUAUCAGCUUGGGAUUCUUUAUUUGCAACUACGUCAUAUCCACAUUUGCCCUCCCAUUACCAUCAUUCACUCUUCAUUUUCAUGUAAAACACCAACUCCUUUGUUCGACAUCACAUCCUCAUUUAGACUUUCAAGCACUACACCUCUAUAUUGACCAAAUCUCCAUCAAACGCAAUUUGAACUGGAUUGGCAAUUGAAGUGAUUUUUUUGGGGAAAAGGAUCGUGGCACAUUUAAGGAAAAGCAAAGGGGGAAUAAGGCCAACGACUCAAAGGGCACACACCAAGCCAUCGUUGAAGAAAAGAACACGCUGAAUAAAAAAAAUAAAAAAAACGAGGAGAACUUUCUUGAGUCGAAGCAAUUACCAGGAGAGAUUGUCCACAGCCUCUGCCAAUUGAAGCGAUGAAGCACCACCUUCGAGUCCUCCGUGACCAUCGCCAGCAAAUCCUUCUCCGAAUUCCACUCCGCCAUCUUCACCUGCCAAUCGGAAGAAAUCGAGCCUAAACCUCACACAAAACCGAAUGGGAAAACAAUCGAAUCUACCCGCCCAUUAUUAGGUCGCGAAAGAAGGCGGACCAGAGCCGAAACUGAGAAGCCAGAGGUUUGUCGAACUGUAGCUGAAAGAGAAGCACGUGCCGUGAACCUUCGUCGGUCUCCAUAGCUGAAAAAGAUCCGGGAGCAGCCAAAGCGUCAGGUGGCAAAUGCGAACCGAGAGGGAGAGCCAAUGGCGGAGGGUAGAGCCCAACAAAGGGCUUUCAAAGUACAAUUUACCAAACACGGUUGCAUUUUGGAAAACACCUUUAACUCAAAGGUGUUUGCAUUUACCUAAAGACUUUCCCCCAAAGUUUUCCCAAACGCACCCAAUGAGGAAGAAGCGAGAGAGGAUACGAGCCGAGCAGGGCCGGAUUGGGCCAUAAGUCGGGCUUAACUUCUUCUCCGGGCUCGUUCAUCAUACGAAAAAUAAUGUAAGAGAUGACCCAACGGGCCGCUACGGCCUCGAACGGUCCAGACCACUUUCGAUAACUUCAAGUAGAGAUUAAACCGAACGGGGUUUGGUUCGGGCAUUUCAUCGAACGUUUAAAGCGCGCUGGCUGAAAGGGGGGGAAAACCGAGUACCAACUCGCGCCGGGACUCGCAAUAAUAAUCAACAAGCAGUAGUGAUCCAAAACAGCAAUGCACAGACGAAUGGGGCCGGUGCUCGCGCGAACCGGACGACGAGGAAGCCUGGUCCGGCUAGCCCGAAACGGGGCAAGGCAGGGGCACAAACAGGGGUGUCGGCCGAGAGUCCCUACCCGGCUUGAGAGCGCGGCCAGGAGUCGUCAGACGCGGUUCGGGCGUGACCGGACUGUCGGAGGGCUCCUCGCUCUCAAACUCUCUCUCUCUCUCUCUCUCUCGGUUGCUUUCACGGUCUAUCCACCCUUUCUUUAUUCCCUCUCUCACUCUAUUUCUCUCCAAAAAUCCUGCCUUUUAAGCUCUCUACCCGGUGCGCAUGGCUUCCUGCCACACAAGCUGUCGCUGCCGGUCUGCCUCCGACCACCAACUCCGGUGAGACGCUCGCCGUGUUCUCGCGUCCAUGUCCUCGCAGUGCGGACCCCCUCCACUUUUUUUCCCCAUUUUCCCCUUUUUUAAUGAUUUAUAUAUUUUUUAUAUAUAUAAUACUUUUAAUAAAUUCCAGCACCUUACAACUUUAUUGUAUAUAAAGCAUGGCUCUAACGCCAAUUGCCGACUUAUGAAUGCCUCCGUCAAGAAGGUACACUAUGACCAUUGUCGCCUCUCAAGAGCCUCGUGUUCCUUCAAUUAAUGGGUUAAUGAUAGUUGGCCUUUUUUGCUAUGAUAUGACUAAUUUUACUUUUCUUUAGUUUUUUCCAUGCAUUAGGAAACGAAAAAUACAAGUAAACCUUAAUAGACACUUUCUGAAGACUGGUGAUCACGUUAAAUUUAAAGUUAUACGAAAGAAUCUAGAUUAAAUUUAGCAAAAAAUUACUGCACCCACGUUGAUGCUUUUGGCCUAUUUCAGCAUUUAGUUUAUCAUGCCUUAGUUAUUUUAAAUCGCAUGCUCUCAUGGACUUCACGCAUUGGUGUGACACUUUUAUGGGAUUGGGAAGUGGAAGGAAAUGCUUUUAAAGGCGAUGAUUCAAUGGAUGUUAGGACUAGUUAUUGGUGCAGCCUUGUGGGUAGAAGGUUGAGGGCUUUUAUUAAUCAACUAUAUUAUAUAUUCUAUUUUAAUGAUUUAAUUAGAAACGAGAGAGUACAUGUAUUUAUUAAGAAUGUUUUCAAAAGUAACUGUGUAUGCCCUUGCAGGACUCACAUAAAUGGUAGUGUUCCACUACUCAUAUGUCACAUUGAUCUUAGAUAAUAAGGGCGCGUUUAGUAACCAUUAUGUUAUGGAGAACAAUUUUUGAAUAUAAAUAGUUUUUUCUAUUUCUGUUUUUAGGAAUAAUUUCUGAGCAAAAGAACGUGUUUGGUAACUGCAUAAAAUUUCUAUUCUUGGGAUAGAAAUACGUUUGGUAAAAUUUUUAGAUUUUUUUUUAUUUCUUUUAAUUUUUUUAAUUUUUUUCUUAUUUUUUCCGUUUUCAUUUUUUCUCUGGCCGGUUGCUGGCCACCGCUAUGGCCGACAGUCGGCUAGGCGACAUUCAAUGAACUCACCGGAGGCCAGCCUGGCCUCGGCGAGGCUCGGCCUCGCCUAGGCGGUGCGAGGUCGACCUCGCCCUGGCCUAUCGAGGCCCAGCCUUGCGCCGGCUGGGGAGGCCAAGUCUCGCCAUGCCUCGGCCUCUCCGGGGGCCGGCGAUGCUCCGGCGAGGUCGCUGACCCUCGUUUGGCCGGUCGCUGACAUCGGCCAUGGCCAAGGCUGGUGACCGGCCAAAAGGAAGAAGAAGAAGAAAAGAGAAGAAAAAAAGAAGAGAGAGAAAAUUUGUUUUUAAAAAUUGUUCUCGGGAAUAAGAAGUAAAUUUUUUCUACUUCUUGUUUCUGUUCCAAAUCUAUUCUCGGGAACAAAAAAAUAGAUUUUUUGUUCCCGAGAACAAAAGUUUUACCAAACACGUUUCCGUUCCUUUUUGUUCCCCGGAAUAAAAGAAUAGAAAUUUUUGUUUCGAGGAACAGAAACACUUUUUAACAAACGCGCCCUAAUGUGAUGAAAAUUGUUUUAUCCCACAAAAUUGAGCUGUGGAUAGAUGUUUAUUUAUUUGUAUAUUGUUAAGCAUACUUAUCGUCAUUUUCUAAAACUCAUUACAUGUUAUAAAUGAGUUUUUGAUUGUCCAUAAUUUCUUGCUCAAAAUGCUUCAGUUGGCCUCACCAGAUUUGGUGAGGGGGGCCUCGCCUUAGCAAGGCAUGACUAGCGCUUGCCCUCGCCUAGGCGUGGCUUGACAAGGCUGACCCUCACCGGCCAUGGUUGUGGCUGGUGACUGGCAAUGGCCACCGGAGAAAAGAAAAGGGAAAGGAAAAAAAUAAAAAAGAAAUCAAUAAAUUCAAAAAAAUUAUUAAAAUAUUAUUAAAAAUGUCCAUCUCAGCGCCAAUCGCUCGAUCGAUGUUCAUGUAAAAAAUUUGUAGCCUAAAUUGGCCUAAUAAAUUGAAUUGGUACUAAUAUGAAAAAAGGUUUAAGGUUAAAUUGGUCAAAUCGAAAAGUUUGUGACUGAAUUAGUACCAAUGUAAUAUAUUUAAGACUUUUUUAGUACUUUUUCCCUCGAUAAGUGGUAUCAAAGCUAGGUGGUCAAGGAUUGACUAGACUUCACUCGAGUCCUUGUCCAUCUGCCAGGUAAGGUGAGCAAUGACGUGAUCGAGAAGAUUUUGAUGGGUGGCUGUAUUCUUGAGCACUUAUACUUAAUCGAGAAACUUGAAGAAACUCGAAACUAACUUUACCUGAGCAUCUUCGGAAGCUAGAUGAUAUCUUUCAAAAAGAGGGUUCUUACUGCCGACAUCGAACCUUUCAAAUUGAGCAAAUUGAGCAAACUUCAUGAAACCGAGUGGAAACCAAGUCGACUGCCCGUUAGGUCGUGAAAUAAUGCCGACCAAGAGCUGAACUUGAGAAGCCAUUGGUUUGUUAAACUAAAGCUGAAGCUAAAGCACAUGUUGCAGUCGUUCAUAAACCUCCAUAGCCAAAAAGGUCCACGUGCAAUUGAAAAACACAGCGCUGGGGCUAUUGGAAGAUACACGUGAAGAUUCACAAUAUCAUUCAAGGAUCAAUUAUGUUCAUUUAGUAUCGGAUCUAACCGGAUACAAAUAUUGUAAAAUAUUUACUUGCUUUUCAUAUACGGACUUUGUAUUAUAAACAAUGUGAACAUUGUACAUUGGAAGACAUACGGAAUACAAAGAAAAUUCUCUCCUUUUCUUCUCUCGACUAUCUCCUUCUCAUCUUCUUUCGUGGUAUCAGAGCAGUCUCUGAUUUUGACCUAGCUUCCGCAUUCCUGUUCGAAUUGCCUUCUUUUUCCCUUCUGUCUUUAUUGCUGCGACACUUACAGAACAGAAUAGUCUGCGGGAGGAAUUCGGAAUCUGCAAAAGAGAGAAUUUUUCUAUUACAAUUUCUAUUCAUCAUGACCAACCCACAAGCACUUACCUUACCCUCUGAAGAUCAGUCGGGAACGAAUCCGACACCACCUGCUUUGUCCAAUUCAAGCUCAUCCAUGGUUGAACAGCAGCCCAGCCAAGGUCAAACACUAUUACAGCACACACAGUGGCAACAAAUUCCGGCUCAGUUCAAUCCAGGGUUACCUUUCUCGGGCUAUCCUUAUCAAUGGAUGCCAUACCCAUGGAUCCAGGGAUUAAACCCAGGUACAUCAUAGCCGGGCUACCAGGGUGUGCAGACCGAUGGAGGCCUACCGGCCAACACUGGGGCAGGCACAGCCAUUGGUCCUGAGCAGACAGGCGGAUCAAAAAAUUUGAGUGCGGGUCAAUCUACAAAUCCAGGAUUCCCAGUAGGGUUCAUACCCUUUCCAUUCGCGGCCGCCAUGGGUCGCCCAAAACCCGACGACACGCUAUAUAUCUCCAACGCCGACGGACCAGAGUUGCAGCUUAUUAGUCACCCCCUCACAAGAUCGGAAAAACUACUCAAAUUGGGCACACGAAUUCCAUCGAGCCCUCGUAACAAAAGACAAAGUGGGAUGUAUCGACGGAACCAUCCCGGUUCCAACUGAUGAGAAAUUAGGGCGACAAUGGAAAAAGUGCAAUCAAUUGGUCAGGACAUGGAUAGGCAACUGCAUCAGCCCAAAGAUAGCAGCUGGGUUGCCCCCAACAGAAGAUUCGAAAUUUUUUUGGGACAAUAUAAGAGAAAUGUACGGGAAACUGGAUCGGGCGAGAAUCUUCUCGCUACAUCAAGCUCUUUCCGAACUGAAAUAGGGAAACACGUCCGUGACAACGUGCUUCAACAAACUGUCAGCUCUUUGGAACGAGCUAGAAGCAGCGGAGGAGAAACUCAACAGACUCGAAACCACUAUUCAACAGUACAAGGCGAUAAAAGACAGAGAGAAGGCGACUUGAUUCCUCCUUAUCCUUAACGAUUCUUACCUCUAUUUCAGGUCACAGAUACUCGCGAUGGAGCCUGCACCCUCGAUCGGCCGAAUAUUUCAACUCGCCGUGCAAGAAGAAAGCCAAAGGCUUGCUUCGACCGAAGGAAAGGGGGCGGAAACCCUAGCUCUCGCCGCAAGAACCAAGAGAGCUUCACGAACCCUAGAUAGGAAACGCGAUGCAAACCUAGGGUUUGCGGAAGCUAAGCCUUUUAAAGGCUUUGCUGUGGACGGCCACGAUCGUACACAGCGAUUGGACAGCUGGAGAGGAGUGCAAACGCAUGGAGAUCUGGACGGUGGAGAUGAUUCGCUCAUUAAAGGAUCCAACGAUGGGAGCCUUUUGAAAAAUCAUGGGCCAAAUCCAUAUGGGCCUAACUCUCAUGGGCCCAAUUCCUUUGGGCCGAACUCCUAUGGGCCUAAUUCCUAUGGGCCGAAUUCAAAAAAUAAGGCCAAAUCAUAUUGUGAAUUAUGCAGAUGACCUCAUCACACCAUAGAAAAUUGCUAGAAGCUGCAUGGCAAACCUGGUGAAAAAAAGGGCAAAGAAAUAUCAGCAGCUGCAUAUCAACUUACAGGAUAGGCGGGUACAAAUCAACCCAUUACUCAUGCUGAAUAUGAGCCAUUGAUGCAGGCACUGCACAAAUUGGAUGUUCAGAAAAAAGGGGAUAGUUUUACAGGUAUUUCUCAUUGUCGAAUAAAUAAUAUAUCGAGAAAUACUUGGAUUGUUGAUUCUGGAGCCAGUGAUCAUAUUGCAUGUGAGAAGGCAUUGUUUACCACUGUUAAUGAAGAACUGUAUAAUCCUAUUAUAGUGCAAUUACCAAAUGGGAAUACUGCUCAUACAACUGGGACAGUUAAUCUUAGUUCUGAAAUCACUCUCACCAGUGUCCUAUAUAUUCUAGAGUUUCAGUUCAAUCUUAUAUCUGUGUCUAGAGCCUGUAAGGAGAAUUCAUGUCAAGUUUCCUUCAAUGCUGAUAGUUGUCAAUUUCAAGCCCUUUCGACUGGGAAACUGAUGGAAUGGGGUAAUCUAUCAGAUGGACUAUUUUUCUAGAGAAGUUCACCCAAGAAUCUAGAUUUUUUUCAUUGUAAUAAACAAUCAUUGUGUAAUCUGACUACCAAUGAUAAAAAUUUCAUUUUCCAUUCCAAAUUGGGUCAUAGUUCCUCUUUUCCCUAUUGUCAAUGUCACAUUUGCCCACUUACAAAGCAAUCACGUACCCCUUUUCCAUUGAGCAAAAGUUGUGCAGUUGACAUUUUCUCUUUACUUCAUAUGGAUGUUUGGGGACCAUAUCAUACACUGAAUCAUGAUGGCUCUUGUUUCUUUCUUACCAUUGUGGAUGAUCAUUCAAGGGCUACAUGGAUUUUCCUCAUGCAAUCUAAGAGUCAAGUCGUAUCAUAUUUAAAAACUUUCAUUUAUCUGUCGAAAACUCAGUUUAGGAAAACUAUUCAAAAAAUUAGGACAGACAAUGGGAAAGAAUUUUUCAAUUAUGAGUGUACGACUUUAUUAUCAUCUCAAAGGAUUCUGUAUGAGAGUUCUUGCAUAUACACACCUCAACAAAAUGGAAUAGUGGAAAGAAAGCAUCAUCAUUUGCUGGAAGUGGCCAGGGCCUUAAAAUUUCAGGGUUCCAUUCUAGAUAACUUUUGGGGAGAAUGUGUAUUGACUGCAACAUAUUUGAUCAACCGUAUACCAACCAAGAUUCUUAAUGGUCGAAGCCCCUUUGAAAUUCUUUUUGGGAAGAAGCCAUAUCUUAAUCAUUUGAGGAUCUUUGGGUGUCUAUGCUAUGCAUCUAUAGUAGGACCUAAGGAUAAGAUGGGUCCACAGGCUCGCCGUUGCAUAUUUAUGGGGUAUGCUACCCUACAUAAGGAUACAUAUGAUCCCUCUACAGGUGAAUUCUUCGUUAGUAGAGAUGUUUCCUUCCAAGAAGAUUUUUUCCCUUUUUCUAUCAAGGAAUCAGACAGGAACAGAUAGGACUAUUCUCAUACUCAUAAUAUUGAAGAAUCCAUCAAUGAUCCGGGAUAUGUUCUGAUCCCUUCCUCAGCUAAUACAGGUACUGCUUUUGCAUCCACUAUGUCAAUGACACCUUUAGCUGAAGACACGGAUCAAGAACCGAAUGAGAGGAUUAUAUUGGAACCCAACUUGGACAUUCCAGCAACUCAGUCUUCUUCUGAGGACAUUCAACCAAGACGAUUAGGGCGAGCAACACGUCCUCCAACUUGGACCAAGGACUACAUAUGUGGAGUGAGAAAUCCAGGUAUUCUUUUUCCUAUUUCCUCUUAUGUUUCCUUCGAUCGGUUAUCCGAGGAGCAUAGAUGUUGCAUUACUCGCAUUUAUGAAGAACAAGAACCAUCAAGCUAUGAUGAGGCGAGAACUGACCCGCGAUGGCAAAAGGCGAUGGAAGAAGAAUUGCAGGCACUGGUGGACAAUCAGGCAUGGGAUCUUGUUAGUCUACCUCCACAUCGCAAACCAAUUGGAUGCAAAUGGGUCUACAAAAUCAAAUAUCGAGCUGAUGGUUUAGUUGAAAGGUACAAAGCCCGAUUGGUGGCAAAGGGUUUCACACGGAAGGAAGGUUUUGAUUAUCAUGAAACCUUAUCGCAUGUCGCCAAGGAUGUUACAGUCCGUUCAUUCCUCUUUGUAGCAACUUACCAAGACUAGCCAUUACAUCAGAUGGAUGUUCAUAAUGCAUUCUUGCAUGGAGAUUUAGUUGAAGAGAUUUAUAUGGACAUACCACAGGGUUUAUGGAGACAGGGGGAGAAUAAAGUAUGUCGUCUUCGCAAAUCCUUAUAUGGCCUCAAACAAGCAUCCAGACAAUGGUACGCCAAAUUUUCUGAGUCUCUAAUAGCUGCUGGUUUUCAAUAGUCCAAGUUUGAUUAUGCUGUUUUCACAUGGACCAAAGGUACGUCAUCCAUAUACUUGAUGAUAUAUGUAGAUGAUAUAUUGAUUAUGGGCAAUGAUGAGAUGGCUGUUAAAAGUUUCAAGAAAUAUUUGCACUCUACUUUCCAUAUAAAAGAUCUAGGGUCGCCAAGGUAUUUUCUUGGAAUAGAAAUUGCUCGCUCAGAUCAAGGAAUAUGUCUCAGCCAGAGAAAAUUUUCCUUAGAAAUCAUAUCAGAAGUUGGACUGUCAGGAUGUAAGCCGGCAGUAAUUCCGAUCGAGCAAAAUAUUAAAUUGACCAUAGUAGAGUAUGAUGCUGGAAUCUCUCAAGAAGCCGAUCCUGUACUAAGAGAUCCAAUGAGCUAUCAGAAACUUGUUGGGAAGCUCAUCUACUUGACUAUGACCAGGCCGGACAUCAGUUAUGCCGCGCAAACUCGUAGUCAGUUCAUGCACAAUCCAAAGCAGUCCCAUAUGAAUGCAGCACUCAAAGUGGUAAAGUAUCUGAAGAAAUGUCCGGGACUUGGAAUUCUUCUCUCCAAGAAAUGUGAUAUGAGAAUGGCUGCAUACUGUGAUGCAGAUUAUGCGACAUGUCCAAUGAGCAGGAGGUCCAUAACAGGGUUCUGUAUCAAGUUAGGGGAUUCUUUACUUUCAUGGAAGACAAAGAAGCAAGCAACUGUUUCAUUAUCCUCAGUAGAAGCAGAGUAUCGAGCCAUGACAAAGACCGUAUGUGAGAUAGUAUGGCUACGCGGAUUGCUUCGAGAUCUUGGGGUACAAAUUGAAGGGUCAACCAAAUUAUUUUGUGACAACGAUGCGGCUCUCAAACCUGCCUCGAAUCCAAUAGUUCAUGAAAGAACGAAGCAUAUAUAAGUGGACUGCCAUUUCACGCAAGAAAAGAUCCAGCAAGGGAUAAUUGAGACAUUGGGGAUCCGAACAGAAGAGCAACCAGCGGACAUAUUCACCAAACCCUUGUGUCAAAGUCAGCACGCGUAUCUCCUAAGCAAGCUAGGUGUCUUGGAUAUCUACAAGCCACCAGCUUGAGGGGGAGUGUUGGAAGAUACACGUGAAGAUUCACAAUAUCAUUCACGGAUCAAUUAUGUUCAUUUAGUAUCGGAUCUAAUCGGAUACAAAUAUUGUAAAAUAUUUACUUGCUUUUCAUAUACAGACUUUGUAUUAUAAACAAUGUGAACAUUGUACAUUGGAAGACAUACAGAAUACAAAGAAAAUUCUCUCUAUUUCUUCUCUCGACUAUCUCCUUCUCAUCUUCUUUCAGGGCCGAGAACAAUUUGCAAUGAGUGUAUAGAAGUGUCGAUGGAAAAUGUGAGCUGAAAGAGAGCUUGAAAAACCCAGAGGAAGGCUCGAGGCUAGUAGGAAAGAAUAGAGCUAAAGAGCAAGUCAAAGAAUGGAAGAUCAAGAGAGUAAGAAAGUCCACUAGAGUCUGAAAUCAUGCAGAGAAAAUUGCAGAAGAGGAGUAGGCGAGAGAGAAAAAUAAGAGAAAAAGACAUGAUUACAAAAGUGAAGUCGGACUCAUUUGAUUGAUGGGCGGGCUGAGCCGGGCCGGCUCGUGCCAUAUGUUAGAUGGAACUUGUUGUCUAGGCUCAUUUGUCAUGAAGAAAAGUAUGCGAUUUCGAAAGGAAUUGAGUUACCAAAGUGUUGGGUUAACUUGUAACCAGUGGCCACCUUUCUUAUGCAUCCGUUUUCAAAUUGAUCAAAAUCAUAAUGAAUUGAGAACCAUAUAAGCAAAUUUCAUUAAAUUUAAAUUAACGGAAAGACAAUAUUGAACAUAGGGUUUAGAUUAAACAUUAAGUAAAUCAAAAGUUUAUGGAUGACAUUGCACCUUUGACUAAUGGGCUAUUUAUGUCUUUUUUUCCUUUUGUUAGAGCUAAUUCUUUAUUACAAAACUAAAGCAACAUCAAUUGAGCUUUAAUAUCCCACUAGAAGCACGAUCUCAAAUGCGCAUCAAUUGGGCUCUGGAGACCUUCUUCACACUAGAAACAUUUUCUACUCCUAUUCCAACAACCUUGUUGGGGGUAGUUAGGUAACAAUUCACUAAUAACUAAUCCAAUCCACAAUCAAUUUCUUCCCCAAAAUUAAACUAACCAAAAUGGACUUAACGCCAACAACAACUAACUGUGUAUUCCAGCGCUAUGUGUCACGCCCCGAUCCUCAGGCACGCACACAUCCUUAUCACUUGGUCAAUUUUAUAAUGCGAUAUCCCAGGACAAUGUAUCGCCGACCCUUUCAUUUAUUAAGCACAUGCGGAAGCAGUUAAAAUCCCCAGACAAUAAAACGAUGGGAUAGAAAAAGCAGGGCCAUAUUUUUCAUAUUGAAAUUUAUAACCAAACUUUUAUACAAAACACAAACCGCUUCAUAACUAUUCACUUCAAAAGGAAUUCUCAAAAGAAGAUAGACUCUCAGUCCAUCCAAGCCGUACUCAAGGCCCCUCUCGAGAUUAUCUUCUUCUUCCAAAAAUCAUUCUCCUCAAGUUUUACCUCCGAGUUCUCCUUCUCGGACUCCUCCUCCUCAACUCCUCAGUGGGGUCUUGAAAUGAUUUCCCCAAACCGGGAUGAGACUACGUCUCAGCGAGUUCUACCCCACUAAGGCUCGAUUAGUAAACCAUUAUACUAUAGGCUGCCUAAACACGCAUAGGGCAGAGGAUUUACCUUGGCCUCAGAUUCCACCUGCAAGUCAGUACAAUUCAUAAUAGGCACCCAUUUACUCCAAACAAAUCGAACGAGUCGAUUACAUGUCACACAAAUCAUUCUCCACUGAGGAGUAUAUAAAAGCUAGGCCACGUGCAUUCUCUAGGACGACAUUCCAAGUCUCCGAGCCAUGUGCCUCAAACCUUGGGCCCACGUGCAUUCUCUAAGGCGACCUCUUCGCCAAGGUGGUACAUCAAGUCACCGGGCCACGUGCCCUUUUAGAUGCUAUUCUCGAAAACUGGACCCACGUGCAUUCUCUAAGGCACUAGUUCACCAAAGUGACGCAUCAGAUCACCGAGCCACGUGUCCUUUUAGACGCUGUUCUCAAACACUGGACCCACGUGCAUUCUCUAAGGUACUCGCUUACCAAAGUGACGUAUCAAAUCACCGAGCCACGUGUCUUUUUUACGAUGCCCGGGUCCAUGUGCCUUCUCUUAGGUGCUAUCUCACCAAAGUGAUACAUCAAUUCACCGAGCCACGUGCCCUUUUAGAUGCCAAACUUUGUCACCGAGCCAUGUGCAUUCUCUAGGAGGACAUACCGAGUCUCCGAGCCACGUGCAUUCUCUUAGGUGACCUCUUCGCCAAGAUGACAUACUCAACCACUGGACUCACGUGCAUUCUCCAGGUGAUAUUCCCAAUUCACCGAGCCCACGUGUUUUCUUUCAAGUGAUUACCAAUCUACUUUCAAUACCGACAACCAAUGCCCAACGAUUUCUCAAUCAAAUAAUUAAAUCAACUCAACAAAGCAUUAUAAAUGCUGAAUAACAUACUUGGCCAUUUACCAAUCAACAAUUCAAUCUCAAUCAAUUCCAAUCAAUUUAGGGUAAAUCCCUAAAAUAUCACAAUUUAUUUAAUUCCAUGCAACGUGGAGCUCAAAUAAAUAAACGGACUGUGCCACGACAAUCAGCACGAGAUUUUGGUCGUCGGCCAUCAAAAUCUUAAUUUCCGAAAAAUAAAUAAAUAAUUAAUUAAUUUCGAAAUUUAAUUAAUAAUUAUUAAAAAUUCAAUUUAGCACAAAAUAAAUCCCAAUUAAAUAAAUGGACUUCAGCACGGUCAUCAGCAUAAUAUUCCAGUCCCGGGCCAUCUUAGUUGAAUUUUCGGAAAAUAAAUAAUUAUUUAAUUAAAUUCCGAAAAUUAAUAUUUAAAUACUAAAAAUUCCACUUAAGCCCGAAAAGCCUAAUUGAAGCCCACGAAGGGUCGGGAAAAAUCCCGAGAUACUUUCAAUAAAUAGUAGACCACGUCUACUUGCUAAUUGCACAAUCAAUUGGUCUAAUUUGCAUCACAAUUGACUAAUAAUCGCUAAUCUAUUCUAAUCUAACCACUUAAACCUAAUUAAUUAAAACUAAAAGUUUCCUCAGGAAACUUAUGCAAAUGCUUCCCGUGUUUUAUUUUUCAGCAAGUAAAUGAACUAAGAAGAGCUUAUGCACUAUAUAAGGAAUUAUUUCACAGUACACCCAAUUAUGUCAAAAGACAUUCGAGUAAUGUCUUGCUUGGCCCAAAAGUUCAGGUAUCUGACAAAUGGCUUUAGCAAUAGUACAAACAUCAAGGUGCAUUCUUUGGGAUAAUCUAUAAUUAGCCUUGGAGUAGGUAUAUCUUGGAUUCAAACGAAAUGAACACGGAUCCCUGGUCCAAAAAAUUCGAAUUGCAAUUUUCUCAAUAGAACCAAAUAAUUCACGAUGAUUUUGCUUCUGUCGUAUUUACUAGUUUGCUCACGACCACACCAUUAGGAGAAGAGCUUGUUAUUGGAUUUAGCAUUUCUAGACUGACACAAGUACUUUAAUCAGCUAAUGUAGAUAAAUUUAUGAGAUAAAUUGUGUUGAACUCAAUGGCUAAACCUUUACCAAAAAAAAAAAAACUCAAUGGCUGAACAAGUCUUAUCCCAAGUCAGUAGACUAUGCAUAGUAAGGGAUGCCUUAUCAACAUGCUCCUUUUGCAUUGUAAAUUCACCCUUAAGUGUACCUUUGAAACAUGCAGUCAUGAAUUGCCUAGUGAGCGUAGAGCAAACUAAAACCUCAUAUUAGAAGGAUCGCCAUAUAGGGUCCUUCAUUUAGCAUUUUCUUCAACCUAUACAAUGCCUUCGGCAUGCUAUCAAAAUACUUGUACACAUCUAUUUUUAUUCAGUAAUUCCAGCAUUCUAAAAUCAAUCAAACAUUGUGAAUCUUUAAUUUCCUACAUAGGAUGAAGGAUCUUACCCAAAGACUAAUGACAAAUGAUGCACUUAGAAAGCCUCUUCAUCUAUUCCCCUUUCUAGCAUGAUAAGCUGAAUCAUUUUGCCAAAGCACACAUCAACUUUCAUGGACAUCUCCACCAAAUUCCUUGAAUUCAAGUAAGAAAACAACGAGGAACUGUCAUCCAAGAAAUAAUAAUGGCGAGAUCAUAAAUCUUGAAAGAUAUUGCGAGCAGGAAAUACAAAUGAAAAUUGGGCAGUAGAUCAAAGAAUAAAGGUAAUUUACCUAUUCUAUGUACCUUUGAUAGUAAAUGGGGAUCAUUUCCAUCCUAUUGACUCAUCUGAGUUAUCCGUAUACUCUAAUACAAUUUGUAUCAUUUUUCUAUCUUCAAUCUCAUAUUAUUGAUAAAUCCAAGUUCUAGAUAAUUUUGGAAUUGUUUUGAGUGACUUGCAUCCAAUGAUAUUCAGAUAUUCCAAAAACUCCAACCUAUCGAGACCUUGAAUUUCGACCAAUUUUUUGCAUUCAUUGGCCUUCAAUAUCUUCAAACUCUUGGAUUUUGGAAGGAGCAACCUUUCAAUUGAAUUGCACCUAGAUAUAUUAGUCUUUCCAAGAACUCCAACCUAUCGAGGCCUUGAAUUUUGGCUAAUUUCUUGCACGAAUUAACAAAUAAUAUCAUUAGACUUCCGGAUUUGGGAAGGUAUAGCCUUUCCAUUGAAGUGCACUCUUUGAUAUAUAGCCAUUACAAAUACUCUAACCUAUCGAGACCUUGAAUUUCGGCUAAUUUCUUGCACGAAUUAGCAUCUAAUAUGUGGAUAGAAUAGCUUUGUUUACUAAUUUUUCAUUAGAUGGUACCUCUCUACUCUAGUUCUUUCAACAUGUUUCUUCAAAAGGUUCUCUGAUUUUUCACAUGUAAGGAAUGCAAGGUAUAUCAUUCAAAGAGCGGGCUCGGAUUAUGUGCUUGUUUUGCAUUAGCAUUACAACCGCGUUGAUCGAGUGCUAUGUAUUGAGUCUUGCCUGUUUGCUACCGUCCACAAGCAAUACAGCUGCUUUUUGGACGCAUACACUGUUAAAUUAUGAUACUAAGUUCCCUCAAUAUCCUCCAUUUGUUCAGAUUGUUAGUUUAAUAAUGAUGUUGAGUUACAAACAUAGUUCUAUAAUUAGUAAAACAGUAGCAGGAGCAAAUUUUAUAAGACUACACAACAGGGGUUUAGCCAAAGGUGUUAUGAGUGAUAGACACAAAUCGCCUUCUAUUACUUUCCUAGGCAAAAGAACGCUUCAAGUGCCAUAACUUUGCACAAAGGGACACUUAAGUGCCAUAACUUACGAAAGAUACACUUAAGUGCCACAUUUUAAGAAAAGCGGGACACUUGAGUGCCAUCUCCGGCGAAGCUGGCUGGAAAUCAUACGCGGCAUUAAAAUAUUAAUAUUUCUCGCCGAUGUAUCUCGCCGGAGAGCUGAGUCAGCUCGACUUCACCCCAAACGACGUCGUUUCGGGUGUUGGCCCAAAAUAGAGCCCUUAAAUCAGUGAAAACGCCGUCGUCUCCCCAUUUGCCCUAAAUCUAAAACCCUAAAUCGGGCAAAAUGCCAUCGAAGCGCUGAAGCCCUAAUCCCGCACCCUAAUUCGAUUUGCCCCAAAUUCUACCACCGAGUAUUGGAAAUGGAGAACAGGACUUUCAGCAGCGGCUCAAAUUUCUCUCGCCAAAGCGAAGGAGAAGGCGAGCGUUUAUGUUUUUGUGGGUUACCAAGUCCAAGAAGAACAUCGUGGACUCAAAUGAAUCCCGGGAGAAGAUUCUAUGGAUGUGCCCGAUACAGAGAAGGCUUGAAGUGCAAAUAUUUCAAAUGGGUUGAUGCGAAAUUCUCUCACCGAGCCACAGAGGUGAUAUUGGACCUACUUGAUGGAUGUCAUCAACCUCUAUCUACGCUUGUGGUUGACUCAAUGCAAGCUCAAGCUCAAGCAUCUUCUGUUAACCAUUUGAAGAACGAAGUUUCAAAAAUGAAAAUUGAACGGAAGUGUUACCAAGCGUUUAUUGUGUUGCUGUUUUUUUGUUUAUCCUACUUUAUGAUGAAAUGUAAAGUACUGGAAGAUGAGAAGAAGUUUCUCUGACUGCCAUAGUUGUAAAUGUGUGGAGAAAUGUACUUGUUUUGAAUGAANNNNNNNNNNNNNNNNNNNNNNNNNNNNNNNNNNNNNNNNNNNNNNNNNNNNNNNNNNNNNNNNNNNNNNNNNNNNNNNNNNNNNNNNNNNNNNNNNNNNNNNNNNNNNNNNNNNNNNNNNNNNNNNNNNNNNNNNNNNNNNNNNNNNNNNNNNNNNNNNNNNNNNNNNNNNNNNNNNNNNNNNNNNNNNNNNNNNNNNNNNNNNNNNNNNNNNNNNNNNNNNNNNNNNNNNNNNNNNNNNNNNNNNNNNNNNNNNNNNNNNNNNNNNNNNNNNNNNNNNNNNNNNNNNNNNNNNNNNNNNNNNNNNNNNNNNNNNNNNNNNNNNNNNNNNNNNNNNNNNNNNNNNNNNNNNNNNNNNNNNNNNNNNNNNNNNNNNNNNNNNNNNNNNNNNNNNNNNNNNNNNNNNNNNNNNNNNNNNNNNNNNNNNNNNNNNNNNNNNNNNNNNNNNNNNNNNNNNNNNNNNNNNNNNNNNNNNNNNNNNNNNNNNNNNNNNNNNNNNNNNNNNNNNNNNNNNNNNNNNNNNNNNNNNNNNNNNNNNNNNNNNNNNNNNNNNNNNNNNNNNNNNNNNNNNNNNNNNNNNNNNNNNNNNNNNNNNNNNNNNNNNNNNNNNNNNNNNNNNNNNNNNNNNNNNNNNNNNNNNNNNNNNNNNNNNNNNNNNNNNNNNNNNNNNNNNNNNNNNNNNNNNNNNNNNNNNNNNNNNNNNNNNNNNNNNNNNNNNNNNNNNNNNNNNNNNNNNNNNNNNNNNNNNNNNNNNNNNNNNNNNNNNNNNNNNNNNNNNNNNNNNNNNNNNNNNNNNNNNNNNNNNNNNNNNNNNNNNNNNNNNNNNNNNNNNNNNNNNNNNNNNNNNNNNNNNNNNNNNNNNNNNNNNNNNNNNNNNNNNNNNNNNNNNNNNNNNNNNNNNNNNNNNNNNNNNNNNNNNNNNNNNNNNNNNNNNNNNNNNNNNNNNNNNNNNNNNNNNNNNNNNNNNNNNNNNNNNNNNNNNNNNNNNNNNNNNNNNNNNNNNNNNNNNNNNCACUUUUUCUAACUGGACGUGAGACUCUCUCAACUGUCUUGGAAUGCGUUGAUUCUGAUGGAGCUGCAAUUGUCUUAGGCUGAACUGAUUCAGAAGGUGCUGCAACUGUUAUAAGUUGAACUGAUUCAGAUGAACUUGCAACUGGGUUCUUCUUACUCUUCUUUCUUGUUGGUGCAGGCAAUGUCUUCUUCUUUGUUAGUGCAGCCAUUGAUUUUUGAGUUAGGCCUUGAGAGAUAAGAACCUCUAAACUUCUCCCAUACUUCAUAAAGAAAACUCAAUUAUCAACAAAAGUUUGCACUAUAAAUUAAAUUAAAUGCAGCCUAUAAAACUUAUAUUAAGAAUAAUUUUUCCAGAACGCUUAUCUGUAUAAAGGCCAUAACCAUAUUUUUUUAGCCUCUUCCUAAGAGCCCCUCUUAUUCGAAAGGGAGCGUCACUUUCAAGUACUUGUGAUUGGUUGCCUCUUCUUCUCGCAUGUGAUUUAUUGGGCUCUUGUGACUGUUCAACUACAGCAGGGGCUUUUUCAGCCAAUUCUUCAGCUAGGUGUCUUGUAGAUGGCCUUCUUGUAGGUGGCUCUUGAUUUGGCUUUCUUCUGGUUGCUUUUCUAGUUAGGCCUUCAGCUUCAGUGACACCUUCGGUUGGCUUUGGUGGUGGCCCUUGUAUUGACCCUUCUAGUGGCCUUUGUGAUGACCUUGGUGAUGGAUUUUGUGGUGGCCCUUUAGCUGGGCCCUCUAUUGGCAGCUGAGCUCUAGCUUGCCUUCUUCGAAUCUGAGAAAAAGGUAAAGGACAUCAUAAAUAUAAUAUCAGGCCAUAUUAGAACGUAAAUGAAAAGUAAACUCAAAUCAUUGAACUUACUGGGUAUUUUUUUUCUCCGUUGCUGCUGAAGAACAGUCGACUUAACUGGCCCUCUUACUUCAGCCAAUCCUGCAGCUGGCUGUCUUCUACCUUCCCUUCUUUGAAUAGGCCAUUUAGUUUCAGGUAUAGCAAGGGCUUCGGCCAAUUCUUCACGUGUUAUGGUGACCUAACAAAGACAAAAACAUUACAUACAUAUCACUUAUAUCUAUAUACAUAUUCGUAACAAACCAUAAAGCAACAUAAACACAAUUGUCAUGACUUACUGGGUUUAUUGUCGUCGACUGAAAAACAGUCGACUCACUUCGCCUUUUCUGUUUCUCCUUCUCCAACUAUCCCUUCACUAGGCCCUUCGACUGGCCUCAAUUAUUCCUGCUGCUUCUUUAAUUGACAACUCUUAAUAUUGUGCCUUGCUAUGUGGAAAAAAGAGCACUUUAUCGGUACACCUGUCCUAUUCAUCCUACGAUGACAUGAGUCCUCUCCUUCUGUUAUUUUUUGUUUUCGCUUUGGUCUUCCCAUUCUCUUCUUUAGUGGCAAAGGUUGAAGUGCUUCGUGAUCUGUUGGCUCCUAGAACUUGCUACUUCUAAUUGGCUGCAACAUGAAUUGAUACGAAGCAAGAUAUUUCGGUUUCUUGUAUCAAUCAUCAAGGUAGUCUUCUGUGUUGUGGCCCUUCAAUUGAAUUGCACAUAUGGUAUGUGCACAAGGAAUUCCACUUAGUUGCCAUGCUCUACAUGAACACUUCAUCGUACCUAAAUGGACAACAUACUUAUUGAAACCCUUCAUUAUCUCAUAUCAUUCAUCUCCAUUCCAAAUGGGAUGACAAUACCUACUUGUAGCCAAGUUGUCAUCCAAUUUCUUAGCAAUCCUAGGACCAUAUUGCUUAAUCCACUUUGUAGUCUCAUCUAUUUGUCUGUGCAGCCGAGUCAUGACCAAAACCCGUAUGUCUUCAAGCAUCGAGAUAAUUGUUUGGCAUCUAUUAUCCUCCCAUUGAAUGCUUCGCAGAUGUUGUUAUCACUGUUAUCGCACUUGAAUUCCUCGAUGCAGAACGCCCUACACCAAUGCUUUGGGGUUGUUUGGGAUAGUGCAUCAUAACCAUCCUUUGUCAAUUGAAGCAUCCCUUCUUUGGCCAUCCUAAAGUCAGCCAUAUCGUGCUCUUUGUUAGCUGCCAAAAUUGCGACUGCAACUUAUCCCCUUUAUAGGUCUUUGCCCAAUUUGCGUAUAUAUGCCACGCACACAUUCGAUAUUCAACAUAAGGCAACAACUCAGCUAUUGCUGGAACCGGUCCCUGCAAUAAUUCAAAAUAUAAAAAUGUAAGCAAAUGACAUGUUGAUAUCAAAAAGCAAACAAGUGACCAAUUUUUUUAAAAAGCAAACAUUACCUUUUGUUGGUCGCUCAUGAACGCCCACCCUGCCCCAUUUGUUAUCUCCAAAUCAGUCAUCAAAUUUUUUAGGAACCAAGACUAAUUGUCCUUGUUCUCUACCUUCAUAACAGCCCAAGCCAGGGGGGACAUUUGGUUGUUUGCAUCUCUUCCAAUUGCGGCUAGCAAUUCUCCCUUGCACAAGCCAUUCAAAGAAUACUCGUCCAAUCCUAUAAUCCGUCUACAAUUAGAUAAAAAUCCUCAUUUGCAUGCGUCGAAGCAAACAUGGAAUUUAUCGAACUUCAUCCCAAUAUCAGGAAGUGGUCUCUCCACGACAUCUAUAUACACUUUACUUUCAGGAUUUUGCAGCCUACACUCCCAAGCAUAGUCCCACAACUGUCCAUAUUCACCGCUGUACUGACCAAUGAGUAUUUUCAUCACCUUUUGCUUCGAUCUUUUACAUUGAUUCUUGGAUAUAUUGAUGUAUACCUGCUCCUUCACCAGCAUCCUGAACUGAGUAGUAUUCAUCUAAGACAUCAGCUUAAUCAAUUCAAAGAAGUACUUCGACAACCAUGCACUUGUUACCCUUUUAUUCUCAAAAUUAAUGGAACAAGUAUGUUCAUCUUGGUAGGCUCUAAUCUGGAAAGAUCCACUUCUCCUAACAAAUGCACCAUAGAUCUUCCAUGGACAAUUUUGCUGCGAACACCUAGCUCUUACAAAGGUCUUAGUGUUUCUAAUGAAGUCAAUAUUCCUUUGUGCAGCAAUGGAGUUCUUCAGUAUAACUUCUCUAAAUUGUUUCGCAUCAUGAAAUUUCAUGCCUACCGACAAAGUAGGAGAGGCAACGGAUGGAUCAUAAGAAGGAAACUUACUUUUCCUUUUCCUUCUAUGGACACGGUAUUCAUCUUCUUNNNNNNNNNNNNNNNNNNNNNNNNNNNNNNNNNNNNNNNNNNNNNNNNNNNNNNNNNNNNNNNNNNNNNNNNNNNNNNNNNNNNNNNNNNNNNNNNNNNNNNNNNNNNNNNNNNNNNNNNNNNNNNNNNNNNNNNNNNNNNNNNNNNNNNNNNNNNNNNNUGACUGUACAAGCUCCUUGUGUCGUCAUCACUUACAAAAUUUUCACAGGCACCCUCCAUCAUCAUCAUCAGUUAAUUCAGCUACUUCCCAAUCUAAUCCAGAGAUUGUGACAUCACCUAUGUCAUCAUCACUUUGGUGAACUGCAUCUGCGCUUCUCUCAUGUCCAUCAUAUCUAUCCUGUCCAUCAUAUCUAUCUGCUCUUCUCUCAUGUCCAUCAUAUCUAUCACCGGCUAUUUGCAAAGUUACAAACUUAGCUGUAAAAAAAUCCCUUCGUUGUAUUCUUGAUUGUACAAGCUCCUCGUUGUCGUCAUCACUUAUAAAAUUUUCAGCAGGCAACCCUCCAUCAUCAUCAUCAGUUAAUUCAGCUACUUCCCAAUCUAAUCCAGAGAUUGUGACAUCACCUAUGUCAUCAUCACUUUGGUGAACUGCAUCUGCGCUUCUCUCAUGUCCAUCAUAUCUAUCCUGCCCUCCUUCGACCCUAACGACAAUGAGAUAGCUAGUAUAAGCACCUAGAGGGGGGGUGAAUAGGUGUAUAAUAAUUUCUCGUGAUAAGUGAGCAAUACGAAAUAGACAAUAGAAAGGAAGUUCGCCUUUUGUUAGCAAAAACAAAUUAUGAUCAAAGUAAAAAUAGUAAGGAAGAGAAAAUGAACACAGAGAUUAUAGUGGUUUGGCUUAUUCCAAGCCUACGUCCACUCUUCCGCACUGACAGCCCACUGGCUGGAUUUUACUAUGAACAAAAGAGUUGUUACAGCAAAGCUCUCCCUUGAUUCCACAGUGUAGAUACUCUACCACACUUCCUCAAGGUUUCUCAAAGAUAUAGACUCUAUUUUGCGUACAAGAUUUCGCUCAACAAAUGAAUUGACUAAGAUCAAAGAGCUUCAGACUUUGGAAUUCUUCUAUCAUGCACACACUCGAACAACUGGAACGUCUUCCUUAUAUACUCCUUUAUGCCAUCAUACCCGUUGGCACUUACCAAAGGAAUUCCUCCAAUCUACCCGUUGGACGGAACCAAUUAGGAAGAUCAUUCGAGCUAUUUAAGGAACAUGUCGAUAGCCCAUCAAUCAUGCUCGCCCAUACAAUCAGGAUCUCGGUUUCCAUAAGUAGAACCUUCCAAGUAUACUUCGCCAAUCAUCGGAUCCUUAAUCUCUGAAUCAAUCAUGAUCAAACAAAGGAUUCCGUUAUGUCAUAUCCAGCCAAGAGAUCUUCUCCAAUCGAUAAGGUCAAAUCCUUAAUGAAACACCCAGUUCUGGAUAGCCCUUCUUCGACGAAUUAGAAACUGUCAAUGAGAAUAGACUUUGAGUCUUGAGUCUGGCAGUCCGGAGGUCUUCAGACUUUAAAUGGUAGAGUUUGCAAAUCUUCAGACUACACUGAUGGAAACGUUUUGUCAGCUUCAAAAUACUCCAGGAAGAUUUCUCCAACAAUCUCCCCCUUUUUGAUGGUGACAAAACUUUCCUGCAGAUUUGGAUAACUUUGACCUGCAAAACAUUACUCAAGCAAAUAUGGAUAUCUCAUAAAGAUAAAUGGCUUAAUAAUAACACUAGAAUCUGCAACCACAGAAAAUAGGUUAGUCUUUCAUGUGAGUAAAGUCAUUCAUAAGAUAUCAAUAGUACUUAAUAUAAGCAAUCAAAUCCAAAUCCCAAAUUCAGUCCACAUCUAGACACAAAAGUCAAGUCAAGUCAAACAUCAAAACAAACCAAAAGUUCAACAAGUUUAAGGUUCAAAGUUUCAAAUCUCGCAUCUCUCCCCCUUUUUGUCAACAUAAAAAAGGUUUAGAUGGGAAGAGAAUGGAAUCAAGAAUGCUUGGGAACACGAACAAGCUAGAAAUCUCCCAUUGACUGGACAAUGCCUUCCAGCUUUUUCAAGUCCUCCUUCAGUUGUGCCACAUCUUCACCCUUAGCAUUUGCCUGAAUCUGAAGAGAAAUGGCUUGGAUUUGAUCAUUCAAAGAAACUGAAGAAGCUUGGCCUGCAAUCUGCAAAUUCUGAACUUCGCAUCCCAAAGCAUAUAUCUGACCUCGCAUUUCCAAGAGAACAUCAAGAAUUCUGCGAAAAUCUACUAAAUUAUCAGUUUGCGUACUGGAUUCUGCACGAUCAGAUGGAGUAAAGGCAGACGAUGGCAAAUCAGCAUAGUCACGCAGAUUGGGCGAUGAAACAUCAUGUCCCUCCUCAGGAAAUUGAGAGUCAUAGAUGUCCUCUGGAUCUGCUGGAGAGCGACUGACUCCUUCACUAGUAGCAGGAUAUGAGGACAUUCCUCUUUUCUCAUGGUCUCCCCCUGUUUCCAUGCCUUCAGGUGGAGAAGAGAGUUCCUCAUGCUCUCCUUUCUCUUGAUUUCCUCUUUCCUCUUCUUCUUCUUCUUCAAAUCUUUCCUCCUCUGCAUCUCUUUCCUCUGUUUCUUUCUCCUCUGCUUCUUUCUCUUCUGCUUCCAAAUCUUUUCUUUCUCCAAUCCUCUGUUCUAAGUCUUUCUCUUGUCGUUCUAUUGAUUCUGGAACAGAAUGACUCAGGUUCUUCAAUGCCAUAGCAGAAAUGGUGAUGUCUUCCUCAUCAUCUUCAUCCUCAACGAUGAGAGCUCUUCUUUUCUUGGAUGGAGCAACCAUGGGCUCCUUCCCUUUUCUCUUUGCAGCCGAAGAGAUUUGAUGAGUUUUGAUAGGGGUUUUCUCCUUGAAUUUCUCCAACGCCUUGUUGAGUUCCUUCAGAUGCAUUUUGGAGACCAUUUUUAGUCCCACCACCAUUUGAUCACAAGAUCGAACACAGAGAAUUCAUGGAGGUUGAACAUUCAAAUGUCUAAAUAACUUUGUCACAAGAGCUGGAUAAGGAAGUUGACCCUUGUCCUUCACCACUGCUCUAUACAUGUGGAACAUAAUAGUGUGAGGAAGAGAAAACUUUUUCCCAGCAUUGAUGACAUACAUCAGCUUUGCCUCUGAGUUUGAAACAUCAGUCUUUGAAGUAGAUUUUGGUCUGAGGCAAUUAAUCACAAUCUUGUGAAGCAGAAUGUUAAAUGCACUCAUCCUCAAGUAGGAAAUCUUUCCCUAUGUCCUUCUAUCUUUAACAAGUUCCAACGUAGCACGAGCAAUAGAGACAUUGAUAGGUUGAUAUCUCCCUCUCUCAACCCUAAUGACAUCAACCAACAUAUCUACAUCCACCACAUAGUCCUGAUCUCGGACACUAAAAGAGAAUCUAUUCGCAUCCAAGAAACUGAGAUUCGAAUAGAAAUAUGCAGUGAGUUCAGCAUAGGCUUCUAUAGAGUCAGAAUAGAACUGUUCAAGUUGAAGAAGACUAAAUUUUUCCCUCAAAUUAACAUUUACAGCAUCAAGGAAAUCAAAAUCCACACUUCUAGGGUUUAUCACCCCACACUUCAACAACUUAGAGUAUAGAUGCUUUUGGUCCUCCGAUCGAAAUAAGUCUGUCCUUUUUCCUCGAAUUUUUGCCGCAACACCCAUUCUCGGUUGAAACUGACUGUACAACUUGUCAUCAUCAUUCUCAUCUAUCUGAUUCAGCCCUCCAACACGAGGAUCGAUUGGAAUAUUUGCCAUUGCUUCUUCUGCCGAUCCAGCAGGGGCAAUUCCCAACCGUUCCAUUGUGCGUAAAAAGAAGGUUUCAUUUUUGUACCCUUUGUCUUUUAGAAAUUCGUCAAUGUAGUUCAAAGGAGUUCCACCCCUUUUCAAAGCACGAUAAAGCUUGUAGAUAAAAGAGGGCUUAGAAACUCUUACAGGUUCUGCAUCUUCGAUUAUUUCUUCCUCUUCUUGUCGAGCAACCUCCUGUUGUCUGGAGAAGAUGGACGCUGCUGAGAAUGUUGUGGGCUCUGCUGCUGACUAGGAAACUCUUCUUCCUUAGUGAGAUCAAAGUGCGUAGGCCCCUCACGCAUUUGCUGUGGUCCCCUGUUUGCGAUCCUCGAAGACUUCCUUUGAGACGACAUCUUUCACAGUUUUUGAAAGAUUCCAAACUUGACUUUCCCAAGAAAGAUGACAACUUUUCGAAGAUUAAACAAGAAAAGAAAGUGGAAGAUCGAUACUCUCUUAGGGUUUUUGAGAGUAAAGCGAAGAAGAAACAACAUUAUAUAAGAUAGUCGAAGAGAGGCAUACGGAACGUCAUAAAAAAAAGUAAAAAUAUGUCUUUUCAAAAAAUAACUGCCUUUUUCAAAAAAUUAGAUAAUUAUCAUUUCAAAAAUAACUCCUUUUUCGAAAAGGAAACGUUGCAAUAAUCACGUCAAUUAAAGAUAGCAAUAAUCAAACACGGUUGAUAAUCGUACCUUUUCGAGAUGAGAUUCGAGAGAUGAAAAAGUAAAAUAGCUUACGAAAGAAAAACUUGAUCGUCUGAGUCUAGGUAUCUUUAGACUUUCAGUCCUGAGUCUGAAUUUCCUCAGACUUUAAGAUUUUGAGUCUGGAACGAAUAGUUUCAAAUUGAUUUUUCUCCAAAGGCUUUGUAAAUAUAUCCACCAAUUGGUUCUUUGAGUCAACAAACUGAAUUGAAACUUCUCCAUUUUGAACAUGAUCUCUAAUGAAGUGAUGUCGAAUCUCUAUAUGUUUUGCUCUUGAGUGAAGAAUUGGAUUCUUAGUGAUAUUGAUUGCGCUGGUGUUGUCACACUUGAUUUCCGUGCAUGAAUCUUCAAUUCCAAAGUCUCUUAGCUGUUGUUUUAUCCACAGAAUUUGUGAACAACAACUCCCAAGAGCUACAUAUUCUGCUUCUGCUGUAGAGAGAGCUACUGUACUUUGCUUUCUUGAAAACCAAGAUAUUGUUCUGCUUCCAAGUAGUUGACAGGUACCUGAGGUGCUCUUUCUAUCAACUCUGCAUCCGGUUAGGUCUGCGUCUGAGUAUCCAAAAAGAGUAAAGUCUCCCUUUUUAGGAUACCAAAGACCAAAGUUUGAAGUUGAUGCAAUAUAUUUGAUAAUACGCUUUGCAGCACUUAGAUGAGAUUCUUUAGGGUCUGCUUGAAAUCUGGCACAAAUACAGACACUAAACAAAAUGUCAGGUCUAGAAGCAGUAAGAUAAAGAAGUGAGCCAAUGAUACUCCUGUAUAGCUUCUGAUCAACUUUCUUUCCUCCUUCAUCUUUGUCUAUCUUCAAGGAACUUGACAUUGGUAUAUCAGCCUUUUUGCAAUUUUCCAGUCCAAACUUUUUGACAAGAUCAUUAGCAUAUAUUUUCUUGAUGAAUAAAAGUUCAUUCCUUCAGUUGUUUCACUUGAAGCCCGAGAAAGAAGGUUAACUCACCCAUCAUGCUCAUUUCAAAUUCAUCAUGCAUAGACUUAGAGAAAUUCUUGCACAGACUUUCAUUAGGGGAUCCAAAAAUAAUAUCAUCAACAUAUAUUUGAACAAGCAUAAAACUUUUGCUUUCUCUUUUGAUAAACAGAGUAGUGUCUACUUUACCUUUUACAAAGCCGUUUUGAAUUAAAAACUUACUCAGCCCGUCGUACCAAGCUCGAGGUGUUUGCUUUAGACCAUAUAAAGCCUUUUUAAGUCUGAAUACUGAGUCUGGUUUCCUUGGGUCUUCAAACCCAGGUGGUUGUUCCACAUAGGCUUCCUCUUGGAUAAAUCCAUUCAGGAAAGCACUUUUGACGUCCAUUUGGAAUAACCUGAAAUUCUUAUAACAGGCAAAAGCAAGUAAUAAUCUAAUUGCUUCUAACCUCACUACUAGUGCGUAAGUCUCGUCAUAGUUUAUCCCUUCUUCUUGCGUAUAUCCCUUGGCCACGAGUCUUGCUUUGUUUCUUACGACCUUUCCUUUCUCGUUCAUCUUGUUCCUGAAAACCCAUUUAACUCCAAUAAUAGAUUUACCUUUCGGUUUAGGAGUCAACUCCCAGACAUCAUUAAUACUGAAUUGCUUGAGUUCUUCUUGCAUAGCUUCAAUCCAGCUUUCAUCAGAUAAAGCUUCUUCUAUGCUUUUGGGUUCUAUUUCAGAAAUAAGAGCCACAGCACUAGACCUUUCGCGCCUUUUGGAUCUUGUGCGAAUUCCUUCAUUAAUGUCGCCAAUAAUAAGAUCUUUGGGAUGACUGGACUUAUGCUUCCAGUUGCUGGUUGAUUUGUCAGGUUGAUGAUCACUUCCUUCAUUUGAAUCUUCAACAAUCAUUUGUUGCUGGUCUUUCGAAGUCUGAGCUGCUUCCUGAGAUUUAGACUUUUUAGAGUUUGGAGCAGGUUCAGAUUCUUCAAGAUGAGUCUGAAUAGAUUCAUUUUGCAUAGAAUCUUGGAAUCUGACAUUCAUUGAUUCCUUCACAGAUUGAGUCUUCUUGUUGUAGACUCUAUACGCUUUGCUUGUGGUUGAAUAUCCAAGGAAGAUGCCUUCGUCUGAUUUUUCUUCAAACUUGCCAACUCGAUCAUUUGCAUUUUUCAAUAUAAAGCAUUUACAUCCAAACACAUGAAAAUAUGAAACAAUAGGCUUCUUUUCUUUGAAUAACUCAUAAGGGUUUUUUCUAGAAUAGGCCUUAGAAAAACUCUAUUAAUAAUAUAACAUGCUGUAGAAACUGCUUCAGCCCAAAAAUGUGAGGAGAUGUUACUUUCAAUUAAAAGAGUUCUAGCCAUUUCUUGAAGCGACCUAUUCUUUCUUUCCACAACUCUGUUUUGCUCUAGAGUAUAUGGAGAGGAGAACAAAUGCUGAAAACCAGAUUCAUCACAAAAUUUUGUAAAAUCUUGAUUUUCAAAUUCACCUCCAUGGUCUGUUCUUAUACUUGAAAUAACAUACCAUUUUUCAUUUUGGACCUUUUUAGCAAACUUUUCAAAGUAAGAAAAGGUUUCAGACUUACUUGCCAGGAAGUAUACCCAAGUAAAUCGUGAGUAGUCAUCCACAAUUACUAGGCAAUAUUUCUUACCUCCAAUGCUCUGAGUUCUGGUUGGUCCAAAGAGAUCCAUAUGCAGAAGCUGCAGUACACGAUUAGUGGAAACUUGAUUUAUUGGUUUAAAGGAAUUUCUUACCUGCUUUCCCAAUAUGCAUGGUGUACAUAGAUCAGACUUUUGGUAUGAUAGAUUGGGUAAACCACGAACAAGCUUCUUUGCUGAAAUUUUGGCUAUCUGCUUCAUAUUGAUGUGCCCAAGCUUUCUGUGCCAUAAGUUCGCUUCGUCUUGAAUUGAGAUAAGACAUUGUGAUUCAUCUGGUUUCACAUCCAAGAGGUAGAUAUUUCCAUGUCUUCGACCCAUGAAUGACUGAGUAGAAUCUUUACUGGUUCCUGAACAUAUUCCCUCUUGAAAGUUGAUUUUGAAACCGGUAUCACACAGCUGACUAAUACUGAGCAGAUUGUAGUUGAAUCCUUCCACUAAGGAAACAUUGCUUAUUGUGAGGUUUCCAAUCUUUACAGUUCCGAAUCCGACAAUUCUUCCUUUGUUGUUUCCUCCAAAUGAGACUUUUCCACCAUUUACUUGUAUGAGUUUUAUGAAGCAACUUGAAUCUCCUGUCAUAUGUUUUGAGUAUCCACUAUCCAGAUGCCAUUUAACAUUUUUCUUGAUAGUGACCUGCAUUUAAAAAAGAGACUCAAGCUUUCUUUGGUACCCAUAUUUUCUUGGGUCCAUUGGUGUUAGCAUUAUAUAUGGUCUUUGUCCAUACUUUCUUAACGGGUUUCCAAACCAUAGGACAUUCCUUUUCAAAAUGGUUUGAGCUAUUGCAUUUAGAACAUUUAAGAGCAUUGCGACCUACUGGUUUUACAAAUAUCCUUUUUAAAUGAUUUUUGUAAGCAUCUCUUGUGGGUCUUUGCUUAAUUAUUUCCUUCACUUUAGGAAAAUCAAUUAAAUGAAUAGUUUCCGCAGUCAUUCCCAAACCAGAUUUAUUGAAAUAAGGUCUUUGAGCUGAAAGAAUUUUCUCAAGUUUCUCAAAUCCUAUUGAAAAUCUUUUGGAAAUAUUUGAUAUGUCAUUUUUUUAAAAAUACAUUUUCUUUCAAAAGAUUAUCUUCACUUUCUUUAAGAGUAGAAACAUUCAUAUCUAAACAUUUUACUUUUUCUUUCAAAAUAUUUUCUUGUUGUUUCAGUGCAGAGUUUUCCUUUUUGAGUUCGGAAAUCCUUUUAAGAGAAGUCUUAAGACUAAAACACAACUCAUCAAUGUAUUUAGAAACUUUAAUAGGGAUUUUGAAGUUACUCACCUCAAAUUCACUGUCUGAAUCUGAGUCUGUCUCGGAGUUUGAAUAUGAAUCCGAUUAUGCCAUCAAACAUAUAUUGGCAUAAUCAUCAUCACUUUCUUCACACUCUAUAUCACUCCAGGUUUCUGCUUUAAGGGCCUUUCGAUACUUUUCAGCUUUUCCUUUCUUCUUCCUCAGAAGAGGACAAUUGGGUCUGAUGUGUCACUUUUUCUUACAUUCAAAGCAGACUACAUCUUUGUUUGAUUCAUCAUCCUCAACAGACUUAGUUUGUUGCUUUUGAAAACUCUGUUUCUUUGGAUUGAAUCUUCUUCAUUUUCUGUUCAGCUUUCUGAAUCUUCUUAUCAUAAGAGCAAGCUCCUCAUCAUCCAUAUCGUCUUCAGAAUCUGUAACAUCAUAAUCAUCAUUGGAUUUUAAUGCAAUGGAUUUCUUACCUUUAGGAUCUUCAUCUUCGUUGAUUCGCUCCACUUCAUAAGACUGAAGAGUCCCAACCAAUUCAUCAACUGAAAGUGGCAUAAUCCUUUGUGUCUCCCUUAUUGAGGUCUUUAUGUGAUUCCAAUCCNNNNNNNNNNNNNNNNNNNNNNNNNNNNNNNNNNNNNNNNNNNNNNNNNNNNNNNNNNNNNNNNNNNNNNNNNNNNNNNNNNNNNNNNNNNNNNNNNNNNNNNNNNNNNNNNNNNNNNNNNNNNNNNNNNNNNNNNNNNNNNNNNNNNNNNNNNNNNNNNNNNNNNNNNNNNNNNNNNNNNNNNNNNNNNNNNNNNNNNNNNNNNNNNNNNNNNNNNNNNNNNNNNNNNNNNNNNNNNNNNNNNNNNNNNNNNNNNNNNNNNNNNNNNNNNNNNNNNNNNNNNNNNNNNNNNNNNNNNNNNNNNNNNNNNNNNNNNNNNNNNNNNNNNNNNNNNNNNNNNNNNNNNNNNNNNNNNNNNNNNNNNNNNNNNNNNNNNNNNNNNNNNNNNNNNNNNNNNNNNNNNNNNNNNNNNNNNNNNNNNNNNNNNNNNNNNNNNNNNNNNNNNNNNNNNNNNNNNNNNNNNNNNNNNNNNNNNNNNNNNNNNNNNNNNNNNNNNNNNNNNNNNNNNNNNNNNNNNNNNNNNNNNNNNNNNNNNNNNNNNNNNNNNNNNNNNNNNNNNNNNNNNNNNNNNNNNNNNNNNNNNNNNNNNNNNNNNNNNNNNNNNNNNNNNNNNNNNNNNNNNNNNNNNNNNNNNNNNNNNNNNNNNNNNNNNNNNNNNNNNNNNNNNNNNNNNNNNNNNNNNNNNNNNNNNNNNNNNNNNNNNNNNNNNNNNNNNNNNNNNNNNNNNNNNNNNNNNNNNNNNNNNNNNNNNNNNNNNNNNNNNNNNNNNNNNNNNNNNNNNNNNNNNNNNNNNNNNNNNNNNNNNNNNNNNNNNNNNNNNNNNNNNNNNNNNNNNNNNNNNNNNNNNNNNNNNNNNNNNNNNNNNNNNNNNNNNNNNNNNNNNNNNNNNNNNNNNNNNNNNNNNNNNNNNNNNNNNNNNNNNNNNNNNNNNNNNNNNNNNNNNNNNNNNNNNNNNNNNNNNNNNNNNNNNNNNNNNNNNNNNNNNNNNNNNNNNNNNNNNNNNNNNNNNNNNNNNNNNNNNNNNNNNNNNNNNNNNNNNNNNNNNNNNNNNNNNNNNNNNNNNNNNNNNNNNNNNNNNNNNNNNNNNNNNNNNNNNNNNNNNNNNNNNNNNNNNNNNNNNNNNNNNNNNNNNNNNNNNNNNNNNNNNNNNNNNNNNNNNNNNNNNNNNNNNNNNNNNNNNNNNNNNNNNNNNNNNNNNNNNNNNNNNNNNNNNNNNNNNNNNNNNNNNNNNNNNNNNNNNNNNNNNNNNNNNNNNNNNNNNNNNNNNNNNNNNNNNNNNNNNNNNNNNNNNNNNNNNNNNNNNNNNNNNNNNNNNNNNNNNNNNNNNNNNNNNNNNNNNNNNNNNNNNNNNNNNNNNNNNNNNNNNNNNNNNNNNNNNNNNNNNNNNNNNNNNNNNNNNNNNNNNNNNNNNNNNNNNNNNNNNNNNNNNNNNNNNNNNNNNNNNNNNNNNNNNNNNNNNNNNNNNNNNNNNNNNNNNNNNNNNNNNNNNNNNNNNNNNNNNNNNNNNNNNNNNNNNNNNNNNNNNNNNNNNNNNNNNNNNNNNNNNNNNNNNNNNNNNNNNNNNNNNNNNNNNNNNNNNNNNNNNNNNNNNNNNNNNNNNNNNNNNNNNNNNNNNNNNNNNNNNNNNNNNNNNNNNNNNNNNNNNNNNNNNNNNNNNNNNNNNNNNNNNNNNNNNNNNNNNNNNNNNNNNNNNNNNNNNNNNNNNNNNNNNNNNNNNNNNNNNNNNNNNNNNNNNNNNNNNNNNNNNNNNNNNNNNNNNNNNNNNNNNNNNNNNNNNNNNNNNNNNNNNNNNNNNNNNNNNNNNNNNNNNNNNNNNNNNNNNNNNNNNNNNNNNNNNNNNNNNNNNNNNNNNNNNNNNNNNNNNNNNNNNNNNNNNNNNNNNNNNNNNNNNNNNNNNNNNNNNNNNNNNNNNNNNNNNNNNNNNNNNNNNNNNNNNNNNNNNNNNNNNNNNNNNNNNNNNNNNNNNNNNNNNNNNNNNNNNNNNNNNNNNNNNNNNNNNNNNNNNNNNNNNNNNNNNNNNNNNNNNNNNNNNNNNNNNNNNNNNNNNNNNNNNNNNNNNNNNNNNNNNNNNNNNNNNNNNNNNNNNNNNNNNNNNNNNNNNNNNNNNNNNNNNNNNNNNNNNNNNNNNNNNNNNNNNNNNNNNNNNNNNNNNNNNNNNNNNNNNNNNNNNNNNNNNNNNNNNNNNNNNNNNNNNNNNNNNNNNNNNNNNNNNNNNNNNNNNNNNNNNNNNNNNNNNNNNNNNNNNNNNNNNNNNNNNNNNNNNNNNNNNNNNNNNNNNNNNNNNNNNNNNNNNNNNNNNNNNNNNNNNNNNNNNNNNNNNNNNNNNNNNNNNNNNNNNNNNNNNNNNNNNNNNNNNNNNNNNNNNNNNNNNNNNNNNNNNNNNNNNNNNNNNNNNNNNNNNNNNNNNNNNNNNNNNNNNNNNNNNNNNNNNNNNNNNNNNNNNNNNNNNNNNNNNNNNNNNNNNNNNNNNNNNNNNNNNNNNNNNNNNNNNNNNNNNNNNNNNNNNNNNNNNNNNNNNNNNNNNNNNNNNNNNNNNNNNNNNNNNNNNNNNNNNNNNNNNNNNNNNNNNNNNNNNNNNNNNNNNNNNNNNNNNNNNNNNNNNNNNNNNNNNNNNNNNNNNNNNNNNNNNNNNNNNNNNNNNNNNNNNNNNNNNNNNNNNNNNNNNNNNNNNNNNNNNNNNNNNNNNNNNNNNNNNNNNNNNNNNNNNNNNNNNNNNNNNNNNNNNNNNNNNNNNNNNNNNNNNNNNNNNNNNNNNNNNNNNNNNNNNNNNNNNNNNNNNUAUGAUUAUCGGAGAUCCUUUUUAUACAGGCAUUCAUUUGUGUCCGAAAAAUAUAGAUGAUUGUGAGGAGUAGGAACAAAUCUCUAGAUAUGCCUCUUCGUAUUUCUACAUCGCUGAAAGAUAUGUUGUUAUCUAUGUUGGCAUGUGAGAUGUGUGACGUAACCCUAGUAGAAUGAGAUCUGGGAAUGGACUUGAUAAUGAUAGUUAUGUAUGACUUUGACGUCGUCAUAAGUAUGGACUAGCUCCAUAAGCAAUGGACUAGGAUGAGUGAUCUCUUGAGAUAGUGCUUGCCCAUGCGCCAAGGAUGAAACCAUGAGGCCUAGUAUGGGAUAGGCCAAAGCGGAUAAUAACUCUAUAAGUUAAUCCCUAUUGAAACGAGACCCUUCAGUAAACGUGUAGUUUGGGUUCAAACCAGGCGAAAGCUGGUGUACCUGUAACGUCCCGGUUUGAUGAGGGCGGGGAGUGGACGCCGAGGUCAGAGGACCUGAACAAGGAGCGGCUCCUGGCAGGCUUCUAGAAUGACAAAAGGGAACAGGAGUGAACCGAACUAUGAACUGAACUGGAAAGGUAGUGUUUCUGGGAUAAGUUUAUUAGAGUGGCGCAGCUGAAGCAUGGUUAAGUUUGUAGAACUCUUGCUUGUGAAAAAGAAAGACGGAUCGAUGCACUUGUGUAUUGGUUAUAGGCAGCUGAAUUAGGUGACCAUUAAGAAUAAGUACUCAUUAUCUAGAAUUGAUGACUUAUUUGACCAACUGCAAGGAAGUUCGGUCUUUUCUAAAAGUUGACUUGAGAUCAAGAUAUAAGUUAAGGAUUGAGAAGGAAGACAUUCCUAAGACCGUAUUUAGGACUCGCUACGAACACUAUGAGUUCCUAGUUAUGCUAUUUGGAUUGACGAAUGCCUUAGCUGCAUUCAUGGAUUUAACAAGCAGGAUACUUAAGCCUUAUUUGGAUCAAAUUGUGAUUGUCUUCAUUUGAUGAUAUCUUGAUAUAUUCUAAAGGACUUGAAGGACAUGCGUAGCACCUAAGCGUAGUGCUGCAAGCAAGGCUUAAGAAGUGAAUUAUGGAUAGUAAGUUAUGAAUUUGAGGAUUAAGUUAUGAUCAUUUGAGCUAAGUAGUGACUUCCUAUUUGAGGAUUUCAUUGGAAGUCUUGAUGCGUUACAUGGAGGUAUUUAAUAUGUAUAGAUUGAUCUUGGAAGUCAUGUGUUUGAGUGGUCAUAUGAGACAUGAAAUUAUUUGUGGUUUAUAUGUCAAAUAAUAGGUUUAAUCGAUAGUGGUCAACUUUUAAUUUUAGGUGAUGAUCUCAGUUUGAAAGGAUUUGGUGGAAUUAGUGAAUAUGAUCAUUUGUGGUUAUAGUCUUUUCAAGGUGAAAUGGUGGAAGUUCAAAUUGUGGAUUUGAUGAAUGAUUAGUCUAAGUGAUGAUCAUUUAGGAUGAGAUAUGAGAUAUAUUCGGUGGAAACUAGGCAAGUUUUAUUUUGGUGGAUUGUCGAUCUUUGAAUUGAAUAAGUCUUGGUGGACUAUAGAUAUUUGAAUCGAAGGAAUGAUGCUAUAUUUUAGGCUUGAAUCUAUGUUGCGGUGAAUGCGUAGUGAAUGUCUUUGUUGGACUGAACCAAAUGAGUUAUUGGUGGUGUUGAUUUUGAUGGUUCUAGGCUUGAAUUGGUGGUGACAAAGGUAUAGGAAUAAUUUGGCUAAAUGGUGCGUUCGAUUGAGUCGAGAAGGUGGAAUUCUUUAAAUUUGAAUCUCAUUGAUAGUUGCACUUAGGAUAGAGCUUGAAAUAGAUGUUUUCACAAAAGGAAUUGAAUAUGAGAUAGAGGAGGUGGAUGGAAUUAUUAAAAGAUCUCGAUUGUGAACUGUUUAAGAAAAUCUCUUGAAUUUCAUCAAAAUUUAUGAGUAUUGUGACAUCGUGCCCAAAUGUUUUAGAAAUGUUUUCUAUUUCAAGGAUUUCUGAACUUUUUAUAGAAAACAUUCCAACCCAUUGGAGUUGGGAUUGAGAUUGGAAUUUACCAACGUACUGAUUUAAAUUUACUAAGGGUUUUGAUAAAGUAUUUUAUUUCGCGCCGUGAUGCAAGUACGACUCAAGGCUUUACAUGUGGAUUUCGAAAAAAAAACAUUUGAAAUUUAGGCGUGAACAUGAAUUUUAUGGAUUUGGUAUCAUGCUUUGAUUUUGUGAAUUGGUUUCAAUAAUAUGAGAUUUACCUAUUUUCAAAUACUAUCAUUGUUAUACCGAUGUGUCUUUGAAAUCCCUGUUUUGCAUUAUUUGAUAUCAUGAGGUGGAAUUUUCGAGAACUCAAGGAUUUUCCACAUUGAUGAUUUGAAAACGUUUUGACAUGGAAAUGGCAUAUGAUUUCAAAGCUUGCUGUUGUUGUUGAAUACUUUUGAAAACUUCAGUUCGUAUUGUUUGAUUUCAUGAAGGAAGAUUUUCAAGCGUUCAAAAGGAAUUUCAAAUGUGGUUAUUGUUUUAAAAUUGUUUUGGUGUUGAGAUAAAUUAAGAAAUGUUAAGAGCCUGCAUCCUUGACUUUAAAGGAAGUUGGGAUGAAAAGUUAUACCUGGUAGAAUUUGUGUACAGCAAUAGCUUUUAGAAAAGUAUAGGCAUGUGCUGAGGAAGUAUUAGUUAGACCCUGGUCACAUACUCGAUCAUGAAGCCAUCAAAGUGGAUAAGAGAGUGAGGUAUAUCGAAGAGCCUGUGCUGAUAUUGGAUCGGAAUGAACAAAUUCUCAGGACCAAGAGAAUUCCAUUGGUUAAGAUAUUAUGGCGACAUCAUGAUGUGGAGGAAGCCACAUGGGAGAGUGAAAAUGAGAUGAGGGAAAGGUACCCUCACUUAUUUCAAGAGACAUAAGGAAUGUCUAAUUUCGAGGACGAAAUUCUCUAAGGUGGGGAGAAUUGUGGCAUCCCAGAAAUUCAAAGCCAAGCCUUAAGGUGUGUUAAAGUCUUUAAUUAGGUGUUAAAUUUCCAUGGCUUAUGUUUUAGCCAUUAGUCUUUUUAAUUCGAUGAUUUGUGCUUGUGAUUGUGGAAAUUUAGAUUUAAUAGAUUAAUAAUCUAUGCUUGGCCUUAUGAUUUAAAUUUCAAUGAGCAAGAAUAUCCCAAGACUUUGGCCAAGAUGAAAAUUGGAAUUCAAAAAUAUUUAUAUUUCAAAAAAAAAAAAAAGAGGGAAAAGGAAGGUUAUUUUCGAAAUGGGCCUUGGGCCCAUUAGCCUAAAGCUUGGUGGGCCAAGCUUGUCGGCCCAUUAGAGCCCAAGAAGGAGAGAAUUCGACCAGCCCAAGGGGAGUGGCCGGAUGGGCCUAAGCCCAAGCCCAAAUCAAUUCAAAAAUUAGUGUGACAAGUGGCAUGAAGGAAUGGCAUGCAUUGGUGGGAUUGUAGGCAAAGCAAUGAUUACUAAUCAUGGGCUUUAGGGAGUAUAAAAAGAGAGAGAGAAGAGGAGUGGCCGGUUCUUCUUUCUUCAUUUGGCCGAGAGAGUGUGCGAGAGAGAGAGAGAUUUUGAGAGAAAGAGGGAGAGGCCGAGAGGAAGAGGAAGGAGGGAGCCGCCCGUUCGCCGUGUCCCGCCGUCCGUCCGCCCGAUUCGCCGCCGUGUGCUCGUCGUUUGUUCAUUUUGGAGGCAAGUGGAGUCCAUAACUUCUCUUGCAUGUUUGUUGUGGUGUUUGCGUGUUAUAUUUUAGGUAUGAUUCGUGCGAAGACCAAGGUAAGAGUUGGUUAUUUGUAAACCGUGUGACUGUUCUUGUUCGGUUUGCUGGAGUCAGUAGCUUGUCCGAGCUUGCAUGUGUAUUUGGAGUGCGAUUUUGGCUUCGGUGUCUUCAUGAAAGUUGAAGCUAACAUCUUUUAGUAUGACAUACUCGAAUUUCAUGGAAAACGAUGGUGAUAUGUGGGGUCAAAAUCUUUGUUAUACGGAGACCUCAGAUCUGCGAAAUCUUCACUGACCUUUUGUUGAUUUCUUGGUUGCAUGUUGAUUUCUGUUGGAGAUCUCACCUUGUUGUAUUCUUUAAAGUUGUAGGAAACACCUUAAGCUACAACAUACUCAAAUUUGAAGCAAAAAUAACAAGUAUAACUUGGUGAAUCUGUUAGAUCUUGGAGAUGGUUGAUUCUGGUGAGGUGUACCGAGACACCCGAGAAUUCAUUGGUUAAAAUGGUGACCAUAAUCUGGUUAUUUGACCUAUAUCCCUUCAUGAAAAUUGUAAUGGACAUAUUUUUACAUAACAUAAUUAAAUUUCAGAAGGAACGAAAGAGAUUUGAUGGGUGAAAUCUAAGAAAUACGGAGGAGUGUGUUCUGGACGUCGCGGUAGAGAUUCCAGAAGCUUCGUAGGGCUAUAUAAAUUAAUAUAAAAAUAAUUUGGCUUAAAGUUCUGAAUUAAAAAGGUACGGAAAUGUGUUGGCUAUCACCCUGUAAAAUUUGGGAAUUUUCGAAGCCAUAUGAGUAUUUUAAUCGAAUUAAUUUGAAAACUGUGCAGUGGGUUUAAAUNNNNNNNNNNNNNNNNNNNNNNNNNNNNNNNNNNNNNNNNNNNNNNNNNNNNNNNNNNNNNNNNNNNNNNNNNNNNNNNNNNNNNNNNNNNNNNNNNNNNNNNNNNNNNNNNNNNNNNNNNNNNNNNNNNNNNNNNNNNNNNNNNNNNNNNNNNNNNNNNNNNNNNNNNNNNNNNNNNNNNNNNNNNNNNNNNNNNNNNNNNNNNNNNNNNNNNNNNNNNNNNNNNNNNNNNNNNNNNNNNNNNNNNNNNNNNNNNNNNNNNNNNNNNNNNNNNNNNNNNNNNNNNNNNNNNNNNNNNNNNNNNNNNNNNNNNNNNNNNNNNNNNNNNNNNNNNNNNNNNNNNNNNNNNNNNNNNNNNNNNNNNNNNNNNNNNNNNNNNNNNNNNNNNNNNNNNNNNNNNNNNNNNNNNNNNNNNNNNNNNNNNNNNNNNNNNNNNNNNNNNNNNNNNNNNNNNNNNNNNNNNNNNNNNNNNNNNNNNNNNNNNNNNNNNNNNNNNNNNNNNNNNNNNNNNNNNNNNNNNNNNNNNNNNNNNNNNNNNNNNNNNNNNNNNNNNNNNNNNNNNNNNNNNNNNNNNNNNNNNNNNNNNNNNNNNNNNNNNNNNNNNNNNNNNNNNNNNNNNNNNNNNNNNNNNNNNNNNNNNNNNNNNNNNNNNNNNNNNNNNNNNNNNNNNNNNNNNNNNNNNNNNNNNNNNNNNNNNNNNNNNNNNNNNNNNNNNNNNNNNNNNNNNNNNNNNNNNNNNNNNNNNNNNNNNNNNNNNNNNNNNNNNNNNNNNNNNNNNNNNNNNNNNNNNNNNNNNNNNNNNNNNNNNNNNNNNNNNNNNNNNNNNNNNNNNNNNNNNNNNNNNNNNNNNNNNNNNNNNNNNNNNNNNNNNNNNNNNNNNNNNNNNNNNNNNNNNNNNNNNNNNNNNNNNNNNNNNNNNNNNNNNNNNNNNNNNNNNNNNNNNNNNNNNNNNNNNNUAUGCAUGGUAAUGCAUGGCUAAUGAUGAUAUGAUGUGAUAUGCAUGGUGAUGCAUGGCUAAUGACGAUAUGAUGUGAUAUGCAUGGUGAUGCAUGGCUAAUGAUGAUAUGAUAUGCAUGGUGAUGCAUGGCUAAUGAUGAUAUGAUGUGAUAUGCAUGGUGAUGCAUGGCUAAUGAUGAUAUGAUGUGAUAUGCAUGGUGAUGCAUGGCUAAUGAUGAUAUGAUAUGCAUGGUGAUGCAUGGCUAAUGAUGAUAUGAUAUGCAUGGUGAUGCAUGGCUAAUGAUGAUAUGAUGUGAUAUGCAUGGUGAUGCAUGGCUAAUGAUGAUAUGAUGUGAUAUGCAUGGUGAUGCAUGGCUAAUGAUGAUAUGAUAUGCAUGGUGAUGCAUGGCUAAUGAUGAUGUGAUAUGCACGAUGAUGCAUGAUUGUAUGCGCAUGGCCGCAAGGUAAGUUAUGCCUGCUAUGCAUGUAUGAUGAUAUGCAUGAUGCAUUGAGUUGUUAUUGGAUUUCCCUAUCUGCUGAGUGGUUGUACUCACCCCUUUUGGGGAUAACAUUUCAGAUUAGUAGAGGGUUUGAACGGUUGGAUGUGACCGUGAGGAGGAGGAUAGCAAGGGAAGGAGCUUUUGGACGCCGACACUGAUCGAUGGACUUAAAAUGUAUGACUGUUUGAGGAAACAUCGGUCAUCUUUUGGAGUGUAGCCGAAUAUAGAAGACUAUGACAUUUCGAUGUACUGAUGAAUGAUGUCCAUCUGAUUUAAGUAAAUAAAAAGUGUACGGCCUUUACCUAUAAAUUUUUGGUAGGUGUGCAUUGUUUUUGAAUAUAAGGAAGGGAGUUGUUGGAUGUGCUUCCGCAUAUAAAUUGCGCAAGGGACCGAUCGAAUAAAAAAAAAAAAAAUGUAAACCCUCCAGUUGUAUGGACCCGCUGCAUUUGAAAUGGUAUCAGAGUAACAUGUUAAUAGGGCAAGUGAAAGGUAGUGCGGACUGUGGCGACCCUAAUGGAUCGGGGGCCGUCGAGGGGUGCCACAAUGAAGAUAAUGGUAUAGAACAUCCCUAAGACCAUUAUCAUCUUCUAAGCAUCUCAAACUAUCUCUUAAGUCUUUCCUAGGAAUACAAUACAGCAGCUUCUGAACUUUACAAGACAAAUAAGUCUUUAUAUCCCUAAGAAAUCCUAUAUAAGAUGCCUUCUUUAUAUCCACAAAGAUGGUACCCUCAUUUCCACCCUCAUACUCCCACUCAUCCUCCCCAAUCACAAAUUCCCCAUCGUAGCAAAUUAUGACAGUGACAUAAUCCUUGUCAUAAGCCAUUACUGCACCAAGAACAAGAAAAAGAAUCGUUAGUUUUUGGGACCACUAAACAAUUGCAUAUGGGAGUCCCCCCACUCUCAUGGACUUUAGUAAAUAGAGGUCCCCACACUGACAAUAUGCCCCUACAUGACAGCCAAAAAAGAGGUCGGCACUUUAAUUAUUUGCCUUCCAUUUCCUUAAAAUAUUAACAAAAAACAAAGGUCCAUACAACAAUCACAACCCAAGCAAUUUUGUCUACUGCACUAAACUUGCGAUGUGAGAGAAUGUAUAUCAACUUAACCAAAUCAAAGCAUACUCUGACAUCAACUUAAUCAAAUCACAGCCGCUGACUCCUACAAAUUUCUUUAGAAGUUUAAACUAAAAUUAGAACAACUAAACUUGGAAGCAUUUUAUGUCGCUAAAGCUAAAGAAAAACAAAGAGAAAAUGAAGCACAGAUAGAUCACUCCAAAGUCUUAGACUAUCCUAACCCAUAACAAAUUUGGACAAGUAGGUAAUACCUUUCUCAAAGAAGACUGACGCAAGCUGCAGAGCCAAUUCCAGGAAAUAGCUUCACCAAAACAUGCUUCAAUACCCUUUCAAGUUCUUAUUCUUCCUACUUGAAACUUUUUCUUAGUUUGUAACUUUACCAAUAAAAUUCUAGCUACAGUUGUUAUGUUCUCAUUCAGGAUUUUAGAUUGAUAAACAUACCCUAUACAGCCUCACAAGCAGGGUGGUUCAAGGACUUAAUUUUCUUCUCGGAGAUGCAUUAGUCACCUGCUUUAUUAGGAUGCUCUUAAGGAGAUGCAUAGCCAGUGACUCAACAAUCAAAGCAUACUCUAACAUUGGCUUGAAAGAAAAAUUCACGAAAAUAAUGAGAAAUCUAGUCUCUUUGUGUUAUGUCAGCAAGUUUCAGUUGAAGUAUAUCAACACAAAUUCCAUCGGAGCUGUAAUAAAAUAAUCAAGCCCUAAUAAAAUAAUCGAGCAAGUCCUAAUUAAAUAAUCGAGCCCUAAUAAAAUAAUCGAGCAAGUCCUAAUUAAAUAAUCGAGCCCUAAUUUUAUCAUAGGGGAGGAGGAGAAGGGGCCGAACCUGGACGAGCGACGAUGGUGAGCGGUGACGACGACCAACGAUGGUGAGCGGUGAGCGGCGACGGCGACCAACAACGGCGACUAACGACGGCGACCGAUGACCAGCUCUAGGCAUGAACAGUGACUGAGAGAAGAGCCUGAUCUACUAUGAACGCGGACGGGGAGGAACAGCGUUUGGAUCAAUGCACAAUGACCUAAACGACGUCGUUUAGGUCAGCGCACUCAAUGUGGAUGGACGACAUCAUUUUUGUCGUCCAUGUCGGCUUUUUUUUUUUUUGAAAAAAAACAUUUGCCACUUCAGUAAAAGAAGUCACCAGAAAUCGCCAGAAAAUGCCACAUAUGCAAUUUGGCCGGAUUUCGGCCGAAUUAGCACUCAAGUGAUCCAUUUUGCUCCGAUUUUGGCACUUAAGUGUACCUUUCGUAAGUUAUAGCACUUAAGUAUCCCUUUGUGCAAAGUUGUGGCACUCCAGGGGUCCGCACGUCUACUUUCCUAUCAAUAGUAUAGCGUCUCUCCAUAUUCCAGUAGUACUCGUGAUCCCGGCCUUCUCUUCUUGUUUUCUCGGUCCUUGAAAAUUUUAAUUGUAGUCUCUUCAAAACGAGCUCGUCUAAGACUGCUCAUGCAUCGUUUGAUUUAAUACGUGGUUUGCACUGGUAGUGGACCACAAUAAUUUAUUUUGUUGGUAAUAUUUAUCGUUUCGUCAUAUUAUUAAUUGUCGCUGUCACUAUUUCUGCACUUAUUAUGCAUCAUGAAAGAAUACAUUGAUGACAUGAAGAUUUGGAAAUAAAUUAAUAAAGCAGGUUAAUCUCACAGUAGAUUCGGCUAAGAAUGGAAAUAUCACAUAUGCACAUUUUACAUGCAUACAAUCAUAUAUACGAUUACCAUCUUGGUGCAUAUGAUCGAACACAAAGCUACUACGUCUAUAAGAGUUUCUUCUCUAGAUUGGCAAUAAAUCCUAGAGAACGAAUGAUAAAAUUAAACAAUUUUAGAUUCCUGUAUAUCUAUACAUCAUUAAGUUUUUUGGCUACAUGAUACUCUUGUCAAGAAUACAAAAUAUAAUCUCAUAAUCUUAUACUCGUGUCGACAAGGAGAGCAGAUACAUAAUAAGUAGGAAGAACAAAAGAACAAAAGUUUAUAAAACCAGACUAGUGGUUCAACCAGUCAAACUUGAGAGCCGUACUCUACUAGUUCAACCAAUUGAACCGAUUGCAUGUGAUGUUAUUUGAUAGAAUAUGCAUGUUCAGAACAAAAGGAGCCCCGGUCACUCGGCAGAGCCGCUUGAGCAAAAAAGACUGGAUUCCGGUUCUCAAAAGCAUUGUCUUAAUUUCUAAUAGACUAAGCCAAUACAAUCAAUAAAUAAAUUAUCCGCCACAAAAAGGAGCAAGAAGACACGCGGAGCAAAUGGGUGGCAUGCCUGUUAGUAACCAGAGGUUGGAGUUCCAAACCCCAACCCAUUUUCUUGAGAGAGAUAUCUACAACUCAUCUAAAGGAAUUACUUUCGAGAAAGAUAUCCACGUUCUUUCUAAUGGUAUGGAGAAUACAAUAUACAUGUGUCACGGUUCAUUUUGUACAUAAAGGAAAUGGCUAGAUCUCUUAUAAUGAUUUUAAAGAAUUGAUUUCAAGGGACAAAUUGUAAAAAUAGUAGCCGCUGUGACGCAAGAUGAAGAGUUGAAGAGUUGAAAACGCUUUUAGAGUUGAUUCCCCAUGUCAUGUGCUGCAGUAGUAUAUCGAAUAUCAGUCGCCCAAUGUACUUCAUAUUCUACAAAGUAGGCCGAGGUGAUGGAUAGGAAGAUGCUGAACAGAUCAGAGAUACUGGUCAAGAUCGUCAAAUUUACAAGCAUGAUAACCCAAACAAAGGGAGUUCCACAUAUGAGAGUUGCGUAUAUGUGUUUAACCAAAUCAAAAUAGGGACUUCCAUUACUACUCCCUCUCGGGUAAAUUAUCCAAAAAGUCCUAAACCUAUUGCAUUUUUGCUAAUUUAGCUGUAAACUUUUCAAUUUUAUCAAUUAAAUCCUAAACAUUUUCAUCUUUUACCAAUUGAAUUCAUCUAGUCAAUUUUGACCGGAAUUUGCUAACGUGGAUGGUAGGCACUGAAAUGAUACUUUUUAAAUAAUAUUUAAAUAAUAUUUUGAAUUUUUUGUUGGUUUUUUCUUUUCUUUUCUUUUUUUACUUUUUUUGCUUUUAUUUUUGGGUUUUGGAGGGCUGGCGAGGGCACCCGGUUGACCUAGCUCGAGGGCUCAUGUGCCCUCGCUUUGGCUGGCGGAGGGUGCUGUGGCCUUCGCCGGCCUAACUCCAAAACCCAAAAAAAAAAGCAAAAAAAGUAAAAAAGAAAAGAAAAGAAAAAACCAUUAAAAAAAAUCAAAAUAUUAUUAAAAAAGUGACUUCAGUGUCAGCCGUCCACAUUAGUAAAUUCUAACCAAAAUUAGUCUAAUAGACUCAAUUGACAAAAUAUUAAAAUGUUUACGACUCAGCUGGCAUGAUUAAAAUGUUUAUAACUAAAUUGGCAAAAACGCAAUAGAUUUAUGACUUUUUGAACAAUUUUCCCCUUCCUCUCUCUCAUAGGCAAACUAUGCUUGUGGAACUAUUCUGAGUUCGAGAUGAAACACAUUAUAAGAUAAGAGUAUAUAUGACAGUCAAUUCCACAAGGGAUUAGAAUGGACAGAGACCACGGAAUUUGCCAAAGUCACUCGCCCUCACCAUCCAUUGGCAAAAGGAAAAGGGGAAAAAAGAAGAAGAAAAAAGUCAGAAAAAUAAGAAAAAAUUGUAAACAUUAUACACGUAAGUAAUUUCCGCUCAAAAUUUGACUUGAUGAAUUACAUUGGCAAAUCCUCAAAAAGUUCAUAAUUCAAUUAGCCAAAUUUGAAAGUUUAGGACUGAAUUGGUGGAAGCACAAUAGGCUUAAGACUUUCUUGGUAAUUUCUCCUAAUAUUGUGUGCCAAACAUCCAAAACUCAUUUGGCUUGAAAGGAUGUCAAGUGUUUCCACACUUGAAUAGCUAAAACUCACUUUCACUUAGGUGAUGCCAAGUGGAUAUUGACAGGAUAUUUUUACCACUAAGUAGAUAAGAAAAGAUGUAAUAAGCACACCGCGACAUGUUUCUGUAUGUAUUUUUAUCAAUAGAUGACUAGAAGAUCCAAUUAGAAAAGAAGAUUAGUUGGUUAAACUAAUAUGAGGGCAUUUAGGUGCCCCAUCAUCAUUAAUAAAGUUAUUUGUUUGUGUAUAGAUAAGCUUUGUUGCCUUCUUAAGUGGCUAAUUUUCUGAUCAGAGUCCCAUGUAUUAAGUGUUGCUAGUGUGCUGCUAUCCAUAGGCAAUAAAGCUAUUUUUCGGAACACCCACUGUUAAGACAUGAUGCUAAGUUACCUUGAUAUUCCCCAAUCAUUCGGACGGUUAGUUUAAUAAUGAUGUUGAGUUACAAAUGAUCAUUCAUUCUAUUGUUACUAAGAAUAGUGGCAGAAGUAUAUUUUAUGAGGCCCUACAAUGGCUAUAAAUAGAAGGUUUAGCCAAAAGUGUCUGGCAUGAUAGACACAAGUUAUCUUCUUAGACAUUUCCUAUUAAUAGUAGAGCGUCUACCUUAACCAUACUUCUUUUCCUAGCCUUCUCUUCUUAUUUUCUCGGUCCUCGAAACUUUUAACGACAAUUUCUCCAAAACAAGCUUGUGUAAAAUAGGUCAUGGAAUUUAAAGUUUACAUGGGAUUUGCACUGGCAGCAAACCUAUUAACAAUCAUUUAGGAAGAAUACAUUGAAGACGUGAUGAUGCCCUUUAUUAAGGAUACAAAGUCCAUUUACGAUGCUGUAGACAGAAUCUCAUGAUCUUAAACCUACCAUCUAUUUGAGGGCUCCAAAUAUCUGAGAUUGGAAUACAGGCUACAUUCUUUAUUGCCAAACUGAAACCAUAUAUCUGGCUAGUCAUGUUCCCCGCAAGAAUGCAUUAUCUACACCGGAUCGAAUGCGUCACUUAACAAUGACACGUGGAGAGGAGCAAGUCAAUUUCGGGUAAAAGAUCUCAACAUUCAAAUGCAGAGUUCGCUAGUCGAGUACACCGCCUGAACCAUUCAGCCCAAAGUGUAGAUAAUCCAAACCAAACAAUUGGUUCUCUUACACAUGAAAAUAGUGAACAUAUACAGAUGAAGCAAAAGCUUGGCACUAUCGAGCAUGUCUCAAAGCUUACAGCAAUACCAUGACAACAGUUACCAUCAGAUAGAAGCCAUGAUUCAGCAUCUUUCGGUCAAUUCUAUCCCACUCGAUAGAUAAAUCGCUACAUUUUACUCCACUUUUUUUUAUCGGCAAAUACCUGCCUAGCCGAAAAGGCACAUGGCAGGUAUGGAUUAAGACUUCUCCAAAAAGGGUGAAGUCGAAGAGCAUCAGUCAGAAAGCCCACAUGUAUUGCUUCUCACACCAAUGUUUGCAGCUCCAAGUAUGAGAGGUCCACCCACAGCAGCAACAUAAGCAUAACCACCACAAACUCUUGAACAGACAGUCAUUCUGAAUCAGAGAUUUCUUCUUCAUACUCGUCCAGUAUGUAGAUCAGGGCCCACUUUCUUGCAGCUAAAACACAAGCCACACCUCUACCUCCCAUUGCCAAAAAAAAGAUCAACUUGAUUUCAGUCCAGUGUUCCUUGAAUGUAUGGCCAUAACUAACAUGAUGUUUAGAUACCUUUGUUGGGUAAAAGUAAUAUUACAACGCAUGCAUUACGCUAAAACACAGGCAGGAAGCAAACCUUAAUUGCCUAAAGAGGCUACAGCUUGCAUGUAACUAUGAAUGCUCCACAGUAUCUUGCUACACUAGAUGCCAUGAUAGUAUCUAUGGUCAUGAACUUGUAAAUAGUGGUUCUCAGUCAGUAACUCAAGACUGCUAUGCACCUCCCAUGAGAGAAUGAUUAUUCAUUUUGUAUUUGUCUGGUGACUAUUAAAUCAUUUCGCACUUUGUCCUCUCAAUUGAUUUAAAAUUUAGGGGAAAACUAAUACUUCAUUUUUUUUACUUCUUCGACUAAAAAAUAUUCUUCUUUGGAGCAUAUUUUUGCACUUCUUCAAUCUAUAGGGACAAACAUGAAGUGGUCUGUUAAAGAGGCACAGUGUACCUAAGCCAGUCACAUUUGAACUUAAUAGAAGGUUCUAAGUGGAAAUGUAGUAAGGAGCAUGGACAGGAUUAAUUCAAUUCCAAUACCCAGCCAACGAGAUAAAUUUGUUACCGACACUGGCAAGUUUAUUAAACAUUGAUCACUAAGGAAAGAGUAUGGGCAACAAUAAGUUUCCAGACAUCCAAAACUGCAAAUGGACAUGGCAAGAAGCCCAAAGAAAAACACUUCAGAACUAUACAAUUGAUGGCAUAGCAAUGAAUUGAUCCUUAGCUUGAUGGUAUGACUGUCAAAAUGUUCUUACCACCAACUGACAAGGGAGAACUACAGGACGGGGAAUGCUGCGAAGCUUCUCAUUCUCCAUCUCCAAGGGUAAGAUAUGGUCCUAGAUGUGCAGUUUCACAGGAUUAGUGUUUCAGAAGUGAGAAUAAUACAACCGAGCAAAAAUAUCCUAACAAAAUACAAGCAAAAAGGGCACUACUAAACCAUUAGGGCCAUCAAAGACACAUUUCUUAACCUACAUACAAGGCUCCAGCUGUCAAGGCAUGUUGGAACUUUUUGCAGUUACAGUAAGGUAGAAAGUAAAACAUCCUUUGAUAUCGCAAGCAUGUAAUGACAUGUGUAUGCAUCAUGCACAUAGGAGGAAGAACUAAGCUGCUACUAAUCGUGCUGAUGAGAAGAGCAGAUAAAUAAUAAAUAGGAACAAUAAAAGAACAAAUGUUUUAAAACCAGAACAGUGGUUCAACCAAUCAAAGUGGUAGAACCUACUCUUCCAGUUCGACCGACUGAACCAAUUGCAUGUGAUGUCAUCUGAUAGAAUACUUUGCAUAUAUUAGAUUACACACUUUUAGAACAAAAGAAGCCCAGUGAGUUGGCAGACAUUGUAGCAUCUUAAUAGAUUACACAUGCUUGAUGUCAUCUUAAUAGCAUCCUGUUCAAUUUUAGAUUAGGCCAAUAUGGUCAAUAAAUAAAUUAUCCACCACGAUUGUAGCAAGAAAACACUAGAGCAAAUGGUUGGCACACUUGUUAGUUACAAGAGGUUGGAGUGCCAAACCCCAACCCAAUUCCAACAUUACUCCUUUAAACUUUUUUAUGCCUGAGAGUUGGUCCAGACAAGUUGACAGGUUUGCUGGGUAUCAGUUGAUAGGUACACCUGGUUACCGGUUGAACAGGGUCAAUACCACCAGUUCUUGAUCAAUACUAUUUUUGCUGGGAAACCAGACUGGACUGGUCUGGUUCCCAGUCCAACCAGAGCCACUUCUUAAAACUCUGACAUGAACAGGAGUCAACAUAAAAGCAUGAUAUGCUACUUUUUCCCUUUUGCCAUCAAUGUCUUAAAUAGUGAAUUGACAUGAUUGGAAUAAAACUCUAGAUAUCAUGAGUAAGAAAUCAAUAUGCAAGCUCUAAAUCCAUGAGUUACCUUCAACUGGUACAAAGCCCAGUUAUUUGCACGUGUGGUUCCUGCAAUAUGCACAAAUGGAAGGUCACUAGCCUGCAGGAUUGUCAUCUUGGCAUCUCCCAAGUUUUCACCUGUGUCAUUCAUCUUAUUUAGCAACAUAAUAAUUUGAUGUUCCUGCUUCCAACAGAACAUAUUAGCCAUACUUGCAAAUUUGGGCCACAGAAUAUGAUAUACAAAGCUUUUACCUCAGAUAGAGUCUAAUCCACACAGCAAUGACCAAGAGGGAUGCACAACAAGAUCCUUCCAAAGAUCUUCCCUUCUUCACAUUUGCUUGAAUCAUUCAUAAGUCCACUCACUACCACUAUACGAUUUGUUACAUCUAAAAAAGACUCUUCAUGUAUUUGGAAGGAAAUAUACUCUGAAGCAAAUUUGAAGUCAUCCUGCAAUACCAUACAGAGUAAAAAUUAGCAUGAAAAAACAGUUGGACUCAGCACAUGUGGAUCUCUGGAUAAUAUUUGUAGUUUCAUAUUAAAGGUAUAUACCCUAUAGAAAGACAGUGAAUUGGGAAUAUAUUUGGUGGAUGCUAAAACUAACAUAAGAGGGAAUUGUAGCAAUAAAUUCUUACAAAGUAUCAUUUUUCAAAAUAGAAGAGAAGGCAUAUGGGCAGCUUCCUUGAAAAUGUGGUUAUCAAAUUAGUUUCUAAUCAGGAAACAUGAGAUACAGUAUUUCCAUACACGAGGAUCAUAAGUUAAACACAGAGCGCAAAUAAAAUCGCCCAACUAAAGCUUCGAUGUACAUUGUUAAGUAAUUGUUAGAAUAUUUAAAUAAUAAACCACACCUUCAUCUAUCAGCUUAAGCUUUUAGAAUAGUUGGUAGUGGUCCACAAAAUUUCACAUGGUAUCAAAAUUAGAAGAUCCUAAGUUCAAAUCUUCCAGACCCCUAUUUGUCUCCCCAAUUAAAUUUCCAUGCUUAGUACUAGGCAAAAAGACCAGACUAAGCGUGAGGGGGAGUGUUAGAAUAUUUAAAUAAUAAAUCAUGCCUUCAUCUAUCAGCUUAAGCUUUUAAAACAGUUGGCAGUGGUCCCACAAAAUCUCACAGUAAUCAAACAUCAAAUACGAAAAACUAGAUUAUUAGACAAAGGGUAAGUGAAAAACCAUUGUUAAGGACAACCUCCAGAAGACAACUCCUAACGCCCAAGGGUUUCCUUUUCUUUCUCUCCUUCUCUCAUUAUAGUCUCAAGGUUCUGGCCACUAAGACAAGGAAAUGAAAAAUAUAGGACAACUUUAUGGUAAUAGGCAUUUGGAUAGAAAUAUCUACAAACCCAUUAACAGAAGUCUUGAAUUUGCUAAACGAGAAAUGAAUAUUUCAGCUCAAAUAAUUGAUGAGUCAGGUAAAGCCAAAAGCACAAACUUCUAAUUAAAGGAUUGCAAUAUUUACAUAAAACCAAUUUUAAGCCCAGGUCUCAUACUCAAACUCCUGUUACACACAGAGAUCUAGAAUUUCACAUUUGGUGCACAUAUCAGCAACGAGGACCAGAUUUUAAGGGGGGAAAAGCUACUUAAUAGAGAGAUUCAUGGCAAAACAGAUUUUCCUCAGAAAUCGAUUUGGAAAGUGAGAAUUCCAAUUAGAGUCUCUUUUUGCUUGGGAAGCAACCUGGGAACAAAUCCUUACUUUAUAAAUGAGACAAAAUACUGGUUAAUAGGUGUUUCCUCAUCAAAAGGAGGCAGAGUCCGCACGACAUCCCCUCCUUCAUUGUUCUUGGAAAGAAUGGUUUGGACAGUUUCCUAUGCUUGUGCCAUGUUACAGAGGUUUUAUUGAGCAAGAACUUUGGGCAUGGCAAGGCAUUCAUUUAUAGCACAACAAGUGGGAUUAACGCAAUUCCCCUGUUUCUUUUGGCUAAUUUGGAAGGCAUGGAGCAAGAGAGCUUCUGAUGGAGAGAAAUCAUUUGUUCCAUUUUAUGGAAAUUUGGCUUAAAGUCACACACUUUUGGUAUAGUGCAGACUUGCAUAUGGAUGUAAAUGCCCUGGUUGAUUAGUCGAUGAUUCACCCGGUAUUUGAGCUCCCUUUUGGAUUUGGGAGUUGUUUUGUAUAUGGCUUUAGUUUUUUGGGCUCCUUUGGUAUAUGGGUUGCACCCCAUAGGUGCCCUACAGGUGAACUAUAUAAUAUAUAAGAAGAAACUUCACACUUUUUGAGGAUUUUAAGUUAUUCCAAUUGCCCUUUAUUCCAACACAUGUUAUCUCAUCAUAUAAUUUCAAGUACCAACAUCAACAUCUCACUUUUUUGCGAGUAACGUCACCAUGACAAAAGGGUGCCGCUACUACUAAAAGUCAGAUUGAAAAAGUUCAAAAGAAACGUUAGAUCCAAAGAGCUACCAACACACUUCCAAAAAAGAAGCAAUACUAGGGACUGAGAGUAGCAUACAAAACUGAUUUGAAGAGGAAAAAUGCGAGUAUAAUGCAUUAGUAGGUCUCAAACACCUAAUAUGAAUCUAUCUGACAUGCAACUUAGUAAAACCAAUUUCAAUACUAGGAGUUGACAUCCUCAGCAUUGGUCUGCCAAAAAAGAGGUGGUAUAUCAAAAAUCGUGAUCUAAAGAUAAAAAUAAUAAUACAAAAUAAUCAAUCUCACAACUAAGUACUAAACAAAUGAUUAAGAUCAGAGGCUCUCAUAACCAUGGUUACGCAUCACAAAUUAGAUCCAUGUAGGCUCCAUUCACUGUCAUCCGAGCACCCACUAAUUAGUUUUUUGCUCAUUUCUUUGAAGAUCUGAGUUUUCAUUCUCAUCCUUAGCUUGUUGACCAUAAACAUAACACAGGAAAGAAGAGUUUUACUAACUACAAUGAGUUCAAUGGGUGGAAUUUGGCAAUAUAAAUAAGUCUAACUUCCCCUAGGCUCUAAUAGUAAUAUCGAAGGGUACAAAGCUUUGAAUAUGAUUAUUUGGUAUAAAAAUUGACUCUCGCAAUUGUAAGGGGAUAUAUGCUAAGAUCGAAGUGGGCAAUAAACUCUUUCCUUUUAAAUUGAGAACAUAUCUCUACACUUGCUAAUUAUAAUGUGAACGUAUAAACAUUAUAUAUCCAAAUCUCCAUGUACAGUACACUCAAAGCUCAAACUUAGAUCAAGUUCAAGUUCAAACCAAUGAUUAAUGACCUACAAUUUCCAUUAUACGCUUAUAGGAGAUAUUGCCAACUUAUUGAAUCAGACUCAAAUCAGAUUUUACUUGAUCCUUUCCAGUCACUUAAUAUUAAUAAUUCAUAUCAUUGCAUACAAUAUGAUUGUAUGAAGAAUCAACAUCAGGAUGUUCUGAAAAAUAUGGCUUGUCUCAAGAUGUGCAGAAGAAUAAUUUCCUGUAGCAAAUUCCUAUCUCUAUCCGAUCACCUCUAAGAUUCACUGAGAUGCAUGAAGGAAAAAGGCCAGAUGCAAAGAUAAUAACGCACACCCACAGAUGAUUGAGGACAACCAACAGAAGUUCUUUUCCAGCACCAUAAACAACUUGUGAUACACACUUCAUACAUUAUCACUGAACAAACUAGCAGACUGAGAUCAUAAAAACCAACCAAAAAGGCCAAGGUCCUAUAGCAGCACCAAAGCUUAAAAAAUUAGCCAUACCACUUCAUCCAAAGAAUUAACACGAAACUGAUAGAUUGGAAAAUUCCUCAUGAGGGAAAGAGUCAAGACCUAGAUAAGCAAAUGAAAAUAGUUAAAUGAAGAAAAAAGAAACGCCAUCUACCACUCUGAAUUAAUAGUAUCACUUGCCAUGGUCACUAACAAGGUUCGACAGCAAAUCAAACUUCCUCUCGAAAUAUAUUAAUGGCAUCAGCCCACUGCUUAUGCAUUACAUACAAUGAUGCCUGGAUGACAUGAAGUAAUCUUCAAUGUUCAAAGCCUGUUAAGCAACUUGAUGAAGUCCAUUUUUUCUGUAGACAGAAAGAGAUUGAUAAUCUAAGGAGGCAUUUGGCUGAUGAAGAUUCUCAAAAGUCUGUUCUGAUUUCAAUUUGAGAAUUAAAACAGACCAGAAAAUGUGUUUGGUAACACUCCAAAAGCAGUUGACAAAUAAAAGGAAAACUAUUCUCAGAAUCAAAAUCACAAACUGAAGAUGACUUUUUUGUAUUUUGAUUCUAAAUGCAAACAUGGAGAUUUGGAAUAAAUAAGCAUGUUUUUGGAAUGUGAUGUAACCUGAGCAUAUUCUCACAAUUUUCAUCCCUAAUGACAUUAUUUUCACUAAACAAAUAUUUUGUCAACAAAACAUCGAAAACAGUUUCUAUGACAAUGGAAACUAAAGCUGUUCUCUAAAACUAAGCAGGCCUUAAGCAGUCGAGAACAAAAAUGACGAGUGACUCAUGCGACAAUGUUUAAAAUUUUGCAACAAAUUUGCCUCACAACUUUCAACAUCUGAACUACAUAGAUUUUUAGGGACUUUUUACUGAAAGAUAGACGAUACUUACAGGUUGAGUAGAAAUUUGAAGCAUGAACAAGAUAAUUUAGGCUUCCAAGUAUGAGGCAUCAUGUUGUUCAGCUGAUGGCAAACUCUUGAAAGUCAACUCAAGCAUUAAAAAUUAUCAGCAGGGAAGUUCUUCCAUAACGUAAAGUUUAAAGUUAUUUCUAAGAAAACUGCCUCGAAAUUGCUCUACCUUAACUAUCCAUUUCUUUGUAAGGACGAUGAUAAUAUCCUGAGUUACUUCGCGUUUUACUUUCCUUAUGACCAAACAAAAUUAGAUACCACCGAAACAAAUAUCAAUGCACAUAAACAACCAUAAUAUAAUCGUAAUAUCAAGUACAAUCACCACCACAUAAACUAGAACAGAAUCUAGAUUUCCACUCGGAACCUUCAUUCACACUAGGUUUUUUCUGUAAAAUGCCAACUCCUCAGUUCAAAAUCAAUUUCUCAAUUAAGACAUUCAAGCACUUCACACACUAAAUAGAAAAAAGAGAGAGCUUUCUCAAUUUGAAGCAAUUACUAGGUGAGACUGUCCCCAGCAAUAGAGGUCCACCUACAGUAGACAUUCGUUCUGAAUCUGAGAUUUCAUCUUCAUCCUCGUCCAAGUAUGUAGACCAGGGCUAGCUUUCUUGCAGCCAAACACAAGCCACACCCUUGCUUGCUGUAGCCAAAAAUAAAUAACUCAACUUUAUUUCACUCCGAUGUUCCUAUAAUAUGGCCAUAACUAAUGUGAUGUUUUGAUACCUCUGUUAGGUAAAAGUAAUAAGUACGAUACUUGCAUCACGCUAAAACAUAGGUGGAAGCAAUACUUGUGUAUUGAAGAGGCUAUCGUAUGCAUAUGUGAACCAUGAAUGCUCUAUAGUAUCUUUCUACACUAAAGACCCUGAUAGUGUCUAUCAUCAUGAACAUGUAUGUACUAGUUCUCAGUCAGUAACUCAAACUGCAAUGAACCUACCAUAAGAAGACAAUUAUUCUUUCUGUAUAUGUCUAGCCACUAAAGAUUCAUUUUUUUCGCACUUUGACCUCCCAAUUGAUCUAAAAUUUAUAGGAAAACCUAAUAGUUCAGUAUUGUACUUCAUGAAAUGAAAAAGAUAUUCUUUGGAGCAUAAAUUUGCACGUUUUCAACCGUCGGAACAAGCAUGAAAUUGUCCAUUAAAGAGGCACAACAUACCUAUGCCGGUCAUAUUUAAACUUAAGAGUAGGUUGUAAAAGUGGAAACUUAGUAAGGAGCAUGGACAUGGUAAUUCCAGCUACAGCUCCACCACUUAGUCAUUGAAAUAAAUUUGUUACUAAUACUGGCGAGUUUAUCAAAAAAUGAUACAGAAAGGAAAGACUAUGGGCAACAACAAGUUUCCAAAAAUCCAAAUUGCAAAUGGACAUGGUAAGAAGCUCAAGGAAAAUAGUUUUCAGAGUAUACAAUUGAUGGCAUCACAAUGAGUUGAUCCUUAGCUCAAUUGAAUGGCGGUGUAAAGAAAUUUUACCACUACCAAGGAGGAACUACAGUAUGGGGAAUGCAGCAAAUCUUCUCAUUCUCCAUCUCUAGGUGUAAGAUAGAGUCCAAGAUGUAUAUUUUCACUGGGUUAGUGUUUUGGAAGUGAGAAUGAGACAACCAAGCAAAAGUGUUCUCACAAAAUAGAAGCAAAAGUGGCACUACUAACCCAUUAGGGUCAUCAAAUGCACAUUCCUUAACAAACGUUCAAGUACAAGGCACUAACUGUCAACACAACUUUUGCAAUUAUGUUAAGGCAGAAAGUACAACAUCCUUUAAAAUUGCAGGCAUGAAAUAGGAUGUAUAUGCAUAUAGGAGGAAAAACUAAGCUGCCACUCCUCACGCUGAUGAGGAGAGCGGAUACAUAAUAGGAAGAACGAAAGAAUAAACGUUUUUAAAACCGGACUAGUGGUUCAACCAGUCAAACCAGUAGAACCAUGCUCUGACAAUUUGACCAGUUGAACCAAUUGCAUGUGUUGUUGUCUAAUAGAAUACAAAUUUCCUAAACAAAAGAAGCCCAUUUCACUCGGCAAAGCUGCUUAAGCACAAAAGACAAGGUUCCUGUUCUCGAUAGAAUCGUUCAAAUUUUUAAUAGACUAAGCCAAUACGGUCAAUAAAUAAAUUAUCCACCACAAAAUGAAGCAAGAAGACACCGAAGCAGAUGGUUGGCAUGCCUUUUAGUUACAAGAGGUUGGAGUUCCAAACCCCAACCCAACUACAACACCCUUCCUUAACGUUUUUGGAAGGCCUAGAAUUGGUCCAGACUAGUUGAUAGGUUUGCUGGGUUACCAAUUGACAGUACACAUGGUUACUUGUUCAACAGGGUGGAUACCACCAGUUGUUGACCACUAUUGUUUCCGCUGUGAAACCAGACUCAAAAGAAAAGCACAAUAUCCUAGUUUUUCCUUUUUGCCAUCAAUGUCUUAAAUUGGGAAUUGACAUGUAUAGGAACAAAUAGAACUCAGGAGCAUCCUAUAUUUCUCACAAGUAAGGAAUCAUUAUGCAAACUCUAGAUCCACAAGUUACCUUCAAUUGGUCCAACUCCCAGUUAAUUGCACAAGAGUUUCCUGAAAUAUGCAUAAAUGGAACGUCACUGGUAUGCAAGAUCAUCAUCCAGGCAUCUCUCAAGUUUUCACAAGCAUCAUUCAUCUUAUUUAGCAGCAUAAAAAUUUGAAGUUCCUGUUUCCAACGUAAUAUAUUAGCCACAUCUACAAAUAAGGGAUUUAACAUUUGAUAUACCUAGCUUUUACCUUUUAUAGAGCCAAAUCCACACGAUAGUAACCAGGAGGGAUGCACAACAAGAUCGAUUCCAAAGGCCUUCCCUACUUCACAUUGCUUGAAUCAUUCAUAAAUCACCUCGCCACUGUUAUAUUGUUUAUAACAUCUAACAAAGACUAUUUGGAAGGAGAUAUAAUCCGUAAACCCAAUUUCAUGAGUUUGAUUGGAUGAAGCAAAUUCAGAGCCAUCCUAUAUUUGUACUAUGCACAUGUAAGUCUCUAGAGAAAAUUGUAGUUUCAGAUUAAAGGUUACCUCAUCGAAGGAUAGUGAAAUGGGAAUGUAUCUAGUGAAUGCUGAAACAGACAUUUGAGGGAAUUGUGACAAUAAAUUCAUAUCAAGAUUUGUUUUUAAAUAGUAAAAAAAAGGCAUCUUGAUAGCUUCCUUGAAACUGUAAUGAUUAAAUCAUUCCCUAAUCUAAACACGCGGCACUAUUUUUCCAUACACAAUGAUCAUAAGCUAAACAGAAAGCCCAAUCCGACAAGAUCACCCAACUUAAGUUCCACUUACAUUGUCAAGUAAUCAACCUGAGACCAAAUACGCAACACUAGAAUAUUAAGAAAAGGGUAAGUGAAAAUCAUUGUUGACUACAAAACCCAGAAGACAACACCCCACCCCCAAAGGUUUCCCUAUCUUGUUCUCCUCCUCACAUUAUGGUCUCAUAGUUCUGGCUACUCAAGCAAGGAAAUGAAAAAUAUUCGUACAAUUUUUUGGUAAUAGGAAAAUGGAUAGAAAGAUCAACAAACUCAAAUAAUUGAUGAGUUGGAUAACACCAAAAAUCAAAGACUGGCAAUGUUCACACAGUCCAAUUUUGAAUCCAGCAAUCAUACUCAAACUCCCGUUAUGCAUACAAUGAGAUCAAAAAUUUCACAUUCGGUACACACAUCGGCAAUGAGGACCAAACUUGAAAGGGGGAAAAAUGAAAUCACUUCAAACAAUAGAUACCAGCAACGUUUUAUCCCAUAAUUCAUAUCUCCCACAAAGGUGGCAUGGGUAAGAACACUUAUGCAUGGCAAACUAGAUAUAGCAUUAAUGAGAAGAAUCUACAAUGAAAGAGUAAUAAACGACACAUUCAGAUACGAACUUCUAUGCAAGAACAAGAUUCUAUUGCAUCUCGCAUUUCUAAUUCUUUUGUUAAUACCUCUGUUCCAUCUGUUGAAAUUCCUCUGCAAGUGUCCUUCGCAAAUAUUCACCGUCCCAAAACCUCCAAGUUGCAGUAAUUCUCUGGCACAAUAAUGCGUGUAAGACGUCUUGCUGACCUGACCUGACAUAAUAAAUAAAAGCAGAAAGCGCAAGAACUUUAUCUUUAAAAAAGUGAGACCUUACAAUCCAACGAGAAACACAAUCAACCCAUCUAUUUUAACCCUCGUUACCAUCUGGAUAAUUGAAAUAAUGUUGGACCAACAAAAACCAGGGUUGACGACCAUCNNNNNNNNNNNNNNNNNNNNNNNNNNNNNNNNNNNNNNNNNNNNNNNNNNNNNNNNNNNNNNNNNNNNNNNNNNNNNNNNNNNNNNNNNNNNNNNNNNNNNNNNNNNNNNNNNNNNNNNNNNNNNNNNNNNNNNNNNNNNNNNNNNNNNNNNNNNNNNNNNNNNNNNNNNNNNNNNNNNNNNNNNNNNNNNNNNNNNNNNNNNNNNNNNNNNNNNNNNNNNNNNNNNNNNNNNNNNNNNNNNNNNNNNNNNNNNNNNNNNNNNNNNNNNNNNNNNNNNNNNNNNNNNNNNNNNUACCAAAAUAGCUGCUAGAGUACAUGAAAGCAAAUACCAGCUGACAUAUUUCGCAGUAUCCAAGGAAUACUAAGCUGACCAACCUUCUCGCUUCGAAGCAAUUACAAGGAGAGACUGUCCCAAUUGACAUUGCCUUCGAGUCCUUCUUGACCAUCGUUGGCCAAUUCUUCUUUGGAUUCCACUCCAUCGUCUUCACCUGCCAAUCAGAAAUCUAGCGAACUUCAGAAAAUCAACUUGGAACAAUCAAGUCAACUGCCCAUUAGGUCACAAAAGAACACUAGGAGCCGAACCUGAGAAGCUAGUGAUUUAUCGAACUAAAGCUGAAACAGGAGGACGACACACUGUGGUCCUUUGCUGGUCUCCAUAGCUAAAGCUUCGCAAGCAGUUGAAAAUGCAACAUUAGCACUAGAGCAAAUCGCAAGGAUGCGAGCUGAAAGAGGGCUUGUGAAGGAUAGAGCUCAAACCUAGAGGAACGCUCCGAGCCAGUUGAAGAGUGAGAGGAUGAGGAAAGUCCACUUGAAUUCUAGAGUAACAUGUGGGAGAGAAAAUAAGGAAGAUAGAGAGACUUGAUCACAGGAGUGGAGGCAGACAUUUUCAGCUGUGCAAAGCUUCUGUUAAAUAUAAGCAGGGCAAUGUGGGAUAACAACAUGCAAACAACCUUUUACCAUUCCAAGUAUGCAUUGAGCUCCUAAUCCUUCUAUGAUUUCGAUCUAUUUUAGAAGUGCCUUGCGAAAGCUCUUUCGAAUAUUUCAGCAUUUUCAUCAACCAGUGAAAAAAUAACCAAAUCCUGCCAGUGAGUCAGAUGAAAUCAAUCCAGCAACUAACAUCAACGAACUAGUAAUAAUACUCUGAAGUUUACAAAUCUCUGUUUGUCAAACUCAAUAUUCCUUUUGAGCUCUUUGGAUCCAACUAAUGGGGCAUCUAACAUCAUCACCCACAGAAGCUUUGAUCAAAUUAACAUAGUGAAUUCAACUCAAGUUGCUUGCUUUUGUGGGACAUAGUAUGAUUCUUUUCCUUAUCAUUACAUGAUAUUCAUGCAUUAGAAUUAAUGCAAGGCAGUUUUCAAAUGGCGUAUAGGAUAUCAAAAAUUUUCCUUAGGAAACUUAUACAGAUGUCUCCUAUCUUUUACUUUUCAGCAAGUAAAUGAACUAACAAGAGCUUAUGCACAAUAUAAGGAAUUUAUUUUACAAUACAGACGAUUAUGUCAAAGGACAUUGUAGUAAUGUCUUGCUUAGCUCAAAAGUUCAAGUAUAUGACAGAUGGCUUUACCAACUCUACAAACAUCAAGAUGCAUUCUCUGGGAUAAUCUAUUAUUAGCCUUGGAGUAGGUAUAUUCUGGAUUCAAACCAAAUGAACAAGGAUCCAUAGUCAAUAAAAUUCGAAUUGCAAUUUUCUAGAUCGAUCCAAAUAAUUCACAAUGCUUUUGCUUCUUCCCUGUUUAUUAAUUCACUCACAGCCACACCACUAGAAGAAGAGCUUGUUCUUGCAUUUAGCAUUUCUAAACUGAUACGGUUACUUUAAUCAGCCAAUGCAGACAGUUCUGUGAAAUAAAAUGUGUGGAACUCAAUGGUUGAUGCCAAGGGAUGCCCUGUCAACAUGCUCCAUUUGCACCGUAAAUUAACUCUUAAGCAUAACUUAGAAACAUACAGUCAUGAGCUACAUGGUAAGGGCAGAGCAAACUAAAACCUCAAUUAGGAGGACCGCCAUAUAGGGUCCUUCAUUUUUCAUUUCUCGACCUACAUAAUGACCUUUGGCAUGCUAUCAGAUACCUGUAUACAUCAGUUUUUAUGCACUACUUCCAGAAUUCCCAGAAUCAAUCAAACGUUGAGAAUCUUUAUUUUCUACAUAGGAUGAAAAAUCUUACCCGAAAACUAAUGACGAAUGAUGCACUUAGAAAGCCUUUUCCAUCUAUUUCCCUUACUGGCAUGAUAAGCAAAAUCUUGUUGCCAAAGCACACAACAAUUUCCAUGGAUAUCUCCCCUCAAUUCCUUGAAUUCAAGUAAGGAGACAAUGAUGACACUGUCAGCUAGGAAAUAAUAUUGAGAAGAUCAUAAAUCUUGAAAGAUAUUGGGAGCAGGAAAUACAAUGAAAAUUGGAUAGUAGAUCUCAAAAGAACAAAGGUAACUUACCUGCUCUAUGUACCUUUGAUAAUAAAUGGGGAUUACUUCCAUUAUAUUGACUCAUCCGAGUCAUCCGUAUCAUCUAAUUCAUAUCCUAUCAUUUCGCUAUUUGUAAUCUCAUUUUGAUCGAUAAAUCUGAGUUCUAGAUAAUUCUGGAAUUGUUUUGAGUGACUUGCAUCCGAUGAUAUUCAGUUCCUGCAACUUUAACCUAUCAAGGCCUUGAAUUUCAACCAAGUUUAUGCAGUCUCUAGCUUGUAAUUUCUUCAGCCUCCCAGAUUUUGGAAGGUCUAGCCUUUCGAUUGAACUGCACCAAUAGAUAUCUAGCCUUUCCAAAUACUCCAACCUAUCAAGGCCUUGAAUUUCGACUAAUUUUACGCAGUUUUUGACUUGUAAUUUCUUCAGCCUCCCGGAUUUUGGAAGGUCUAGCCUUUUCAUUGAAAUGCACAUUUCGAUAUCUAGCAUUUCCAAAUACUCCAACCUAUCAAGGCCUUGAAUUUCGGCUAAUUCGUAGCAUGCCUUAAUAGUCAAUUCCUUCAGACCCUCGAGUUUUGGAAGGUCCACCUGUUUGAUUGAAUAGCAGCCUCCGAUAUCCAAGCUUUCCAAAUAUAUCAAUUCUGGAAUUGUUUUGAGUGACUUGCAUCCGAUGAUAUUCAGUUCCUGCAACUUUAACCUAUCAAGGCCUUGAAUUUCAACCAAGUUUAUGCAGUCUCUAGCUUGUAAUUUCUUCAGCCUCCCAGAUUUUGGAAGGUCUAGCCUUUCGAUUGAACUGCACCAAUAGAUAUCUAGCCUUUCCAAAUACUCCAACCUAUCAAGGCCUUGAAUUUCGGCUAAUUCGCAACUGCUAACAUUCAAUUUCUUCAGACCCUCGAGCUUUGGAAGGUCCACCUGUUUGAUUGAAUCGCAGCCUGUGAUAUCCAAGCUUUCCAAAUAUAUCAAUUUGUCAAGAGCUCGAAUUUCGAGUAGAUUCAUGCAACAGCAGACAACUAAUGUCCUUAGAUGGACAAACUGUGAAACGUCCAGCAUUUUGAUAGAUCCACAAUAAUAGACUUCCAAGGAUUCGAACUUGAAGGGCGUGUUUAGGGAUUGUGGUGAUUCUAUUUCUUCAAUGUCCGUCGGUUGGGAGCAUUCUGAACUCUUUAAUUGCGUUGAUGGAAGCUCCUGGAUGCACUGGAUAAAUUCGCAACCGUAAACUAGUAGUUCCUUGAGAUGGGCUAGGUGGGAAAGCGAAGGCAAUUUGCGACUUUGACAACCGACGCCCAAAUAUGUUAAGCCUGAAGGAAGGUCCGGCAGCGAUUGGAGCUUGAUGCAGUCAUGAAAAUCAAGGCAUCGUAGGGAAGAAAGAUUACACAUGCUUUUUACCAUUAUCCGUUUCAGAUUUUUGCAACCGUAAGCAAGUAACUCUCGGAGCUUUCUCAGACUCCCAAUACCAUUGGGCAAUUCUUCUAUACCACUGAGAGAAAUAUUUAGAAUCUCUAGAUUCUCCAAAGACCCUAUGCUAUUUGGUAAUGCAGAAAGGGAUGGAGUAUAGUGUAGAUCGAGUUGCUGCAGUGCUUUUAAUUUACCAAAUUCUGCUGGAAGCUCCCCGAGGCAGAAAUGAGGAACGGGGCGUUCGGCGCCUGUGUCGGCGCCUACCGCGAGAUGAAGUGCGUGGGACGAGCCCUGCUCCAAGCGAAGGAGGCCCUCCAUGUCUUCAAUGGAAGCGUCGAUUCGCUUCAGUCUCCUACACCCCCCGAGGAUGAGAACCUCUAAAUUCUCAAAAGCUGAGANNNNNNNNNNNNNNNNNNNNNNNNNNNNNNNNNNNNNNNNNNNNNNNNNNNNNNNNNNNNNNNNNNNNNNNNNNNNNNNNNNNNNNNNNNNNNNNNNNNNNNNNNNNNNNNNNNNNNNNNNNNNNNNNNNNNNNNNNNNNNNNNNNNNNNNNNNNNNNNNNNNNNNNNNNNNNNNNNNNNNNNNNNNNNNNNNNNNNNNNNNNNNNNNNNNNNNNNNNNNNNNNNNNNNNNNNNNNNNNNNNNNNNNNNNNNNNNNNNNNNNNNNNNNNNNNNNNNNNNNNNNNNNNNNNNNNNNNNNNNNNNNNNNNNNNNNNNNNNNNNNNNNNNNNNNNNNNNNNNNNNNNNNNNNNNNNNNNNNNNNNNNNNNNNNNNNNNNNNNNNNNNNNNNNNNNNNNNNNNNNNNNNNNNNNNNNNNNNNNNNNNNNNNNNNNNNNNNNNNNNNNNNNNNNNNNNNNNNNNNNNNNNNNNNNNNNNNNNNNNNNNNNNNNNNNNNNNNNNNNNNNNNNNNNNNNAUCAACGUUCAUUAGGUACUAUACCCAACUAAAGUCACCAAAUAUCAUUUGUUCAUAAUGCUAUCGAUGUGUAUUAAUAUGUUCAAGAGACCAGCAAUGUGAAGACAUGAUUUUCUUUUUAUGCCAAUAAACUACAAUUAUAAAAGGCUCACAAAGUGAAGGAUGUCGACUUUCCAUUUUGAAAUUUGGCCAUACGCAUCCAGAUCUUAAAAAGAAUUAUGAUGUAAUGGUUCGUGUAGAGUAAAAACUUUACAACUUGUAAUCUUCUUCUUUCUGGAAUUGUAGUUCCAUUAUCACACUAGUUAAAACAUGCAUGCAAAGCACGGAAUAUAAUCAAAUUGCAAAGUGCAAAAUCAAAAUUUUACUUGGUUAAUUUUAUAUUUCUAUUAAGGAGACUUGUUCUAUUGAGCAAUGCAUGGGUGAAAGGAUAGAUAAAAGGGAGAAAAACCUCAGAAGCAGCGAGUCGGCGAGCAAGACUUACCAUAGAUUCGGUGUAAUUAAGGAGACUUCUAGCAAAAAAAUAUAGUUUAAAAAGUUAGAAAUAAAACUCCUUUUUUUAUUUUAUUUCAAGGCAUUCAUAACACUCCAAAAUGGAAAUAACCGUUCUGACAUCUCCAAAAAUUAAAAUGGAAGGGGGAGGAUAAAGAGGCCACGAGAUCCCCGCCUAACCGUUUUUGAUGAAAGAAAUUAAUUUCUCGCCAUCGAUUCGGAUAAUUGAAAUAACUCAGAAAGGCUUGUUUCGAGUAACUUUUAUUCUUCAUCUUUUGUUUUUUCUCAAGAGCACGCACUUUGGCCAAUUUUUUUUUUUUUUUUUGUGAUAUAUCCGUGAAACUUGUCGACACGCCGAAUUAUGCAUGAUUUUUUUUUUAAUAGUUUUCUGGAAUCUGAGUAUUAUUUGAUCUUUUGACGGGAGAGCAAGAUAUUUACUUUUGAUUUUUUAUUAGUUGCGGCGAGCAAUCUAUCUCGCCCUUUGCUUCAGCUUGUAGAUUUUGACUGAAGGUAUUUUGGGAGUACCUGUUAAGUAACCUGGCUGUUAAAAAAAAAAACUCUAUGUGAAGUGGUUUUUAUUAAAAGUAUUGAUUUAACAUAAUACAAGAGCAUGAAAAUCAUGAAAGUCAUCUCGAAAGAGAGACAAAGAUUUUUAGCGAAGAGGGCCAUUUCUCAAGUGAAAAAGUUAUACGUGAAAUACAAGAUUUUACUAAUUAAUAUAUCGAACAAGAGAUUUAAUAUGUACAUAUAUUGCAACGUACACUUAAUUUCAUGUGAUAGGGAAAAUUAAUAUAUGACAGAAAAAUCAUAAAAGGAAAUUCUUUCUACGAGAGAGCAACUCCCAACUUUCUAAUCACAUCAAUGAAAAAUUCGGGGGCAAUAGCGAAGGUUCUCGGUCCUCUAGACCAAGCACUAAGUAGUGACCAACAUUACUCUUAAGCAUAGAACAUGGACUAAACGAGAAAAAAGAAACGAAAUGAUUACCUUAUUUUCCUCUAGCACUUUUUCAGCUUCCUCAUAGUCCCAUAACCUGCUACGGCACCAAGGCUCUCGUUGGUUUUCUUCACGAACUAUUCCCCUACCAAGAUCUCUCAAUUGGUCAUGCAUUCUGAGCACAUGAUAAUCUUCAACUUUUAUCAAUGACAUUGAUAUCAAUACUUCAAUUCCCUCCUCUGGGAAAAAGCCACAAGCGUCCCACAUGUAGUAUACGAUAUUCUUGCUAGUGCCGAUGAAAAAACAAGCAAUAUCCAAGAAGAUUUGUUUUUGGUUAUAGUCUAAUGCUUCAAUACUUAUCCUUAACUUCUCUUGCACUUCCUUAGGAGGCACUUUUCUUAACUUUUCUAUUGUACCUCCCCAGAAUGCUGGCUUUUUCCCGCCCAAUAAUGAACCUAAAACCUCAAGGGAUAAGGGAAGCCCUUUGGUGAUGGAUACGACUUCACGAGUGAGGUCCUCAAAUUCCUUUGGAGGAGAGUCCUUUCGAAAUGCAUGUCUGCUAAACAGAAUCAAAGAUUGAUUGUUAUCCAAUACCUCAUGUUCAUAAUUGUGGUCCACCCUAGCUUCUUCAAGAACCCCCUUGUUUCUGGUGGUGAUAAUGAUCGUACUUCCCAAAGAAAACCAAUCACGGUUACUAGCCAAACGCUUCAACUGAAUGACAUUAUCCACAUCAUCAAGAAGAACGAGGACCUUUUUACCUUUAAACCUGGAGGAGAUGAACUCAGUCCCUUCGUCCUCAUUGGAAACUUGAUUUUUUACCUUCAAUAUAUUGUAGAUUAACUGAUUCUGUAAAUAAUGUACACCAUUACGCUUCCAUGAUUCCCUUAUAUCAGCAAUGAAGCUGCGAUGCUCAAAUUGAUCGAAGAGCUUGUUGUAGAUGGCUUUAGCAAGCGUAGUCUUACCAAUGCCUCCCAUUCCGUGGAUGCCAAUAAAUAGGGUGUUAUGAGAUUUAUUAUCCAUAAAUUCCAUAACCUUCUUCACAUGAUCAUCAAUUCCAAUCAAAUUCUCAGUAAUGACCAACUUAAACUUUUUCUUUAGUUCGUUCAACACUUUUUGGACAAUCAACUUCACCAACUCUCCUUCAUACCUGUCAAAUGUGACGAGAGUUCAAAUAUGUGGCAACAAUAAUAUUAUAUUGUUUUAUUUAUAGAGGACACAAUAAAUUUGGGGAUAGAUUGAAAAGCUUUAAAGGUUGUUGCUGUCAUACCUCCAUAUAUUCUCAUAUGUGCUAAGUCUAAAGUGGGAAAUGAUGGUGGUUGCUUCACAUGGCAUGUCCAUUCCACUGUUACUCCAACAUAAUUUAUCAAGCCAUGAAAAUCUUGAGGAUAUCACUUACAAAUUUUAAAUAUGGUAUAUAUUUUUGGAUUUGAACUGAAUUUAAACUGGUUAUUUAUUAAAGAUACUAGGGAUGAUGUGAACAUGUUUGAAAAUUCUCUAGAGCGUUUGAAUAAGCAAAAAUCCAACAAGCCAGCCCAAGAUGAGAGUUAACCAUCAAUCAAUAAACAAGCCAUAACUUUUGAUGUAAGAUGAUUUCAAGUCUCAUAAAAUCAAUCCGAAAAGUUGUUCAAAUUGUGAUAUUGUGAACUACUUGAAUGCAAUUGAAGUGAUUCUUCUUGUUUGCACAAUUCUACGGGCUUGUAAGGGCACGUUUGGUAACAAUUCUGUUCCUGAGAACAGAUUCUGAUAAGAAAUAAUUCUUUUUCAUUCUGUUCACACGAACAAUUUCUAAGCAUUUUAAGCCAUUUGGUAAUUGUUCAAAAUUUCUGAUUCUUGAAUAAAAUUGUGUUUGCUACCAUGCUCAUUGAUUCUAUUCCAAAUUAAUUUCUUUUAAUUUUUAAAUAUUUUUUUUACUUUUUUCCUUUUUUUUCUUUUCUUUUUUCCUCCUCCUAUUCUUCUUCUUCUUCUGGCCAGUCACCGGACUAACGACCAGCCAUACGAGGGCCAGUAAGCUGUGCUAUUAAUCUCAAAUAUAUAUGUAAUUAGGAAAGUUUGUGAUGAUGACUAGUGUGACGUACACUAUGAACAUGAAAAAAAAAUGGCACAAUGUUACAAAAUCUUUGGAUAUAAGUGUAAAAACUCAAUCAAAAAAUCUUACCAUUCAAGCGAAUGGGAUCAUACCAAUAAAAUCUGUAAGUAGAUUUGUCAAUAUCAUUAAAGCAAAACACUAAAAAAAAAGAAUAAUUUAUCAAACUCAUGCUUCGCAGGAUCUUACUACCAACAUAAUCUUUCUGUUUAUAUAUAAAGAACGAAAUUGAAGCGGGUGAGAAUCAGAACAACCAGCAAACACCCACACAUAUUAAAAGAAAGUGGAGAAUGCCAUGGUGAGAAAUUUUACCUAUCGGCUUCAUAUCCUUUCAAGUUGCUGACUUCAAGGAGUGCUUGCUUCCAUUUCUCCAAAAUUGCUGGGUCGAAAGAAGACCUCCCAAGUGAAUGCUUCUCACGCUCUUUAAAUGCCUCUCCAAACCUCCCGGUUUGAUAUCGCACUUCAUCUGAUUUCACUUUGUAAAAUAUAGGCAACACUAUUUGUCCGUUAUUAUUCUUGCGCUCCAUUAUUUGAACCAGUUCGUCCAGGCACCAACUGCUUCUACCAUAAUUCACAGAGAUAAUGGGGAUCGAGAUUUUACUGUUCCUAAUGGCUGCCAAAAGCUCUGGUUUGAUGUUCUCGCCUUGGCAGAGCUCGUCAUCAUCUCUGAAAACAUUAAUUCCAGCAUUGAGGAGCCCAUGGUAGAGGUGAUCGGUGAAGUUAUGUCGAGUAUCCGGGCCUCUGAAACUCAAGAACACCUCGUAGCAGUUUCCAGUCGAUGCACUAUUGUUAGUUUCUGUCGGAGACGAACCAGAUCCAACGAAAUUAGUUUCUGUCAGCACAGUCAUCGAACCAGAUGCACCAGUAUCAACAUCCUCUGCAUUUCCACUCGCAUUAGUUUUCCUCUUCUUAAUGCGACAAUGCAUUUCAGCCUCUGACUCUGCCAUUGAGUUCAGCUUUCAAGCCUAACAGAGAAAAAACCAGAAUGCCCCUCAGAAAAGAAUGCCCCUCAGAAAACAGGAAAUGCCUUCUUGCCUCUUCUAUUGUGGUCUGUUAAAAUUUCAAUACACAUGAAGCGGUGGAUUUGUUCGGAAGAUGAAAAGCGUAGAGACUUAUGACGAGGCUGUGACAGGGAUUUGCAGGAGAAGAUGAAAGAUGGGGGAGAAAGAGAGAGAGAGAGGGAGAUUCGUCCUGUCCGAUAUUUUCCAAACGAGUGCUCCGAAUAUAUAAAAACAUCAAAGCGUCGGGCCGGCGAAGAGUCCAUUGCUUGCACACAGUCGAACCGUCCUUUUCUUUUGUUCAUUUAUUUCAGCUCUUGAUCCCACUUUGGAAUUUUUUUUGUCGUAAUCCCAUAGGGAAUUUACCCUUCUUGCUUUGAGCCUUUUAAAUAUUAUGCUAUCAAACCGAUAAACUCAUUUUAAUACGAGAAUAUUGUAUUAUAACAAUCACUCUAAAAAAAUUAUGUUCUUUACGUGUGUCGAUGAUCAUAGAUAUUAUCAAAUUGCUAUAUACAUUUAUUUUGUACCCAAGCAUAACGAGAAGAAUGUCUUUUUGGCUCUCGUUCUGCCUUAAUUUUCCCUUCUUCUUUUUUUUUGGUCGAACCUCAAUUUCUUACUCAAAUCUCCUAAAUAAAUUUAAAUACCUUUUUGCUUUUGCUUUUCUUUAUCAUACAUUUAUUUCUCUAUAGGUUUGAUUUAUCUAAUCCAACAAGUUGGCAUGCACCGAUAAUUCAACGUUGCCUUCGUGUGGUGGAAGUUUCAAUGACAGGAGAAUUCAAGGCAAUCCAAACCAGGAAGAAGACAACAUGUGAACAGUUUGGAUGCACAGCCAUGAAAAAAAAUAAAACCAAAAAUAAAAGAGAAUUAUGAUAUUGCAAAUUAGGAGUGAACAAUUUCGUCCAGUCCACCCAGAAUUUGAGAAUUAGAUCAGAAAGACCAAUUCUUGCUUUUUGGAAUCGAACCGAAGCCAGUCCGAUCCCAAAAAAAUGCGUCACCAAAAACAAAACCUCACACCUAGCCCUAGAUCUGGGAAGAAGAGAAAAUAGAUGGGGCCUACUACAUAAAUCUUAUUUCCUUUUAUGAAAAAUAAUACUUCUGACGCGAAUGCAGGCCUCACAAUCAGAACCUAUUUCCCUUCGUCCUAGAGCAUUAACUAACUAGGAAAGACGCGUAUAUGUAUUUUUAUCACAUUGGAUAACAGUUUUACAUCAUCUCAUUCAUUGACAUCAUAAUAUUAGUAAGGGCAUAGUGAAUUUUUUGAGAGAGCACAAGAAAUUCUCUAGUUUUCAAUUUUAUAUUUGUAUAAAUAUAUAAUGUUUAGAACUCAAAUAAAGCUUUUUCAACCAUAGAAACUUAAAUAAUUCUAAUUCCACAAAGUUUUUUUUCUUGGUCAAAAAAUUCUACAAAGUUUAUAGAGCUGUUUCCUUACCUACAUGAUACCAAUAAUAGUCUCAUCUUUGGGAUUACUAUUAUUAUUAUAAUGAAGUACUUAAUUUCAAAUACGUGGAGAUUAUAUAUAUUUCAAAAACAAUAAAUUUGAAUUUACUUUUUUAAUAUCAUGAAAUCGUCAUGCCCUUGCAUGUUAUAAGAUAAUUUUAUUACCUUGUUUGGACAAAAUGAUAAUCUAGAAGAGUACAAGCUCUCAUGUACACGCUUAUAUGGUGAUUACAUGCACAAUGUUCUAAGAAAGUAAACUUUUGAUCAUCAUUUUCUUGUGAAUUAGAUUUUAAUCCUGAUAAAUUAUUUCAAUGACAAAACUAGUCAAAAACAUAUUCGUUAGAUUGAUUAAAAGCAUUUGACCCUUUAACAAAUUAAAUUCAUCUCCUUGGGUAAUCCAAAUCAAUCACAUAUUUGUGUGCCCUUCUUUGCUAGUGAAUUGGAUUAGUGAACUAAUCUAAGUGAAUUGAUUCCUACUUUUUCGUAUGAUUUUCCACAUCACUUUGCUAUUGUGGGUUUUUUUACUGACACAAAAAUGUCACCUCAAACAACUAAUAAUGUUUUCGAACGUAAAGUUAACAGAUUAGUUAGUGAUUUGUUUAGACAAAAAAAUGUCCGGGCAUAUUUUGCAUUGGACACAAAGUUUUGAAUUUUUUUAGGCAAAAAAGUUGGGGGUAGAUUUAGGAUUGAAUCCAAAGUUGAAGUUUUUUUUUUUAGAUAAAAAAUUUUGGGGUAGAAUUAAAAUUGGAUUUAAAAUUUGAGGGUUUUUAGGGCAGUAGGUCUAUAUAAAAAGAGGGAAGAGAAAAUUGAAGAGUUUCACCUGUUUUAAUCAUCCAAGGCAUAUUAGAUGGCAUUUAAUUUUCUUUCCGUCCCUUUGCCUGAUGGCUGGGUCCCACCAGACCUUGCAUAACUUAAGACUGCCCUCAUAUUUACCAAGUUUUUUUUGGUCCAAUUCUUAUUUUAAAUGAGUGGCUGAGUCUAUCACUCUUUUCUCUAUUUAAUUGUCAAAUCAACAAUUAAAUUUUUUAAAUACCAACUUAUUGAUUUCAUUUAGUCAGAUUUAUUAAUUUCAUAAUUUCUUAAUUAAUCCAAAGCCAAAUUAAUAAAUCAAUAUUUACACUUUUUAUGGGGAAAUGUUCUUUUCUUUGGUUUAGUUUAGCGAUUGCUUUAAUAUUUUGCCCUUCUUCUUAACUUGAUCAAAAAGUGGGCUUUGAGAAAAAGGGAAAGAGGGAAAAUAAGAGAUAUAAAAGGAAAAGAGAGAGCACGCACCAGCGACAGAAACGUAAAGAAAGGGAAAAGACGUGAGCUUCCUCACGCGUGCCCAAACAAUUCUCUCUCUUUCUCUCUCUGUCUUUUCAUUCUUUUUCAUUUCACCUCCUCCACGAGAACCUGCCUUCUCUGUCCUUUUUCUUUCUUUACUUUUGCCGACCACUUCCCAGUUUGUCUUUAUUGAAGUUCUCUCUUAUGCCGGCCAUAACCUGCUCUCUGUAUUUCUCUCUUUUUUUUUUUGUAAAAGUAUUUCUCUUUCUUGGCCACGGAGAAAAAUGCCCGCCCAACCUGACUGAGAAUCCUCUGCUUUUUUUCUGCCCAGAUUUUCUGGUCUUCUUUGGCCAUAAAUUCUGGUCCUAAAUGUUGAGAUUGCUCCCUUGUCGGGAGGGAAACUGCUCUCCCUUCACCUCAUCCUCGAGGUUCUUGCCCUUGUUCGGGGCGAAUUUGAAACUAAAUAUAAAGUUCGAAAUUUUUUAAGACGAAAGAAUUAGGGGCUGAUUUAACAUUGAGUCCAAAAUUAAGGAUUUUCUGAGAUAAAAAAAAUUCGGGAUAAAAUUAAAACAGAACCUACAGUUUGAGGGUUUUUAAGAGAUGCAAAGGGAAAAGGGAGAGCACGCACCGGGAGAGAAACGAAAAGAAAGGGAAAAGAAGAAAAUGAAAACAGAGUGGGUUUUGCGUGUAGAUCUCCCCUAGAUUUACUUCCAUUCGCAAUGUGCCCGAUAAGAAUUUAUGUCAUUUGUUCGUCUAAACGGUUUUUAGAAUUAGAGUAUAAAUUCAAAAAUUAUAUCAAAAUUUAUAUUGCAAAAUUCAAUUUUAAAGUUGUUAAGCUGUGAAAGUAAAGGCAUUGUGAGGCUGUGACGUAAACGGGAGUUGAUUUGAAAUAACAUUUUAAUAGACAAGGUCCGAUAAAAUUUUGAUAUCCAUAUAACAGUGGAUUUGUCGGGAAGAAGAAAAGUGGAGAGAGACUUGGGACGAGUCUUCGUUGAACUUAGUCCAUUGCUUGCACCAUUGAACUUUCCUUUUCCUUUUGUUAAGUUAUUUUUCACUGGAAAUGGUAUUUUUAUUGAAUAUUUUUAAGCUCUUGAUCCCACUUAAAAAUUUAAUCCCUCUCACUUUAAGCCUUUUAAAUAUUAUAAUGUUAAAUUGAUGAACUUCAUUUCAAUACUUAUAAGUUCAAUGAGUUAACACAUGCAAUUAUCAACAUACUAUAUAUAUUUAUUUUUUACCCAAGCAUAAUAAGAAGAAUUUCUUCUGCUAUGGUUCUGCCUUAAUUUUCCCUUCAAAUUUCACAAAUUAAUCAAAAUACCUUUUUGCUUAUGCUCUUACUUUAAUAUAUAUAUAUAUAUAUAUAUAUAUAUAUAUAUAUAUCUUUAUUGAUUUGAUUUAUCUAAUUCAAUCAAUUAACACGUAGCAAUAAUUCAAACCUCUUAUUGAUUUGAUUUAUCUAAUUCAAUCAAUUGGUACGUAGCAAUAAUUCAAACUUGCGGCCGUAGAUAUCAAUUACUAACUUGUUGACUGGGACCACCGACUGUGCAUUUAUAGUCUUUGCCUUCAUGGCGGGGAAGUUUUGAUGGGGUGCAUUUAUAGUCGUUGCCUUCACAGUGGGGAAGUUUUGAUGGACAGGAGAAUCCAAGGCGAUCUUGCCCGGAAGAAAAUAACAUGGGAGCAAGUUUCAAUGCAAAAGCAAUUAAAAAAAUAAAAUAAAAAUAAAAGACAACUACUUUAUUGAUAUCCGUGGAAAAUGGUCAUAAUUGAUGAAUAUGUACAAAGCAUCAAGACAAUUGCUGCACCAUUGAACUUUAUUUUUAGGACCCAAAUAAAAACUUUCCUUUUCUUUUUUUAAUUUAUUUUUCAUCAGAAAAAUUACCUUUAUCGAAUAUAUUUAAACUCUUGAUCCCAAUUAAAAUUUUACCUUAAUCUUAUUAAGCAGCCAAUGGCAUUGAAUUAGACCCAUAAUAAAUAUAGUCUAUAAUGAAGAAUAGACCAAAAGGACUUCCAAUGAUACAUAACUUUUUUACACACAUCUACCUUAAUUUUGUUAGUAAUUGAAUAUGAUGGCAAAUAGAGUGGGAAGUUUUUCUAAAUAUAAAAUAGGAUAUGAACAUCGACUUGAAUCCAUCUAGACAAGAAACAUGCAGAUGCAUGGACCAUUGAUAAAUUUUAUUAUUUCUUGUACUAAUUAAAGAGCAAUCAAUGUUGAAUAGGAAUCGGUACGAAGAUAAAUAUUUUCAUAGCCCUUACUACACGUCUUUGAAGGUGGAGAUCACUUUGAAAACAACUACUCCAUACUUUUUGUCUUUCCUCUAUCUAACUUCUUUUCCAGUAGACUUUUCAACUCCAUGAUGACUCUUUCAUGUUCCUUUGCACUGCUUCCCUCACAUGCCCGUGACAUGGAUUUGCUGGAGAAAAUUAAAAGUGGAGACAGAGAUUCGUCCGGUCCAAUAUUUUCCACACAAGUGCUCACAAUAGAUAAAAACGUACAAAGUGUCAGGACAAUGAUGAGGGCACGCUUGCACCGUCCAACUUUCCUCUUUCUUUUGUUAAUUUAUUUUCCAUCAAAAAAGGUGUUUUUAGUUAAAUAUAUUUCAGCUCUUUAUCACACUUGGGAAGUUAUCCCUCUUACUUUGAGCCUGAUAUAUGUUACCUAUAAUCUUCACUUUUAUACUGAAAUGUUGUAUUAUUAAUGAUAGGUUAUUCUAAAAAAUUAUGUUAUCAACGCGUGUUGAGGAUCAUAAAAAAAUAUUAACAUGCAUAAAUAUACGUGUGUGUGUGUGUGUGUAUAUAUUCAUUUAGUACUGUAACACAGUGAAAAGAAUUUAUUUUUUAUUCAGGUUCUGUCCUAAUUUCUCCUUCAAAUCUCAUAAAUAAAUCAAAAUAUGUUUAUACUUUUACUUUACUUCAUAUAUAUAUAUAUAUAUAUAUAUAUAUAUAUAUUAUUGAUUUGAUUUACCUACUCCAAUUAGUUGAUAUGCAUCAAUAAUUUAAAUUUGGCGAACUGAAUAUAAAUUAGUAAUUCAUUGACCGAACCAUUAGACAUGCAUUUAUGGUCGUCGCCUGCAACCGGUGGAAGUUUCAAUGCACAGGAAAAGUGAACUUUCAAGGAAAUGCAGAAGCUGCAAAAGUAGAUUUUCAAUGUGAAUGCAACUUUUUGCUCCUUGUUGUUUUUUCACGCGUGUCCUGAUAACUCUCUCUCUCUCUCUCUCUCUUCAUUUUUUCUUUUCACCUCCUCUGUCCUUCCUUGUCUUUCUUUUCCAUUGCAGGCCACUUUAUCAGUUUUUCUUUGUAAAAGCUUUCUCUCUUUUGCUGACCAUAACCUCUCUCUCUCUAUCUCCUUUUCUUGGCCCAAAAGAAAAGCUCCAUCUUUUUCUUUUUUGAGCUCCCCUCGGCAAUUAUGGUAUGCGGAAAAAUGCCCCACCCACUCGGUCGAGAAUCCUCUGCUUUUCCAUGCCUAGAUUUUCUUGUCUUCUUUGGCCGUGAAUUUCGAUCUCUGAAUGUCGAGAUUGCGCCCUCGUCAAAAUGGAAAUUACUCUCUUGAUCUUGUCCUCAAGGUUUUUGCUGCUAUUCAAAACAAAUUUGGGACUGGAUAUAAAAUUUGAAAAACUUUUUUAGACGAAAAAAAUUGAGGGUUGAUAUAGCAUUUGGUUUUAAGUUGAGGGUUUUUGAAACAAAAAAAAAAAUCGGGAUAAAUUUAAAAUUGAACCUAAAAUUUGAGAGUUUUUAAAGAAUUAGGACCGUAUAAAAAGACGAAAGAAAAAGUGGAGGAGCUUCACCUCUUUUUAUCAUAGGGGCAUAUUUGUAAUUAGAUUGCAUGUGAUGAGUUUAUUUCUACCCCACUCCUGGUGGCUCGGCCCAAGAAUCCUUUUCCUUUCUGAGGCUAUUGCUCUUCUCUACCAAGUUUUUGUCCACUUCUUAUUGCAAAGGAGUGGCUAGCCCACCAAUUCUUUCUCUACUUAAUUAUGAAGUUACUCAAAUUUAUCGAUGUCACAAUUUCUUAAUCAACCCAAAGCCAAAUUGAUAAAUUAAAAUUUUCAAUUUUUUCCAAUUUUUUUGCUUGGUUUAAUUUAGCAGUUGCAAUAGUCCUUCAACACCUAUAAUCUGUAAUAUGUUAAUUCAAAUAUUUAUAUUAUUGAAUGGAACUAAUACGUGAAAUGUUAAUUCAUUUAGAUUAAACUGCAUUUUAAGUAACACUUUAAUAUAAGUGCAUGCGGUUCCUCUUAAAUAAUGAGGGUAGCUAUUUUAAUGAAAAUGUAAAAUAAACCGACAAAGGGUUGGUCUAGUGGUAGCAUGCUAAUCCUGCAUGGACUUCACCUUCCAAUGGGCAGGGGUUCAAAUCCUAGUGAAAAGCCCUUGUUGGAAGGGAAGAAAUCCUUGAUGCUCUAAUCCUCAAAGUGGUUGCGCACUUUAACCACCAUUUUAUUUACCAAUAUAUAUAUAAUAGGUUUUACUUACCAUCCAAAAUACACCUAGGCAUAUUAUUCUCAUCCAACAAUUUAUUUUAUAUAGAUCUAUUCCCAUUAAAUAAUGAGGGUAACUAUAUUUGAAAAUAUGUUAAAUAGAUUUUACUAGUCACUCAAAAUAUAUCUAAGCAUAUUAAUAUUGUUGUUAUUCAAGUUGAUUGGUNNNNNNNNNNNNNNNNNNNNNNNNNNNNNNNNNNNNNNNNNNNNNNNNNNNNNNNNNNNNNNNNNNNNNNNNNNNNNNNNNNNNNNNNNNNNNNNNNNNNAAGCUUUAAUCCAAUAUCCACUGUAACCAUGCAAGCUAAAAGAAUUAUCAAUGCUAUUUAAAUACCACCAAUCCCAAACAAAAUUGUUGAUACUGAAAUUGUGAAGUGUAAAAAAAAAAAAAAAGUGCUUCCACAUUUCACAAGCACUCAUGUUUAUACUAUUGAUUUGCAAUACUUUAUAAGUGCUAAAUUAUCACAUUAAUUCGACAGCUUAAUUGCAUUAUUCUUUGAAGCUAAUCAACUCUAGCUCGUAGGUUGAGAGUACUUUGACUAAAAUGCGUCCAAUAUAAGAGGCAUCAAACAUGAAUGUAAUAUAUCAGCCUAUGCAUUUUUACCACUCUAAUAGAAGAGUAUUAGGUGUAUUUACCAUGUCAACUGUUGCGAUACUAACAUAUUCGGCCUAUUAAUGAUGCAAUAAAGUUGACCUCUGAUAACGACAAACACAAUUUUAUCAAAUUCAACAUGGUAUUGUUAUUAAAAGGCAAUGUCAUGAUUUUACGUUUUUAUCAUAUUAUUAAUUCAUUAUAUGCAUGCUAUUUAGUUCCAUAAAUAUUGCUUUAAGUUUAUAUUUACAAUCUUCAUUUUUUCACACUUGUUUUUCCAACAUCAUAUCGUGCAGAAGUUUGACAAACAUCAUGACCAUUCAAGUAAAUUUUCUCUUGAAGUCUAGACUAGGGCUUUUGCAAUGUCCUUGGCCUGGAUUAUACUUGCUGGGUAGGGGAAGAUCUUCAUAGGCUCUCUCAAUCUUCCGAGAAUAGAGCAGAAACCCAAUAGUCUGGAGAGGAGCAAUAAGUAUGCAAGGCAGGCCAACCUCAGGCCAAACAACAAAAAGCGUAAGAUAAGUGUUCAGUAUUGAAGUUGUAAGUGUCAUCUCUGAAGUGACCAACAGAAUUGAAAUCUAGCCUAGGAAAUGGCAUAAGCAUCUAGAACUUUUACAAGCAUAACCUCGCCUAGGAAUAGUUGUUUACUUAACCAGCCCAUUACUUCCUAGGCAAUACUGAUUUGCUGUCAGUCUACCAUCAAAUACAUUUAUUAAAAAAAACUGCUGUAUGAGAAGCAAGAACAAGGAAAGGACUCAUUUAUUGAAUAUGAUAGACCAUAUAGCUAAAUAUUUGAUUUGAAUAGACAUGACAUUGACAAUAUUUUCGAUUGGAAAGACACCAAAUAUACUAAAGCAUAAAACCCCAUNNNNNNNNNNNNNNNNNNNNNNNNNNNNNNNNNNNNNNNNNNNNNNNNNNNNNNNNNNNNNNNNNNNNNNNNNNNNNNNNNNNNNNNNNNNNNNNNNNNNUUUGAAGGAAUUUGAGAACUCUACCAAAUGAAAUCUGGACCCUUUGUAAGUUUAAACCAGCAUCUUUGGGUACUAGUCCAGGCAAUUUGAGGAACUCUUGGAAGCUGGAAGGAAGGAAUUGAGUAGUGUGUCCUUCAGACCCCCUAGAGUUACUAGAAGCAUUCUAUAAAACAAAUGAAUAAUUACUUUCCAGUUGGAAAAUAAAAAGAUGAAAAAAUAUGAGAUCAAAGAUAAAGAGUCAAAUAAAUCAACAAGUUACAGAUGACGCCAAACACACGCUUCCAUAAAAUCUUCCAUAAACCCAUACUAAAGCUAUUGGACUGUGAAAAAAGAUUCUAAGUUUGAAAAAGAAGUAUUUAAGAACAACACACUAAAGUAACUACUUAACUGCAAACGAAGCAUUAUGAAAGGUGUGAGCUAUAAGAUAUCUGCUAUUGGUAAUAAAGAUCAUGAAAUCGUACCAAGUUUUAACUUAAAAGAUGCCAUAUUCCAUUCACUUGGGCAUCCUCCUCCUAGUUGAGACACACCCCAACUGCUAUACUUCAAGCUUCUCAACAGUUUUCCAUUAUGCUUCAUAUUUAUACCCUAUUAGAAUGAUUAUACCACAGUGUGCAUAACUGCUGCAAGCACUAGUAUGUCAAAAGCAGCACCCUGCACAUUUAUAGUUCCAUAAAGACAGCUACUUUGGUAAGUAGCAUUCAUUAUAUAUAAACAACUUCUUUUCUCAGCAAUUCUUUUGGAUCUAUAGGUGCAAUAUUGGAUUUGAAUCAAAUUUUGGAUCCAUCUCUAUUGAUUGACUGCAAUCCAUGAAGUGGAUGAUUAGUAUUAAACUAGUAGAAAUCUCAAAGAAACAUAAUUGCAGCAUCCUCAGCCAUGUACUCAGCCAUUCUACUCAUGACCAAGCCGCUAUAGCUUGAUAAAAACAUAACCAGUUAUUUACAAACUUUUCCACACACAAGCAUAAUUGAGGCACACACAAAUCCCAUCAUUUAAGGGUCACCUAAAUUAUUACCUUCCUAAUUUGAUUGAACUGAACAAAUUUACUAACAAUUGAAAGAAACUAUUAAUUUUCAUGAAAAUGAGCAUCUCAUGGAUGAAUGCUUUAGUACGACACCAUCCACCUAGACCAUAGAUUCUAACCACAAGCUAGACCCCGUUACACACUAUCCUGUAAUUUGUCGUUGACAAUUGAAAUAGUUUCAACCAUUGAUGACAACAUUAGCAGUGAAGUAAAAAUCUUGUCCUACACGAGAAUGCAAUUGAGCACAUCAAUAAGAUUCAACUCCUAAAGUAUAUAAAUCUAUUAAAUGAGCAUACUAAUUCUGUAAGAUAUGUGAUUAAAAUAACUCACUGCUGAUUUCACUAAUUAAAUAUGAGUCAAUCAAUUUCCUUGAUUCAUAAUUUAACUCAUGCAUCAAACAAUGUAACGUCAAAAACAUUUCAUGGCUUUGAUGUAGGACUGAGUCCCACAAUAAAGAAUAAAUAUUUAAGCAUCACAUGCAAAAUUGCCCAAGCAACACACCCAGGGUUUCUUAAGCGUCACGCCAAAGAUAAAUUGCAUCACACAAUCUGCAAAGCAAACACUUGCCAAGUUCAAUAACAAGAAACAUUAUUGUAGUAUACGUAAGAUCCUACUACGCAAGCUUAAAAAAAGAAAGAAAAGGAAACUUCGUAAAAUCCUAAUAAUAUUCAAAUCCUAGUUGAUAAUUUUAGUGAUUAAACUUCAAGAAGAAUCCUGAUCCUUGUUUGAGUUUCAAAGUCAAUCUUCACCAAAAACUUGGUAGCCAUCCUGCAUGAUUUUGUUGGCUGCAUCAGGCUUAGUGGAUGUUUUGAUUGUCUCAUACUCAAUUCUAUGAAUGGGAAUCCAAUUACAAUACUAUGUAUAAGAUCUUUGCGUCCUUGCAGUCAAAUGGAUACUCAUUGGGCAAAAGAAAUAUAAUUUGUAGCGAUAUUUCAUGUCUGGAGAUAAUAAGAUUAGUUGAAUUUUAAGUAUCUGUGUUUAGUUAUUAUCUAACAAUUAAUCUACGUAUGUCNNNNNNNNNNNNNNNNNNNNNNNNNNNNNNNNNNNNNNNNNNNNNNNNNNNNNNNNNNNNNNNNNNNNNNNNNNNNNNNNNNNNNNNNNNNNNNNNNNNNUCACUUCAAAGCAAUUACAAGAAGUGAUUCUCCACAGCCUUUGCCAAUCGAAGCGAUGAAGCACCAACUUUGAGUCCUCUGUGACCAUCACCAGCCAACACUUCUCCGGAUUUCCCUCCGUCAUCUUCACUUGCCAGUCAGAAAUCGAGCAAACUUCACAAAACCAAGUCGGAACAAUUGAGUCAACCAGCCAUUAGGUCGCAAAAGAAUGCUAGGAGCUGAACCUAAGAAGCUGGAGGUUUUUCAAACUAGAGCUGAAAUGGACGCAUGACCCACAGUGGUCCUUUGCUGGUCUCCAUAGCUAAAGCUCUAUGAGUAGCCAAAAACGCAGCACCAGUGCUAGAACAAAUCGAAAGGAUGCCAGCUGAAAGAGGGCCUGUGAAGGAUAGAGCUUAUAAAAACCAAAAGAAUCAUGGGAUGACCACAUGCAAACAACCUUUUACCAUUCCAAGGAUGCAUUGUCAGUGUUUGGUGAAGCUAAAGAAACAUUGAGUUCCUGAUCCUUCUAUGAUUUCAUUCGUUUUAGAAGUGCCUUGUGAAAGCUCUCUUGGAUAUUUCAGCAUUUACAUCAAGCAAUGGAAUAAUAACUGAAUCCUACCAGUGAGUAGAUGAAAUCAAUCCAGCAACUAACAUCAACAAACUACUAAUAAUGCUCCAAAGUUUAUGGGAACCCACUUAGUCAAACUCGAUAUUCUUUUUGAACUCUUUGGUACCAACUAAUGGGGCUUCUAACAUCAUCAACCAUAGAAGCUUUGAUCAAAUUAGUAUAGUGUAUUUAACUCAAGAUGGUUGCUUUGUGGGACAUAGUAUGAUUCUUUUUCCUUAUCAUUAUGUGCUAUUCAUGCAUUAGAAUUAAUGCAAGACAAUUUUCAAAUGGAAUAUAGGAUACUGAAAAUUUUCCUCAAGAAACUUAUGGAAAUGAUUCCUGUGUUUUUCUUUUCAGCAAGUAAAUGAACUAACAAAAGCUUAUGCACAAUAUAAGUAAUUAUUUCACAGUACACCUGAUUAUGUCAAAAGACAUUCUAGUUAAUGUCUUGCCUGGCUCAAUAGUUUAGGUAUACGACAGAUGGCUUUACCAACUCUACAAACAUCAAGAUGCAUUCUUUGGAAGCCUUGGAGAAGGUAUACCCUGGACUCAAACCAAAUGAACAUGGAUCCUUAGUCAGAAAAAUUCGAAUUGCAAUUUUCUCAAUUGAUCCAAAUAAUUCAUGAUGCUUUUGCUUCUGCCCUGUUUGCUAGUUCAUCACAGCCACACCACUAGGAGAAGAGCUUGUGCUUGCAUUUGGCAUUUCUAGAUUGAGACGAUUAUCUAAAUCUACAAAUGUAGACAGUUCUGUGAGACAAAAUGCAUGAAACUCAAUGAUUGGACAAAUUUUAUCACAAGUCAGUAGCAUAUGCAGAGUAAGGGAUGCCCUAUCAACAUAUUCCUAUUGCAUGGAAAUUCACUCUUAAGUGUACCUUAGAAAUAUGCAGUCAUGAAAUGCAUGAUGAGCGUAGAGCAAACUAAAACCUCACAUUAGAAGGAUCACCAUGUAGGGUCCUUCAUCGAGCAUUUUCUUCAACCUAUACAAUGACCUUUGGCAUGCUAUCAAAAACCUGUACACGUCAGUUUUUCAGUACUUCCAGCAUUCCAAAAUCAAUCAAAUGUCAAGAAUCUCUAUUUUUCUGCAUAGGAUGAAGGAUCUUACUUGAAAACUAAUGUCAAAUGAUGCGCUUUGAAAGCCUUUUCAUCUAUUUCCGCUAUUGGCAUAACAAGCAGAACCAUUUUGUCAAAGCACAUAUUAACUUCCAUGAACAUCUCCCUUGGAUUCCUUGAGUUCAAUUAAGAAAACAAUGGCGACACUAUCAACCAGGAAAUAAUAAUGACAAGAUCAUAAAUCUUGAAAGAUAUUGCAAGCAGGAAAUACAAAUGAAAAUUGGGCAGUAGAUUUCAAAAAAGCAUAGGUUGAUUACCUGCUUUAUAUACCUUCAAUAGAAAAUGUGGAUCCUUCCGGUCUAUUCCUCAUCCGAGUCAUCCGUAUGGUAUGGACAUAGUUCGUAAUCUGCGCCAUUUGUAAUAUGAUAAUAUCGAUAAAUCUGCGUUCCAGAUAAUUCCGGAAUUGUUUUGAGCGACUUGCAUCCAAUGAUAUUCAGUUUUUCCAAAAACUCCAACCUAUUGAGGCCCCGAAUUUCAACCAAGUUUUUGCAGUCUCUAGCUUCUAAUCUCUUCAGACUCCCAGACUUUGGAAGGAGUAGCCUUUCAAUUGAAGUGCACCAAGAGAUAUCUAGUAUUUCCAAGGACUCCAACCUAUCGAGGCCAUGAAUUUCAGCUAAUUUCUUGCACCAACCAACAUUUACUCUCUUCAUACUUCCGGAUUUUGGAAGGAGUAGCCUUUCAAUUGAAGUGCACCUACAGAUUUCUAGUAUUUCCAAGGACUCCAACCUAUCGAGGCCAUGAAUUUCAGCUAAUUUCUUGCACCAACCAACAUUUACUCUCUUCAUACUUCCAGAUUUUGGAAGGAGUAGCCUUUCAAUUGAAGUGCAGCAAGAGAUUUCUAGACUUUCCAAAUACUCCAAACUAUCGAGCCCUUGAAUUUCGGCUAAGUUUUUGCAAUCCCAAGCCACUAAUUUCUUCAGCAUCCCGAAUUUUGGAAGGUCUAGCCUUCCAAUUGAAGUGCAACAGCAGAUUUUUAAACUUUCCAAAUACUCCGACCUAUCAAGGCCUUGAAUUUCGGCUAAUGUGUCGCACCCGUCUUCUAAAUUGCCGGACCCGUCAACAUUCAAUCUCUUCAGACACCCGAAUUUUGGAAGGUCCAACCAUUUGAUUGAAUUCCGGGAUUCGAUAGUCAAGCUUUCCAAAUACAUCAAUUUGUCAAGACCUUGAACUUCAAGUAGCUUCGGACUAUGGCAGACAUCUAAUGUCCUUAGAUGGACAAACUGUGAAACGUCCAGCAUUUUGAUAUAUUCACAGAAAGAGACGUUCAAGACUUCGAACUUGAAGGGCGUGUUUAGGGAUUGUGGUGAUUCCGAUUCUUCAACGUCCGUCGGUUGGGAGCAUUUUGAACUCUUUAAUUGCGUUGAUGGAAGCUCCUGGAUGCACUGGAGAUUAGGGCAACCGUAAACUACUAGUUCCUUGAGAUGGGCUAGGUGGGAAAGCGAAGGCAAUUUGCGACUUUGACAAGUGACACCCAAAUCUGUUAAGCCGGAAGGAAGCUCCGGCAACAAUUGGAGCCUGUAGCAGUAUACAAAAUCAAGGCAUCGUAGGGAAGAAAGAUUAGCCAUGCUUUCUACUAGUAUCCAUUUCAGAUCUGCGCAAUUGGAAGCACGUAACUCUAGGAGCUUUCUCAGACUCCCAAUACCAUUGGGUAAUUCUUCUAUACCACUUUCAGAAAUAUCUAGAAUCUCUAGAUUCUCCAAAGACCCUAUGUCAUCUGGUAAUGCAGAAAGGGAUGGAGUAUGGUAUAGAUUGAGUUGUCGCAGUGAUUUUAAUUUACCUAUUUCUGCUGGAAGCUCCCCAAGGCAGAAACGAGGAACGGGGCGUUCGGCGCCUGCGUCGGCGCCUACCGCGAGAUGACGCGCGUAGGACGAGCACAGCUCCAAGCGAAGGAGGCCCUCCGUGUCUUCAAUGGAAGCGUCGAUUCGCUUCAAUCUCCAACACCCCAUGAGGAUGAGAACCUCUAACUUCUCAAAAGCUGAGAGGAAGUCAGUAUUUUCCAAGGAUGCACAAUGCGAAAGGUCUAGAUAUUUAAGCUUCUUUGCCAUCUACGAAGAAAAAAAGAAAACAAUAAUGAAUGUCGAUGGGUGAGUGUAGAGUCAUUAUGAUUCAAAAGAAAGCAUAAAAGGAGAGGAAAAAAAAAGACUUUAAUUCUUACCUUGAAAAAACUCCAUCCUCCCCAUUUCUCAUUUAUCUUGAUUCCUCGCAAUUCGAGUACAGCUAAUUCCUUUACGCAAAAAUUGUUUACUUCGAAAUUCGCUGGACAAAGUCGCCAUUGAAGCCAUUUUAACUCCCCAAUUAAGUCCUUAAAAUCUCCACUUAAAUGUGCCCCAUUUAAUUGAAGGAAUCUUAGACUCGUCAAAUUCUUGAAUUGUUUUUCUGCGUAAAUUCUGCCAGUGCCUUUACUAAGAUUAAUCCCCUCAAUCUUGCCCGUUCCCUAUAAGCAAGAAUCAAGAGUCAUUAGUACUAUAUCCAACUAAAGUAAUCAAAUAUCAUUUGUUCAUUUUGUGAUUGAUGUGCAUUAAUGCAUUCAAGAGACUAGCAAUAUGUAGAUAUGAUUUUUCUUUUUAUGCCAAUAAACAGUAUUUAUAAAGGCUAACAAAGUGAAGGAUGUCAACUUCCAUUUCGAAAUUUGGCCAUACGUAAUCAGAUCUUAAAAGGAAUUAUGAUGUAAUGGCUUGUAUAGAGUAAAAACUUUACAACUUGUAAUCUUCUUCUUUCCGGUACUGUAGCUUCAUUAUCAUAAUAGUUAAGACAUGCGUGCAUUUAAUCAAAUUGCAAAGUGCAAAAUCAAAAUUUGGCUUGUCAAUUUUAAUAGAUUUAUACAUUUUCUCUUGAACUUUCACAAAUGCAAUUACAAUCACAUACUAAAUUAUACAAAAUAGUAUCUCUCGGACUUUUUAUGAAGAAAAAGUAAAACAUUUCUCCUUUUAAUAGUCAUUGCGUGAAGUAUGCUUGAUGAUAUAACUAUACAGGUAUACACGUGCAUAUAUAUUAUAUUUAAGGAAUUUCUGUUCCUAUCUUAUUUGGUAAGUUUUAAAUCAGUCCUUGUCUAUGAAUAUUGGUAAAUGAUAUUCCUAACGUAAUAUUACAUAAUAUUAGUGUCCCUUUCAUUCUCCACUAUGGAAUAAUGACUAAAAUUUCAUGAGAAAUGCGGGCACCAUUAUUCCUAUUAUCUCAAUUUUAACAUCUAGAGAAUAUAAUUCUAUGAUUUAUAUAUCCUAAGUAGUUAUGAUUUAUAUAUCAUAACAUCAGAAUUGCACAAUGCACCACCGGAUAAAAGGGGAAAAAAAACAGAUGUUCCGACGACAAAUUCACCGUCGCCACAACCCAAAACGCAUUUUACACACCUAGAAAAAAGUAUCUUCGUUGGAGAACAAGCGAAAUUGGCAUGGAUGAAAGGAUAAAUAAAAGCGAGAAAAACCUCGGAAGCGGCGAGUCGGCAAGCAAAACUUACCCCACCACAGAUUAGGUGUUAUUACGAAGACUUCUAGGAAAAAAGAAAAAGAAAAGGGUUAAAAAGUUACAAAUAAAACUCCUUUUUAUUUCGACACAUUCAUGACGCUUCAAAAUGGAAAUAACCAUUCCGACUACUCCAAAAGUCAGAACGGAAGGGCGACAAUGAAGACGCCAUGAGAUCCCGGCCAAACUGCUUUUGAUGAAAAAAUUAAUUUCUUGCCAUCGACUCUAAUAAUUAAAAUAACCAUAAAAAAGACUCGUUUGGUGUAACUUUUACUCUUCAUCUUUUGUUUUUUUCUCAAGAGCAUGCACUUUGGCUUCUUCUUUUUUUCAGUGGUAUAUCCCUGAAACUUGUUGACACGCCCAAUCGUACAUGAGUUUUUUCAUAGUUUUCUGGAAUUUGAGCAAUGUUUUGUCUUUUGACGGAAGAGCGAGAUAUUUAUUUUUGGUUUUUUUAUUAGUUGCGGCGAGCAAUCUAUCUCGCCCUCUGCUUCAGCUUGUCUAUUACUUGCCAAUAUCUUGGGAGUACCUGUUAAGUAGCCAGGCUGAAAAAAUAAAUUAUAAGAAGUGGUUUUUAUUAAAAGUAUUAAUUUUACAUAAUAUGAGAGCGUGAAAAUCGCGUGUUAAGUAACCUGGCUGAAAAAAGAAGAAGAAAAAACCUAUAUAUUAAGUGGUUUUUAUUAAAAGUAUUGACUUAACAUAAUAUGAGAACGUAAAAAUUGCAGUAGUCAUCUUAAAAGAAAAACAAAGAUUCUGUGAAGAGGGCCAUUUAUCAAAUGAAAAAGUCAUAUGUAGAAUUCAAGAUUUCACUGAUUAAUAUAUCAAACAAGAGAUUGAAUAUGUAUAUAUAUUGCAACGGACACUUAAUUUUAUCUAAUAGGGAAUAUUAAUAUAUGAGAGAAAACCCACAAAAGGAAAUACUUUCUAAAAGAGAGCAACCUCCCUACUUUCUAAUCACGUCAAUGAAACAUUCGAGGGCAAUGGUAGUGAAGCUUCUUAUUCCACUAGAGCAAGCACUACGUAGUCAACCAACAUUACUCUUAACCGUAGAACAAGGACUAAAUGAGAAAAAGAAACCAAACAGUUACCUUAUUAUGCUUUAGCACUCUUUCGACUUCCUCAUAGUCCCAUAACCUGCUACGGUACUGAGGCUCAUGUCGGUUUUCCUCACGAACUAUUUCCCUACCAAGAUCUCUCAAUUGGUCAUGCAUUCUGAGCACAUGAUCAUCUCCAACUUUUAUCAAUGACAUUAAUAUCAAUACUUCAAUUCCCUCCUCUGGGAAAAAGCCACAAGCAUCCCACAUGUAGGAUGCAAUAUUCUUGCUAGUGCCAAUGAAAAAACAAGCAAUAUCCAAGAAGAUUUGUUUUUGGUUAUAGUCUAAUGCUUCAAUACUUAUCCUUAACUUCUCUUGCACUUUCUCAUGAGGCACUUUUCUUAACUUUUCUAUUGUACCUCCCCAGAAUGCUGGCUUUUUCGUGCCCAAUAAUGAACCUAAAACCUCAAGGGAUAAGGGAAGCCCUUUGGUGAUGGAUACGACUUCACGAGUGAGGUCCUCAAAUUCCUUUGGAGGAGAGUCCUUUCGAAAUGCAUGUCUACUAAACAGAAUCAAAGAUUGAUUGUUAUCCAAUACCUCAUGUUCAUAAUUGUGGUCCACCCUAGCUUCUUCAAGAACCCCCUUGUUUCUGGUGGUGAUAAUGAUCGUACUUCCUAAAGAAAACCAAUCAUGGUUACCAGCCAAACAUCUCACUUGAUCGACAUUGUCCACAUCAUCAAGAAGAAGAAGGACCUUUUUAUCUUUAAACCUGGAGCGGAUGAAAUCAAUCCCUUCAUCCUUAUUAUGAACUUCAUUGUUUUUAUUUGAUAUAUCAAAGAUUAACUUAUUCUGUAAGCCAUGAGCACCACACUUCCAUAAUUCCCUUAUAUCAGCAAUGAAGCUACGAUGCUCAAAUUGAUUGGAUAGCUCAUUAUAAAUGGUUUUAGCAAGAGUAGUUUUACCAAUGCCUCCCAUUCCAUGGAUGCCAACAAAUAGGCGGGCAUGAGACUUAUCAUCCAGAAGUUCCAUAACGUUCUUCAAAUGACUAUCAAUUCCAACCAAAUUCUCAGAAAUAAUCAACUCCAACUUUUUCUUCAGUUCACUCAACACUUUUUGAACAACCAAUUUCACCAACUCUGCUUCAGACCUAAACCUGUCCAAUGUGACAAGAGUUCAAAUAUGUGGCAACAAUAAUUUUAUAUUGUUUAUCUAUUGAGAAUGUCGUAAUAAAUGAAUUCGGGAUAAAUUGAAAAAAUUUAAGAAUCAUUUUUGUCACACCUCCAUAUAUUAUCUUAUAUGCUAAGAAUAAAGUUUGAGAAAGGCUUGUGGUUGUUUCACAUGGCAUGCCCCCUUCUACUAUUACUCCGACAUAAUUUAUUAAAUUAGAAGAAACUUGAGGGCAUCACUUACGAACCUUGAAUACUCUAUAUGUUAUGAAUUUGAAACAAAUUUUAGACUUGUUGUUUGUUAAAGAUGUUAGGGAUGACGUGGACGUCACUUUGAAAACUUUCUAGAGCCUUUGAAUAAUCAAAAAUCCAAUAAGCCAACCUAGUUUGAGAGUCAGCAAUCAAUCAAUAAACAAGUCAUAACUUUUGAUGUGAGACGAUUUCAACUGUUGUAAUACCAAUCCAAAAAGCAGUUCAGAUUGUGAUAUUGUGAACAACUUGAAUGCAAUCGAGGGGAUUUCUCCUUGUUUGCACAAUUCUACACGAUUGCAAGUUUCUACUUGUGUUAUCAUUAUAGAUUGGUGUUCUUAUCAGUUUUCAUUGCCUCUAGGAAUGAUAAGUUCUUGUACUUUGUUUUCCUUUUGAGUAACUAUGUCCUUUGAUUUUGAUUGAUCUAAGUAGAAGAAUAAUUUUUUGCCAAAAUAAGAACAUUGAUUCAAUAUAUUGAGGUGUAUGAGAUAGAAAUUACUUGCUGAAGAUAGGAAAUGCAUUGAAAAUUAUUCAAACAAAUAUAUAAUAUAAAUAAUCCCCUUUUUCCUUCUUUUUUUUAUAUUUUCCAUCAUCAUAUAUAACUAAUGAAACAUUUCUUUCGUAAAAUAAUUUUAAUAGCAACUAGUCAACAAUAUUAAUGAUUUAAUAAAUGUAACUUGAGAAGAUAAAGAAUUAUGCCUUUGACAAUCACUAUGCACAGUUUAUGAUGUUACAAGCUCUAAAUAAAAAUCACCAAUAAGUUGUACUAUUAAUCUCAAAUAAAUAUGACUGACCAAAAAAAAAAUCUCAAAUAAAUAUGUGAUUAGAAAAGUUUGUGCCGAUGACGAGCGUGACGUACACUAUAAACAUGAAAAAAAAAAAUGGCACAAUGUUACAAAAUCUUUGGAUAUAAGAGUAAAAAUCCAAUCAAAAAAUCUUAGCAUUCAAGUGAAUGGGAUCAUACCAAUAAAAUCUAUAAGUAGAUUUGUCAAUAUCAUUAAAACAAAACACUAAAAAAAAACAAAGAAUAAUUUAUCGAACUCACGCUUCAUAGGAUCUUACUGCCAACCAGUAAACACCCGCACAUAUUAAAAGAAAGUAGAGAAUGCCUUGGCAAGAAUUUUUACCCAUCGGCUUCGUAUCCUUUCAAGUUGCAGACUUCAAGGAGUGCUUGCUUCCAUUUCUCCAAAAUCACUGGGUCGAAAGAAGACCUCUGAAGCAAACGCUUUGCACGCUCAUCAAAUGCCUUUCCAAAACUCCCGAUUUGAUGUCCCACAUCAGCUGGUUUGACUUUGUAGAAUAUAGGUAGCACCAUCUGCCCGUUAUUAUUCUUGCGCUCCAUUAUUUGAACCAGUUCAUCCAAGCACCAACUGCUUGUACCGUAAUCCACAGAGAAAAUGGGGAUCAGGNNNNNNNNNNNNNNNNNNNNNNNNNNNNNNNNNNNNNNNNNNNNNNNNNNNNNNNNNNNNNNNNNNNNNNNNNNNNNNNNNNNNNNNNNNNNNNNNNNNNUCAACUUGUUUAAGUUACUGGGGAAUUAUGACAGCCAUUUGAGUACACUUACUAUUACCUUUAGAGUUACUGACGUGUCAAAAUUACCGUAUAAACUACUCCAAUAAUCUAUCAACACACAGAUGAUAACUUUAUUACACAUUGCUCGAAUAAUCUAUCAACACAUGGACGGUAAUUGAUAUCAUUAGUGUGUUGAUAAGGGAUUGGGUUGAAAAGAUUUACCAAACCAGCAUUGAAGGUGAAAAUAGUUUAAUUAUUUGAUAGGCAAGAGGCCAAAAAAAUGUGAAAAAAGAAGAAGAAGAAAUUUAAACGCUUUAAUGUCUCCUAGAAAUGUACACGAAGUUACAUUUUUUGCGAACAUUUCAUGAUAACAAACACUACAAAAAGGUGUCAUUUUUUUCUCUGCUGCAGUAUUUCUGCCACCAAACACUCUCGUAUUCAAACACUUAGCUCAAAAGAAAAGAAAAUUGCAGAAGAGAGCUUCGGCUUCCUCUUCUUCAGGUCAGCCAAGUCAACCCAAGAGACCCUGGCUUGCUCCAAUCAAGUAGCCAUCUCAUGAGCUUGAAAAUAACAGAUAAUUGCUUCCAUCACAUCUUAAAUUACAUCCGCUCGAAUGCGAGAAAUCAAGCCAAAACCUAGGAUAGACAUCUUAAAAACCUUGGAGUCCUCCGCGCUCGUCGCCAGCAAACCCUUCUCCAGAUUCCACUCACGCCAUCCUCACCUUCCGAUAAGAAGAAAUCGAGUCAAAACCUCACAAAACCGAAUUGGAAAACAAUCUAUUAGACUUGCCCAUUACAUCAUAGAAAGAAUGCCCGAAUGGGAGAUGAACCUGAGAAAACAAAGCAGUUCAUCGGAACUUGAAGCUGGAACGGAAGCACGCGCCGGCGACCCUCCUUCGUUGGUCUACAUCAAGUAGCUUGAGAACCGCAGCCACCAGCUCUGCUGGAACAGAGCUGGGUAUACUCGGUCUGAUAGUCGGAGGGCAGGGGGGGAAGGGGCGGGUCUUCCUUUUCUUUCUGAAAAAUUGAAAAUUGAAAUAUUUUAUCGAACCCCAAGUGUGCUUGCUUUUCCCCCCUUUUUCCUCUCUUGCUUCUUUUAAGGACAUGUUUCACAGUGGAUUAUGAAUCUUCUGAAUUAAUAGGCUGACCCUUGUUCGGCUCUAUUCCUCUUUCCAUUUCGUUUCGUUUCUCCAAUUUAUUCUGUUUUAAUUUCGUACCUUCCGUUUUUUUUUUUUAAUCAGUUGGGUUGAGAAUUCUUUAGAACGCACAUGAGUGUCUACCGAUUAGUUUCAAAAAGUACUAGACUUUGUUAUAAUAUUCAUUAUUCCAAUGAAAGAAAGUUCAUAACACUUGGUACAGCAAAGAUUGGUCGGAUUGGUGGUUGGUAAUUUUCAAAGAGUACAUAAUAAUUCGUUCUUUGAAAUUCGUUAUGAGAACAAUAGGAAUCAAGGAGGUUCCUUUUACCUUGUCUCCUUUUUGCUAAGCAAAUGAAGAUUUGAUGAGACUAAACCAUAUGCUAAGAAUAUGUAUUCAGAUACCUUAUGUUCAUUCAUUUUUUGCACUGCUUAUGCCCGACGUGAACUUUUGAUAAUUGCUCUAAAAAUUAUCCAGAAAUAAAUUAGCAAGAAUUCUCAAAAUGAACAAAAGAACAAAAAAAAAAAAAAACCAACUCUAGACAGAACAGCUCAAUAACACGGAAAAAAAAUGAAGACGAAAAAAUUAAAGAGAAAAGCAGCGCAUUGAAAAAAGUCGUAAAUUUACUUUCAUGAAAUCCUAUUGAACUUUACAGGCUUUUUUUUUUUUUUUUUUGCGAACAAAUUUUUUUGAUCGAGUGGGUUCUACUACUAUAGACAAAACGCACUUUUUACACACCAACGUGUGUUGUCACUGAUUAAAAAGAAAUGAGGAAAAUCUAUAAGUUAAGCGCGCAUGUAUACUCGUGUGUUGAGAUCAUACGAGGUUCGUAAUGGAUCAAAUCGUUGCGCUUUUAUCUACCGGCAAGUGUGAUAAAUGCCUAUUGGUCUCAAUUUUUGAUCAAAAGGAUGAAGCCAAGAUUGAUUCCAAAAUAGGGAUCAGUAUUGAAUCGCUAGCUAAAAUCUUUCACGGAAAAACGAACAAUUUGGAAAAUUAUUUUUCAAAAAAUAAUCACUCAUACAGUUACAAAAAUGAAUGAAUACGAGAAAUUCUUGUUGAGUAUGCAAAUAUUUGAAUAUAAAUUAUUGUCAAUAAUGAAACAUAUUUCAUUAAUGGAUUCUUUCAAGCAAUGCGAGCAAUAAUUUUUAGAAGGAUAUUUUUCAAAUCAUUCUUUUUUCUUUUUCUUUUUUUCACGAAACAAAAAAAACUUUAAUUCACAUCAAUUUACAAAUAAUGUCAUAUAAGGCAUGAUGUUCAAGUUUGUCUAAGAAAUGAUAUUGUUUGAUUUGGGUCCAUACGUUCAAUUGUACAAAUACUCUCGUUCCACACCACAACAAAACGAAGUGGCUUGACUGGAGGAAAUUUUGCUCUAUUCGAGCAGAGCUGGUACGGACGCGUUGGAGGACUCAUGGGACAUCACAUUGAAACGAACGUGACUAUACAUUAGUUCUUGAAAUUGUAAUUUGGAGAAAAGCAAUGUGAUAAUUAAUCCUUAUUUACUUUUGAAUUAAAAAAAUUACUAAUGAAUUAUUCGAAUCAGCAUGUCACAAGAGCACAAGAGCAAACAUUCACGCAUGCUAAAUGUUGAGACGACAGGCCAAGCCCGAACUCGAACAAGCCAUUUGCCAUCACCACCCAAGCUCCAAACACUCGGCCGAAUAGAAAUACUCUGACCUCAUUGUUUGCCAUCACCGCCUGAAACCCACUCCCGUUCUGCGCGCCAUUUUUUUAUUUUAUUUUAUUUUCCAAUUUGUGACGAUUGCAUAUUGAACUUGAACAUAGAGAAUCCGAAAGUUAUUCGUGUCUAUGCUUAUCCUCAUCCACUUUCUGGACAGAUCACUACUCUUGUUACCAAUAAAUGUACAGGCCACAUAUUGCGAGGCACAAGAAUUCGUCCCGCUGCAGACCUUCACUCGUGCUUGGCUCGGCACCUGAAGAGCGUGGAGACUGCCAGGUUUGUAGCUCGUUCUUUCAACUAUGACCUAUGCAAGCUUGCCUUGCCAAUGCUGCUUUUACCAGGAGACGCACUCCUGCUGGAGAAGAUGGUCAUUAACGGUGAGAGCAGUGGAAGACGCCAAUCGAAAUCUCGAGUCUUUGCCACGGCUGGUUCUGCCCUAGAUGCAAUCUUUGCAGUAAAGUCUUGCUACAAGCUGCUCACAAUAAGGAGGUUGUUGGUGGCAGAACGGAUUUUCCAUGGGAAGUGAUCUGGAAAGUGAGGGAUCAGAUUAGAGUCUCUCUUUUUGCUUGGGAAGCAACUUAGGAACGAAUCCUCCCUUCAGAUAACCUACAACAAAGGGGCAAAAUAUUGGUUAACAGGCAUUUCCUCCGCAAGGAGGAGGUAGAAUCCAUGCGGCAUCUCCUCCUUCACCGUUCAUGGACAAGAAUGGUUUGGACAGUUUCCUAUGCUUGCACCGAAUUAUCUUUGGGUUAUUGGAGCUUUUAUGGAGCAAGAAAAGAAAGAUCAACUCAAUUCGUCUCUCUGUUUUUAGGCUUAUUUGGAAAGAGCUAAACAAGAGAGCUUAAAGUCAUACACUUUUGGUAUGGUGGAGACUGCAUAUGUAUAUAAAUGCCUUGGUCAAUAUAGUCGAUGAUUUAUCUUGUAUUUGAGCUCACUUUUGGUUUUGGGAGUUGUUCUUCUGUACAUGGCUUUAAUUUUUGGGCUCUUUUCUCAUAUGCGUUUGCACUCCCUUGGUGCCCUAUAGUUGAACUUCUGAUGUGUUAAAAGAAACUUACUUUUCUGAGGAUUUUUAAGUUACUCCAAUUACCCUAUAUCCCAACAUUGUAUCUAAUCGUGUAGUUUCAAACUAACAUCUCACAUAUGAUUUUGUGCUAAUCGGCAUAACCAUCUUCCACAUAGCAUGUCUUUAUUGAGCGCAAAAACACUCCAUUAACUCAAGGUCGUGAUUCCCUUUAUGAGUAAGUUCGUUGUGAUAGAAGGCUGCCUCUACAGCCUAAAGUCAAGAUCUAAAAAGUUGAAGAGAAACUUUGGAUCCAAAGAGAGACCAACACAUUUUCAAAACAGAACAAUACGACGGAUACAAAGACUAGCUUACAAAACUCAUUUGAAGUGGUAAAAUCCAAGUAUUUAGGCAAGUAUAUCACAGACACCUAACACAAAUAUUUCGCAUGUGACUUAGUAAACCAUUUUCAUUUACUUGGACUUAACAUCUUCAGCAUUACUCUACCAAAAAAUGGUGCUUAGCUUAAAAUGGCUAUCUAAAUGGAAAAAUAGUUGGUAAAAAAAAAUAUAAACUAAUGAAUUCCCACAUCUAAGCACGUGAACAAAUUGUUGUGAAUAGGGGCUCUCAUAACCAAGGCAAAGCAUCACAGAUGAGAUCAACAUUGGCUCAAUUCACUAUCUUCCAAGCACCCGCCAGUUAUUUUAUCUACUCAUUUUCUUUUGAUAACUGAGUUUUCAUUCUUAACGUUAGCUUGACAGUAAUAAUACCAUAGGAAAGUAGAGUUUCACUUACUACAUCGAGUCCAAGGAGUGGAAUUGCAAGUAUAAAUAAGUCUUAAACUUCUCCUAGGCUCAAAUAGUGAGAGUUCAAUAUGAUUCAUCGAUACAAAGACCGACUCUUGCAAUUAUGAGGGAUACAUGCACAAAAUGUGAGAAACUUUCCAGCCUAUAUCAAAUCUCUCCUUGCAAGGAACACUCAGCUAGUACAAGAAGAGUAGCUGGAAGUAAUAUUACACUGUGAGAGUCACAAACAGAAAUUGAAGGAAAACUAUAUAGAUGCAUGACAACAUUGAGAUGGUAUUGCAGGGGUUAAAGCUGCCAACUCCAUGUGAGCAUCUAGCAUUUCUGCAUCUGACAUAGCUAGUCUAUCUAACAUAAAUGACAUCCCCUCCAAUUCAAGUUCUUUAUCUUCGUGAACACUUUUGACUGGUGUACCAAAAAAGGCAGCAAGAUGGCAAUACAGGAGUAGGGUACACUUCCGGUUGGUCUAGAUGAUUGUCAGUUAUGUUUUGGAAUCUCCUAAGGCACCGAUCUUGUCUAGAAGUUUAUAGGAAUCUAUUGCACCUAUAGAUAAAAUCCCUUCAUUCAACUAAUAUCAGCUCAGGAUUCUUUACUUGCGACUAUGUCAUAUCCAAAUUUUCACUCCCAUUACCAUCAUUCACUCUUUAUUUUUGUGUAAAACACCAACUCCUUAGUUCAACGUGAUGUUCUCAUUCAGACUUUCAAGCACCUUACCCCUAUAUUCACCAACUCUCCAUCAAACGCAAUUUGAACGGGGUUGGCAAUUGAAGUGGUUUAUUUGAGGAAAAGGAUCGUAGCACAUUUAAGGAAAAGCAAAGGAGGAAUAAGGCCAAUGACUCAAAGGGUGCACACCAAGCCACUGUUGAAGAAACGAACACACUGAAUAAAAAAAAAAGAGAACUUUCUCGAGUCGAAGCAAUUACCAGGAGAGAUCGUCCACAGCCUCUGCCAAGUGAAGCGAUGAAGCACCCACCUUCGAGUCCUCCGUGACCAUCGCCAGCAAAUCCUUCUCCGGAUUCCACUCCACCUUCUUCACCUGCCAAUCGGAAGAAAUUGAGCAAAAACCUCACAAAACCGAAUGGGAACACAAUCCGAUCGACCCUUCCAUUAUUAGGUCACGAAAGAAGGCUGACCGGAGCCGAAACUGAGAAGCCAGAGGUUUGUCGAGCUGUAGCUCAAAGGUAAGCACGUGCCGCGACCCUUCGUCGGUCUCCAUAGCAGAAAAAGCUCCGGAAGCAGCUGAAAACGCAGCCACCAGCUGCUGGAGCAAGCAGCGAGGGGGUGUCCAAGGAGCUAGUGGAGGGUAGAGCUCGAAAACCUUAGAAGAAAGCUUUUCAGCUCUCAAGAGAAGACCAAGACAUUCUGCCUCAAGCUCUUCCCCACGCUUCUCCUUCGACAGCCGAUUACGCCUCCACGAGGCCGCGCACGAAUCGGAACCGCCUUCGACGGAGAGAACGUACCGGAGGCCGGAAACUCGGACCGUCGGGGAGCGGAGGAGCUGGAGGUCAACUCGACGAUCGUGAGGACGGCGGCGGGAGCGAGCGAGGGCUGGCGGAGACAAUGAGGAAGAGAAGAGAAUUUGAUUACGGGCCGAGCCGGGCCGGAUUGGGCCAUAAGUCGGGCUUAACUUCUUCUCCAGCUUCGUUCAUCAUACAAAAAAGAACCUAAGAGAUGACCCGACGGGCCGCCGCGGCCUCAAACGGUCCGGGCCGGGCUUAACAAGUGGCCCUUCGGGCCCGGGUCCCGGCCCGCCAUGCUACUGUUCAUGUCAAGGCGCGGCCUAUUUAUAGAGUUUUUAGGUGGGGUUUAGUAGUAAGCCACCGAGCCAGUGAGCUUCAGAACAAAAGGGAAAGAGAGUCUGGCAAUGUCAGAGAAACUUCUCGCGUAGGGUAGAGAAAACAGCCGGGCUCCGUUUUUUGGGAAAAAAAUAAACAAUUUAAAAAAUGUUUUCUUAAACUUAAUCAUUAUUCUCUCUUAAAAAAUGAGUCAAUGAGAAAAUAUUCCCAUCAUUAAAAACAAUUCCUACCUAAAUAUUUUUGUUGAUAGUGAGAAUAUUCGCCAUCCCCUCUUUUCCUAAGAUAUAUAAAUGAUUAAAAUGAGGAAAUUUCUUUUCCAUGUCAUUGAUUUUUCAAGAUGGGAACGGAGCCUUAGAGAGUUCGUCUUUAUAUGAGCUAGUUAGCCCCAAGUGUUUGGUAGUGGUGUGAGAAAUUCAAUUGUAAUAGUGAGGUGCGGCCUUUUGCUACAUAUAGCGUCGACUAGUUGUCCAAGACAACAUUUUGUUUGAGUGUUAUGUUUGUGUUGGUAUAAGUGUGUCUCGAAUUACCUAGUGCAAUUUUAUUGUAUUACUAGCACCACACUUUCGCACCCAUCAAUUGGUAUUAGAGCCAUGCUUCUUUGCUCAACUAGUGGUAUCAGAGUUAGACGAUCGGAGAUCGAUUGGACCUCGCUUAAGUCUUUGUCCAUCAGCCAAGUCAAGGCGAGUGAUGACAUAAUCGAGAAGAUUUUGAUGGGUACUCGGAGUCUGAAAGUUACAUGCAUAGGGUGUGAUCACAACAACUUUUAUUCGAGAAGCUAGAAAGAACUUAUGACUGGCAGAUGUUGGCUAGACAAGGGCAUAUCUAUGUAGGAGCCUGUCAUCAUUGAUAAUGGUAUUCAUCUGCGGACACAACUUUGUUUACUAAUUCUUCAUCAAAAAGUAUCUCUCUGAUGAAAAAUCCCAGAGAUUAAUUUUCCAUCAUUGAUAAUGUGCUAUUACCAUCUUUCUUAAAAAAGUCCUCCAAUUUUUCACAUGUAAAGAAUGCAAGGUAUAUCAUUCAAAGAGCAUUCUUAGAUUCUACAGAAUUGCAACCACAUUGGUCGAGUGCUAAGUAUUAAGUCUUGCUCGUUUGCUGCUUUCCACAAGCAAUACAGCUACUUUUCAGAGCGCAUACAUUGUUAAAUUAUUAUCUUAAGUUCCUCAAUAUCCUCCAUUCAUUCAUACUGCAGUUUAACAAUGAUGUUGGGUUACAAACAUAGUUAGUUCUAUAAUUACUAAAAGAGUAGCAGAAGCAAAUUUUAUAAGACUACACAACAUCUAUGAUAGAGGGUUUAGCCAAAGGUGUUUUGUGGGACAAAUGCAAAUCACCUUCAAUCCGUUUCCUAUCAAUAGCAAAGGUGAUCUUGGCCUUCUCUUCUUGUUUUCUUGGUCCUUGAAAAUUUUAACUGUAAUUGCUUCAAAACGAGCUCGUGCAAGAUUGCUUGUGCAUAGUUUGAUUAAAUAUGCGGUUUGCACUGGUUGCGGACCAAAUACCAAUAAUUUAUUUUAUUGAUAAUAUUUAUCGUUUCAUCGUAUUAUUAAGUGUCGUUGUUACUAUUUCUGCACUUAUUAUGCAUCAAGAAAGAAUACAUUGAUGACAUAAAGAUUUGGAAAGGAAUAAAUCAAGCAAGAUUUAAUCUUACAAUAGAUUCCGCUAAAGUCGAUAGAAAGUCAUCAUAAGGAUAAUUAACAAACACAAGAAACGAAAUAUCACACAUGCACAUGUCACAUACAUAAAAUCAGAUAUACCAAUGCAGCUCGGUGCAUAUGAUCAAACACAAAGCUAUCAAGUCUAUAAGAGUUUUUCCUCUAGAUUGGCAAUAAAUCCUAGAGGAAGAAUGAUAAAAUUAAACAAUUUCAGAUUUCUGUAUAUCUAUAAAUCAUUAAGUUCUUUGGCUACAUGAUACUCUUGUCAAGAAUACGAAACAUAAUCUCAUAAUCUUAAACCUACCACCUUGAUAGUAUAUAUCUAGCUAGUCAUAUCGAUUAUAGUAAUCCCAGAGAUCGACCCUUUCACAUGAGCGUAUUUUGUACAUUGGCUUGGAUGCAUCACUUAAUAGUGAUGUGUGGAGAAAUGAGUCAAUAUUAAGUGGGAUUUCGACAUUCAAAUGUAAAGUUCGUCGGUUGAUCACACCAUGUAAUCCAUUCAACCCAAAGUACAAACAAUCCAAACCAGACAUUUGGUUCUCGUACAGACGAAAAUAAUAAACAUAUAGGCACGAAGUGAAAGUUGGGCACUAUCGAAUAGUUGUCAAAGCUUGCAGAAAUACCAUGAAAACAAUCAACCCCCCCAGAUAAAAGCCAUGGGUCAGUAUCUUUCAGUCGAUUCCAUCUAAUUCAAUAGAUAGAUGCUUAAACUUUCAUUCUGCUUUUUCUCUUCGAUGAAUGCACGCCUAGCAGAAAAGUUUCAUGGCGGGCAUAAAUUAGAACUCUCCAGAAAGAGUGAAGCCGAAGAGCUUCAGUCAGAAAGCACAGAUGCAUUGCUUCUCACACUGAUGCCUGAGGUUUGAGCAUUAGAAGUCCGCCCACAAGAGCAACACAAGCAUUACCACUGCAAAUUCACAAAGAGACGUUCAUUCUGAUACAGAGUUUAGACGUUCAUUCUGAAUCAGAGAUUUUAUCUUUAUCCUCGUCUAGUAUGUAGACCGGGCCUACUUUCUUGCAGCCAAAACACAAGCGGUGCCUCUACUUGCUGUUGCCCAAAAAAAAAAAAAUCAACUUGAUUUCACUCUAAUGUUCCUAUAAUAUGGCCAUAACUAAUGCGAUGUUUUGAUACAUCUGUUGGGUAAAAGUAAUAAGUACAAUACUUGCAUCGCACUAAGACACAAGUGGAAAUAAUAAUUGUGUACCUUAAGAGGCUAUGGUAUGCAUGUGAACUAUGAAUGCUCUACAGUAUCUUGCUAUACUAGAUACCAUGAAAGUAUCUAUCAUCACUGACAUGUAAGCGCUAGUUCUUAGUCAGUAACUCAGACCACAGCGAACCUACCUUAAGAAGAUAAUUAUUCUUUCCGUAUUUGUCUGGCCACCAAAGAUUCAUCAUUUUUGCACUUUGACCUCCCAAUUGAUCUAAAAUUUAUAGGAAAACCUAAUACUUUAGUAUUUUGCUUCUUCAAAUGAAAAAAUAUUCUUUGGAGCAUAAAUUUGCAUGUUUCCAUUCAUCAAAACAAAAAAUGACAUGGUCCAAAAAGAGGCUCAACGUACAUAUGCUAGCCAUAUUCGAACUUAAGAGUAGAUUGUAAAAGUAGAAAUUUAGUACGGAGCAUGAACAAGAUUGAUUCAGUUCCACCAUCCAGUCAAUGAGAUAAUUUUGUUACCGACACUACUGGCAAGUUUAUCAAAUAAUGAUCCAGAAAGGAAAGACUAUGGGCAACGAUAAGUUACCAAACAUCCAGACUGCAAAUGGACAUGGUAAGAAGCUUGAGGAAAAUAGUUUUUUGAGUAUACAAUUGAUGGCAUGACAAUGAAUUGAUCCUUAGCUCGAUGCAAUGGCAAUGUGAAAAUUUCUCACCACUAACUGACAAGGAGGAACUGUAGUAUGGGGAAGGCUGCCAACUUCUCAUUCUCCAUCUUUAGGUGUAAGAGUCCUAUAUGUAUAUUUUCACUGGGUUAGUAUUUUAGAAGUGAGAAUGAGAUAACCAAGCAUAAGUGUUAUCACAAAAUAUAAGCAAAAGUGGCACUACUAAUCCAUUAGGGUAAUCAAAUGCACAUUUCUUGACAUACAUACAAGGCUCCAGCUGUUAAGAUAUGUUGGAACUUUUGAAGUUAUGGUAAGUUAGAAAGUAAAACAUCCUUUAAAAUUGCAGGCAUGAAAUGACAUGUGUAUGCGGAGUAAAAACUGAGCUACUGCUAGUCAUGCUAAUGAGGAGAGCAGAUACAUAACAAAUAGGAAGAACAAAUGAACAAACCUUUCUACAAGAAGUUGGAGUUCCAAACCCCAAUACGCUCUUCCUCUAAUUUUUUGAAGGCCCAAAAAGGUCUAGACUAGUUGACAAGUUUGCUAGGUAACGAAUUGACAAUACACCUGUUACUGGUUCAACAGGGUCAAUACCACCGGUUCUUGACCAGUACCACCAGUCCUUGACAACUACUGUUUCUGUUGUGAAACUAGACUUGAAAGAAAAGCACAAUAUCCUAGUCUUUUUUCAUUUUGCCAUUAAUGUCUUAAAAAGUGAAUUGACAUCCGUUGGAACACAUAAAACUCAUAAGCAACCUGUACUUAUCACAAGUAAGGAAUCAAUAUGCAAGCUUUGGAUCCACAAGUUACCUUCAGUGUGACACCCAGAUUUUCAAGCUCCGACUUCGAUGGGAUAAAUUGGGCAUUUCAUCGACGCGACUACAGUAUUUUUCUUUGAGUUGGCCACUCACAAGAUAACUAGACUAGCUGGGUAAGCUAUUAGGGACUUUAAGGCAGAUAGACUGAGAAUUCGACCAGAAAUCGACUUCUUGACCGUGCUUAUCUUUAGGGAUCAUUGUGGCACAGUAUAAAAUCGAUUUGAGAUCAAAGAUAGGUCAGUCGACUGAGAUGUGUGACCGAUCGUGGGUGACUCCACUAAAUUGGAAAAUUCUCGUUGAUCGGUACUAGUUUGAUUUUACUGUCGUUUUGGUACCAUGUAUCCGUAUCUGAAUCCUCGAGAUUUUCACUAUAAUCAAGAGUCGCCAAUGAGUCGAGUGGGUUCAUAGUGGCUCGAAGAAAAUCGACCACGGGUCAUUUGCCUUAAAAAGUUCUGAAAAUUACCCAGUAGUCUAGGUCAUGCUAAAAACGCGUCGGAGUGAAAUUAACCGCCAAUCUGAGUCCGAUUUCAGAAAUUGAAGAUUUUGUCAUGUCACAAUAAAUUUUAGGAAUGUCGACUCACCUUUUGAAGAAUUUUCAGCGAGUUCGGGAUUUUUACGGAAAAUCGUUGCGGACGAUGCGGAGAACGAGCGAAAAUUCGGAUUGGUCAAUUUGAAGAGACUUUUAGCAUCUAGUGUAAGUGAAUCGGUGAAUGGAAGUUGUUUGGGCUUUUUCUGAUUUCAAAUUGGACCUCAACCGAAUUUUUUUUGUUCAGAAAAUCGGAUUCCGAGAAAAAUGAAAUAAAAAUCAGUUUUGAAGGAAAUUCGUGAGAUGGAGAAAUCGAUUCAUCUUGGUCUUUAUUGAGACUUCAAAUUGUGCAAUUGGUAAAGAAUUGGACCCCAGAAUGACCAAUCGACGAAGUUGGUUGAAGUUGAGCAAAUGGUGUUUAUGUUUUGUUUAAUUUUCUCUCCAUUCUCCUUGGAUCCACGCACUCAUGCACGUACCCCUCUUCGGCCGACAACACCCAUGCACAUCUUCACUUUGAAAAUUGCUUUGGUCUUCAUUUCUUUAAAUGUUGACCAAUGGGACCCCCCUUCCUUCCUAUCCAUUUGCGGUCACAUCUCCCCCUCUCUUUUAUUAUUUCUCCAUGCUUCGCACGUUCCUCAUUACUUCAGCCGACAAUCUCUCUCUCUCUCGCACGAAACCCCCCUGCAGUCUUCAAUUUCUUCUUUUCCUUUGACCGGUCUUCUCUUUUAUCUUUUCUUCACUUGCUUCCCACGCCAGGGCAGCUGAACCCUACUCCCUCACGUCUUCUGCUUUCUUUAAUUUGCUUGGACGGAAGCAAACCCGCAGAAGCAGCCCCGCGAUUCCUCUUCUUCUCUGCCAUGCCGCACUCACGCAUGCCUCAUCCCCACCGAGAAUUUUCUUCCCUGUAGCUCACCCACGUAUUUCAUUCGGUCAGCAAAUCAGCAACUUCUUCUCAUGGUUAACUCCAGCAGCGACGAAAAGGAUUCCUCCGAGAGACCUCACGUCCCGCAAGCCCCGCAGCUGCAACUCAGCCCGGUUCCUGGUAGUUCCAUCACUGCGGCCACCGAAUCCAGUCAAACCGUGUCCAUUCAGCCACUGAUUUCAUCCCUGCAGAACCGAUUCAGCAAGGUCAGAAGCUCGGGAGCAGAAUACCCAACUCGAACAGCGAGCUUGUAGGCCGAUUUCGGCCUCGGUUUGGCCCCACUUGGCAGUCCUGCUUUGAGGUUUAUCGGCACUCGUCGCGUGCUCGUCAAUUUGAUCCCAACGGAUCUUUAAUCAAGUGAGUUUUACUCACUAAUGCCUUCUUAGUGUGCUAAUUAUACUUAAAGGUUGAUUAGUGUUAAUUAAGUGUAAUUAGGUGGUUAGAUUAGAAUUGAUUAGUGAUUUUUAGUUAAUUGCUUUGCAUAUUAGUUAUGUGAUUAGUGUAAUUAGAUAGAGAAUUGCCUAUAGUAUUUAUUGGAAGCUUCUUGGGAUUUUUCCCGUCCCUUAUCAGGUGUUAAUUAAGUAAAUCAGGCCUAGGUGGAAUUUUUAGGAAUUAAAUAUUAAUUUUCGAAAUUAAUUAUUUAAUUAUUUAUUUCCCGAAAAUUCAACUGGGAUGGCCAGUGACCGGGAUUUUAUGCUGAUGAUCGCAGUCCGUUUAUUUAAUUGAGUUUCAUAUUGUGCUAAAUUGGAAUUAUUAUGUUUAUUUAUUAAUUUUCGAAAUUAAUUAUUUAAUUAUUUAUUUCCCGAAAAUUCAACUGGGAUGGCCAGUGUCCGGAAUUUUGUGAUGAUUGUCGUAGAUCAGUCCGUUUAUUUAUUUGAGCUUUAAUUCGUGUCGAAUUGAUUUAAUGGUGCAUUUUAAGUUAUGUUAUUAAAUAAUGCAAUUUUCGCCUUGUGAUUAAGAAUUGGUCGGGUAUCGGUUGUCAGUAUCGAAAGUGAGUUGGUAAAUCACCUGGAGAAUGCAUGUGGCCUGGUGAAUUGGAAUGUCACCUGGGAAAGACACGUGGCUUGGUGAUUAGAUAUGUCAUCUUGGCGAAAAAGUAGCCUUAGAGAAUGCACGUGGCUCGGAGACUCGGUAUGUCUUCCUAGAGAAUGCACGUGGCUCGGUGACAGAGUAUGGCAUCGUAGAAAGGGGUCGAGUGGGACCAUAAAGCCACUAAAUCUUGGAAUGGUCGGGUGGGACCGUAAAGCCACUAGAUCAUGAGAGGGUUGGGUGGGACCAUAAAGCCACUAAAUCUUUAAGGGGGUCGGGUGGGACCAUAAAGCCACUAAAUCUUGGAAUGGUCGGGUGGGACCGUAAAGCUACUAGAUCAUGAGAGGGUCGGGUGGGACCAUAAAGCCACUAAAUCUUGAAAAGGUCAGGUGGGACCAUAAAGCCACUAAAUCUUGGAAAAGUCGGGUGGGAUCGUAAAGCCACUAGAUCAUGAGAGGGUCGGGUGGGACCAUAAAGCCACUAAAUCUUGAAAAGGUCGGGUGGGACCAUAAAGCCACUAAAUCUUGGAAAGGUCGGGUGGGACCAUAAAGCCAUUAGAUCUUGAGAGGGUCGGGUGGGACCGUAAAGCCUCUAGAUCUUGAAAGGGUUGGGUGGGACCGUAAAGCCACUAGAUCUUGAGAGGGUCGGGUGGGCCCGUAAAGCCACUAAAUCCAAGGAAUUGCUUGGUGUGGGAUGAAUGACCUAGAAAUGGUCCGGCUGGUAUGAAAUCGACUAAGUCGGUUAGAUCGAUGCUUCGAUCUGUGAUGUGAUUGCUUGUGUACCUAUAUGAUAUGUGCUAAUAUGCAAGUGGAAUUUGAGGCCAAGGUAAGUCCUCCGACUCAUGUUGUGCAUAGGCAGCCCUAAGGUGUAUUAGUUUACUAAUCGGGUCUUAGGGGAUAGAACUUGCUGAGACGUUGUCUCAGUGGUUAUUGAAUAACCAUUUUAGGACCUGGAUGAGGAGCCUAAGGAGCAUGAAUCUGGUGAGGAGAUCUCUGUUGAGGAACCCGAAGAGGAGUACAUGGAGGAGGACCCCGAGGAUAACUUCGAGUACGACCCGGAUGAGGACUGAGAUCCUGUCCUGUCUUGUCAGACCUUGUGUGCAUGUGAAUAGAUGUUAGACCAGAGUUGCAUAUAUAUAGUAUUGUAGAAUACUAUGAGAUGCAUGUAAAAAGGUGUGGUUGUAAAUUUUCAGUAUGAAAAAUAUAUGACCUGCUUUUCUAUCCCAUUGCUUUAUUGUCUGGGGAAUUAUAACUGCUUCCGCAUGUGCAUAUAUAAAUGAAAUGGUUGGCGAUACAUAGUCCUGGGAUAUCGCACAUUGUAAUCAACCAAAAGUAAGGGAUGUGUGCUUGCCUAAGGAUCGGGGCGUGACAUUCAGUCGGUACAACUCCUAGUUAUUUGCACAAGUGGUGGUGCAAAUGGAAGGCCAUUGGCCUGCAAGAUCAUCAUCCAGGCAUCUUCCAAAUUUUCAUGAGCAUCACUGAUCUUACCUAGCAGCAGAACAAUUUGACGUUCUUGUUUCCAGCAUAAUAUAUUAGUCACAUCUGCAAAUAAGGGCUUCAAAAUAAGAUAUGCCAUGAUUUUACCUUAUAUAGAGCCAAAUCCACACCAUAGUAAUUAGGAGGGAUGCACAACAAGAUUGCCUCCAAAGGCCUUCCCCGUUUCACAUUGCUUGAAUCGUUCAUAAAUCACCUCACCACUACUAUAUCAUUUGUAACAUCUAAUAAAGACUAUUUGGAAAGAGAUGUGAUCUGUAAACCCAAUUUCAUGAGUUCAAUUAGAUGAAGCAAAUUCAGAGGCAUCCUAUAAUUGUACUAUGCACAUGUAGAUCCCUGGAGAAAAUUGUAGUUUCAGAUUAAAGGUAUAUACCUAAUUGUACUCUGCACAAAUAUAUGAGGGAAUUGUGAUAAUAAAUUCAUAUCAAGAUUUUUUUUAAAAUAGUAAAAAAAGGCAUCUUGAUAGCUUCCUUGAAAAUUUAAUGAUUAAAUCAUUUCCUAAUAAAAAAAAUGAGGUACUGUUUUUCUAUACACAAUGAUCGUAAGCUAAACAGAAAGCUCAAUCCAACAAGAUCACCCAACUUAAGUUCCAAUUACAUUGUCAAGUAAUCAACUUGAGACCAAAUACGAAACACUAGAAUAUUAAGAAGAGGGUAAGUGAAAAACCAUUGUUGACUACAAAACCCAGAAGACAACACCCCACCCUCGAAGGUUUCCUUAUCUUGUUCUCCUUCUCACAUUAUAGUCUCAUAGUUCUAGCUACUCAGGCAAGGAAAUGAAAAAUAUUCGUACAAUUUUUUGGUAAUAGGAAAAUGGAUAGAAAGAUCUACAAACUCAACUAAUUGAUGAGUUGGAUAAUACCAAAAAGCAAAGGAUUGCAAUGUUUACACAAUCCAAAUUUGAAUCUAGGCACUCAUACUCAAACUCCCAUUAUGCAUACAAAGAGAUCAAAAAUUUCACAUUUGGUACACAUAUCAGCAAUGAGGACUAGACUUGAAAGGGAGAAAAAUCAAUCACUUCAAACAAUAGAUAGCAGUAAUAUUUUGUCCCAUAAUUCAUAUUUCUCCCACAGAGGUGGCAUGUGUAAGAACACUUAUGCAUGGCAAACAAGAUAUAGCAUAAACAAGAAGAAUCUACAAUGAAAGAGCAAUAAACAACACAUUCAGAUAUGAAUAUCUAUGCAAGAACAAGAUUCUAUUACAUUUCACAUUUCUUAUUCUUUUGCUAAUACCUUUGUUCCAUCUACUGAAAUUCCUCCAUAAGUGUCCUUCGCAAAUAUUCACUGUCCCCAAAACCUCCAAAUUGCUAUAAUUCUGACACAAUAAUGCGUGUAAGACAUUUUGCUGACUUGACCUGACAUAAAACAUAAAGGCAGAAAAGUGCAAGAAAUCACACUUUUUUCUUUAAAAAAGCAAGACCUUCCAAUCCAAUGAGAAAUAACAAUCAACAUGUCAAUUUUAACCCUCAUUACCUUGAGGAUAAUUAAAAUAGUGCUGGACCAACAAAAACCAGAGUUGACGACCUGCAAACCCCACUAACUUGAGUCAAUCUUCUCUAGUUGAAGUGCUCAAAGUAUUUAUGAAAACUGUAGCAAGAUGACAUGAAAUGAAGAACCCACAAACCAGGAGUCAUUUACCAUUGCGUAUCAUCAGUUUAGCAACUAAUUUAGAUGCUGCUAGAGCACAUGAAAACAAUACUAGGCUUGACAGCAUAUCAUUCUGACGUAUAAAGCAUGACCAAGUUCCAUUACACCAUGGUAUUAGAAUUCUCUUGCACACAAAUGGAUAGCACAACCCUGUGAAGGCCUACCAAAAUAGCUACUAGAGUACAUGAAGGCAAAUACCAAGCUGACCAUAUUUCACGGUAUCUAAGGAGUACUAAGCUAACCAACUUUUUCACUUUGAAGCAAUUAUAAGGACAGACUGUCCACAGCCUUUGCCAAUUGACACUACCUUCGAGUCUUCCGUGACUAUCGCCAGCCAAUACUUCUCCAGAUUCUACUCCGUCAUCUUCACCUGCCAAUCGGAAAUCAAGCAAACUUCACAAAAUCGAGUCGACCGCCUAUUAGUUCGCAAAAGAACGCUAGGAACUAGACCUAAGAAGCCAGUGAUUUAUCGAACUAAAGUUGAAACAGAAACAUGAUGCACUGCGGUCCUUUGCCAGUCUCUAUAGCUAAACCUUUGUGAGUAGCUGAAAAUGCAACAUUAACACUGGAACAAAUUGCAAGGAUGUGAGCUGAAAGAGGGCUUGUGAAGGAUAGAGCUCAAAGAACCUUAACGAAAGCUUGAGCCAGUUAAAGAGUGAGAGGGUAAGGAAAGUCCACUUGGGUCCUAGAGUAAACAAGUGGGAGAGAAAAUAAGGAAGAUAGAGAAACUUGAUCACAGGAGUGGAGGCGAACAUUUUCAAGUAUGCAAAAAACCUUUUACCAUUCCAAGUAUGCAUUGAGCUUCUGAUCCUUCUAUAUUUCAAUUCCUUUUAGAAGUGCCUGGCGAAAGCUCUCUCGGAUAUUUCAGCAUUUACAUCAACCAAUGAAAUAAUAACCGAAUCUUGCCUGUGAAUCAGAUGAAAUCAAUCCAGCAACUAACAUCAACGAACUAGGAAUAAUACUCUGAAGUUUAUGAAUCACUAUUUCUCAAACUACAUUUUCUUUUUGAACUCUUUGGAUCCAACUAAUGGGCCAUCUAACAUCAUCACCCACAGAAGCUUUGAUCAAAUUAACAUAGUGAAUUCAACUUAGGUUGCUUGCUUUUGCGGGACAUAGUAUGAUUCUUUUCCUUAUCAUUAUGUGAUAUUCAUGAUUAGAAUGAAUGCAAGGCAGUUUUCAAAUGGCAUAUAGGAUAUCGAAAAGUUUCCUCAUGAAACUUAUGCAAAUGCUUCCUGUCUUUUACUUUUCAACAAGUAAAUGAACUAAGAAGAGCUUAUACACAAUAUACGAAUUAUUUUACAGUACAACCGAUUAUGUCAAAAGACACUCCAAUAAUGUCUUGCUUGGCUCAAAAGUUCAAGUAUAUGACAGAUGGCUUUUCCAACUCUACAAAUAUCAAGAUGCAUUCUUUGGGAUAAUCUAUUAUUAGCCUUGGAGUAGUUAUAUCCUGGAUUCAAACCAAAUGAACAAGGAUCCAUAGUUAGAAAAAUUCGAAUUGCAAUUUUCUCGAUUGAUCCAAAUAAUUCACAAUGCUUUUGCUUCUACCUGAUUGUUAGUUCACUCACAGCCACACCAGUAGGAGAAGAGCUUGUUGUUGCAUUUGGCAUUUCUAGAUUGACAUGGUUACUGUAAUUAGCUAAUGCAAACAGUUCUGUGAAAUAAAAUGUAUGGAACUCAAUGGUUGGAUAAACUUUAUCCAAUGUUUGUAGUGUUUGCAUACCGAGGGAUGCCCUGUCAACGUGCUCCAUUUGCACCUUAAAUUCACUCUUAAGCAUAACUUAUAAACAUGCAAUCAUGAGCUCCAUGGUAAGGGCAGAGCAAACUAAAACCUCAAAUUAGGAGGACCGCCACAUAGGGUCCUUCAAUUUGCAUUUCUCAACCUGCACAAUGACCUUUGGCAUCCUAUUAGAGACUUGUAUAUACCAGUUUUUAUGCACUACUUCUAGCAUUCCAGAAUCAAUCGAACAUUGAGAAUCUUUAUUUUUCUGCAUAGGAUGAAGAAAUCUUACUCGAUAACUAAUGAAAAAUGAUUUGCUUGGAAAGCCUUUUCAUCCAAAUAAUUCACCUAGAGAUAUCCAGUCUUUCCAAAACUCCGGCCUAUCGAAGCCUUCAAUUUUGACUAAGUUUUUGCAGCCCUUAGCUUCUAAUUUCUUCAGCCUCUCGGAUUUUGGAAGGGAUAGUAUUUCUAUUGAAGUGCACCAAGAGAUAUCUAAGCUUUCCAAAUACUCCAACCUAUCAAGGCCUUGAAUUUCAGUUAAGUUUUUGCAACUUCUAGCUUCUAAUUCCUUCAGCCUCCCGGAUUUUGGAAGGUAUAGCCUUUCAAUUAAAGUGCACCUGUUGAUAUCUAGCCUUUCCAAAUACUCCGACCUAUCAAGGCCUUGAAUUUCGGCUAAGUUUUCGCAGCUUCCAGCUUUUAAUUCCUUCAGCCUCCCGGAUUUUGGAAGGUCCAAUCGUUUGAUUGAAUCACACGAUAUGACAUUCAAGCUUUCCAAAUAUAUCAAUUUGUCAAUACCUCGAACUUCAAGUAGAUUGUCGCAGCUUUCGAGGCAUAAUCUCCUUAGAUGGAUAAACCAUGAAACGUCCAGUGUUUCGAGAGAAAAGCAGUACUCGACGACCAAGGAUUCCAACUUGAAGGGUAUGUUUAAGGAUUGUGGUGAUUCCACUUCUUCAAUGUCCGUCGGUUGAGAGCAUUCUGAACUCUUUAAUUGCAUUGAUGGAAGCUCCUGGAUGCACUGGAGAAGUUCGCAAUUCUGAAGUUGUAGCGCCUUGAGAUGGGCUGGGUGGGAAAGCGAAGGCAAUUUGCGACUUCGACAGGUGACGCCCAAAUCUAUUAAGCUGGAAGGAAGGUCCGGCAGCGAUUGGAGGUUGUCGCAGCAUUUAAAAUCAAGGAGUCGUAGGGAAGAAAGAUUACACAUGCUUUCUACCAUUAUCCUUUUCAGAUUUCUGCAAUGGAAAGCAUGUAACUCUCGGAGCUUUCUCAGACUCCCAAUACCAUUGGGUAAUUCUUCUAUACCACUUUCAGAAAUAUCUAGAAUCUCUAGAUUCUCCAAAGACCCUAUGCUAUUUGGUAAUGCAGGAAGGGAUGGAGUAUCGGAUAGAUCGAGUUGCUGCAGUGCUUUUAAUUGACCUAUUUCUACUGGAAGCUCCCCGAGGCAGAAAUGAGGAAUGGGGCAUUCGGCGCCUGCGUCGGCGCCUACCGUGAGAUGAAGCGCGCGGGACGAGCCUAGCUCCAAGCGAAGGAGGCCCUCCGUGUCUUCAAUGGAAGCGUCGAUUCGCUUUAGUGCAGUACACCCACCGAGGAUGAGAACCUCUAACUUCUCAAAAGCUGAGAGGAAGUCAAUAUUUUCCAAGUAAUCACACCAUGAAAGGUCUAGAUAUUUAAGCUUCUUUGCCAUCUACGAAAAAAAAAAAAAAACACAAUAAUGAAUGUCGAUGGGUGAGUGUAGAGUCAUUAUGAUUCAAAAGAAAGCAUAAAAGAGAGGAAAAAAAGAAGAGUUUAAUUCUUACCUUGAAAAAAUUCCAUCCCUCCCAUUUCUCAUUUAUCUUGCUUCCUUGCAAUUCGAGUACAGCUAAUUCCUUCACAUCAAAAUUGUUUACUUCAAAAUUUGCAGGACAUUUUCGCCAUUGAAGCCAUUUUAACCUCUUCAUUAAGCCCUUAAAAUCUCCACUAAGAUGCGCAUUUAUCAUGUGAAGAUAUCUUAGAUUCGUCAAAUUCUCAAAUUUUUUUUCUGUGUAAAUGUCACCAUCUCCCUCAUCAUUUUCUAGCGAAAAUAUUUCGUCCAAGCCUUCUGCGCUGGCUUCACUCAGAUUAAUCGCCUCAAUCUUGUAUGUUCCCUAUAAGCAAGAAUCAAUGUUCAUUAGUACCAUAUCCAACUAAAGUCAUCGAAUAUCAUUUGUUCAAUGCUAUUGAUGUGUAUUAAUGUGUUCAAGAGACCAGCAAUGUGAAGACAUGAUUUUCUUUUUAUGCCAAUAAACUAUAAUCAUAAGGGCUCACAAAGUGAAGGAUGUCGACUUCCAUUUCGAAAUUUGGCCAUACGCAUCCGGAUCUUAAAAAUAAUUAUUAUGUAAUGGCUCGUCUAGAGUAAAAACUCUACAACUUGUAAUCUUCUUUCUGGAACUGUGGUUUCAUUAUCAAACUAGUUAAGACAUGCAUGCAAAGCACGGAAUAUAAUCAAAUUGCAAAGUACAAAAUCAAAAUUUUACUUGGUCAAUUUUAUAUUUCUAUUAAGGAGACUUUUUCUAUUAAGCAAUGCAUGGGUGAAAGGAUAGAUAAAAGGGAGAAAAGCCUCAGAAGCAGCAAGUCGGCCAGCAAAACUUACCACAGAUUCGGUGUUAUUAAGGAGACUUCUAGCAAAAAAAAAAAGAAAGAUAUAUAUAUAGUUUAAAAAGUUAGAAAUAAAACUCCUUUGAAGGAAAUAACCGUUCUGAGAACUCCAAAAAUCAAAACGGAAGGGGGAAAAUAAAGAGGCCACGAGAUCCCGGCCUAACCGUUUUUGAUGAAAGAAAUUAAUUUCUCGCCAUCGAUUCGGAUAAUUGAAAUAACUCAAAAAGGCUUGUUUCGAGUAACUUUUAUUAUUCGCCCUUUGCUUCGCCAUCGUUUUUGAUAGGAGAGCAAGAUAUUUACUUCUGAUUUUUAUUAGUUGCGGCGAGCAAUCUAUCUCGCCCUUUGCUUCAGCCUGUAGAUUUUGUCUGAAGGUAUUUUGGGAGUACCUGUUAAGUAACCUGACUGUUAAAAAAAAAAAAAAAACUCUAUGUGAAGUGGUUUUUAUUAGAAGUGUUGAUUUAAUAUAAUACGAGAACAUGAAAAUCGUGAAAGUCAUCUCGAAAGAGAAACACAGAUUUUCAGCGAAGAGGGCCAUUUAUUAAAUGAAAAAGUCAUACGUGAUAUACAAGAUUUUACUAAUUAAUAUAUCAAACAGGAGAUUUAAUAUGUAUAUAAAUUGCAACGUACACUUAAUUUCAUGUGAUAGGGAAUAUUAAUAUAUGACAGAAAAACCAUAAAAGGAAAUUCUUUCUAUAAGAGAGCAACUCCCUACUUUCUAAUCACGUCAAUGAAAAAUUCGGGGGCAAUAGUGAAGGUUCUCAAUCCUCUAGACCAAGCACUAAGUAGUGACCGACAUUACUCUUAAGCAUAGAACAUGGACUAAAUGAGAAAAAGAAAUGAAACGGUUACCUUAUUUUCCUUUAGCACUUUUUGGGCUUCCUUAUAGUCCCAUAACCUACUACGGCACCAAGGUUCUCGUUUGUUUUCCUCACGAACUAUUUCCCUACCUAGAUCUCUCAAUUGGUCAUGCAUUCUGAGCUUAUGAUCAUCUCCAACUUUUAUCAAUGACAUGAAUAUCAAUACUUCAAUUCCCUCCCCGGGGAAAAAGUCACAAGCAUCCCACAUGUAGGAUGCGAUUAUGUUGUUAGUGCCAAUGAAAAGGCAAGCGAUAUCCAAAAAAAUUUGUUUUUGUUCAUAGUCCAAUGCUUCGUAACUUAUUCUUAACUUUUCUUGCACUUUCUUAGGAGGGACUUUUUUUAACUUCUUUAUCGUAUCUCUCCACUGUCUCGACUCUUUUCCACACAAUAAUGAACCAAAAACCUCAAGGGAUAAGGGAAGCCCUCCGGUGAUGGAUACAGCUUCAUGAGUGAGGUCCUCAAAUUCCCUCGAAGGAGAGUCCCUUCGAAAUGCAUGUUUGCUAAACAGAAUCAAAGAUUGAUUGUAAUCCAUUUCCUUAUGUUCAUAGUCGUGGUCCACCCUAGCUUCUUCAAGAACCCUCUUGUUUCUGGUGGUAAUAAUGAUCUUGCUUCCCGAAGAAAACCAAUCACGAUUACCAGCCAAACUCUCCAACUGAACGACAUCAUCCACAUCAUCAAGAAGAACGAGGACCUUUUUACUUUUAAAUUUGGAAGAGAUGAAAUUAGUCCCUGCAUCCGCAUUACAAACUUCAUCUUUCAGCUUCAAUAUAUCGUAGAUUAAUUGAUUUUGUAAAUAAUGCAUGGCAUUACGCUUCCACAAUUCCCUUAUAUCAACAAUGAAGCUAUGAUGCUCAAAUUGAUCGAAGAGCCUGUUGUAGAUGGCUUUAGCAAGCGUAGUCUUACCAAUGCCUCCCAUUCCGUGGAUGCCAACAAAUAGGGUGUCAUGAGAUUUAUUAUCCACAAAUUCCAUAACCUUCUUCACAUGAACAUCAAUUCCGACCAAAUUCUUAGAAAUGUCCAACUUGAACUUUUUCUUCAGUUCAUUCAACACUUUUCGGACGAUCGAUUUCACCAACUCUACUUCAGACCUGUCAAAUGUGACAUGAGUUCAAAUAUGUAGCAACAAUAAUUUUAUAUUGUUUAUCUAUAGAGAACAUAAUAAAUCUGGGGAUAGAUUGAAAAACUUAAAAUAUCAUUGCUGUCAUACCUCUACAUAUAAUGAUAUAUGCUAAGUCUAAAGUGUGGUUGCUUCAAAUGGGGUGCUCCAUUUCAAUGUUACUCCAACAUAAUUUAUCAAGUCAGGAAAAACUUGAGAAAAACUUGAGGGUAUCACUUAUGAAUCUUAAAUAUUGUAUAUAUUUAGGAUUUGAACCAAAUUUUAAACUGGUUUUUUAUUUAAGACAUUAGGGAUGAUGUGGAUGUGACUUUAAAAAUUGUUUAGAGCAUUUGAAUAAGCAAAAAUCCUAUAAGGCAACCCAAUAUGAGAGUUAGCUAUCAAUCAAUAAACAAGUCAUAACUUUUGAUGCAAGAUGAAUUUAGGUCCCGUAACACCAAUCCGAAAAGUAGUUCAGAUUGUGAUAUUGUGAACUACUUGAAUGCAAUUGAAGGGAUUUCUUCUUGUUUGUGCAAUUCUACAGGCUCGCAAGUUUAACUUGUGUUGUGAAUUUAGAAUCAUUCUAGAUAGGUGCUCUUAUCAGUUUUCAUUGCCACUAGGGAUGAUUACAAGUUGUACUUUAUUUUCCUUUUGAGUAUCUAUGUUCUAUGACUUUAAUGAUCCAGUAUUGAGUUUAUAGGGAAGUAGAAGAAUAAUUUUUACCCAAAAAAGAACAUUGCUUCAAUAUAUGCAGAUGCAUGAGAUAGAAAUUACAUGUUGAAGAUAGGAAAUGCUUUGAAAAUUAUUUAAACAGACAUAUAAUAAAAAUAAUCAUUUUUUUUUGUCAUCAUCUUAUAUAACCAAUGAAACAUUUCUUUUGUAAAAUAAUUUUAAUAAUAACUAAUCAACUUUAUCAAUGAUUUAAUAAAUGUAACUUGGGAAGAUAAAGAAUUAUAGCAAAGCUUGGACGCUACCAUCUUAUGAGCUUUAAAUAAAAAUCGACAAUGAGUCGUUCUAUUAAUCUCAAAUAGAUAUGUAAUUAGAAAAGUUUGUGACAAAGAUUAAUGUAAUGCACCCUAUAAUUAGAUUGGUCAAUAUCAUUAAAGCAAUAAAAUUUAUUCAAGUGAAUGAGGUAUAAGAGUAAAAAAAUCUUUUGAUAUAAGAGUAAAUUCAUUAAAGCAAUAAAAAAAAUUCCAUCAUCUUAUACUAUUACAAAAUCUUUUGAUAUAAGAGUAAAAAUUCGUUCAAAAAAUCUUAUUAUUCAAGUGAAUGGGAUCAUAACAAUAAAAUUUAUAAUUAGAUUGGUCAAUAUGGUUAAAGCAGAAAACUAAAAAAGAAAGAAUAACUUAUAGAAUUCAUGCACCGUAGGAUCUUACUGCCAGCAAGAUCUUACAGUUUUUUAUAUAUAAAAAAAGAACGUAAAAUGAAGCAGGUGAGAAUUAGAGAAACCAACGUACCCAACGAAAAAAAAGAAUAAUUAGAACAGCCAGUAAACACCCCCACAUAUUAAAAGAAAUUAGAGAAUGUUUCGGCGAGAAAUUUUACCCUUGGGCUUCGUAUCCUUUCAAGGUGCUGACUUCAAGGAGUGCUUUCUUCCAUUUCUCCAAGGUCACUGCGUCGAAAGUAGACCUCCCAAGCAAACACUUCUCACGCCUAUGAAAUGCCUCUCCAAAACUCCCGAUUUGAUGUCCCACGUCAGCUGGUUUCACUUUGUAGAAUAUAGGCAACACCAUUUGCCCGUUCUUAUUCUUGCACUCCAUUAUUUGAACCAGUUCAUCUAGGCACCAACUACUUGUACCAUAAUUCUCUGAGAAAAUGGGGAUUAGAAUCUUACUGCUCGUGAUGGCUUUCAUAAGCACUGGUCUGAUGUCCUCGCCAUGGCAGAGCUCAUCAUCGUCUCUGAAAGCUUCAAUUCCGGCAUCAAUGAGCCCUUUAUCGAGGUGAUCGGUGAAGCCAUAUCGAGUAUCUGGGCCUCUAAAACUCAAGAAUACCUCAUAGCAGUUUCCAGUUAACGAAUUAGAUGCACUGUUGUUCGCUUUUGUCGGGGACGGACUGGAUCCAUCGGAAUUAGUUUCCGUUGGUGCAGCCAUCGAAUCAGAUGCACCAGUAUCAACAUCUUCUGCCUUUCCACGCACACUAGCUCUCUUCUUAUUGAGAAAAUAGAGCAUGAGGCCGGGGAGAAGGAUCAGUGCCACGAGCUCGGCAAAAGAAUACUCGAAAAUGAGACGAUGCAUUUCGUCUUUGCCCUGACUCUACCCUUGAUUUUCACUUUCAAGUGUGGUAGAGAAAAAAAUCGGAAUGCCUCUCAGGAAACAGAAAAUGCGUUAUUGUUGCCCAUUCUCUUGCGGUUUGAUUUAUAUAAUGAAACCAAUUGGCAACCAGAUUCGCACCAACUUGUCGGGCUACAUAUAAAUUCGUAAUUCAUUUACAGGGAACCGCAACCACGUGCUUGGAGUCGUUGCCUUCACAAUGCUCAAGGGAAUCCGAAUAUUAAUAAUAGACGGGCUGUUCAAAUUUCAAUACUCAUAAAUAAAAUGGUGGAUUUGUUGGGAAGAUGAAAAGUGGAGAGAGAGAGAGAGAGACUUGGGACGAGAGCGGAACAUGGAUCUGCGGGAGAAGAUGAAAAGGAGAAAGACAAGAGUCCAUUUCCAGAGAUGUGCUCAGAAUAGAUAAAUAUAUACAGAGCGUCGAAAAGGUGAUGUUGGGCACACCGAGUCCAGUGCCUAAAUGUUUUUGACCCUUUAACAAAUCAAAUUCAUUUCUUUCGAUAAUCCAAAAUAAGCACAUAUUUGUGUGCCCUUUUUUGCUAGCGAAUUGAAUAAGCGAACUAACUAAUCUAGGUGGAUUGAUUCCUAAUUUUUUGAUCAAACACAAUUUCGUUUUGGAUAUAAUUUUUCAUGUCACUUUGAUGAUGUUGAUCUUUUUUCUGCUUUAGAAAUGCCACAUCAAACAACCAACAAUGUUUUUGAACAUAAGGUUAACAAGGCAAAUUUGAGAUUAGUCAGUGAUUUUUUUAGAUAAAAAGAUGUUUAGGCUGGGAUUAGACAACAAGUUUAGGAUUUUUUUAGACAAAAAAAAAAAUCGAGGACAGAUUUAAGAUUAGAUCCAAGGUCAAGGAUUUAUCUUUUUAGAUAAGAAAGUUUGAGAUAAAAUUAAAACUGGAUUUAAAAUUUGAGGGUUUUUAGGACAUUAGGCCUAUAUAAAAAGAGGGAAGAGAAAAUUGAGGAGUUUUACCUAUUUAAGGGCAGAUUUGCAAUUAGAUAGCAAAUAAUUUUAUUUUUAUCCCUUUGCACUGUGGCUCAGUUCCACCAGUCCUUGAUUAACGUGAGACUAUCGCUCUUCUCUAUCAAAUUUGUCUAUUUCUUAUUUGGAAUGAGUGGCUGGGCCUAUCACACUUCUCUUUACUUAAUUGUCAAGUUACCAAUUAAUUUUUUUUUAAAUAUCAACGUAUUGAUUUUGUUUAGCCAGAUUUAUUAAUUUCACAAUUAAUCAAUCAAUCCAAAGCUAAAUAAGUAAAUCAAAAUUUACAAUUUUUGCGACAAAUGUUUUUGAUCGGUUUAGUUUAGCUAUUGCUCUAAUAUUUGUUCCCUUCUUCUUGACUUGGUCAAAAAGUGGGCUUUUAAAAAGAAUGAAAAAAAAAACCAAAAAAAAACAGAUAUAAGGGUAAAAGCGGGGGGGGAGUAAUGAUUUAUUUAACGAAAUGCGUGCUUCUUGCGCGUUCACUUGUGGUUUGAUUUAUAUAAUGAAACUAAUUGGCAAUCACAAUCAUCCCGAUAAGUCAAGUUUGUCGAGCUACAUAUAAAUCAGUCAUUUAUUCACCGGGAACUGCAACCAUGUGCUUGGAGUCGUUGCCUUCAUGUUCCUCAAAUCUCAAUGCUCAAGGGAAUCCGAAUAUUAAUAAUAGACAAGGGCUCUUCAAAUUUCAAUACAUAUAAAUAAAAUGGUGGAUCUGUGGGAAGAGGAAAAGUGGAGAGAGAGGCUUGGGAUGAGAGCUUGACACGGAUUUGCGGGAAAAGAUGGAAAGCGGGGGGAGAGAGAGAGAGAGAGAAGGCAGAGAUUCGUCCGGUCCAACACUUUCCUUACAAGUGCCCCGGGUAGAUAAAUACAAACAAAGCAUUAAGACAGUGAUAUUGGGCACGCCCAGUCCAAUGCUUGUACCGUUCGACUUUCCUCUUCUUUUGUUUAUUUUCCAUCAGAAAAGUCAUUUUAAAAAAAACAUAUAUUUAAGCUCUCGAUCCUACUUAGGGAUUUAACCCCUCUCACUUUGAGCCUUUUAAAUAUUAUACUAUCAAAUUGAUAAACUCAAUUUCAAGACUUAAGUGUUCAAUGAUUAUUUAUGCUAAAAAAUUAUGUUAUUAACGCAUGUUGAGGAUCAUAAAAAAUUAUCUACACGCUAUAUAUAUUUAUUUAUUUUAUACUCGAGCAUAAUGAGAAGAAUUUCUUUUUUCUCUGUUUAUGCCUUAAUUUCUCCUUCAAUUCUCAUAAAUAAAUCAAAAUGCCUUUUUUGCUUUUGAUUUUACUUUAUUAUAUAAUAUUUCUUUAUCGGUUUGAUUUAUCUAAUCUAAUAAAUUGGCAUGUGCUAAUAAUUCAAACUUACAGAACUAGAUAUAAAUUAGUAAUUCAUUGACCGCACCACUAAACAUAUAUUUAUGACCAUUGCCUUCACAUGGUGGAAGUUUCAAUGCGCAGAAAAAGUGAACUUUUAAGGAAACAUAGAUGCUACAUAAGUAGAUUAAACAAAUUUUAAGUGGAAUUGCAACUUUUCCUCUAUGUUAUUUCCUCAUGCGUGCCCCCACAAUUUCUCUCUCUCUCUCCCUUCAUAUUUUCCUUUCACCUGCUUUGUUCUUCUUUUCUUUCUUUCCUUUCUUUCCUUUCUUUUCUUUUGCAGACCACCUUCUCAUAUUUUCUUUAUAUUUAUCUCUUUUGCCGAUUAUAACCCUCUCUCCGUAUCUCCUUUGAAGAAAAACUCCAUCCUUUCCAUCCUUUCCAUUUUUGAGCUGCCUUUGGCAACUAUUGCCUGCGGAAAAAUCGCCCCCCCCCCCCCUUGCUUAAGAUGGAGAUUGCUCUCUCUUGACCUCUUUGGCCGUGAAUUACGGGCUUUGAAUGCCGAGGUUGCCCCCUUCUCAAGAUGGAGAUUGCUCUCUCUUGACCUCGUCCUGUACUUAUCGUUCAUUUUGGAUUGGACAUAAAAUUUGAAAAUCUUUUUUAGACGAAAAAAUGGAGCUGAGGUAGCAUUCAGUUUAAAGUUGAGGGUCUUUUAAGACAAAAAGAAAGUUAAGGAUAAAAUUAAAAUUGAAUAUUAAAUUUGAGGGUUUUUAGAGAACUAAGACUGUCUCUCAUUUCUGGUCCGCAUUCUGAGGUUGACGACUGGAGGUUCGGUGGUUCCAUCCUUCGGCGAUGCUCCUAGGUGUUCUUCGUGUUUUUCCUAGCGGGUUAAUGCCCUUGUCUUUUUUCAUCGGUUCCCCUUCACUUUUGCUAAUCGGCUAAGAAUGUAGGUUUUGGAUCCGAUCUUUUGUAAUAUUGUCCAUGCUCUAUAAAAUUAUUACCUUUACCAAAAAAAAAUAGAGAAAACAGAGUCGAGGAGCUUCACCUGUUUUAAUCACCCAAGAGUAGAUCCGUAAUUUUUUUUGAGCAAGAAGAGUAGAUCCGUAAUUAGACAGCAUGCAAUAUUCUUUUGGUGCCCUCGCUCGAUGGCUGGGUCCCACCGGUCCUUACUUAACUUGAGGCUACCCCUCCUCUUUGCUAAGUUUUUGUCCACUUCUUAUUUUGAAUGAGUGGCCAAGCCCACCACUCCUCUCUCCUUUAUUGAUUUCACAAUUUCUUAAUCAACCCAAAGUCAAAUUAAUAAAUCAAAAUUUUCAAUUUUUUUUCGGCUAAUGAUUUUUCUUGGUUUAGUUUAGCAAUUGCUGUAAUGUUUUGCCCUGCUUCUUAUCUUGGUCAAAAAGUGGGUUUUUUUUUUCGGAAAAAAAAAGGAGAAAUAUAAAGGGAUAAGGGAGAGAACGCACCAGGAGAGGAAGGAAAAGAAACGGAAAAGAAGAGAAAGAAAGGGACAGAAGAAGAAAAAAGAGAGAGAGAGAGAGCGCAUUGCACAUACAUGGGACCUCGCCAAUUCAGAUUUAUUUCGAUUUGCAAUGCCUGAUGAGGGUUUAAGUUUUUUGUUUGUUUAAUAGAAGUAGGUUUUGAAAUUAGAUUUGAAUUACGAAAACCGAUUUUGAAAUUAAAUUUUGUAGAAGUAAUUGUGAAGAUUUGUGGGAUUUGACGGGAGAUAGUUUGAAGUAACUUUUAGUUAAAGCAAAAUUUCUGAGUUUUGCAUGCAAAAUUUUGAAAAAUCACAAUGGUGAGCAAUUUGUUGAUACGUGAGAGUCAAUUCGCUGGAGAUUGAGUUUUCUCCAAAGAGGGUGGCCCCUGAUGGUGACUUUUGCAGGGUCCCCAAAGCUGGUACCUUUGCACGCCUGCUCUUUAAAGAUAAAAUGGUUUUUCUUACUUUAGUUCCCACUUGGACAAAAUUGCUCAACUUCAAAACAGUGCCGAGCUUUUUGGCUUUGAAAUGGAAAUGAUGGAGAAAUUUAACUGUAGAAGUAAAAUUCUUGGAAAUUAGAGUGCAAAAGGAAAAGUUAACAUUUUAAACGAACUUUUUGCUCUCUGUCCAUUCCUAACGCGUGCCCCAACACUUCUCUCCCUUCAAUUUUUUUUUUUUCUUUUCACCUCCUCUGUUCUUUUUUUAUUAUUAUUAUUUUCUUUUUGCCGACCAGUUUCUCAGUCCUUGUUGCCCAUUCUCUUCUUGUUACCACAUGGACAUUAUUACGUCAUUAUUUGACCAAAAAAAGAAAAAGAAGAAAUUACGUCAUCAUACUAAUUGUAGGUUGAUGGACAUUAUAUCGUAAAUAGUCAUCAUACUAAUUGUAGGUUGAUGGACAUUAUAUCGUAAAUACCCUUUAACGGUACCUUUUUUUUCCCCGACAAGCAACUUCGGUAGUGAAUUUGGGUUUUGCUACCUUUACAAACUGUUUGACAGUCAACUUACAGCUAUAACACUUUCAAAGUUUCGACACUUUCUCGAUGCAACAACGAAUAUCGACUUUCAAGAUAUACAUUAUAACUCAAUAAAACUACAUCAAUCGGACCUAAUCUCACCAUUGCACGUGUAUUUUUCUCCAGUCAAGUCACUUUCCCUAAUAUAUCAUGUGUUCGCGAUGUUCGCAAAACGGAGUCACAUGAAGAUUCCGUCCCCUUGAGCGUCAAAUCAUACAUACACCGUGUUUCGUUAUUAAUCAGUAAUUUUUUUUUGGGGGGAUUUGUUAAUUACUAAAUUGCUAUUUCUCACAAUUUUUUUUUUUGUUGAGACAAUUUCUCACAAAUUACAAACAAAGAAGAGAAAAUAAGCAACUGGCUACUUGCUACCACCAAAGUGAACGAUCGAAACCCAAUGUGCUCAUGCGUCAUUUUGAACUAAUUUCAAAUACUUACUCCCCCAGCCGAAAAUUUCCAUCAACAAUUUUCGGAAAAAGAAUUGGAAAACCAACAAUAACAUAUAUGAUAUAAUAUGACUACAUGCCAUUGUUCUUAAAAUCCAGCUUUACAAUGAUGACUAAUUCAGGAAAUCGCCCUUUCUGCACACUACAAUUAUUUACAGUAACACCAUAAAAUAAAAAAUGUUUUUAUCCUAUGCUUAUUAGAGUCACUUUUCAUGUCUCAACUAUUUUCAAUCAAGCAAACCUAUUGAAAAUAUUCCCACUUUAAAGGUCAUGCUGUCAUUAAUAUGUUAUCUCAAUCUAUAAUUACUAGCGCAUAACAUUAUAAUUCACAAUAAUUAAAAUGAUUGUCAAAUAAUUGCAAAUUCAUACUAGUUAUGACCAACUCAACUUAUUUAUCGAGGAUCUUAAAAUUAAUCUCUUUUCUUUACAGAAAAUGGUAGAAAAACAAGAAGACAAUUUUUCAUAAUCAAUCUCAUCCAAUAAUGAUUUAUCGAAAUAUAGAAUCGAUUGCCCUUCUGUUGAGAAGCUUCAAUGUGAAUUUUAUGGUAUACCUACUUGGCCCAAAAAGACAAAAAAGAAAAGAAAAGAAGAGCGAAUAAAUACCUACUUUUCUAAAUUAUGUUGGAUAAAUAAAUUAAUUCAGAUCUAUUCACUAUGAGCCCAACCGAACCCGCGGUCCAGGUCACACGAAAGCGCGUGGAAUCUUCAUCCUGCCGACGUAAUCGGACAACGGUGCCAGCCGGCAGACCAGCCCAGCUGUACUACCGUGGAAUUACACGUGUCGGCAUCAGGAGCCUCCACCUCGUCGUCUCUGUAAUGCGACGAGCGGAUCGCAUGCAACAAGAGAGAGAGAGAGAGGGGGGAUGGGCGGUGGUGAUGAUGGGACCCACCUGAUACAAAGGCUCGUGAUUAUCGCCCGCUUCUUGUCCACCUUUGAAAAGUCAACUUGCUCUUCUUUCUUUUUUAUUUUUUUUAACGCGCCUUUUUUUGGGUCGGAAUUUCUUAAACACGCAAGAAUACUAAAGAAUCUUGUUGAUUAACAUGUUUUUAAAAUAUAUAAUGACUAAUGGAAAGAGCAACGAUAGAGACUGAAAACUGGGGCUGACCAAUCAUAACGAGCGUAUUCAGCGAAAAGUUAUUAUAUGAAUACAUAUAUAUAUAUAUAUAUAUAUAUAUAUAUAUAUAUAUUAAGUUUGAAUCUGAAUCUAAAAAUCAGGAAUUUUAAGUAGGUCUUACAAGAAAUUUAGCGGUGCAGAAACUAUUCAGUACAUUUAAGAAGUUCAUUGAUUGAUACAUCAUAUAUGAUACUUAUUAGUUGCUUCAAUAAUCCUUUUUCCAAGUAGGAUGGUUCGAUUUCAUAGCCAAUUGCGUAAAAUAUUUGCUAAAACACUCGGUUAAUGAGGUUCCAUAUAUACGAAAGUGAUGAAAAAGAAACGCCAAAGCAAUUGGAGCGUUAUGGGGAGUAAAAAAUCGGCUGUGUUUAUUUCAAUUUGUACCAUUUAAUAUGAAUAACUGAAAAUAUUUUUAGAGGAAAGCUUUUCUAAAAAAAUUGGACAUGCAUGGAGUCUCGAUUUACUAUCCAAUGGACCUUAGCUCUUCGGCUUUUGAAAUUUAUUGGAUCGAUUCCUUAUUUAUAUUUUGACCGAUGGGUUUGCUUCAUGCCAUGGGUUUUCUAAUGCAAAUAGCUAAACAUGCAAAAUAACAGCCUAGAGGAAUUAAGAUAUUUCUUCUAAUUAUGCAGAGGAAUAGCAACAGUAAAAAAAUCACAAUUUUUUGUAUUUUCAAAGGGUUAUAAAGGUAUUAUGACGGCCUACGUAUUCAUGAAAAAAUUAAUUUAAAACUGGCUGAGUAAUGACUCGCUUAUUUAAAUAAUUCUAAUAUUAAAACGACGAUAUUGUUAUUUAUGGGUUCUGGAACCCUUUCCCCCAUUUCCCUAUUAAUUUUCUUCAAUCCAUACACCCUCAGAAUUGGAAAAAUCUUCCAGUUUGAACCUCACCGAAAUUCUUUUUUUAUAAAAAAAAAAGACCAAGUUAGUGACUUGAAUUUAGGAGAAUAUUAUUUAAACAGAAUUGAGAUGAACCUUGUAGGUGUUUAAGGUGUAGAUAUUUUUCUUACAAGGUGGCGCUAAUGCUUUGCGUGCAUCUCCCAAGUCCAGCAUACUAAUACGUCGAAAAAAAGUCAACCAUUGGAAUGAGCAUUGUCCUUAAUUGCGUUAAUUUUAUGCUUUCGCGUCAUUUGCUCUGUCCCCCGCAAAGAAGAAAACAAAUGUCAAUUUUGGAAUUACUUGAAUUGGGUAUGGGAACAAAAAUGCACAUUUCUUGUUAAACUCUGAUUAUUGCAAUUGUGCUUGUAUCUAUUCUAAUUACCUCUUUGGAGAGUUAGUGUUACUUUAUGUAACAUGUUAAUUGAAGAGUGUAUAAGAGUAUUAGCAGUAUAUGGUUAUUGAUGUUGAGAUUUAUUAGCUUCGAAUACAAGCAAUACGUGUUACGUGAUAACUACUUAUAAGAUUAUUAUUGGAUUCCAGCCUUGUUGGUCUAAGAGAGUCGAUGUAAGCUUAAUAUAAACUGAGCCUAAUAUAAACUGAACCACUAUAACAUCUGGGUGGGACAACUUUUGUCUCUUAACUUAAAUUUAUGUUUGGUUUAUAGAAGCAUAAUGUCUACAAUAUCAUCAAAUUGUUGUUGCAUCUCUCAAUCUGCUCCGGCAUCUAUCAAAACGUAACUAGAGUUAUUUAACGAAAGGAUUAUUAAGUUUUGUGAUUCGACCUUUUCACCUUGUUUUAAGUUACGUUAUUAGCCUCAAAAUUAUUUAGUUAUUGCGAUGGGCUAUUUUUUAUUAAUAGGAAAGAGUAUUAUAACAUGAAUUCAGUUUUCUGCUUUUCAUUUUUGGCUUCUAUUUUUUUUUAAUGUCCUUAUUGCUAUGGAAUUUGGAUUCCUAACACGGGACACUUUCUGGUGCGUGCUUUGAACGAAUAUGAGUUCUAAUUAAUAAAUGUCCGCAGGACACUCCGGUGCGUGCUUGAGCUAAUGUCCUUUUGAUUGCGGUAUGUUCGAUGUGUUUCUACAGGAGGAAAGAAGAUGCCGCUUGAAGAUGCCUUGAUGCGAAGCGUACAUACAGACAAAAGUAAGUAAAAAACUGUAUUAUACAGGUUGGCAAAUUGACAUUAGAAUAAUGUAAAUAGGAGUGCCUUUCUUACGGCUCAAUUCGACAGGGAUUAACGUAAACGAAGUUCCUGUCUAAUUUGUCGGUUGCUGAAGGUUUAUAUAUAUUUGUUAGGGCUAGUUGAAAUAGCUGCUAUUGAAUUGUUUUAGCGAUAUCUAGAGACGGUGGCAAUUUUAAGCGGGAAAAUUGCUAACAUAAGUAUCUUACCCACACUUUUUAGCAUCUAGUCAUUUUGUAAAACAUUUAAGCCAAUUUUCUUCUAUUCAAUAAAAUUUCUUCACGGUUAAAUAUAUAUAUUGUAUCACAUCUGAAGAAAUAUUCGACCACUAUUAUGAAGAAACCUUUCUAAUCAGUGAAAUCUUAUUGAUGUUUUUGUAGAGAUUUCAACCCCUUGAUUAAAAUAAUGUUAUGCAACUUUCUAUUAAAAAAGAAAAAGGAAAGAAAACUGACGAGAAAUAUUCACAUGCUCCAGGUGCUAAUGUCCAGGAGUCAAUGACAAAAACAUAUUACCCAAACGCAAGAUGACAAAACCAUAGCAGUCAGAUUGGAUUUCGUUCAUAGAUAUCUAUAGCACGCUUAAUAUUCAAAUAAGGAAAGUUUAUUCUCAAACUUCAAUCUGAUUUUUUUCGAAAAUCAACACUUAUAAACUAAUACAAAAAAAAAAAGGCCAAUAAUUGAUGGCAAGCUUUAGUCAAGGCGUCUUUUGUCUUUCUUAUAAAGAGAAGACUGAUGACAUUUGCUUUACGGGCAUAUAAAUCCCAUCUAGGUCACAUCUUCCACCUAAAACACUAAUAAAAAAUCUCCCCAAAAACAUGAGCAAAACUUCUGCCGACUUUUUACAAUAAAAGUCGCAUAAAACCAAAGUUUACCGGCCAUCUAUCUAACAAGAAUCCAAUAGAAUCAUUUGUGGUUGUUGUCAUCUGAAAUUGGACCUGCUACUGAAAAAUUGGGAUUUUUUUAAUAAAUAUUUGCAGCACGCUUAAUAUUCAAAUACAAAAAGUUUAUUAUUUUCAAUCUUCAAUCUGAUUGUUUUUAAUCAACAGUUAUAAAUUAAUACAAAAAAAAAAAGGCCAAGAUUAGAUGGCAAGCAUUAGUCAAGGCAUCUUCUUUCUUUAUUAUAAAGAGAAGACGUCACUGAUGACGUAUGAUUCACGAGCAUAUUAAUCCCAUCCCUAUCAUAUGUUCCACCAAAAACACCGUUGAAAAAUCUCCCCCCAAAAAUAAGAGCAAUAAUUUCACCAACUUCUGAUAAUAAAAGUCGCAUGAAACCAAAGUAACCGGCCAUCUAUCUAGCAGGAAUCCAAUUAGAAUCAUUUGUGGUUGUUGUCAUCUGAAAUGGACCAUCCACCGAAUGACUUGGAUCUUUUUAAUAAACAUCUAUAGCACACUUAAUAUUCAAAUAAGGUUUAUUAUUUACAAUCUUGAAUCUGAUUUUUUUGAAAAAUCAUCACUUAUAAAUUAAUACAAAAAAAGAAGAAGCCAAGAAUAGAUGGCAAGCAUUAGUUAAGGUGUCAUAUGAUUUACAGGCAUAUGAAUCCCAUCCCCGUCACAUCUUCCACCAAAGACACCCUUAAAAAAUCUCCUGCUAAAAUAAGAGCAAAAAAAUUUCACGGACUUCUCAUAAUAAAAGUCGCAUGAAAUUAAAGUUGACCAGCUAUUAUCUAGUUGGAACCCAAUUAAUAAUAAUAAUAAUAAUAAUAAUAAUAAUAAUAAUACUAAAUGAUAGUUUCAACGACUUAAUAGUUGUUGUCUUCUGAGAUUGGACUGUCCAUCGAAUAAUUUGCACCAUCUUCACCAAAAACUUGGUAGUCAUGUUGCAUGGUUUUGUUGGCUGCAUCAGGUUUGGUGGAUGGUUUGAUUGUCUUAUACUAAAUUCUACGAGUGGGAAUCCAAUUACAAUAUUAUGUACGCACUCUUUGUGUCCUCGCAGUCAAAUGGGUUAUUUGACAAAAGAAAAAUAGUUUGUAGCAAUAUCUCAUGUUUGGAAAUAAUAACAUUAGUCGAACGUGAAGUAUCUUUAUCAUUAGUUACUAGCAAUAUCCAGAUUGGGCUAUAUGUCGGACUUAACCUGUUCUCCGUAUCAUGAGAAAACCUUUGUGAUUUCGAAACAGGCCUCCAAGGGCUCAACUGGGCUGGGCUGGGCCGGGCCGGAUUUUACGACUAUAUUACCUUGUCAAACAACGCCCGUAAGUGGUCCCUUCGGGCACAUGUAGGAGUGGUGGAUUAAUUAUUGAAAUGUAAUUGGGAAAAAAACAAUGCGAUAUCAUCCUCAUUCACUUUAAAUUAGAAAAGUAUGUUAAGGAGCUAUUUGAAUCGGCGUCUUACAAUCAGCUGGUUAAGUGUCGAGAAGAUGGACUAGCUCGAGCUCGAUCGAGCCAUUUGCCAUCACCAUGCAAGCUUCAAACACUCGGCCGGAUUACUCAACCAAGUCAUUGGUCAUUACCACCUGAAAUCCACUCCUUUUUGCGCGGCAUUUCUUUUUUAACUUGGGAUGAUUGAAUAUCAAACUCAAUUGUAUAUGAUCAUUCUCUAGUCAAGCGGCGAACGUCAAUGUUUGAUCCGGCCAUUUCUCGUAUGUGCAAUGCAAACGAAUUCGGCUUGCUGCAGUACUUCAAGUGCUUGGCUCUGAAUCUGAAGAGCGUGGAGAUUGCCUAGUCCCUAGCUCGUUCUUUUGAUGACGGCGGAUGUUAGCUCACCUUGUCAAUCCUGCUUUUAUCAAAUGAUGCACUCUUGCUGGAGAAGAUGGUCAUUAAUGUCAAGAGUAAUGGAAGACGCCAAUUGAAAUCUUUUGAGUCUUUGCCAUAGCUGGCUCUACCCUACCGAGUUGCUUUUGAAAAAGCUAGGUUGUCUUUAACUAUUGUUUAAAGCGAGUUCUUGCUAGCAGCGUCAAAGAGUUAAAACAACUUAAGAAGAACCCCAGUGAGACUGUCCUGGGUGAGGAAUGUACUGAAUCCUAGUUCCUAUUAAGUCUAUUAGUCCUUCACAUGGGGCUCCUCUGCUCAGAUCACAAAGAUAAGAAGUCAAAUGAGCACCAUUUUGAAGUUUCUACCAAAAUAAAAGUUAUAUUGUAUCCUGCAAUGAUCCUCGAAAGCUAGAGAAUAUCAUUACAAAAGAAGCCUGCGCCAAUGACAUUAAACAUUUCAAAAACUGGAAGGAGAGCCUCCGAAUUUAGUGUUAUUGUUGCUGGAGUGAGUCUUGGCUUCCAGUAGUGUGAAUUUUUGGACUUCUAUUGAAAAAAUGACCAGGGCUUGCUCAUGUUGAAAAAUUGAGUAGAGCUGGUCAAUUGACGAAUCAAAUCAAUAAAUUGAGUGUUUUUUCCCCUCAAAUUGAGCAACGCUAAUCAAUUUGGAAUUUUGAAGAGGGCCUAGUCUAUACAUGAACUAUGCUGUCUCUCUCCCUUCUUUGCAAUCAUUAACAAACAUAUAUCGUUUGCCUUGAGAUUGGUUUUUUGCUUGAUAUUAGGAGGCAUAUAAUCCAUCUAACAUUGUUUAUUUUGAUUUUGGUUGAUAUUAGGUUUGAUGCCAUUAAAAAUCCCAAGCUGUUGCCUCAUGUCACAUUUAUUCCAACUAUCCUUAAAUUGAACUUGCAUAUAAAAAUACUGAGAAAUAGCUUUAAAUGAUAUGAACAAACAAGAGGAUUAGGUUAUUGUAAGCCGCUAAUGAAAGCGGUAAUCUAAUAGAUUAUCAGUACAAAGGCAAAGGGCCUAUCAUCAAGUACUUGCAUUUUAUCAAGGUUUAGUUUAUGAGAUACAACUUCAAUUUGGACACAAAAGAUUUAAGAGUUGAUGUAUCAUAAUGACCUAUAAGGAUAUUCAAUGUGCUGAACAUUCAAUAUCCAAUGCUAAUUAUACACGAAAAGAUAUAUUCUAUUAAUUGUGAUUGUGCAAAAUGAGCCUCAUUUAAUAUACUUUAUCCAAUUCGCCAUAUAGUAGCAGAAGUAAAUUUUAUAAGCUCUUUUUUUUUUUUUUUUGGUUAGUCCUACUCUAUUCCUACUCUACACUCACUCUCAUCACUCUCAGACUUUUGCCCUGCCUCUUGCAGGGUGUGGGAGUCAAAACCCACUCCUGAAACUUACGCGUCUCCACCCCAUCCCCCCUGAGAAGGUGGGGAUUUGAACCCCUCACAUUCCCCUUUCAUGUUGAAAUGAUGGCCACUGGAGCGAAUCCCAGUGGUUAAUUUUAUAAGCUCUAAACGGCCAUAAAUAGUGGGUUUACCCGAAGGUGUUUGGUGUGAUAAACAAGUUGUCUUCUAGACAUUUCCUAUCAAUAGUAAAGCUUCUCCCAAUUUUCUCUAGUAAUAUUUGUUUUACUAGCCUUCUCUUGUUUUUUCGAUCCUCAAUAACUUUUAAUUGCAAUUUCUCCAAGACGAGCUUAUGUAGAAUGGCUCAUGGAAUUAAAAAUUUACAUGAGGUUUGCACCGACAGUGGACCUCAUAACAAUCAUUUUUUGUUGGUAAUAUUAUUAUCUCAUCUUAUUAUUAAUGUUUGACAUCAGUGUUUCUGAACUUGCAUCAAGUAAAAAAAUAUAUUAUUUUCUGGGAAGAGAGGGGGGAGAAUACAUUGAAAACGAGAAUAUUUGGAAGGGCAAUAAAUAAAGGAGGAUUUAAUUUUAGAGUAAACUCAGCUAAAGUUCACAAAAAGCUAUCAUUAUGACAGAUAAUAAACAUAAGAAAUAUCUCGUGUGCACAUGUUACAUUCAAACGUUCUCUUUCCUCGAGAUUGGCAAUAAUUCCAAAAGAAAGAACAAUACAAUUAAACAAUUUUAGAUAGGGUACGAAAUCCACUAACGAUAUUGCAAAUAUAAUCUCAUGACCUUAAACCCACCAUUUAUUUGAGGAUUCCAAAUCUCUAAGAUUGGAAUAUAGCCUAUGUUCUUUAUUGCCACCUUAAAACCAUAUAUUUUGCUAGUCAUGUUCCACAUAGGAAUGUAUUUUGUACAUCAGAUCGGAUGCAUCACUUAACAAUGACUUGUGGAGGAAUGAGUCAAUCUCAGGCGAGAGAUUUAAAUAUGCAAAUANNNNNNNNNNNNNNNNNNNNNNNNNNNNNNNNNNNNNNNNNNNNNNNNNNNNNNNNNNNNNNNNNNNNNNNNNNNNNNNNNNNNNNNNNNNNNNNNNNNNAAAUAAUGAACAUAUACAGAUGAAGCAAAGCUUGGCACUAUCAAGCAGGUCUCAAAGCUUACAGCAAUACCAUGAAGGCGGUUACCACCGCAUAGAAGCCAUGACUCGCCAUCUUUCGGUCAAUUCUAUCCAAAUCAAUAGAUAAAUUGUUACCUUUUACUCCACUUUUUCCUUCAACAAAUGCCCGCCUAGCAGAAGAGGCACAUGGCAGGUAUAGGUUAGGACUUCUCGAAGAAGGGUGGAGUCAAAGAGCUUCAGUCAGAAAGCCCACAUGCAUUGCUUCUCACACUGAUGUCUGCAGCUUCAAGUAUUAGAGGCCCACCCACAGCAGCAACUCAAGUAUAACCAUCACAAACUCUUGAACAAACAGUCAUUCUGAAUCAGAGAUUCUUCUUCUUACUCGUCCAGUAUGCAGAUCAGGGCUUUCUUUCUUGCAGCUAAAACAGAAGCCACACCUCUACUUGCUGUUGCCAAAAAAAAGUCAACUUGAUUUCAGUCCAGUGUUCCUUAGAUAUAUGGCCAUAACUAACGUGAUGUUCAGAUACCUUUGUUGGGUAAAUGUAAAAGUACAACACAUGAAUUAUGCUAAAACACAGGCGGGAGGCAAACCUUGUGUGCCUAAAGAGGCUAUGGCAUGCAUAUAACUAUAAAUGCUCUACAGUAUCUUGCUAUACUAGAUACCAUGAUAGUAUCUAUCAUCAUGAACUUGUAGAUAGUGGUUCUCAGUCCGUAACUCAAGACUGUUAUGCACCAAUUAUAAGAGAGAGAUUAUUCUUUCUGUAUUUGUCUGGCAAUUAUAGAUUCGUCCUUUUCACACUUUGUCCUCUCAAUUGAUUUAAGGGGAAACCUAAUACUCCAGCAUUUUACUUCUUCGACAGAAAAAUAUUCUUCUUUGGAACAUGCUUUUGCACUUCUUCAAUCUGCAGGAACAAACAUGAGGUGGUCUAUUAAAGAGGCACAAUGUACCUAUGCCAAUCACAUUUAAACUUAAGAGUAGGUUCUCAGCGGAAAUGUAGUAAGGAGCAUGGACAGGAUUAAUUCAGUUCCACUACCCAGCCAACGAGACAAACUGUUACUGACACUGGCAAGUUUAUCAAACAUUGAUACACAAAGGAAAGAGUAGGGCAACAAUAAGUUUCCAGACAUCCACAACUGCAAAUGGACAUGUUAAGAAGCUCAAAGAAAAAAAUCUUCAGAACUAUACAAUUGAUGGCAUCACAAUGAAUUGAUCCUUAGCCCGAUAGUAUGACAGCAUCAAAAUGUUCUUACCACUAACUGACAAGGGAGGAACUACAGCAUGGGGAAUGCUGCAAAGCUUCUCAUUCUCCGUCUCCACAACUGCACUCACCCCUAUUAAAAAAUGGAUAAUUAUCUUUCCAAUUGGCCAAAAAAAAAAAAAAAAAAGAAGAAGAAGAAGAAGAAGAAGGUAAAUAUAACAAGAGAUGUUUUAGUAGACCAGACAUAAGUUUUCAAAAAACCUUCCACAAACCCAUAUUGAAGCUGUUGAAUAAAAUCCUAAGUUUGAGAAAAGAAAUAUUUUAGUAGACCAGACUAAUAUAACUACUUAACUGCAAACAAAGCAUUAGACAGAACAUGAAAGGUAUGAACAAUAAAAUAUUGUCUGUUCAGAAUCAAGAUUGAGAAGUUAGAUGAACUUUUUUCAGUUGAAAGAUGCAUACUCUAUUCACUUGGGCAUCCUCCUCCCAAUUGAGACACACCCCAGCUGCCGCAUGGGACUUAAGCUUCUUAACAGUUUUCCAUUCUGCUUAAUAUUUAUACCGAGUUAAAAAAAAAUAUACCACAGUACGUAUAACUGCUGCAAGCACUAGCAUGUAACAAGCAGCACGAUGCAUAUCCACGGUUCCAUAAAGACGGCUAGAUUGGUAAGAUAACAUUCAUAUGUAAAAAUAAGAUCUUCAAAGCAAAACAUAAUCCAUGAAGUGGAUAAUGAUUAGUAAAUUGGUAAGACAUCACAAAGAAACUUUAUGGCAGCAGCAUCAGCCAAGUUCUGAGCAAUUGUACCCACAACCAAACAGCUAGCUUAAUGAAUAACUGGUAAUCUACAAACUUUUCCACCCACAAGCAUAUUUAAGGCACAUACAAAUUCUAUCAUUUAGGAGUCUUCCGAACUAUUACCUUCCUAAUAUGACCGAACUGGACAUGUGUCGCUUUAAAUAAUAGAAAGAAACUAAUAAUUUGAUGAAAAUGAGCGUGCCAUGGAUGACUGCUUCUAUAUGCUGUCUCAGUCAUCUUUGGAUAGGAAUGAACGAUUCAAUCUAAUUAGUUAAAUGGGUAUUUAUAAGAUAUCAUGAUAUCAUCUAAACCGAGCACUUUGUAAGUUUACGGCUAUUCUUCUUAAAAAUUAUAUGACAUUGACGAAGAUAUGCAUAUUGCAUGUAUUGUACAAGUAAUAAAUGCUGCGCCGGUCAUGUUUGGAUUGGAAUGAACCAUUCACUUUAAUUAGUUAAAUGGGCUAUUCAUCUCUUGUCGUUUUUAGACCUAUUUAACAAAGGGGGCAUGAUCGAAAAGAGUGUUCUAAUAAGAUCUGUUAAGGCUUUUGUGCUUAGAUUGACCUAACUAGCAGUCCACUGUUCAUUUGACAUUGGCAGACAGGACCUGUAAACAUGGAUUGCCACCUAUAUUAGCAGCUAAAUGUGUGUUGAGCAAGCUUGCUGUUUGCAAUGCAUCAUGCGACUUUUGAGCAAUUCAGAAUCUUUCCCACAAAGAUUAGAGAAGACACAUUCUGAAGAUAAGGGAUUCGUGCAGUGAAACUGUGCCAUCUUCUAGUCCCAAGACAACUACUUUGCCAUCAGGAUGCCAGCAUAAUGAUGUUAUACAUUUACCUGGAGUACAUUUGAAUAGUUAGAUAAUCUAGUAUAAUGACAUACAAUGGAAUGUGCCACGAAAAGUGAUUUCAUAGACUACCACAACAACUUGACAACAAGAACACAGAGAGAGAGAGAGAGAGAGGGGAGAGAGAGAGACAGACAGAGAGGAUGAAUAAUUUGUUCACCAUAAAACUAAUAGACUAAGAGGAAAGACAGAGAACACACAUAAACCGAGAAAAUGAUAAUCAAAAUUUGGGAAGUAAGGCAAACAUCAUAACAGUACACAUUAUAUCUGACAGGGAUAUUGGUAGCUUGACAUGGGAUUUCUUUGGGCUAGUAGAUCAUCUAAAGCUAGGGAAUCUACAUCUUUUUGGCAGCCUUCAAUCCAUUAUCUCAAUCCAGGAACAAAUCUUAUUGUUCAGCUUUGGAACCUUGAGGUGGAGCGUAACCAUGAAAGCAUACGUCAAGCAAGGAUCACAGGUGUACAAGUAUCUACAACUUAUCUAAACAGAAACCACUCAAGGAUUGGUUCAUGAAGCACUCAACAACAUGUUUUUCAUAUCAAGAAGGCAACAUGAUGCAUGCGGCAUUCAGAUGUUUCUGGAGAAAAUAUACCUCCUCUCUAAAUUUUUCCAGUGAGAAUAGAUUACAAAAACUACCAAGGCUAGGCAUCUGUCGCGACCUCUUUUUUUUUUUUCAGGCGCCCGCGAUCGGGUACGGGCGCCUAAGGGAGGCUAAUGGCUCGACUGAAUUUAUUAAAGCCCGGACUCUCCCAAGUCCACCAAUUCACGACUUAAUAGUCCAAGUUUUUAACCUGUAAGUCAAUUUUAAAACGGAGUCGCCACUAAUCAGUUUGGGGUGGGUUGAUUAGAAACCCAAGCGAAAUAUCGGGAGAAAUACUCGCUCCUGCGUAACCAGAGAAAUUAGGAUCGGGGACUUGAUUACACUAGUUAAUCACUAAUGCCCUUUCGGUACCUAAUCUUGUUUAAACCCUAAGGCUUUUUGGAUUUUUGAGGGAUUUUUCAUGCAUUUUUUUUAGAGGAAAAACAUUUUUUUUUAGUCUUUUUUCUAAUUUUUUGACAUAAAAAGCAUUUUUUGGAUUUUUGAUCUUUUUCUGAAAAUAUAAAUCAUUUUUUGGCUUUUUCUGAAUUUUUUGGUUUUUUUGGGAAAAUAUGGACAUUUUCGAUUUUUUUGAUUUUUUAGAAAAUAAAUUAUUUUUUUAUUAAAAUAUUAUAUUAUUUUAUAUUAAAAUAAUAAAAACGAACCGGGUCGGAUCCAGGGUUGGGUCCGACCCGGGCUGUUCGCCCAGAACGCAAACGGGCCUGCAACACAGGCCCGACUCAUUUUUUUUCUUUUUUAAGCGUAAAAGCCCAAAACCUAUUUUUUUUGGCCCACUUCACAAAAAUUCUAGCCCAACACAACCCAGCCCACGCGUGCAGGCCUGACCCGGGGAAACCCUACCCCUACGCCAACCCGGAUCCGCCCGACUUCGACCCGGUUCACAGCCGCGACCCGGAUCAUGGAACCCUACCCGGCCGCGACCCGCUUCUGACCCAACUCGCAGCCGCCCCUCGAAACCCUACCCGGACAGUGGCCCGGAUCCGACCAGGCAUCCCUUUCGUGAGGUAGGUUGCCAGGAGUCAUAGGGCUCGACGAUUUGCGGCGCCGGAGAGGGGUUGUCGAGACAUCGCCGGAGGACUCAACGGCCUCGACAUGACGAUCAGCGACUAGGCUUUCAGGGGAAAAGAGGCGACGACGAUGGCGGCCGCUGGUUGGUAGGAGAAAGCGGCGGCAACAACGAUGGACGAUUGCUGGGUUUUCAGGGGAGGGCAGAGGGACAGCGACCAGAGCAGAGCCAACACGGCGGUUACCUGCUCGCAACAAGGGCACGACACGGCGGCCGCGGUGGUGACAAGGUGAGCAACAGCGACGGCGGCCCCUUAGAUCUCAGACGGCGUCGGGAUGGUGUUUGGGGCGGCGUUGGAGCUGAAUCGACGGCGGAUCUGAGCCUCGACCGUCUCUUGCACUUGAUUUCUCCUCUCUCUGCAAGCUCGCUUGCCUGCGGCCUCCCCCGAUGUCUCUCGGUGGGAGGCCGUUUAAGCUCACGACCUGCCUCCGGCGGGCCUCAGAUCUUCGGCCGCGCGUCCUCGGACCCCCCUGAAGUCUCUCAGUGGGGAACCCGAAGUCUGCGGCCUUAGAUCCGACUCCCUCUCUCUCUCUGUUCGUCUCUCCGGCAGAAGCUCUCUUUCUCCGGCCGCGAGCCUUCGGAUCUAGGCUUGCUCGACCUCGGCUCCCCUUCUGAAGUCUCUCAGCAGGAAGCUCGAAGCUUUGCAGCCUUCGAUCACUCUCGGCCUCUUGGCUUGCUCUUUGAUUUCCCCCUUGAAGUCUCUCAAAGGGAAGAUCUCGGAGCUCGCUGUGUGUCCUUCGACGGAGGUGGUGCCUCGCUAUUUAUAGGCGAGGGGGCGGCCGGUCGACGGGGCUUCGACCGCUGGUCUUCGCAUGCCGAACGGACGCCCGCGGCCGAACCGGUGUCUCGUCUCAGCAUUAAAGGCGCGCAUUGAAGGCGCAUGCGCGUUGUCCUCUCCUCCGGCGGCCUACCUCCAUUCCUCUUUACCGUAGGUUGCCCUUGAGCGCGUCGCCGGCCGCCGCGCGUGAUGCACAGAGGCACACAGAAGAAGAAGGAAGGAGAAGGAAGAAGGAGGGGGAAGGGUUAGGUUGUGCGGGCCGGGCCGAGAAAAAAAGAAAGAAAAUGAGCCUAGGGGCCCACGCGAAAGGGAAAAAGGGGGCUGGGCCUAUUUUUUUGUUUUCUUUUGUUUUAUUGAUUUUUGUGUGUUUUGUUUGUUAUUUAUUAUUUAUUAUCUAGAAAAAGGAAAAAUAAAAGAAAUUAAGGCGUUAAUUAAUAACCUAAUCAAAAUUUAGGUGUCAACAGCUGCCCCUCUUUGAAGGUGAGUUCGCAGAGGUUGCAUUCAAAGAUAAACCUGAUACCUAAAUUUUGUCUAUACAUAUGCAAUAGAUUAUAUGAUAUUUAGGACCUAGUGUCCUAUGCAGAAAAUGAGCAAUAUAACAUUGCAUAUACUAAGACAGAUAAGAAGAUACCUGUAGUUACUUACCGGGAGUGAGUGAGAUAGGGUGUGAACCCCGAGUUUUGGCAAGUAUCAAGGCGUCAUCUUACCUGUUGCAUGAGGAGAUUGCUUCUCUAGGACCCGAACCAUUCUUCGGUCGCCUAUUGGAGCAAUAAGUGGUUUGUCUAGGACCCGAACAUUUCUUCGGUCGCCUUGACGGGGAAUUGCUUUUCCAGGACCCGAACCUUUCUUCGGUCGCCUGUUAGAGCAAUAAGUUGUUUGUCUAGGACCCGAACCUUUCUUCGGUCGCCUUGACGGGGAAUUGCCUUCCCAGGACCCGAACAUUUCUUCGGUCGCCUGUUAGAGCAAUAAGUUGGUUUGUCUAGGACCCGAACCUUUCUUCGGUCGCCUUGACGGGGAAUUGCUUUUCCAGGACCCGAACCUUUCUUCAGUCGCCUGUUAGAGCAAUAAGUUGUUUGUCUAGGACACGAACCUUUCUUCGGUCGCCUUGACGGGGAAUUGCUUUUCCAGGACCCGAACCUUUCUUCGGUCGCUGUAGAGCAAUAANNNNNNNNNNNNNNNNNNNNNNNNNNNNNNNNNNNNNNNNNNNNNNNNNNNNNNNNNNNNNNNNNNNNNNNNNNNNNNNNNNNNNNNNNNNNNNNNNNNNNNNNNNNNNNNNNNNNNNNNNNNNNNNNNNNNNNNNNNNNNNNNNNNNNNNNNNNNNNNNNNNNNNNNNNNNNNNNNNNNNNNNNNNNNNNNNNNNNNNNNNNNNNNNNNNNNNNNNNNNNNNNNNNNNNNNNGGAGAUAGUACUUGGACGAUCACAAGUACAAACUCUUAGGGGAUACUUGGAUGAUCACAAGUAUCGAAGGGGUACCUGGACGAUCACAGGUACAAACUCUUUGGGGAUACCUGGAUGAUCACAAGUAUCGAAGGGGUACUGGACGAUCACAGGUACAAACUCUUGGGGGAUACUUGGAUGAUCACAAGUAUCGAAGGGGUACCUGGACGAUCAUAGGUACAAACUCUUUGGGGAUACCUGGAUGAUCACAAGUAUCGAAGGGGUACCUGGACGAUCACAUGUACAAACUCUUGGGGGAUACUUGGAUGAUCACAAGUAUCGAAGGGGUACCUGGACGAUCACAGGUACAAACUCUUUGGGGAUACCUGGAUGAUCACAAGUAUCGAAGGGGUACCUGGACGAUCACAGGUACAAACUCUUGGGGAUACUUGGAUGAUCACAAGCAUCGAAGGGGUACCUGGACGAUCACAGGUACAAACUCUUUGGGGAUACUUGGAUGAUCACAAGCAUCGAAGGGGUACCUGGACGAUCACAAGUACAAACUCUUGGGGAUACUUGGAUGAUCACAAGCAUCGAAGGGGUACCUGGACGAUCAUAGGUACAAACUCUUGGGGAUACUUGGAUGAUCACAAGCAUUGAAGGGGUACCUGGACGAUCACAGGUACAAACUCUUUGGGGAUACUUGGAUGAUCACAAGCAUCGAAGGGGUACCUGGACGAUCACAGGUACAAACUCUUGGGGAUACUUGGAUGAUCACAAGCAUCGAAGGGGUACCUGGACGAUCACAGGUACAAACUCUUGGGGAUACUUGGAUGAUCACAAGCAUCGAAAGGGUACCUGGACGAUCACAGGUACAAACUCUUUGUACAUGGAAUAUCGAGGACAUACCUUGGAUAUUCAUGUGGAAAUAUCGAUGAUGGGUCUUGCAUAUACGUGAAAGUCUCUCACCUGCUGGUAGUGGGAAUAUCGAGGACGUACCUUGGAUAUUCAUGAAGGUCUCUCAACUCCUGGCAAUUGGGAAUAUCGAGGACGUACCUUGGAUAUUCAUGAAGGUCUCUCACCUCCUGGCAAUUGGGAAUAUCGAGGGCGUACCUGAGAUAUUCAUGAAGUUUUCUCACCUUCUGGUAACAUAAACUUGAAUGUAGCACGAGGCUUACCUGGAUGGCCACAUGCACUUAAAAGGGGUGGAACACCUGGGUAGGCGCAGGCACACAAAGCAGUGGAAUGCUUGAACAGCUGCUAUUAUUUGGAGACAACUUGGGCAAGUUGAGUGUCAUGAAAAGAAAGUACCUGGACAACGGUGGGUACUUGACGAUAUGAGGAUACCUAGACAACAGUAGGUAUUCCAAGAGAUACUUGGUCAGUCGCAAGUAUCAAUACUCUGGAGACAACUCGAAUAGGUCGAGUGUCAGGAAAAGGGAGUAUCCGAACGGUGGCCGGUACUCAAAGACAAAGGAUACCUAGACAGCAGUAGGCAUUCAACGAUAAAAGGAUACUUGGUCAGUCACAAGUAUCAAUACUCUGGGGACAACUCGAAUAGGUCGAGUGUCAGGAAAGAGGAGUAUCCGGACGAUGGCCAGUACUCAAAGACAAUGGGAUGCUAAGACAGUUGCAAGCAUCGAAACUCAAGGGACAAUUCGAAUAGGUCGAGUGUCAAGAAGAGAGUACCUAGACAGUGGUAGGUAUUCAACGAUAAAGGGAUACUUGGUCAGUCACAAGUAUCAAUACUCUGAGGACAACUCGGACAGGUCGAGUGUCAUGAAGAGGGAGUACCCGGCAAGUGGUGAGUACUCAAAGACAAUGGGAUACUGAGACAAUUUGUAAGCACCCAAACUCAAGGGACGACUCGAAUAGGUCGAGUGUCAAGAAGAGAGUACCUGGACAGUGAUAGGUACUUUAAGACAAAUGGGGACAGGGAUAUGCUUACCUGGCAAUAUCUUUGAUCUCUAAGAGUAUAUCUGCUAUUUGUACAAUAUGCACACAUGAUUGUACAUGCUGAAAAUUCAUGAGUUCAAAUGGGAUUAAUGCUUGAUAAUUUUGUCAGCUUUGCAUCAUCUGAUUUCCACUGGGGAAGAUUUUGAAAGACAACCUUCAUUUAGAAUGUAGAUGUCUUGAGCAUGCUCGAUGAGGGACUUUCAGUCUGAAAGGACUUUCCACUCUCUCUCAUGGAAAAGGCUAUCCUGACCAUUGAUGCAGGAUUUAUAAGGACCACACUUCUCACUGUCAUCAUGUCAGCAGGGGUUUGAGUAUUCUCGUAAGUGGUACGACUUUACCAAUGUGAGACGUCUUUGUUGAAAUUGUGAUGAAGACUUAAUCAAUGGCUCAUCAAAUGGGACCGUCGAGGUCAAGGCUCAUGAACGAAGUGCCGCACGAUCAUCUCCGGGUUUGCAAGUCGAGAAUCCUGCGAAAAGAGAUAGAGUAAUCUUGCUCGUACUUCUUCGAGCAAUGCUUAUGCACAUAUGAAAUCCUACAUUAAUUGAAGUGCCCCUAGUCUGAAGAGACUUUUACAAUGGGAUGCAAUGUAGACUUGAUUCAUGUGUAAAAAGGUGACAGCUGGUGAUUGUCUUGGCAUUUGUCACCAGUCUUUCUUCUUACUAUCAAAUGGAGGUUCUAUGGACCACAACAGCAACAUUUUCUUGGUUGCAUUUUUGACUGGGGGACAUUGGCCUUGCUUUUACCAGGCACACUGCUUUUUUCAUGCCCCUAUUUUUAUUCCAGUUUUUCAUUUAUGAGCAUUGACCUUGCUUUUACCAGGUACACUGCUUUUUUUAUGCCCAUGUUUUUUCAUUCUUGUUGCUUGAGAGUUGAUCUUGACAAGUUCAAGCAAACGCCUUUGUUAGACUAUUGAGUCUUCAUUUUUUGCUGGCACUUCUGAUUAUGCUGCUCAAAUGGCAGUAGCUUCUGCUUUGCCUUCAUGUGAGGGUGAAAUUACAGACUCAAUUGGGUUGUACAAUGAAUACAAGUGCAUAGAGAAAGAAUUGCUCUUCGUCAUUCUAGGGCACUUAAAUUAACGUGAGUGUUCAUAUGUAAUAAGAACACCCGAAGAUUGAUGCAAGUGCGAGCAAGAAAAUUUCUAUCUCUCUUCUCACCUUGUGAUGCUGCUUUGCCUCCGAUCUGCCCCAGUGUGGGGUGGUUCUUGAUGGGGGUAUGGGAGAAACUUCACCAGUGUAAGGAGCUCAAAGGGGUGAGCAAUGAAAUGCCUCUCACUGUUUUGGUUAUCGUACCAUUCGCGAGAGAACUCUUUACCCUGUAGUCAUGGAAUCUUCUGCACUCAUCUCACAAGUGUAUAGAUGGGGGGAUUGUGUGUAGGAUAUAGCUUGCCUGUCGUCAUUCUGACGCGCCUCAUCCAGCAUGCUCAAUCAAUCUUGUAUUCUUCACUUAGCUGUCUAUUCUAAUAAUCCUCAGUGAAAUUAGUGACUUAGACAGACAAAAUCAUCAUGCAGAAUUCAUCUGGAAGUGACAUGCAACAUUUUGAAUAUGAUGGAGUUUGAACUCUUCAAAACAAGUGAAUGGUUUUGACUCAAAAAAGACCCUAUUGACAACUUUAGGGGCUAACAUAGUGGUGUUUCCAAGUAUGUUAGAUUUUGAACAUCAAAAGGGUUAUUUACAAAUGGGUGUCGAUGGUUGUCCCUAUUGAUUAGGGAUAUGACACAUAAAUGAUCAGUCGGGGUUGGGGAUCUGAUCGGGCAUCUCUGCUUUUGCCCCUGCAGAAGAGAAGAUGUACAAGUAGAUCAAUUAGUCUGGCCAAAAUCAAAUGUGGGUUGAGGCCUGAAGAUUUUCUGUCUUUUGCUUUGGCGAUUACUCAGGACGCCUUUUCGCUUAGGGGAGUUUGUCAUGCCUCUCAUUGAUUUAUUAUCUUUGUUUUUGACAGUCAGGUAACCUGCAACAAACAAGACAUGCUUCUCAUUGAUUCGUUAUCCUUGCUUUUGACAGUAAGGUGAUCCUGCAACAAACAAGAGGAAAUGUGUUAGUCAUGAACUCUUUCAAGAGUUGAAUAACUGGAAGCGAUACAACUUUACCCUUCACUGGUUUGCAGAUGAUUGGAAGGACCUGAAGUGAGAUGGGGACACGAAGUCCUAUGUCCCUUGCUUUGUUAGGUCACCUGUUCUCUCGUAAUUUGCAAGUGCAAGAGAAGCAAAAUUUUUUUUAUUAUUUUUUUACCAAGCGGCUAACUGCCGCGUCGGGGAUUCAAACCCCCGACUUCGGACCUUUUUGCUUCUUCCCGGAUACCACUCGGCUAGAGGCGCCGACGGUGUCCGUAGGCCGCUGCAUUUUUUAUUUAACCGGACCGGCUCCAGGACGACACGUCCUUUUAUACCAAGUUAGGUAAAUCGAUAUGGGUCACUUGAUUUGUCCAAAUUAACCUUUAAGCUUGUUUCUUGAAUCCUAUACUUCCUGUCAAUAGGAGAAAACAUGUCAAAAGUGAGUUCAGACACUGGGAGUAUUGGAAACGAUACCAAAUUACUCUUCUCCAAAGUUUGUAUUUGCUGACUCCUAGGGAUAUUUGAAUGUCGAUGACAGCCUUUUUGUCUUGGCACAAUUUGACAUUUCUUUCGAUUGGCCUUCCUCACUUAUGGCCAUGUAUGUAUGAUUGAUGGUUGUCGAUUUAUCUUCAACGCCUUCCUUCUGUGGAAUUUUUCUUCUGUCUUUGACUAUAUGACCAUUAACAGCAUUGAGCAAAGUCAUGUACUUCAAGCUUCUAUGGAAUCUGAGAUAAAAAAUCUCAAGCUUUCUGAUGGCAAUUACUCCUUGGAAGAAUAUGCGUCUUGAGUGAAGUUUCUAGAUUCCAAAGUCAUUGUCCAGGGUGUGGGGCUAUAGAUCGCUUUGACUGUCUAGAUUUUCUCCCUGUUGACAGUAGUCACUUUAAAGGAAGAGAAGCAAUUCCUUCUUUGUGCUUCUUGGCUCGUUGAAGCUGGAAGUCCCGCCAAUGAACUUGCGACAUCCUGCCAUGAGCUAUCAUGCUAUGCAUGCUUCAAGUUUGAUAAUAUGUCUGUGCCUAUUACGUCCCAUCCUUCGUCUCCUGUAGAUGGAAGAGAGAGGAUGUCAUUUUCGACAUUAUGUUCAGGGAAUAGGACUUACCAUUUUGAAACGUGAUGCUCCUUUCUGUUUGCCCCUGCUUUCUUAAAAAGGUGUUCUCGAGUUUGGUCUGUUCACACGAUGUGGCAGUUUCAACUGCCUUCUGUCACACUAAAUCAAAAGGGGAUGCUAUGAAGUGAGAAAGUUAAAGAGACAAACAUGCUCAAAUUCAUCAUCUUAUUUUGACAAAAGCUUUUGGUGAUGAAAUAUUUUUCAUUUUCAAAAUAUUUUUUGGGGAGAAAAAGCAUGAGGAAGCCCGGCCCUCAAUAUUUCUCCUUGGAUGAUGUUUUUUUUCAUGGUUGGAUAACAUCACUGGGCUGGUUUGGGGUACCGCCUCAUGCUCUCAAAAUAUUUUCAACUUUAUUUAAUAUGUGGAUUUACAUUUUGGAAGAGUGAUUUCAAAAGUUAGUUCCUCAAGCGGAACUGAUGUUGAAAAUAAAACAAGCCAGACUUAAGAAAAAUGUACAAGUUCCCACGUAGGGGAGUACGCAAAGAAAUUAAAAAGGGUUCUACUUGAGCGAGCCUGCACCCAUUUCCCCUAACGGUCCUUCGUUGAUGGCGCCCAUGAAAAGGUCUCCAAACAUGGUGGUCGUGUCAUCUGGCCCUUCUUUUUUUUGUUGUUGCUAAGGGUGGAACUUUAUUACCUGAAUAAUACUCGGCCUCUACCAGCCCUUGAUAGAUGUCAACGGUAUGUGUUUCAACAUUUAUGCUCUGACUAUCCUCAGAACUGAAUACCGUGUUUACUUUGUCGGUGUGAUUAGGGAGCGGAUUGCUCUGGAAUGAGAAAGCUUUAGUGUCUAACAGGUUUUGGAUUCGACUUUUGAGAGCGAAGCACUCAUCAGUCGAGUGCCCCACUUCUCCCCUGUGAUAGUCGCAUUUUUUGGAUGGAUCAUAGCUGGAGAAGCUUUCUGUGUUUGGUCGCUUUGGCUCAGUUGAGAGGAGGUUCUUAUUCUGGAGGACUACCAAAACCUGUGAUGGAGAUCCGGGAAGUGGAGUAAAUUGUCUCCUGCUGCUGUAACGCUGGGAUGGCUGACGUUUGGUGAUCUGUUGUUGUCCUGCCCUUGUCUGAAUUGUUGAAGGAUGAUUACAGGUCGCAUUGACAUUUACUAGGGGUUCUUUGUCUUUCUUCAUGCUGAGUCUACCCGUGGGUGCAGAUUCAGUGAACCAACCAUCCCUCAACCCUAUCUUGAUUUGCUCUUCUACUGGAAGGAGUUGAUCGAUCGUGGUUACCAUUCGAUUGCGGUACUCAUAAGGGAGGGUUUUGAUAAACAUUUUUCUCAGUUCGAAAUCGGUUGGUUCGGGACUAAUUUGGGUGGCUAGAUUUCUCCGCCCAAUGGCAUACUCUUUGAAUGAUUCAUACUUUUUCUUCUCGGUACGCUCAAGAUCCUCGCGAGAAGAGGUAAUAUCCAUUAUGAACUCAUACUGCUUGAGGAAUGCCUCACUCACUUCGCUCCAUGUUUCGAGGAGGCUUAUGUUCUUUGUGAUGUACCACCUCAGGGCAGGACCUACUAGACUUGAUUGGAACAACUGGAUCAUCAAGGGUGCAGUAUUGGCGUGUUGGGCCAUCCAAACUAAGUACAUUUGCAAAUGAGUCAUUGGGCAAGUUGUGCCGUCAUACUUUUCAAAUUCAGGUAUUUUGAAUUUUUCUAGCAUUGUGACUUUGGAAUAAAUGGAGAGGUCCGUCGAAGUAGGAUCUUUGAGGCAUUGCAGUUGUUUCAGUCUCUCCUCAAGCUUUUCGAGACGUUUGUCAUGCUCAGCUUUAGACAAAUUGUCUGGCUUAGCUUUCUCAAUCGCGGUUUGGUGUGGAUCAUUCUCCAAUUCGGGUAUGUUAUCGUUGGUAUCUCCACCUUGAUCACCCAUGGUAGAUGAUUGUGGCAAGAAUACCUCGAUUGAGGCCGGGGCAGGAGUAAGUUUGCUUUGGAUGGAGUCUAUCUGCUUUGAGAGUUGUUGAAGCAUAUUAAAGACUUGCUUCAUUUUGCUUUCUACAACCGCAAUACGGCUUGGUACAUUUUCUUCGGCCAUUCUUGCUCUUGCUUUUGAACGAGUCUGGAUCGGCGAACGUUGACGUUCCGUGAUUACCUAGUCAUGAGUAAACAAGCGUGUGUGAAUACAAGGCGUAAAUAGGGAGUCAGUCCAUGAUGACAACCUAAUCCUACUAUUUUUGUUUAUUCAUGAAAAAGUAGAGGAUUUCCUAAACAUGGAUUGAAAAAGGGCACGCUACAUGCUAACAUGAGCUAAAAAGAUAUUCAAUUUGAAAGGCGAAGAAAGCAUGAGUUGCAACAAAUUUUGAAAAAGGUUUCUAUCCCUUCUUCUUUUUUUUUUUUUUUUUUUUUUAGGCAAAUGAAAAUUCUUGCUGAAAAGAAUUUUGUAACAUGCUUGAGAAUAAAAACAUCAACUGAAAGUAAUUUUUUGCAAAUUUUUUUAAAAACUUAAAAAAAAAACUUUAUGACAAUUACUUUCAAACUUAGAUGGCCGCGAUAUUAAAUCCUACACUAAUCAUGGACUACUCAAUAUAUACAGGAAGGUAAGUAAAUUGCAAAGUACACGAAAUAAGAACUUACUUCACACGAGAAAAUUGAUGGCAAUCACAUAGACAUGCGCAUGAUAUGUGCGGCUCGAUUUCUAACUGAGAAGGAUUGGUGAGAUUAAAAGGAUAUCCGCUCGUCGCAGUCUCGCGUUAGCAGCAUACCCUCCUAACCUUGGCUAAGAAAUUCGGGGAAAAGAAAGGCAACCUCUACAUCGCAGUCUCGCGUUCGAGGUCGUAUCUUUCUUAACACCAUCCUAGAAAUCUUAUGGCGGCCCAGGUCCGGCGGCCGGGUUGUGUGUGCCAUGUGUAGUGCUAAAACAUUUAAGGAUGCACAAUAGUUUAUAAUCACAAAACAUUUUAUUUUAACAGAAUAAAAAAAAUUUUAAGCUAUUACCCUGCACAAAAGAAAAAACCCAAGUCAGUAAAGUAUUUAAACAAAGAUAAAAUGGCCUAAGUCCUCAAAGUCCCUAGUGGAGUCGCCAAGCUGUCGCGACCUCUUUUUUUUUUUCAGGCGACCGCGAUCGGGUACGGGCGCCUAAGGGAGGCUAAUGGCUCGGCUGAAUUUAUUAAAGCCCGGACUCUCCCAAAUCCACCAAUUCACGACUUAAUAGUCCAAGUUUUUAACCUGUAAGUCAAUUUUAAAACAGAGUCGCCACUAAUCAGUUUGUGGUGGGUUGAUUAGAAACCCAAGCGAAAUAUCGGGAGAAAUACUCGCUCCUGCGUAACCAGAGAAAUUAGGAUCGGGGACUUGAUUACACUAGUUAAUCACUAAUGCCCUUUCAGUACCUUAAUCUUGUUUAAACCCUAAGGCUUUUUGGAUUUUUGAGGGAUUUUUCAUGCAUUUUUUUUAGAGGAAAAACAUUUUUUUUUAGUCUUUUUUCUAAUUUUUUGACAUAAAAAGCAUUUUUUGGAUUUUUGAUCUUUUUCUGAAAAUAUAAAUCAUUUUUUGGCUUUUUCUGAAUUUUUUGGUUUUUUUGGGAAAAUAUGGACAUUUUCGAUUUUUUUGAUUUUUUAGAAAAUAAAUUAUUUUUUUUUAUUAAAAUAUUAUAUUAUUUUAUAUUAAAAUAAUAAAAACGAACCGGGUCGGAUCCAGGGUUGGGUCCGACCCGGGCUGUUCGCCCAGAACGCAAACGGGCCUGCAACGCAGGCCCGACUCAUUUUUUUUCUUUUUUAAGCGUAAAAGCCCAAAACCUAUUUUUUUGGCCCACUUCACAAAAAUUCUAGCCCAACACAACCCAGCCCACGCGUGCAGGCCUGACCCGGGGAAACCCUACCCCUACGCCAACCCGGAUCCGCCCGACUUCGACCCGGUUCACAGCCGCGACCCGGAUCAUGGAACCCUACCCGGCCGCGACCCGCUUCUGACCCAACUCGCAGCCGCCCCUCGAAACCCUACCCGGACAGUGGCCCGGAUCCGACCCGGCAUCCCUUUCGCGAGGUAGGUUGCCCGGAGUCCUAGGGCUCGACGAUUUGCGGCGCCGGAGAGGGGUUGUCGAGACAUCGCCGGAGGACUCAACGGUCGCGACAUGACGAUCAGCGACUAGGCUUUCAGGGGAAAAGAGGCGACGACGAUGGCGGCCGCUGGUUCGUCGGAGAAAGCGGCGGCAACAACGAUGGACGACUGCUGGGUUUUCAGGGGAGGGCAGAGCGACAGCGACCCGAGCAGAGCCAACACGGCGGUUACCUGCUCGCAACAAGGGCACGGCACGGCGGCCGCGGUGGUGACAAGGUGAGCAACAGCGACGGCGGCCCCUUAGAUCUCAGACGGCGUCGGGAUGGUGUUUGGGGCGGCGUUGGAGCUGAAUCGACGGCGGAUCUGAGCCUCGACCGUCUCUUGCACUUGAUUUCUCCUCUCUCUGCAAGCUCGCUUGCCCGCGGCCUCCCCCGAUGUCUCUCGGUGGGAGGCCGUUUAAGCUCACGACCUGCCUCCGGCGGGCCUCAGAUCUUCGGCCGCGCGUCCUCGGACCCCCCUGAAGUCUCUCAGUGGGGAACCCGAAGUCUGCGGCCUUAGAUCCGACUCCCUCUCUCUCUCUGUUCGUCUCUCCGGCAGAAGCUCUCUUUCUCCGGCCGCGAGCCUUCGGAUCUAGGCUUGCUCGACCUCGGCUCCCCUUCUGAAGUCUCUCAGUAGGAAGCUCGAAGCUUUGCAGCCUUCGAUCACUCUCAGCCUCUUGGCUUGCUCUUUGAUUUCCCCCUUGAAGUCUCUCAAAGGGAAGAUCUCGGAGCUCGCUGUGUGUCCUUCGACGGAGGUGGUGCCUCGCUAUUUAUAGGCGAGGGGGCGGCCGGUCGACGGGGCUUCGACCGCCGGUCUUCGCAUGCCGAACGGACGCCCGCGGCCGAACCGGUGUCUCGUCUCAGCAUUAAAGGCGCGCAUUGAAGGCACAUGCGCGUCGUCCUCUCCUCCGGUGGCCUACCUCCAUUCCUCUUUACCGUAGGUUGCCCUUGAGCGCGUCGCCGGCCGCCGCGCGUGAUGCACAGAGGCACAGAGAAGAAGAAGGAAGGAGAAGGAAGAAGGAGGGGGAAGGGUUAGGUUGUGCGGGCCGGGCCGAGAAAAAAAGAAAGAAAAUGAGCCUAGGGGCCCACGCGAAAGGAAAAAAGGGGGCUGGGCCUAUUUUUUUGUUUUCUUUUGUUUUUAUUGAUUUUUUUUGUUGUUUUUGUUAUUUAUUAUUUAUUAUCUAGAAAAAGGAAAAAUAAAAGAAAUUAAGGCUUAAUUAAUAACCUAAUCAAAAUUUAGGUGUCAACAGCAUCUGAUCCCAAGCUCUUACAAAUUUGAAUUGCCAAAGAUAAAGCCGUACAAGAACUUAACAUAAUUGGAUGCAGCUCCGCCUACCCUCCUAGUCUUUUAGCUUUCUCCAACUCCUCCCUCCAUGUAUACAUGUAUGCAGCAUAGCUUGAGAUAUAUCCUAUUCACAAGUAAUUUAAAAUUCCCAACAACAAACUUGAUUAAUCAAUAUGAUGUGACGAAAUGCCCCUUUGUAAUCAGAAGAAGAUACAUUAAUUUCAAGUAAUACAAAUUGUGCGAAAUUUUCCAGACUAGACUCUACAUUUUAACAAUACAGAAUGUGAGAAAUCCUUGUAGGGAAUGCUCAAUCUGUACAAGAAGAGGAAAAAGAGGAGCCAGAAGUAAUAUUACCCUCAAUUAGUAGAAGAAGAGGAAGAGCGGAGCCAAAAGUAAUAUUACAUCGUGAGAGUCACUAACAGAAAUUGAAGGAAAACUAUAUAGAUGCCCAAUGGCAUUGAGAUCAUAUUUUGCAGGGAUUAAACCUGCCAACUCCAAAGUGGGCAUCAAGCAUUUCUACAUUGGACAUAACCAGUCUAUCUAGCAUAAACGACAUCCCCUCCAAUUCUAGUUCUUUAUCUUCGUGAACACUUUGACUGGUGUACCGAAAAGGGCAAAAAGAUGGCAAUACAGGAGCAGGGUACACUUCUAGUUGGUCUAAACGAUUGUCAGUUAUGUUAUGGAAAUCUCCAAAGGCACCAAUCUUGUCUAGAAGUUAAUAGAAAUCUAUCGCGCCUGUAAAUUAAAAUCCCUUCAUUCAACUAGUAUCAGUUUGAGAUUCUUUAUUUGCAACUAUGUCAUCUCCAAAUUUUCCCUCCCAUUACCAUCAUUCACUCUUCAUUUUUGUGUAAAACAACGACUCUUAGUUUGUUCUCAUUUAGAAUUCCAAGCACUUAACCUCUAUAUUCACCAACUCUUCAUCAAAUGCAAUUUGAACUGGAUUGGCAAUUGAAGUGAUUUAUUUGGGGAAAAGGACCGUAGCACAUUUAACGAAAAGCAAAUGGGGAAUAAGGCCAACGUGCAUGCAGAGUCAGAGACUUGCAAUUGGGCAAAGAAAACGGUACACCUUGUACCUCUGCCGCAAGUGAUAAAACCUAAGCACAUUCAACAUUUGAAAGGCAAAAGAAUAAGACAGUUUACUCUUCCUUCCAAAUACAGUUUAAAACCCCAGCAAUUAUAUGCUUUGAGAACACUUUUGGUUCCCACCUAUGAGACAAAUUGAGUGACUAAAGCUUUUGAGUGUUGAAAUAGUAGAACUUAUAUACUAUUUCUAGUCAACAAUUGCUUUUUCGGUCUUUUAAAAAACAGGACACAACUACUUUUCAUUAAUAAUUUACUAUGAUCAUUGGAAUGAUGGUUAUGCACUACUGAGCAGGAAAAAGAAUGACCCUUAACCAGCUGCCUUUUGUUUGGUUCAUCAGUAGUUAUUCUGAAGGCACGAUGUGUAUUUGCACCAGUCAUGAUCAGGCAGAGUGGUGAAACGAUGUAAACCAGAUUCCUCGUGCUGAAGUUUGGAAUGAACUUCCUUAACUCGAGGAAGAGGGAACAAAGCCCUGAGUGCAGGUUCACCAACGAAGAGCAUCCAUAAAAGGAGCAGCGGUACUGCGAAAUGGCCGGCCAUCUCGCACAACCUCUUAGUCGCAUCGACUGAGAGAGGUCCUCGACACGGCGGUCGACAGCAAAGCGAAGCCACGAACUGAGCUCAGGCGCGCAACGGUCGAGAAAAUCGGCGUCGAUGUGGAACUUCCUCACCUUGGGCGACGCCUGGAGGAUCAAGAUGCCGUCCACGGUCGGGGAGGCGUUCCGCCAGGGGAAGGAGAAGACGAGGUCCGGGGGCGGCGGUCCAGACGGAUCGCCACCGCUUCGACAAAAAAGCACGUGCGGACAAUGCGUGCGAGCUCGAGAGGAGGAGGAGGUUGGCGAUCGCUUCUUCUUCGCCAUGUAGGGAUCGACGAUCGAACGGAGGAACCGGAAGGAGAGCCUUCCUCCGAUUUGAGGGUUCAUUUCACUCGCACUUAAGUUUCUGGCUUCCCGUACAGAGACACGUGUCGCUCGACGGAGUGGCAACCACUUUCCCGCGCAUUUUGAUACAUCUACGAGCCCAUGAUGAUGGGCCUCCCACGUCUUGAAUUGCCGAGUACCGAACCUUAAUUUCUUUAAUCCAAGCUUGUCCGACAUCUGAAAAAAUCAUCAUUCAUAUAAUAACUUGUAUAGUCAAUAUCUAACAUUUUGUCUGUUACCCGAGACAAAAAAACUGCUAACCAAAUCCAAUGCAAAACUUGGAGAUUUGAUCUUUUUGAAUAUUGAUUUUUUUUUUAUUUGGGUGGAAUAGGUUGAUUUGUCCUUCAUUAUUGAAAAAAUUAGAGGUAUUCGUUACAUUUCGAAAGUAGAAAACAAAUCAAAUCAAGCUGAAAAUGGCAUCUGCUUGGCUUCGGAAGAUACCAUGAAAAGAGGUCCAUACCAUAAAGGAAGAUUCUACUAGGCAAAAUUCCGAAUAUUGUUUGGUGCAGGUAAAGUACGAAUAGCAUUGGUAAAUAUCAAAACCAGUUGGCAACUAAAUUUUGACCAAUAACUUAUUCGGUUAGUAGCAUUUUGGUAAGUUACCAAAUUUUUUUAAAAAAUAUCAACAGUUAUUAGAUUUAUAUAUAUGAAUUCCCACAUCUAAGCACGUGAACAAAUUGUUGUGAAGAGAGGCUCUCAUAACCAAGGCAAAGCAUCACAGAUGAGAUCAACAUUGGCUCAAUUCACUAUCUUCCGAGCACCCGCCAGUUAUUUUAUCUGCUCAUUUUCUUUUGAUAACUGAGUAUUCAUUCUCAACGUUAGCUUGUUGGCAGUAAUAAUACAAUAGGAAAGCAGAGUUUCACUUACUACAUUGAGUCCAAGGAGUGGAAUUGGUAGUAUAAAUAAGUCUUAACUUCUCCUAGGCUCAAAGUGCUAUUAACAGGUAAAAAGAGUUUGAUAUGAUUCAUUGAUACAAAGAUUGACUCUUACAAUUAUGAGGGAUACAUGCACAAAAUGUGAGAAACUUUCCAGCCUAUAUCAAAUCUCUCCUUGCAAGGAAUGCUCAACCAAUACAAGAAGAGUAGCUGGAAGUAAUAUUACACCGUGAGAGUCACAAACAGAAAUCGAAGGAAAACUAUAUAGAUGCAUGACAACGUUGAGAUGAUAUUGCAAGGGUUAAACCUACUGACUCCAUGUGAGCAUCUAGCAUUUCUGCAUCUGACAUAGCUAAUCUAUCUAACAUAAAUGACAUCCCCUCCAAUUCAAGUUCUUUAUCUUCGUGAACACUUGGACUGGUGAACCAAAAAGGGCAGCAAGAUGGCAAUACAGGAGUAGGGUACACUUCCAGUUGGUCUAGAUGAUUGUCAAUUAUGUUUUGGAAAUCUACUAAGGCACCAAUCUUGUCUAGAAGUUUAUAGGAAUCUAUCAUGCAUGUAAGUAAAAAUCCCGUCAUUAAACUAAUAUCAGCUCAGGCUUCUUUACUUGCAACUAUGUCAUAUCCAAAUUUUCACUCCCAUUACCAUCAUUCACUCUUCAUUUUUGUGUAAAACACCAACUCCUUAGUUCAAAGUCAUGUUCUCAUUUAGACCUUCAAGCACCUUACCCCUAUAUUCACCAACUCUCCAUCAAACGCAAUUUGAACGGGGUUGGCAAUUGAAGUAGUUUAUUUAGGGAAAAGCAUCGUAGCGCAUUUUAAGAAAAAGCAAAGGAGGAAUAAGGCCAAUGACACAAAGGGCGCACACCAAGCCAUCGUUGAAGAAACGAACACACUGAAUAACAAUAACAAAAAAGGAGAACUCUCUCGAGUCGAAGCAAUUACCAAGAGAGAUUGUCCACAGCCUCUGCCAAUUGAAGUGAUGAAGCACCACGUUUGAGUCCUCCGUGACCAUCGCCAGCAAAUCCUUCUCCGGAUUCCACUCCACCAUCAUCACCUGCCAAUCGGAAGGAACCGAGACAAAAACCUCACAAAAUCGAAUGGGAAAACAAUCGAAUCGACCCGCCCAUUAUUAGGUCGCGAAAAAAGGCGGACCGGAGCCGAACCUGAGAAGCCAGAGGUUUGUCGAACUGAAGCUGAAAGGGAGGCACGUGCCGCGACCCUUCGUCGGUCUUCAUAGAUGAAAAAGAUCCGGAAGCAGCCAAAAACGCAGCAACCUGCUGGGGCAAGCCGCGAGGGAGCGUAGGGAAGCGGCAGUGGCAGCAAAUGCGACCAGAGAGGGAGAGCUAAUGGUGUAGGUGGAGGGUGGAGCCCGAAAACCCUAGAAGAAAGCCUGGAGAGGGAGAGAGUAACGAAGUGCGGUGGAAGCCUGAGAAUUUUGCAUAGAAAGAUGGCGGAAGAGGAAGAAACAGGCGGGAGAGAGAGGCAAUGAGGAAGAGAGAGAGGAUUUGAUUACGGGCUGAGCCGGGCAGGAUUAGGCCAUAAGUCGGGCUUAACAAGUGGCCCUUCGAGCCCGGGCCCGGCCCGCUAGACUACUGAUCAUGUCAGGGCGCGGCCAAUUUAUAGAGUUCUACGUGAAAUUUAGUAAGCCACGGAUCCAGUGAGCUUGACAACGAGAGAGAGUGUCUGGCUCCAUUUCUUUCGCCAAAAAAAAAAAAUUAAAAAUAAAAAUUAAAAAUAUUUUCCUAAACUUAAUCAAUAUUCUCUCUUAAAAAUGAUUUAAUGAAAAAAAUAUGUUUCAUUAUUAACAACAAUUCAUGCCAAAACAUUUUUUUUGAUAAUGAGAAUAUUUUCCAUUACCCUCUUUUUUUCUAGGAUAUAUAAUUAGGAAAAAUCAUUUCCAAAUCAUGAAUUUUUUGAGACACGAACAAAGCCUUAGAGAAUGUGUCUUUGUAGGAGCUAGUUUGCUUUGAGUGUUUUAUAGUGGCGUGAGAAAAUCAAUAGUAAUAGUGGGGCGCGGUCUUUUCCUACUAAUAGUGUAUACUAGUUGUGUGACAUGAUCAUUUUUUUUAGUGUUAUGUUUGCACUAGUAUAUGUGUGUUUCAAGUUGCCUAUUACAAUUCUAUCGUAUUACUAACACGUCACUUUCGCACCCCUCAAUUGGCAUUUGAGCCACACUUCCCUGUUUAACAAGUGGUAUUGGAGUUAGACAAUUAGAGAUUGAUUGGAGUUCACUUAAGUCUUUGUCCAUUUGCCAAGUCAAGGUGAAUGAUGACGUGAUCGAGAAGAUUUUGAUGGGUAGCACCAUUCUUGAGUACUGGAAGUUUGGAAGUUGCAAGCAUAGGGGAGGUAUCACAACAACAUUUAUUCAAGAAACUUGAAAGAACUUGUGAUUGAUAGAUGUUGGCUAGUUGGAGGUAAUGAUCCAUCGUUAAAAAUUCUUGGGAAAAUUCCUAAAAGAAACUCGAAGUGCCCUAUUUUUCUCAAAUAAGGACCUGAAGUAGACCUUGUUCCAAAUAAAAACCUGAAGUGCCAUUACUUUCUCAAAUAAGGGCCUGAAGUGGAUGUUGUUUCAAUGGAGAACCAGAAGUAAUUAUGUUUGUUUCAAAUAAGGGCCCGAAGUGGCUAUGUCCGUUGCAAAUAAGGACUUAACUUUCUGACAGUCAAUGGUAUUUUCGUCAUUUGUUAUUUUUUUCCUUUUUUCUUGUUCUUCUUCUUCCUCUUCGCCGGUGGACGGCUGGCUACAGCAAUGCCCACAGAGGGCUGGGCGAGGCGACCUUCACCCAAGGGCCAUUUGUGAGGUCAGCCUGCGCAGAAGAGGGCUAGGUGACCUCACCGGCUGUAGGUGAGGCCGACCCUUGCCAGAUCUAGCGAGGGUGGCCUUGCAGACCCUUAUUAGAGGCUGACGAGGGUCGAUCUCGCGGAUGGCCCUUGGGCGAGGGUCACCAUGCCUAGGCGAGGCUAUCCCUCGCCUAUGGCAGGCGUGGGUCGCCCUCAUCGACGAGGGCGACUUUCGCCCAGCCCUCUGUGGGCAUUGUCGGUGCCCAAUCGACCACUAGCGAAGAAAAAGAAGAAGUACCGAAAAAAUAAAAAAAUAAAAAGGUAAGAAAAGAAGGAAGAAAAAAGGGUAAGAAGUGCCAAAUGAUGAAAAUACCCUUGACCGGUUGGAAAAUUUAGCUUGCUGGCGAUUAACGAGGUCGAGUCCUUAUUUGAAACAACUAAAACCACUUCAGGCUCUUAUUUGAAACAAUUAAAGUUACUUCAGAUCCUUAUUUGAAACAAAAUUCACUUUGGGUCCUUAUUUGAGAAAAAAGUUAGCACUUCGGGUCCCUUUUUGGAAUUUUCCCAAAAUUCUUGCUCUCAAGAUAGAGGCCGUGAUGCAAUGGGUUUUCACCAUCAGGAAAAGAGGUGUUAGAAUUGUGCAAUUAGAUGAACCACCUAAUUGAAGUUCAAGCUCAAUUCGAUUGUUCUCAUUGUUGCGCUAUGAAAGAUAUUCUUGGCUUUAUUGUCGGAUAGAAUUUAUCAUAACUUUUUCUUAGACAAGAGCAUAUUUGUUACUUCUCUAUGUAGGACCCUCUCAUCAUUGAUAAUGUUAUUCAUAUGUAGACAGAACGGCUUUGUUUACUAAUUUUUCAUCGACGGUAUGUCUCUACUCUAAUUCUUUCAACAUCUUUCGUCAAAAUGUCCUUUGAUUUUUCAAAUAAAAGAACUCAAGGUAUAUCAUUCAAAGAGCAUGCUCGGAUUAUGUGCUUGUUUUGCAUCGGCAUUGCAAUCGUGUUGAUCGAGUGCUAUGUAUUGAGUCUUGCUUGUUUGUUGCUAUCCACAAGUAAUACACCUACUUUUCGGAACACAUAUAAUGUUAAAUUAUGAUGCUAAGUGCCCUCAAUAUCCUCCAUUCGUUCAGAUUGUUAGUUUAAUAAUGAUGUUGAGUUACAAACAUAGUUAGUUCUAUAAUUACUAAAACAGUAGCAGAAGCAAAUUUUAUAAGACUACACAACAGCUAUGAUAGAGGGCUUAGCCAAAGGUGUUAUGAGUGACAGACACAAAUCGCCUUCUAUUCGUUUCCUAUCGAUAGUAUAGCUUCUCUCCGUAUUCCAAUAAUAUUCGUGAUCUUGGCUUUCUCUUUUUAUUUUCUCGCUCCUUGAAAAUUUUAACUGAAGUCACUUCAAAAUGAGCUUGUGUAAGACUGCUUGUGCAUAGUAAGAUUUAAGAUGCGGUUUGCACUAGUAGUUGACCAAAUACCAAUUAUUUAUUUUAUUGGUAAUGUUUAUCAUUUCGUCAUAUUAUUAAUUGUUGUUGUCGCUAUUUCUGCACUUAUUAUGCAUUGGGAAAGAGUGCAUUGAUGACAUGAAGAUUUGGAAAUAAAUUAGUAAAGCUGGUUAAUCUCACAGCAUAGUCCACUAAAGUCAACCAAGAAGCUAUCAUAAAGAUAAUUAAUAAACACAAGAACAGAAUUAUUGUAUAUGCACAUUUUGCAUGCAUACAAUCAUAUAUACCGAUACAAUUACUAUCUUGGUGCAUAUGAUCAAACACAAAACUAUCACGUCUAUAAGAGUUUCUCUUCUAGAUUGGCAAUAAAUCCUAGAGAAUGAAUGAUAAUAUUAAACAUUUUUAGAUUCUUGUAUAUCUAUACAUCAUCAAGUUUUUUGGCUACAUGAUACUCCUGUAAAGAAUAUGAAACAUAAUCUCCUAAUCUUAAACCUACCAUUUAAUUGCAGGUUUCAAAUCUCUGAUAUUGGAAGAUAGUAUUUGUUCUUUAAUGUCACCCCGACACUAUAUAUCUAGCCAGUCAUAUCGACUAUAGUAAUCCUAGAGAUUGAUCCUUUCACAAGUGUUUUGUACAUUAGAUUGGAUGCAUCACUUAACAGUGAUACGUGAAGAAGUGAGUCAAUUUUAAGUGAGAGAUUUCAACAUCCAAAUGCAAAGUUCGUCAGUUGAUUACACCAUGUAAUCCAUUCAACCCAAAGUACAAACAUUCCAAGCCAGACAUUUGGUUCUCUUAUAUACGGAAAUAAUAAACAUAUACGCAUGAACCAAAAGCUGGGCACUAUCGAAUAGCUGUCAAAGCUUGCAGAAAUACAAUGAAGAUAGCUACUUCCCCAGAUAGAAGCCAUGGAUCAGUAUCUUUUAGUCGAUUCCAUCUAACUCAAUACAUAAUUAGUUAGUUUUCACUCUGCUUUUUCUCUUCGAUGAGCCCGCCUAGCAUAAAAGGCUCAUGGCAAGCAUAAAUUGAAACUCUCCAAAAAAGGUGGAGUUGAAAAGCUUCAGCCGGAAAGUCCACAUGCAUUUGCUUCUCACACUGAUGCAAGAGCAACAUGAGCAUUACCACCGCAAAUUCACAAAGAGACGUUCAUUCUGAAUCAAAGAUUUCAUCUUCAUCGUCGUCCAAUAUGUAGACCAUGGCCCGCUUUCUUGCAGCCAAAACACAAGCCACGACUCUAUUUGCUGUCGCAAAAAAAAAAAAAAAUCAACUUGAUUUUACUCCGAUGUUCCUACAGUAUGGCCAUAACUAAUGCAAUGUUUUGAUACCUCCGUUGGGUAAAAGUAACAGGUACAAUACUUGCAUCAUGCUAAAACACAGGUAGAAGCAAUACUUGUGUACCUGAAGAGGCUGUGGUAUGCGUGUGAACCAUGAAUGCUCUACAGUAUCUUCCUAUACUAGAUACCCUGAUAGUAUCUAUCAUCAUGAACAUGUAUGUACCAAUUCCCAGUCAAUAAAUCAGACUGCAAUUAACCUACCAUAAGAAUAUAAUUAUUCUUUCUACGUUUGUCUAGCCACUAAAGAUUCAUCUUUUUCGCACUUUGACCUCCCAAUUGAUUUAAAAUUUACGGAAAAGCCUAAUACUUUAGUAUUUUACUUCUUCAAAUGAAAAAAAAAAAUAUUCUUCUUUGGAGUAUAAAUUUACACAUUUCCAAUCCUUGGAACAAACAUGAAAUGGUCCAUUAAAGAGGCACAACGUACCUAUGCUAGUUAUAUUUAAACUUAAGAGUAGGUUGUAAAAGUGGAAAUUUAGUAAGGAGCAUGGACAGGAUUAAUCCAAUUCCACCACGACAAGUUCAUCAAACAACAAUAUGGAAAGGAAAGACUAUGGGCAACAACACUUUACCAAACAUCCAAACUACAAAUGGACAUGGUAAGAAGCUCAAGGAAAACAGUUUUCUGAGUAUAUGAUUGAUGGCAUGGCAAUGAAUUGAUCCUUAGCUUGAUUGUAUGGCGGUGUGAAAAAUUCUUACCACUAACUAACAAGGAGGAACUACAGUAUGGGGAAUGCUGCCAACUUCUCAUUCUCCAUCUCUAGGUGUAAGAUAGGGUCUUAGAUGUGUACUUUCACUGAGUUAGUGUUUUAGAAGAGAGAAUGAGAGUGUUCUCACAAAAUAGAAGCAAAAGUGGCACUACUAACCCACUAGGGUAAUCAAAUGCACAUUUCUUAACAUACAUACAAGUACAACGCUCCAACUAUCAAGAUAUGUUGGAACUUUUAAAGUUAUGGUAAAUCAAAAAGUGAAACAUCCUUUAAAAUUGCAGGCAUAAAAUGGCAUGUAUAUGCACAUAGGAGGAAAAACUAAACUGCUGCUACUCAUGCUGAUGAAGAGAGUAGAUACAUAAUAAUUAGAAAGAACAAAAGACCAGACGUUUGUAAAAUCGCACCAGUGGUUCAACCAGUCAAACUAGUAGAACAUCAAAUUGGUAGAAUUGUGCUCUACCGGCUCCACUAGUUGAACAGAUUGUAUGUGACGUUAUCUAACAAAAUAUGCAUGUUCAGAACAAAAGAAGUAUGGUAGAGCCACUUGAGCACAAAAGAUAGGAUCCCCGUUCUCAAUAGCAUCAUUCAAAUUUCUAAUAGACUAAACUAAUAUAGUCAAUAAAUGAAUUAUCCACCACAAAAUGAAGCAAGAAGACAUCUGAGCAAAUGGUUGGGAUGCUUGUUAGUUACAAGAGGUUGAAGUUCCCAACCCCAGCCCAACUCCAACGCUCUUCCUUUAAGUUUUUGGAAGGCCCAGAACUGGUCUAGACUAGUUGAUAGGUUCACUAGGUUACCAAUUGAUAGUACACCUGGUUACUUGUUCGACGGGGUCGAUACCACCAGUUCUUGACUACCAUUGUUUCUGCUGUGAAACCAAACUCAACAAAAGCACAAUAUCCUAGUUUUUUUUUUUUUUUGCUUUUUGCCAUCAAUGUCUUAAAUAGUGAAUUGACAUAUAUUGGAACAAAUGGAACUCAAGAGCAUCCUAUACUGAUCACAAGUAAGGAAUCAUUAUGCAAGCUCUGGAUCCACAAGUUACCUUCAAUUGGUACAACUCCCAAUUAUUUGCACAAGUGGUUCCUGAAAUAUGCACAAAUGAAAGGUCACUGGCCUACAUGAUCAUCCAAGCAUCUCCCAAGUUUUCACAAGCAUCAUUCAUCUUAUUUAACAGUAUAAAAAUUUGAUGUUCCUAUUUCAAGCAAAAUAUAUUAACCACAUCUGCAAAUAAGAGCUUUAAAAAGAGCCAAAUCCACACAAUAGUAAUAAGAGGGAUGCACAACAAGAUCGUUUCGAAAGGCGUUUCGAAAGGCAUUCCUUGCUGCACAUUGCUUGAAUCAUUCAUAGGUCACCUCACCACUGCUAUACCAUUAAUAACAUCUAAAAAAGACUAUUUGGAAGGAGACCUAAUCUGUAAACCCAAUUUCUUGAGUUCGAGUAGAUGAAGCAAAUUUAGAGGCAUCCUUCAGAGUCAUACAUAAUGAUUAGCAUGAAAAAGCAAUUGUACUCUGCACAUAUAGAUCUCUAGAGAAAAUUGUAGUUUCAGAUUAAAGGUAUAUAUCUCAUAGAAGGACAGUGAAAUGGGAAUGUAUCUGGUGGAUAAUAAAAAAGACGUAGGAGGGAAUUGUGGCAACAAAUUCUUAUCAAGAAUCUUUUUUGAAAUAGUUCCAAAAAAAAACAGCAUCUUGGCAGCUUCCUUGAAAUUGUGAUGAUUAAAUUAUUCCCUAAUCUAGAAAAAAGAGAUACUGUUUUUCCAUACAUAAUGGUCAAAAGCUAAAUAGAAGGCCCAGUCCAACAAGAUCACCCAUCUUAAGUUCCAAUGACAUUGUCAAGUAACCAACUUCAGAUCAAAUAAAAAACACUAGAAUAUUUGGAAGAGGGAGAGUGAAAAACCAAUGUUGACUACAAAACCUAGAAGACAGCACCCUACCCCCAAAUGUUUCCUUUUCAUUUUCUCCUUCUCGCAUUAUAGUCUCAAAGUUCUGGCUACUCAGGCAAAGAAAUGAAAAAUAUUCGUACAAUUUUAUGGUGAUAUAAAAAUGGAUAGGAAGAUCUAUAGACGAACUCAAAUAAUUAAUUAGUAGGGUAACAACAAAAACACAAGCUUUAAAGUAAAGAAUUGCAAUGUUCACACAAACCAAUUUUAAACCUGGGCAAUCAUACUCAAACUCCUAUCAUGCAUACAAAGAGAUCAAGAAUUUCACAUUUGGUAUCAGCCAUGAGGACGAAAAAGCAAUCAUUUCAAACGACAGCCAACAGCAUUUUUUUGUCCCAUAAUUCAUAGUUUCCCCCACUGAGGUGGCAUCUGUAAGAACACCUAUGCAUGGAAAUCUAGAUAUAGCAUUAAUAAGAACAAUCUCCAAUGAAAGAGCAAUAAAUGACACAUUCAAGUAAGAACUUCUAUGCACAAACAAGAUUUUAUUACAUUUCACAUUUCUAUUUCUUUUGCUAAUACCAACAUUCCAUCUGUUCAAAUUUAUCUGCAAGUGUCCUUCGCAAAUAUUCACUGUCCAUAAAUCCUCCAAAUUGCAAUAAUUUUCUGGGACAAUAAUGCGUGUAAGAUGUCUUGUUGACCUGACCUGACAAAAUACAUCAAGGCAAAAAAAAGCAACAAAUUACAAUUGAUCUUUCAAAAAGCGAGACCUUCUUAUCCAAUGAGAAAUGACAUCAACCCGUCUAGCCCUUGUUACCAUGUGGAUAAUUAAAAUAGUGUUAGACCAACAAAAACCACGGUUGACAACUAGCAAAUCACCCUAACUUGAGUCAACCUUAUCUAGUUGAAGUGCUCUAAGUAUGUAUGAAGACUGUAGCAAUAUGACAUGAUAUAAAGAACUAACCCACAAACUAGUAGUCAUUUAAAAUUGCAUAUCAUCAGUUUAGCAACUAAUUUGGUCACGUGGGAUUAAAGCAAUGAUUCAGUUGCUAGAGCGCAUGAAAACAAUACUAAGCUUGAUAGCAUAUCAUUCUAACAUUUAAAGCAUGAACAAGUUCCAUUACACUAUGUAUUAGAAUUCUCUGGCACACAAAUGGAGAGCACAUGCCAGUAAAGACCUACCAAAAUAGUUGCUAGAGUACACAAAGGCAAUACUAAGCUGACCAUACUUCGUAGUAUCCAAGGAAUACUAAGCUUAUAAACUUUCUCGCUUCAAAGCAAUUACAAGGAGACCGCCUACAACCUCUGCCAAUUGAAGUGACAAAGCACCACCUUUGACUCCUCUAUGACCAUCGCCAGCCAACAUUUAUUUGGUUUCCACUCAGUCAUCUUCACCUGCCAUCAGAAAUCAAGCAAACUUCACAAAAUCAAGUUGGAACAAUCGAGUUGACUGCCCAUUAGGUCGCAAAAGAAUGCUGCUAGCCAAACCUGAGAAGCCAGUGGUUUUUCGAACUAAAGCUGAAACAGAAGCAUGACACACUGUGGUCCUUUACCGGUUUCCAUAGCUAAACUCUGUGAACAACUGAAAACACAGCACCGGCGUUGGAACAAAUCACAAGGAUGCGACCUGAAAGAGCGCUUGUGAAGGAUAGAGCUCAAAGAACCCAGAGGAAACGUGCGAUGACAACAUGCGCUUGUCAAGGUUCAGUGAAGUUCAAGAACCAUCAAGCUCCUUAUCCUUCUAUGAUUUCACUUCCUUUUAGAAGUGCCUUGCAAAAGCUAUGUUGGAUAUUUCAGCAUUUACAUCAACUAGUGGAAUAAUAACUGAAUCCUGCUAGUGAGUAAGAUGAAAUCAACCCAACGACUAACAUCAACAGACUCCUAAUAAUACUCUGAAGUUUGUGGAACUCUAUUUGUCAAACUCGAUAUUCUUUUUGAACUCUUUGGAUCUAACUAAUGGGUCUUCUAACAUCAUCUACCACAUAAACUUUGAUCAAAUUAGCAUAGUGUAUUCAACUCAAGAUGCUUGCUUUUAUAGGACAUAGUAUGAUUCUUUUCCUUAUCAUUUUGUGCUAUUCAUGCAUUAGAAUUAAUGCAAGAUAGUUUUCAAAUGGCGUAUAAGAUACCAAAAAAUUUCCCCAGGAAACUCAUGGAAAUGCUUCAUGUGUUUUUCUUUUAGCAAAUAAAUGAACUAACGAGAGCUUAUGCACAAUAUAAGGAAUCAUUUCACAGCAUAGUCAAUUAUGCCAAAAGACAUUCUAGUUAAUGUCUUGCCUAGCUCAUUAGUCCAGUAUAUGACAGAUGGCUUUACCCACUCUACAAACAUCAAGAUGUAUUCUUUGGGAGGCUUGGAGUAGGUAUCUCCUGGACUCAAACCAAAUGAACGUGGAUCCAUAGUCAGAAAAAUUCAAAUUGCAAUUUCUUGAUCGAUCCAAAUAAUUCAUGGUGCUUUUGCUUCUGCCCUGUUUACUAUUCACUCACGGCCACACCACUAGGGGAAGAGCUUGCGCUUGCAUUUAGCAUUUCUAGAUCGAUACAAUUAUCUUAAUCUGCUAAUGCUGACAGUUCUGUGAGAUAAAAUGUGUCAAACAUAAUGGGUGGACAAAUUUUAUCCCAAGUGAAAAGCAUAUGCAUACUAAAGGAUGCCCUAUCAACAUGCUCCUUUUGCACCGUAAAUUCACUCGUAAGUGUAUCUUAGAAAUAUGCAGUCAUGAACUGCAUGGUGAGUGUAGAUCAAAUUAAAACCUUACAUUAGAAGGACCGCCAUGUAGGGUCCAUUUAGCAUUUUCUUUGACCUAUACAAUGACCUUUGGCAUGCUAUCAAAAUAACUGUACACAUAAGUUCUUAUUCAUUACUUCCAGCAUUCCAGAAUCAAUCAAACAUCGAGAAUUUUUAUUUUUCUGCAUAGAAUGGAGGAUCUUAACCAAAGACUAAUAACAAAUGAUGCGCUUAGAAAGUCUUUUCAUCUAUUUCCAUUACUUGCUUGAUAAGCAUAACUAUUUUGGCAAAGCACACACUAACUUCCAAGAACAUCUCCCCUAGAUUGUUUGAAUUCAAGUAAGAAAAUAAUGAUGACACUGUUAACCAAUAAAUAAUAAUGUCAAGAUCAUAAAUCUUGAAAGAUAUUGCAAGCAGGAAAUACAAAUGAAAAUUGGGCAAUAAAUCUCAAAAGAGCAUAGGUCGAUUACCUGCUUUAUGUACCUUCAUUAGAAAAUGUGGAUCAUUCCAAUAUAUUACUCAUCCGAUUCGUACAAAUAGUCUAAAUUAAAUACCGUCGUGUUGCCAUCUGUAAUCUCAUAAUAUUGAUAAAUCUGCGUUCUAGAUAAUUCUGGAAUUGUUUUGAGUGACUUACAUCCAAUGAUAUUUAGUUCUUUCAAAAACUCUAACCUAUCGAGGCCUUGAAUUUCGAUCAAGUUUUCGCAGUCUCUAGCUUUUAAUAUCUUCAAACUCUUGGAUUUUGGAAGGAGCAACUUUUCAAUCGAAGUGCACCUAGAGAUGUCCAGUCUUUCCAAAAACUCCAACCUCUCGAGGCCUUGAAUUUCGGCUAAGUUUUUGCAGCCUCCAACUAUUAAUUCCCUCAACCUCCAGGAUUUUGGAAGAUCUAGCCUUUCAAUUGAAGUGCACCCUCCGAUAUCUAGCCUUUCCAAAUACUCCAACCUAUCAAGGCCUUCAAUUUCGGCUAAGUUUUUGUAGCCUCCAACUUUUAAUUCCUUCAACCUCUUGGAUUUUGGAAAGUCUAGCCUUUCAAUUGAAGUGCACUCAUAGAUAUCCAGUCUUUCCAAAAACUCUGACCUAUCAAGGCCUUGAAUUUUGGCUAAUUUCUUACAGAAACUGGCAUUCAAUCUCUUCAGACCCCCGGACUUUGGAAGGUCCAAUCGUUCAAUUGAAACGCAGCCUUCGACCCUCAAGCUUUCCAAAUAUAUCAAUUUGUCAAGACCUCGAACUUCAAGUAGUUUCUUGCAAUGAUAGGCAUCUAAUGAACUUAGAUGGAUAAACUGUGAAACGUCCAGUGUUUCAAUAGAUUGGCAGUCUCUGACUUUCAAGAUUUCCAACUUGAAGGCCAUGUUUAGAAAUUGUGGUGAUUCCAAUUCUUCAAGGUCCAUUGAUUGGGAGCAUUUUGAACUCUUUAAUAGCAUUGAUGGAAGCACCUGGAUGCACUCGAGAAAUCCGCAAUGCCAAAUUUUUAGUUCCUUGAGAUGGGCUAGGUGGGAAAGCGAAGGCAAUUUGCGGCUUUGACAGGUGACGCCCAAAUCUAUUAGGCUGGAAGGAAGGUCCGGUAGCGAUUGGAGCUUGAAGCAACAAAGAAAAUUAAGGCGACGUAGGGAAGAAAGAUUACACAAGCUUUCUGCCAUUAUCCCUUUUAGAUUGCUGCACCUGUAGGCACGUAACUCUCGAAGCUUUCUCAGCUCCCAAUAACGUUGGGCAAUUCUUCUAUACAACUCCAAGAAAUAUCUAGAAUCUCUAGAUUCUCCAAACACCCAAUGCUAUCUGGUAAUGCAGAAAGGGAUUCAGUAUAGACUAGGAGGAGUUGCUGCAAUGCUUUUAAUUUACCUAAUUCUGUUGGAAGCUUCAUGAGGCUCGAACAAUGGCACAACUCCAAGCGAAGGAGGGCCUCCAUGUCUCCAAUUGCAGUGUCAAUUCGAUUCAACAUAACACACCCAUUGAGAAUGAGAACCUCUAACUCCUUGAAAGCUAAGAGGAAGUCCGUAUCUUCCAAGGAAAAACAAUAUGAAAGGUCGAGAUAUUUGAGCUUCUUUGCCAUCUGGUAAAAAAAUAAUGAUGAUGAUUGUCGAGGGGUGAGUCUAGAGUGGUUAUGAUUUGAAAGAAAGCAUAAAAGGGGACCAGAAAAAAGACUUUAGUCCUUACCUUGAAAAAGCACCAUCCUUCCCAUUUCUCAUUUAUCCUACUUUUUUGCAAUUCAAGUACAGCUAAUUCCUUUACAUCAAAAUUGUUUACUUCAAAACUCAUGGGACAUUUUCGCCAUCGAAGCCAUUUUAACCCCUUCAUCAAGUCCUUAAAAUCUCCACCAAGACGUGCCUUUUUCAUGUGAAGAUAUCUUAGAUUCGUCAAAUUCUUAAAUUGUUUUUCUGUGUAAAUAUCGCCAUCUCCCUCAUCCUUUUCUAGCCCAAAUAUUUCCCCUAAGGCUUUUAAGCUGCUUAAAUUGUUUUUCUGUGUAAAUAUCGCCAUCUCCCUCAUCCUUUUCUAGCCCAUUCAUUAGUACUACAUCCAACUAAAGCAAUUGGAUAUCAUUUGUUUAUAUUGCAAUUGAUGUGCAUUAAUGUAUUCAAGAGACUAGCAACGCGUAGAUUUGAUUUUCUUCUUUACGUCAAUAAACAACAUUUAUAAAGGCUAACAAAGUGAAGGAUGUCAACUUCCAUUUUGAAAGUUGGCCAUACGCAUUCGGAUCAUUAAAAAAUUAUGAUGUAAUGACUCAUAUGGAGUAAAAACUUCACAACUUGUAAUCUUCUUCUUCAUGGUAUUGUAGCUUCAUUAUCAUACUAGUUAAGACAUGCAUGGAAUUCACGGAAUUUAAUCAAAUUGCAAAGUUUAAAAUCAAAAUUUGACUUGCCAAUUUUAAUCGAAUUAUACUUUUUUCUAAUAAGGAGACUUUUUCUAUUAAGCAACGCAUGGGUGAAAGGAUAGAUAAAAGUGAGAAAAACCUCAGAAGCAGCGAGUCAGCGAACAAAACUUACCUCACCACAGAUUCGGUGUUACUAAGGUGACUUCUAGCAAAAAAAAAAUUAGGUUAAAAGGUUAAAAAUAAAACUCCUUUUUUUUUUUUUAAUUUCGACAUAUUCAUAACACUUCAAAAUGGAAAUGACCGUUUCAACUACUCCAAAAGUCAGAACAGAAGAGGGGAAAUGAAGAGGCCACGAUAUCCUGGCCAAACUGUUUUUGACAAAAGAAAUUAAUUUCUUGCCAUCAAUUCGGAUAAUUGAAAUAACUCAAAAAGACUUGUUUCGAGUAACUUUUACUCUUCAGUUUUUGUUUUUUUCUCAAGAUCAUGCACUCUUUUUAGUGGUAUAUCCACUAAAACUUGUUGACACGCCGAAUUAUACACAGAUUUUUUCAUAGUUUUCUAGAAUUUGAGUAUUAUUUGAUCUUUUGACGGGAGAGCAAGACAUUUACUUUCGGUUUUUUAUUAGUUGUGGCGAGCAAUCUAUCUCGCCCUCUAUUUCAGCAUGUCCAUUACUUGCCAGUGACAAGGAAGGAUGAUUAGAUUUUGUCUAAAGAUAUCUUGGGAGUACUUGUUAAGUAACCUGUCUGAAAAAAAAAAAAAAAAAACACUAUAUUAAGUGAUUUUUUUUUUAAAAGUAUUGAUUUAACGUAAUAUGAGAACGUGAAAAUUGCAAAAGUCAUCUUAAAAGGAAAACAAAGAUUCUCAGCAAAGAGGACCAUUUAUCAAGUGGAAAAGUGAUAUGUGAAAUACAAGAUUUUACUAAUUAACAAAUCAAACAAGAAAUUUAAUGUGUGUGUAUAUAUGUUGCAAUGGACACUUAAUUUCAUAUAAUAGGGAAUAUUAAUAUAUGAGAGAUAAACCACAAAAGGAAAUACUUUCUAAAAGAGAGCAACCUCCCUGCUUUCUAAUGACGUCAGUGAAACAUUCGAGGGCAAUAGCAGUGAAGGUUCUUAGUCCAUUCGAGUAAGCAUUAAGUAGUGGACCAACAUAACUGUUAACCGUAGAACAUGGACUAAAUGAGAAAAAGAAAUGAAAUAGUUACCUUGUUAUCCUUUAUUACUUUCUUGACUUCCUCACGGUCCCAUAACCUGCUACGGUACCAAGGCUCCUGUUGGUUUUCCUUACGAACUAUUUCCCUACCAAGAUCUCUUAAUUGGUCAUGCAUUCUGAGCUCAUGAUUAUCUCCAAAUUUUAUUAAUGACAUGAAUCUCAAUACUUCAAUUCCUUCUCCUGGGAAAAAGUCAUAGGCAUCCCACAUAUAAGAUGCGAUUCUCUUGUCGGUGCCAACGAAAAAGCAAGCGAUAUCCAAAAAUAUUUGUUUUUGCUCAUAGUCUAAUGCUUUAUAACUUAUUUUUAACCUUUCUUGGACAUCCAUAUGAGGGACUCUUUUUAACUUCUUUAUCGUAUCUCUCCAUUGUGUUAACUCUUUUCCGCACAAUAACGAACCAAAAACCUCAAGGGAUAAGGGAAGCCCUCCAGUGAUGGAUACAACUUCAUGAGUGAGGUCCUCAAAUUCCCUUGGAGGAGAGUCCAUUCGAAACGCAUGUUUGCUAAACAUAAUCAAAGAUUGAUUGUUAUCCAUUUCCUCAUGGUCAUAGUCAUAGUCCACCCCAACUUCUUCAAGAAUCCUCUUGUUUCUAGUUGUAAUAAUGAUCCUACUUCCCGAAAAAAACCAAUUACGAUUACCAGCCAAACGCUUCAACUGAAUGACAUUAUCCACAUCAUCAAGAAGAACAAGGACCUUUUUACCUUUAAACUUGGAGGAGAUGAACCAAGUCCCUUCAUCCUCAUUACGAACUUCAUUUUUUAUAUUCAAUAUAUCUUUGAUUAAUUGAUUUUGUAAGUGAUGAACGCCAUGCUUCCAUAAUUCUCUUAUAUCAGCAAUGAAGCUACAAUGUUCAAAUUGAUUGGAGAGCUUAUUGUAGAUGGCUUUAGCAAGAGUAGUCUUACCAAUGCCUCCCAUUCCAUGGAUGCCAACAAAUAGAGUGGCAUGAGAUUUAUUAUCCAUAAAUUCCAUAACCUCCUUCACAUGACUAUCAAUUCCAACCAAAUUCUCAGUAAUAACCAACUCGAACUUUUUCUUCAAUUCACUCAAUGCUUUUCGGACAAUCGAUUUCACUAACUCUGCUUCAUACCUAUCAAACAUGACAAGAGUUCAAAUAUGUGGCAACAAUAAUUUUAUAUUGUUAUCUAUUGAGAACACAAUAAAUCUAGUGAUAGAUUGAAAAAUUUUAAAAAUCAUUUUUGUCAUACCUUCAUAUAUUAUCAUAUAUGCUAAGUCUAAAGUGGGAAAUGAUAGUGGUUGCUUCACAUGGCAUGCCCCAUUCCACUGUUACUCUAACAUAAUUCAUCAAGCCAGGAAAAACUUGAGGGCAUCAUUAAUGAAUCUUAAAUGUUGUAUAUAUUAUGGAUUUGAAUGAAGUUUUGAACUGGUUGUUUAUUAAAGAUAUUAGGGAUGACAUGGACGUGACUUUGAAAAUUCUAUAGAGAGUUUGAAUGAGCAAAAAUCCUAUAAGCCAACCGCAUAUGAGAGUUAGCCGUCAAUCAAUAAACAAGCCAUAACUUUUGAUAGAAGAGGAUUUCAGGUCCCAUAAUACCAGUCCGAAAAGUUGUUUAGAUUGUAAUAUUGUGAACUACAUGAAUGCAAUUGAAGUGAUUUCUUUGUUUCCCUUUUGAGUAUCUAUGUUCUAUGAUUUUAAUUGAUCUAAUAUUGAGUUUAUAGGGAAGUAAAAGAAUACUUUUUACACAAAAUAAGAACAUUGUAUAUGCAGGUGCAUGAGAUAGAUAUUACUUGCGGAAGAUAGGAAAUGCUUUGACAGUUAUUUAAACAGACAAAAUAAAGUUAAUCAUUUUUUUACCAUCAUCUUAUAUAACCAAUGAAACAUUUCUUUUGUAAAAUGAUUUUAAAAGCAAGUAAUCAGCGAUAUCAAUGAUUUAAUAAAUGUACCUUGUGAAGAUAAAUAAUUAUGGCAAGGCUUGGACGCUAUGCGUUGUGAGCUUCAAAUAAAAGUCACCAAUAAGUUGUACUAGUAAUUUCAAAUAAAUGUAAUUAGAAAUGUUUGUGCUGAACAUUAAUAUAACGUCCACUAUAAACAUUAAAAAAAAUUGGCACAAUGUUACACAAUCUUUGGAUAUAAGAGUAACAACUCACUCAAAAAUCUUAUUUCCAAGCGGAUGGAAUCAUAACAAUAAAAUUCAUAAUUAGAUUGGUCAAUAUCAUUAAAGCAAAAUACUGGAAAAAAAAAAAGAAUAACUUUCAGAAGUCAUGCAUCGCAGGAUCUUACUUUAUAUAUAUAUAUAGAAGAAAAAGAACGAAAAUGAAGCAAGUGAGAAUCAAAACAAUUAGUAAACACCCACACAUAUUAAAAGAAAGUGCAUAAUGUUUUGGUGAAAAUUUUUACCCAUCGGCUUCAUAUCCUUUCAAGGUGCUAACUCCAUCGAGUGCUUUCUUCCAUUUCCUCAAAAUCGAUGGGUCAAAAGAAGACCUCUCACGCAAACACCUCUCACGCUCACGAAAUGCAUCUCCAAAAUUUCCGGUUUGAUAUCGCACCUCAGCUGGUUUCACUUUGUAAAAUACAGGCAACACUACAUGCCCGUUAAUCUUGCACUCCAUUAUCUGAACCAAUUCGUCCAGGCACCAACUGCUUGUACCAUAAUUCUCAGAGAGAAUGGGGAUGAGGAUCUUACUUUUUGGGAUGGCUGCCAAAAGCUCUGGUCCGAUGUUCUCACCUUGGCGGAGCUCAUCAUUGUCUCUGAAAACAUCAAUUCCGGCAUUAAGGAGUCCGUUGUAGAGGUGAUCGGUGAAACCUUUUCGUGUAUCUGGGCCUCUAAAGCUCAAGAACACCUCGUAGCAGUUUCCAGUUAACGUGGUCAAAGAACUAGAUGCACCAUUUUUUGUCGGAGACGAACUAGAUCCACCAGAAUUAGUUUCUGUCGGCACAGCCACCGAAUCAGAUGCGCCAAUAUCGACAUCUUCUGCAUUUCUAGGCGCACUGGUUUUCCUCUUCUUAAAGGGACGAUGCAUUUCGUCUUUGCUCUGACUCUACCCUUGAUUUUCGCUUUCAAAUCCGACGAAGAAAAUGCCAGAUUGCCUUCUUGUUUUGCCCAUUCUCUUGUGGUUUGAUUUAUAUAAUGGAGCCAGUUGGCAACUAGAAUCACACCAAUAAGUCAAUUUUUGUCAACCAUGUGCUUAGAGUCGAUGCUUUCACGUGGCUGAAAUCUCAAUGCGCAGAGAGAAUCCAAAGAUACUAAUAGACAAGGUCUGUUCAAAUUUCAAUACAAAUAAUAAAACGGUGGAUUUGCUGGGAAGGUGAAAAGUGGAGAGACCGGGGACGUGACUGUGACAUAGAUCUCGUGACUGACACGGAUCUGCGGGAAAAGAUGAGAAGUGGGGAAGAGAGAGAUUCGUCUGUUCCGACAAUUUCCAAACAUGCGACCAAAAAACAAUAAAAUUUCCAGACGAGUGCUUGGUAAUAGACAAAAACAUACAAAGCGUAAGGACAAUGAAGAGGGCACGUUUAGGGUGCGUUUAAUUUAGUAUUUUGAAAUCUCAUUUGAAAAAUUUAAUCCACUACUUGCACCUUCCAACUUUCCUCUUUCAUUUGUUAGUUUAUUUUCCAUCAGAAAAUAUAUUUUUUGUUAAAUAUAUUUAAGCUCUUAAUCCCACUAAAGAAUUUACCCCUCUUACUUUGAGCUUGUUAAAUAUUAUACAGUCAAACCGAUAAACUUCAUUUUAAUACUGAAAUGUUGUAAUGAUAACUAUAACUUAUUCUAAAAAAUUAUAUUAUCAACACGUGUCGAUAAUCAUAAAAAUUAUCAACAUGAUGAGAAGAAUUUCUUUUUUGUUUAGGUUCUAUCUUAAUUUCUCCUUCAAAUCCCGUAAAUAAAUCAAAAUGCUUUUGUGGUUUUGCUUUUACUUUUAUUUUAUUAUACAUAUUUAUUGAUUCAUUUGAUUUAUUUAAUUCAACCAGUUGGCACGCGCUAACAAUUCAAACUAGCCGAACUAGAUAUUAAUUAGUAAUCCAUUGAUUGGGACCACUAAACAUGCAUUUAUGGUCAUUGCCUUAGUGUAGCGGAAGCUUAAAUUUACAAGAAAAGUGAACUUUAAAGAAAUGUAAAUGUUAGAAAUAGAUCAAAAAACCCUUUAGUGAAAUUGCAACUUUUCGCUCUAUGUCGUUUCCUCGUGCGUGUCCCGACAGUUUUCUCUCUCCAUUUUUUUUCUUUUCACCUCCUCUGUUCUUUUCUUUCUUUUCUUUUGCGGACCACUUUCUCAGUUUUUUAUUUAUUUUUAAUUUAUAAAAGCUCUCUCUUUUGCUGACCCCUCUCUAUAUCUCCUUUUCUUCGCUGUGAAGGGAAAGCUCAGUCCUUUUCUUUUUGAGCUCUCUCUAGUAAUGACUGCAUGCGAAAAAAUCGCCCACCCCACUAGGCGAGAAUCCCCUGCUUUUUUUAAGCCUAGAUUUUCUUGUCUUCUUUGGCUAUGAAUUUCGGUCCCUAAAUGUCGAGAUUGCCCCCCUUGUCCUCAAGGUACUUCUCGUUAUUCGAGAUUCAUUUGCAAUUGGACAUUAAAUUUGAAAAUCCUUUUUAGGCGAAAAAAAUUAGGGGCUGAUAUAGCACUGGGUUUAAAGUGGAGGGUUGUUUUAGACAAAAAAAAAAUGCUGUUGACAAUAGAAUUAAGACUGAACCUAAAAUUUGAUGGAUUUUAGAGAAUUAGGACCAUAUAAAGAGAGAGAAGAGAAAGUAGCUUCACUUAUUUUAAUCAUUUAGGGACAGAUUUAUAAUUAGAUAGCGUGUAAUUUUCUUUUUUACCUUCGCUCGGUGGCUGGGUCCCAUCCGUCUUUGCUUAACUUGAUAUAAAUGCUACUCCUAUUCUUUACCGAAUUUUUGUUUAUUUCUUAUUUUGAAUGAGUCCCCCCCCGCUUUUCCCCCUCCCCCCAAAACCACUCUGUUCUCUACUUUAUUGACUUCACAAUUUCUUAAUCAACCCAAAGUCAAAUUAAUAAAUCACAAUUUUCAAUUUUUCCCGGCUCAUGGUUUUUCUUGGUUUAGUUUAGCGAUUGCUGUAUUGUUUUGCCCCUCUUCUUGUCUAGGUCCAAAAGUGGUUUUUUUUUUCAAAAAAAAAGAGAGAGAUAUAUAAAGGACUAAGGGAGAAGACGCACCAGGAGAGAAAGGAAAAGAAGCGGAAAAGAAGAGGAAGAAACGGACAGAACAAGGGGAAAAACUCAAUCCUUUUCUUUUUCGAGCUCUCUUUGGCAAUUAUUACAUGCGGAAAAAUCGCCCACCCCACUUGGGCAAGAAUCCUGUGCGUUUUUUAAGCCCAGAUUUUCUUGACUUCUUUUACCGUGAAUUCCGGCCUUUGAAUGCCGAGAUUACUCCCUUGUGAAGAUGGAAAUUGCUCUUCACGCGACCUUGUCCUCAAAGUUUUCAUCAUUAUUCGGAACACAUUUGGGGCUGAAUAUAAAAUUUGGAAAGUUUUUUAGACGAGGUUGAUAUAACAUUGACUUUAAAGUUAAUGAUUUUUUGAAAUAAAAAAACUCGAGAUAAAAUUAAGAUUGAACUUAAGAAUUUAGGGCCAUAUAAAAAGAGAAGAGAAAGUUGAGGUGCUUCUUAUGUUUUUAUCAUCUGGAGGUAUAUUUGCAAUUAGAUGGCAUAUGAUAAUUUUUUUCUAUCCUCACUCCCUCUUCUCUACUAACUUUUUGUUAAUUUAUUAUUUCGAAUAAGUGGUUGAACCCACCAUUCUUCUCUCUACUUAAUUGUCGAGUUAUCGAUUUUUUUAAAUGUCAACUUAUUGAUUUCAUUUAGUCAAAUUUAUUAAUUUCACAAUUUCUUAAUCAACUAUCUAGUCAAAUUCAUUGAUUUCACAAUUUCUUAAUCAACUCAAAGCCAAAUUAAUCAAUCAAAAUUUUCAAUUUUUUCAAACAAAUAUUUUUUCUUGAUUUUGUUUCGCUACUGCUCUAAUAUUUUCCCCUCCUUCCUGGCUCGGUCAAAAAGUGGGUUUAAAAAAAAGGAAAAAGAGAGAGAGAUAUAAACGGAAAAGGGGGAGCAGGCGCCACGACAGAAACGAAAAGAAAGGGAAAAGACGUGGGCUUCCUCACGCGUGCCCCAAUAAUCCUCUCUCCUUCUCUUUCUCUCUGUCCUUUCAUCUUUUCAUUUCACCUCCUCCACGAGAAUCUGCCUCCUCUGUCCUUCUUAUUCUUUCAUUACUUUUGCCGACCACUUCUCAGUUUUUCUUUAUUUCUAUUUUUUUUAACAGAAGUUUUUCUUUAUUAAAAGUUCUCCCUUUUGCUGAUCAUAACCUGCUCUCUGUAUUUCCCUUUCUUUUUUUUUUUGGGCAUAAGUAUUUCUCUUUCUUGGCCGCGGAGAAAAAUCACCGCACCCCCAACACUUGCCCAAAGUCCUCUGCUUUUUUUCUUGCCCGGAUUUUCUUGUCUUCUUUGGCCGUGAAUUCCGGUCCCUAUAUGCCCAAAUUGCUCCCUUGUCAGGAUGGAAGCUGCUCUCCCUAGACAUUGUCCUCGAGGGUGGAUUUGAAACUAAAUAUAAAGCUUUGAAUUUUUUUAAGACGAAAAAAUUAGGAUCUAAUUUAGCAUUGAGUCUAAAAUUAAAUAUUUUCUGAGAUAAAAAAAAAGGUUGGGAUAAAAUUAAGAUGAAACCUAAAACAUGCACCGGGAGAGAAACAAAAAAAAAGGGAAAAGAAGAAAAAAAGGAAAAGAAAAGAGAGUGGGUUUUGCAUGUAGAUCUUCCAUAAAUUCACUUCCAUUCGCAGCGCCAAGUAAGGUUUUAAGCCCUUUGUUUGUACAAUCAGGACGGUUUUUGAAAUUAGAGUACAAAUUCAAAGAUUAUAUGAAAUUUAUAUUACAAAAUUCGAUUUUGAAAUUGUUAAGCUGUGAAAGUAAGGGCAUUGUGAAGUUGUGACAUUAAACGGGAGUUGAUUAGAAGUAACAUUUUAAUAGACAAUGUCCGAUAAAAUUUCGAUAUCCAUAUAACUGGGGAUUUGUUUGGAAGAUGAAAAGUGGAGAGAGACUUGGGAGAGUGUUCGUUGAACUUAGUCCACGGCUUGCACGAUUGAACUUUCCUUUUCCAUUUUUAAGUUAUUUUCCACCGGAAAUAGUAUUUUUAUUGGACAUAUUUAAGCUCUUGAUUCCCACUUAAAAAAUUAAUCCCUCUCACUUUAAUUUUGUUAAAUAUUAUACUAUUAAACUGAUAAACUUCAUUUCAAUACUUAUAAGUUUAACGAGUUAGCACGUGCCAAGGAUUAUAAAAAAUUAUCAACAUUCUAUAUAUAUUUAUUAUGUAUCUGAACACAAUUAAAAGAAUUUCUUUUUUGCUCUGAUUCUACCUUAAUUUCUUCUUCAAAUCUCAUAAAUUAAUCAAAAUACCUUUUUGCUUUUCCUCUUCGUUAUUAUAUAUUUAUACUGAUUUGAUUUACCCAAUCCAAGCAAUUGGCAAGCACCAAUAAUUCAAACUUGCCGAGUCAGAUAUAAAUUAGUAAUUCGUUGAUCGGGACCACUGAUCACGCAUUUAAAGUCAUUGCCUUCGUGUGUGAGAAGUUUCAAUGGACAGGAGAAUCCAAGGCGAUCCUGCCCAGGAAGAGAAUAUCGUGUGAGCAAAUUUUGAUGCAAAACAAAAAAAAUAGUACAACAAAACAAUAAAGGACAACUACUUUAUUCGUAUCCGUGGAAAGUGGUCACAAUUGAUGAAUACAUACAAAACCUCGGGACAAUUGCUGCACCAUUGAACUUUCUUUUCUUUUCUUUUUUAAUUUAUUUUCCAUCGGAAAAGUUACUAAUAUAUUUAAACUCUUGAUUCCAGUUAAAAAUUUACUUUGAACAUGUUAAGUAUUAACAAAUCAAACUAAUGAAUUUGAAAUGUUGCAUUAUCAACCAUCACUUAAAUCUACAAUAUAUAUAUAUAAAUAUAUAUAUAUAUAUAUAUAUAUAUAAAGACUUCAGAGGAUUAUAAAUUCAAAGAAAGUAAAGAGGAAAAGUCUAGUGACUUGAUAUCCAGACUCCUCUUUGAGGAUAGCAGGCGAAGGUUUUUUGAGGACUUUCCUUGCAUUUCUCCCUUUAUUAUUUCUUGGACAAGCCAAAGGGCCAGCCAAUAGCAUUGAAUUAGACUCAAAAUAAAUAUAGUCUAUGAUGAAGAACGGACGGAAAUGACUUUCAAUGACACAUUACUCUUUAUACACGUCUGCCUUAAUUUUGCUCGUAAUUAAAUAUGAUGGCAAAAAUAGUGAGAAAAUUUUCUAAAUAUAUAGUGGGGGCAUGGACAGCGACUUGCAGUCUAUCUAGACAAGAAACUUGAAGAUGCAUGGAUCACUGAUACAUUUUAUUAUUUCUUGGACUAACCAAAGAGCAGUCAAUAUUGAGUAAGAAUCUAUACAGUUGUAGAUAUUUCUAUAGCCCUUGUUACACGUUUUUUAAGGAAUUUGUACAAUUGUAGAUAUUUCUAUAGCCCUUGCUACACGUCUUUUAAGGUGGAGACCACUUUGAACACAACCCCUCUGUAUGUUUUUUGUCUUUCCUCUUGUCUAACUUAUUUUUCCAAGUAGACUUUUCAAUUACACGGCAACUCUUUCUACUUCCUUUGCACAUUUAUUUCUUCCUCGCUCCAAAUCCUUUCCCUUGUUGUCACUGCUUCCUUCAUGUGCUUGUGACAUGAAUUUGCGAGAGAAAAUGAAAAGUUGAAAGAGAGAGAUUGGUCAGGUCCAACAUUUUCCACACAAGUGUUCAGAAUAGACAAAAACAUACAAAACGUCAGGACAAUGAAGAGGGCACGCUUAGUCCACCGCCUGCACCGUCGAACUUUCCUUUUUCUUUUGUUAAUUUAUUUUGCAUCGGAAAAUGUGCUUUUCGUUAAAUAUAUUUAAGCUCUUAAUCACACUUAGAAAUUUACCCAGCCUGAUAUAUAUUAUCCAGUCAAACCAAUAAACUUCAUUUUAUUUCUGAAAUGUUGUAUUAUUAACGAUAACUAAUUCUAAAAAACUAUGUUAUCAAUGCUAUUGAGGAUCAUAAAAAAUUAUCAACAUGCAUAAAAGUGUCUAUAUAUGUAUAUAUAUGUAUAUAUAUAUAUAUAUAUGUAUAUAGAUGUAUAUACAUAUAUAUAGAUGUAUAUACAUCUAUAUACAUAUAUAUAUAUAUUCAUUCUAACACAAUGAGAAGAAUUUAUUUUUUGCUCAGCUUCCAUCUUAAUUUCACCUUCAAAAUUCAUAAAUAAGUUGAAAUGCCUUUUUGCUUUUGCUUUUGCUUUUACUUUAUUAUAAAUAUGUAUAUUUAUUUUAUUGAUUUGAUUUAUCUAAUCCAAUCAGUUGGCACAUGUCAAUAAUUUAGACUUACCGAACUAGAUAUGAAAUGGUAAUUCACCGCUAGACCAGUAAACAUGCAUUUAUGGUCAUCGCCUUUUUUUUUUGUCGUCGCCUUCAACUGGUGGAAGUUUCAUUGCACAGGCAAAGUUUCAAUGCAUUUUACUCGUGGCCCAGCAAUAUCUCUCUCUUCAUUCUUUUCUUUCUUUUCUAUUGCAGAUCACUUUAUCAGUUUUUCUUUGUAAAAGCUUUCUCUCUUUUGCCGACCAUAACCCUCUCUCUCCAUCUCCUUUUCUUGGCCGGGAAGAAAAGCUCCGUCCUUUUCUUUUUCGAGCUCUCUCCGCAAUUAUUGCAUGCUGAAAAAUCGCCCACCACACUUGAAUGAGAAUCCUUUGCUCUUUUUUAAGCCCGGAUUUUCUGGACAUUUGGCCGUGAAUCCUGGUCUCUGAAUGCGGAGAUUGCCCUCACGUCAAGAUGGAAAUUGCUCUCUCUUGACCUUGUCCUCAAAGUUUUAUUAUUCGGAAUGACAUUUGGGACUGGAUAUAAAAUUUGAAAAGUUAUUUUAGACGAGAACAAUUGAGGGUUUAUAUAGCAUUUGGUUUUAAAGUUGAGGAUUUUUUAAAUAAAAAAAAUUCGGGAUAAAAUUAAGACUAAAACUAAAAUUUGAGAAUUUUAAAGAAUUAAGACCAUAUAAAAAGAGGAAAGAAAAAGUUAAAAGAGCUUGCCGGUUUUUAUCAUCCAGGGGCAUAUUUGUAAUUAGAUUGCAUGUGAUAAGUUUAUUUCUAAACCCACUCCCGGUGGCUCGGCCCAGGAGUCCUUCAUUAACUUGAGGCUUCAUUAACUUGUUAACUUGAGGCCAAGGAGUGCCUAGCCCACCACUCUUCUAUCUACUUAAUUACGAAGUUACCUCAAAUUUAUUGAUGUCACAACUUCUUAAUCAACCCAAAGCCAAAUUAAUAAAUUAAAAUUUUCAAUUUUUUCCAAUUUUUUUUUGUUUGCUUGGUUUAGUUUAGUAGUUGCAAUAUUCCUUCAACACCUAUAAUUUGUAAUGCAUGUUAAUUCAAAUAUUUAUAUUAUUAAAUGGAACGAACAUGUGCAAUAUUAAUUCAUUUAUAUUAAAUUGCAUUUUAAAUAAUACUUUCACGUAAAUGCAUGCGGUUCCUCUUAAAUAAGAAGGGGUAGCUAUGUUAAUGAAAAUGUGAAAUAAACUAACAAAGGGUUGGUCUAAUGGUAGCAUGCUAACUCUUCGCGGACUGCCCCAGCUAAUGGGCAGGGGUUCAAAUCCUGGUUAAAAGCCCUUGUUGGGAGGGGAGAAACCCCUGAUGCUUUAAUACCCAAAGCGAUUGCCCACUUUGGCCACUAUUUUAUUUACCCAAAAAAAUUGCAAAAUAGAUUUUACUUAUCACCCAAAAUACACCUAGGCAUAUUAUUCUCAUCCGACAAUUUUUUUUAUCUAGAUUUAUUCCCAUUAUAUAACAAGGGUAACUAUCUUUAUAAAUAUGUUAAAUAGGCUUCACUAAUCAUUCAAAAUAUACCUAAGCAUAAUAAUAUUAUUAUUCAACUUGGUUGGUGCAAGAUGUGAAGCAAUUUGUAUGUUCAAUAGAAAGAAGCUUUAUUAUGAUAUCCACUUGUGACAAACUAAAAGAAUUAUCAAUGCUAUUUAUAUAUUAACAAUCCAAAUUAAGAAAUUGUGAAGUGUAAAAAACAAAAAAACAAAAAAACAAACACAAGAGUACUCGUGCAUUUCACGAGCACUUCUAUUUAUACUAUUGAUUUACAAUACUUUAUAGGUGCUCAAUUAUCACAUUAAUUCAAGAGCUUAACUGCAUUAUUCUCUAAAGCUAAUCAACUCUAGCUUGUAAGUAAGAGUACUUUGCCUAAAAUGCAUCCAAUUUAAGAGGCAUCAAACAUGAAUGCAAUAUAUCAACCUAUGCAUUACCACUCUAAUAGGAGAGUAUUAGGUGUAUUUAUCAUGUUAACUGUUGCGAUACUAACAUAUUCAACCUAUCAAUAUAUACAAUAGUCAAUCAUCAGUCUGAUGCAAUAAAGUUGACCUCUAAUGACAAUAAACACAAUUUUAUCGAAUUCGACACUAUAUUGUCAACCAAGGCAAUGCUAUGACUUUAAUCAUAUUAGUAAUUCAGUAUAUGCAUGCUUUUUAGUUCCCUAAAUGUUGCUUUAAGUUUGCAUUUGGGAUGUACAUUUUUUCACUCUUUUACGACAUCAUACAGUGUGAAAAGUUUGACAAACAUUAUGGCCCUUCAAGUAAAUUUUCUUAUUAAGUCUAGACUAAGGCUUCCGCAAUGUCCUUGGCCUGGAUUAUACUUGCUAGAAAGGGUAAGAUCUUCAUAGGCCCUCUCAAUCUUCCUAGAACAGAGCAGAAACCCAAUAGUCUGGAGGAGAGCAAAAAGUAUGCAAGGUAGGCCAACCGCAAGCCAAACAACAAAAAGUUUCAGAUAAGUGUUUAGUAUCGAAGUUGGAGGUGUCAUCUCAGAAGUGACCAACAUAAGUGAAAUCUAGCCUAGAAAAUGGCAUAAUCAUCUAGAACUUUUACAAGCAUAGCCUCGCCUAGGAUAGUUGUUUACUUAACCAGCCCAUUACUUUCCAGGCAAUACUGAUUUACUGUCAGUCUACCAUCAAAUCCCUUUAUUAAGAAAAACUGCUGUAUGAGAAGCAAGAACAAGGAAAUGACUCAUUUAUUGAAUAUGAUAGACCAUAUAGCUAAAUAUUUGAUUUGAACAGACAAAACGCUUACAAUAUUUUCGAUUGAAAGACACCAAAUAUACUGAAGCGCAAAACCUCAUCUUUAUCUCCACUGCAAAGGCUAUGCAAACAUUGCUUGAAAAAUUUGAGAGCUCUACAAAUGACUCUUGAACGUCAAUUAAACCAGCAUCUUCAGGUACUGGUCUAGGCAUUUGAGGAACUCUUGGAGCUGGGGGUAAGAAUUGAGUGGUGCGACCUUCAAACGCCAAAGAGUUACCAGAAGCGUUCUAUAAAACAAAUCAAUAAUUACUUUCCAGUUGGAAAAUAAAAAGACGAAAAAAUAUGAGAUUAAAGCGAAGGAGCCAAACAAAUCAACAAGUUACAGAUGACCCCAAACAUACACUUCCAAAAAUUCUUCCAUAAACCCAUACUAAAGCCAUUGGACUGUGCAAUAAGAUUCUAAGUUUGAAAAAGAAGUAUUUAAGAACACCACACUAAAAUAACUACUUAACUGCAAACGAAGCAUUAUGAAAGGUGUGAACCAUAAGAUAUCUGCCAUUGGUAAUAAAGAUCAUGAAGUCAUACUAACUUUUAAGUUGAAAGAUGCCAUACUCAAUUCACUUGGGUUCUCCUAGUUAAGACACACCCCAACUGCCAUACUUCAAGCUUCUCAGCAGUUUUCCAUUCUCCCAAUUAAGACACACCCUAGUUGCCAUACUUCAAGCUUCUCAGCAAUUUUCCAUUAUGCUUAAUAUUUAUACCCUGUUAGAAUGAUUAUACCACAGUGUGCAUAACUGCUAUAAGCACUAGCAUAUCAAAAGCAGCACCUUGCAUAUUUAUAGUUCCAUAAAGACAGCUACUUUGGCAAGUAACAUUCAUUAUGUACAAACAAAUUCUCUUCUCAACAAUUCUUAUGUAACCAUAGGUGCUAUAAUGGAUUUGAAUAAGAUUUCGGAUCCAUCUAUAUUGAUUGACUGCAAUCCAUGAAGUGGAUGAUUAGUGAUGAACUGGUAGAAAUCUCAAAGAAACAGAAUUGCAGCAGCUUCAGCCAUGUACUCAGCCAUUCUACUCAUGAUCAAGCAGUUAUAGCUUGCUAAAAACAUAACCAGUUAUUUACAAACUUUUCCACCCACAAGCAUAAUUGAGGCACACAAAUCCUAUCAUUUAAGAGUCACCUAAAUUAUUGCCUUCCUAAUUUGACUGAACUAAACAAAUUUACUGACAAUUGAAAGAAGCUUUUAAUUUUCAUGAAAAUGAGCAUCUCACAGAUGAAUGCUUCGGUAUGAUACCAUCCACUUAGACCAUAGAUUCUCACCACGACUUGGACCCCAGUAAACACUAUGCUGUAAUUUGUCAUUGACAAUUGAAAUAGUUUCAAUCAUUAAUGACAACAUUAGCAGCAAAGUAAAAAUUUUGUCCUACACGAGAAUGCGAUUGAGUACAUCAAUAAGAUUCAACUCCUAAAGUAUAUUAAUAUACUAAACGAGCAUAUUAAUUCGGUAUGAUAUGUGAUUAAAGUAACUCACUGCUGAUUUCACUGAUUAGCUAUGAGUCAAUCAAUUUUGUUGAUUCAUAAUUUAACUCAUGCAUCAAAUAAUGUAAUAUCAAAAACAUUUCAUGGCUUUGAUAUAGGGCUGAGUCCCACAAUAAAGAACAAUUAGUUAAGCAUCACAAGCAAAAUUGCCUAAGCAACACACCUAGGGUUUCUUAAGCAUCACACCAAAGAUGAAUUGUGUCACACAAUCUGCAAAGCAAACACUUGCCAAGUUCAAUAAAUUAUCAACUCUAUUGAAAUUGGAAACCUCUAAACAGGAAACAUUAUUGGAGUAUACAUAAGAUCCUACUUCUCAAGCUUAAAAAAAGAAAAAAAGGAAACUUUGUAAAAUCCUACUAAUACUCAAAUACUAGUUGAUAAUUUUAGUGAUUAAACUUCAAGAAGAAUCCUGAUCCUCGUUUGAGUUUCAAAGUCAAUCUUCACCAAAAACUUGGUAGUCAUCUUGCAUGAUGCAAUCUAUCCAACUAAACAAUAGAGCCAACUUGAUCAACAACUUGACCUAUCAGGACCUGUUUAUAUUUAGUUCAGUAAAUUCUCUAAUAAAAAAUCAUACAUGAAUUUGGUUUCCAUAGUUGUUAUAGAUUACAAUUUGAACACACCAUAUAAAUAUAACAUUUCAUGUAAACCUAGGAUUUUGUAAGCUUAUGGUUAGUUUCUUUUCAAACUUAUUUGACAUUGAAGAGAAUAUGCAUAUGGUACAUAUGUCACAUUGGUCAUGUUAGAUGGGAAUGACCCAUUCAAUUCAAUCUAAUUAGUUAAACGGAUUAUUCAUCUCUUACCUAUUUAACAAAUGGGUCAUGUUCAAUUAGAAUUUUCUAAUAAAAUUUGUUGUUAAUUUUAUCGUGUUUAGAUUGACCUAUCUAUCAAUCCAUUGUUAACUUGACAUUGAGAAACAUGACCAAUAAAAAUGGAGUUCAGUCAGCAAGUUUACUGUUUGCAUUGCAUCAUGCAGAUUUUGAGCAAUUCAGAAUCUUUCCCAGGAGAGACUAAAGAAGGAACACGUUUUUUGAUGAUAAAGGAAUGUUGCAGGAGGAAUACCUGGUUGAGAAGUAAUGAGGGCAACGUUCAAGUGACAACAGAGAAAACAAACUUCGACUUCAUGCAAUAAAACUGUAUUGUCUUCAAGUCCCAAGACAACAAACUUGCCAUGAGGACACCGGCAUAAUGAUGUCAUACAGAGCAGAAUAGAAUGAUUAAGAGAAGCCAGUAUUGACUACACACAUUGAAAUGUGCAAAGAAAGUGAAUCCAUUAUAAACGAGAGAGAGAGAGAGAGAGAGAGAGAGAGAGAGAGAGAGAGAGAGAGAGAGAGAGAGAGAGAGAGAGAGAGAGAGAGAGAGAACAAUCUGUUCCCAAUAAAAUUAACAGAAGAAGAGGAAAGAUAAAGCACACACAUUAACCAACAAAAGGUUAAUCAAAAUUUGUGAAGUGAGGCAAAACGUCAUAACUGCACAAAAUAACUAAGGGAUAUUAGUCGCUCGAUAUGAGAUUUCUUUGGGCUAGUAGGUCAUCUAAAGCAAGGGAAUCUAUAUCUUCCAAUAUCAUCAAAAAACAAAUCUUCUUGUUCAAUUAUGGAACCUCAAGGUGAAGUGGAUGCACGGAAGCUUACUUCAGGCAAGGAUUACAAGUGUAAUAGUAUUUACAACUUAGGAUCUCAAGAGAAACCAUUCAAGGAUUGGCUCAAGUACUAGAGUGCACUCAAAACAUUCUCCAUAUCCAGAAGACAAUAUGACAAGCGAAGCACUGAGAUGUUUCCAGAGAAAAAUCUCCUCUCUAAAUUUUUCCGGUGAGAAUAGACAUCAAGAACUAACAAGGCAGGGCAUCUAAUUCUAAGUUCUUAUGACUUUGAAUUACCAAAAGAUUAAGUCAUAUAGGAACCCAACAUACUUGGAUGCAGCUCCCCUGACCCUCCCAGUCUUUUUGCUUUCUCCAAUUUCUCUUCCAUACGUCUUGACCAGAUUGUCAUGCAAGUACGCAGCAUAGCUCGAGAUAUAUCCUAUUCAAAAGUUAGAACUCCCACCAUCGAAGUCGAUUAAUCAAAAUGAUGUGACGAAAUGCCCCCCCAGUAAUGACAAGAAGAUAAAUAAAACUUCAAGCAAUACAAAAUGUAAGAAACUUUCCACCUAUAGUCUAUAUUUCAGUAUCCAGUAAAUCUCUCCUUGCAGGGCAUGCUCAGUCAGUAAAAGAAUGCUCAAUCAAUAAAAGAAGAGGAGUCAGCAGUAAAAUUACAUUGUGAGAGUCAUCAUCAGGAAUCUAAGAUCUUUUCAGAUGCCUGAUGACAUUUAGUUAAUAUUCCGCAGUGGCUAACCUGCCAACUCCAAUUGGGCAUCAAGCAUUUCUGCAUCUAACAGAGCUAGUCUAUCUAGCAUACAUGGCAUCCCCUCCAAUUCAUGUUAAUUAUUUUCAUGGACACUUUAACUGGUGUACGAAGAAGGGCCACAAGAAGGCAAUACAAGAGUAUGGUACGCUUAUGGUCGAUGUAGCUGACUGUUCGCUAGGCUAUGGAAAAAAUCUCCCAAGGCAACAACCUGAUCGAGAAGUUGAUAAGAAUCUAUUGUGCCUAUAAAUAAAAUCCCUCCAUUCAACUAAUAUUGGCUUGGAAUUCUUCACUGGCAACUAAGUCAUCUAUAGAUUUCCACUUGCAUCACCAUCACUCGCCCUUCAUCUCUGUGUAAAAGACCAACUCCUUAGUUGGACGGCACCUUCUCAUUUAGACUUUCAAGCACUUUAUCUCUAUAUUCAUCCAAUUCUCCAUCAAACGCAAUUUGAGCUAGAUUGGCAUUACAGUGGUUCCUAUGGCUAAAAAGGAAGCUUAAAACAUUUAGGAAAAGCGAAAGAAGUAAAAUGAGAUAAGGCCGCUAACUCAAAGGGCAAACACAGCAAGCCAUUGUUGAAGAAACGAACAAACUGAAUAAAGAAAAAAAGAGAACUUUCUCGAAUCGAAGCAAUUACCUAAGAGAGAUUGUCCACAGCCUUUGCCAAUUGAAGCAAAGAAGCACCCACCUUUGCGUCCUCCGUGACCAUCGCUAGCAAAUCCUUCUCCGAAUUCCACUCACCCCAUCUUCACCUGCUAAUCGAAAAUCGAGCAAACCCCUCACGAAACCGAAUCGACCUGCCCAUUAGGUCGUGAAAGAACGCCGAGUAGGAGCCGAACCUGAGAAGCCAGGCGAUUCGUCGAACUAGGAACAGGCGAGAGUCAAAAUAAGGAAGGAGGAGAGAGAUGGGAUAAUCCUCAUUUACUUUUGGAUAAAAAAAUGCUAAUGACUUAUUCAAAUCGGCAUCUCACGAUCGAUAACAAAAAUUCACGCAUGCUUAAAUGGAGACACUGGGCCAAGCUUGAACCCAACCAAGCCAUUUGCCAUAACCACCCAAGCUCUUAACGUUCGACCAAAUACAAAUACUCGACCAAGCCCCAGUUGGUGAGCUUUAAUCUAAACUCCUGUUAUAAGGUGCACAUGUGCGUCAAUGAUACAGUAGGAAGAAAAAAUGAGAUCCAAUGUCUUCUUUUUCUUUUUUAACUAGAACUAGGCAAUUCACCCUGUUAAAAGGUACAGCUUUGCUAUAUCAGGAAAAUCCCAUUUCUCUACUCGUGUAUGUAGAGUCAGAGACUUGCAAUUGGGCAAAGAAAAUGGCACACCCUGUACCUCUGCCGCAAGUGAUAAAACCUAAGCACAUUCAACAAUUGAAAGGCAAAAGAAUAAGGGCCUGUUUGGUUCGGCUUUUGGGGAAUGCAUUUGCAGAAAUGCAAAUACCUUUGGGUGAAAGGGGUUUUCCGAAAUGCAAAUGCCGUUUGGUAAAAUUUGCAUUGAGAAACAACUUUGGCCAAAAUACCGUUUAAUAAAAUUUGCAUUUGUAAUUAAAUUUUAUUAAAUUAAAAAAGCAAAAAUAUGUUUAUAUAUAUUUUUUUGAAGUCCGGCCACCGGACCGCUGAAUCCGGUAGCCGAACCGCCUGAAUAAAAAAUAUACAAAUAUAAAGAUAAAAUAUAUUUAUUAAAUAUAAAAUAUAUAAAAAUAGAUAUUUUUAUAUCUAUAUAAAAUAUAUAUAAAAUAGCCUGAAUAAAAAAUAUGUUUAUAUUUUUUAUAUAAAAAUAUAAACAUAAAAUAUAUUUAUUAAACAUAAAAUACAUAUAAAAAAUAGAUAUGUUUAUAUAAAUACAUAUUUAUAUAAAAAAAUAUGAGAAAAAAUAGAUAUGUUUAUAUCUAUAUAAAAUAUAAUAUAUAUAUAUUUUAUAUAAAUAUAUUAUAUAUUUUUUUUAUAAAUAUAUAUUAUAUUUUUUUAUAAAUAUUACUUAUUAAACAUAAAAUAUAAAAAUUAGAUAUGUUUCUAUUUUUUAUACAAAAAAAUAUAUGUUUAUAUUUUUAUAUAAAAAUAUAAACAUAUUUAUUUUUAUAUUUAUUUUUAUUCAGGUGGCCGAUUAGCUUCUUCACCGGAGAAAUGAACAAUACUGGAAGUUGCAUUCCGAAGAUGCAACUUUCCAAAGGACCUCAAGAGCUGCAUUGAGCUAGAGGCUCUUACAGCCACUUGGAGAUGCAAUUGCAUCUCGCCAAAGUCGCGCAAAAAAAUGAACCAAACACCUUUGCUUUUGGCCAAGGGACUUUAGAGCCCAAAUGAGCAUUCCAAAUGUUGAACCAAACAGGGCCUAAGACAGUUUACUCUUCCUUCCAAAUACAGUAUAAAAAACCCGGCUAUAUGCUUUGAGAACACUUAUGGUUCCCACCUAUGUAACAAAUUGAGUGACUAAAGCUUUUGAGUGUUGAAAUAGUAGAACUUAUAUACUAAUUCUAGUCAACAAUUGCUUUUUCGAUCUUUUAAAAAAUAGGACACAAUUACUUUUCAUUAAUAAUUUACUAUGAUCAUUGGAAUGAUGGUUAUGCACUACUGAGCAGGAAAAAAGAAUGAUCCCAAACCAGCUGCCUUUUCUUUGGUCUGUUGGUAGUUAUUCUGAAGGCACAAUGUGUAUUUGCACCAGUUGUGAUUAGGCAGAGUUGUGAAACGAUGUAAACCGGAUUGCUCGUGCUGAAGUUUGGAAUGAACUUCCUUAACUCAAGGAAGAGGGAACAAUGAAUUAUCCAUAAGUAUGAACCAAACGAGUUAAAUUUGAAAUCUGCUCACCCGAAGGCACCAACUACCAAUCAAAAGCUUAGUCGCAUUCUGCAGCUUCUGAAGCAGUCCCUCAACCAGGUUGCAAUACCCUCUGUAAGACUCGAACCAAUUGUGAACAAAACAAUCAGUUGGCCUUCCAAAAUCCUCGCCUCUCAUAAAAAAGUUCGACUCUGCUUCAAUCAAGGAUUGAGACUUCCGUUACCAGCUGCCAGCUGCCUCAUCAUACCAGAAAAUCUUCUCAAACGGCAACAGAGGACUUGAAAUCUCCAAGGAGAAACACUCAUCAGUGCAUACCGAGAGCAGCUAUUGACGCAAUUUCCCUCAAAGUCUCGGACAAACCUUGAUGGUUCGCUUUAAACCGUAGCAUCUUCCAAACUAAGGUCCUCGAGAACAGGGCUGCCAUUCGACAUCUCAUGCAUCACCUCCGAGUCACAGACGGACAGGGACCUAAGAUCAAUCCAAGCGAUACUUCUACUCAACGAGAAGCAACAGAGCCCUGAGUGCAGGUUCACCAAACGAAGAGCAUCCAUAAAAGGAGCCGCGGUACUGCAAAAUGGACAGCCAUCUCGCACAACCUCUUAGUCGCAUCCACUGAGAGGUCCUCGACACAGCGGUCGACGGAAAAGCGAAGCCAUGGACUGAGCUCAGGCGCGCAAUGGUCGAGAAAAUCGGCGUCGAUGUGGAACUUCCUCACCUUGGGCGACGCCUAGAGGAUCAAGACGCCGUCCACGGACGGGGAGGCGUUCCGCCAGGGGAAGGAGAAGACGAGGUCCGGGGGCGGCGGUCCAGAGGGAUCGCCACCGCUUCGACAAAAACGCACGUGCCAUCGGCAUCGUCGCCUAGGGUUUCGCAUCGACGAGAGGAGGAGGAGGAGGAGGUCGGCGAUGGCUUCUUCUUCGCCAUGUGGGGAUCGACGAUCGAAGGGAGGAACCGGACGGAGAGCCUCCUCCGAUUUGAGGGUUCAUUCCACUCGGACUUAAGUUUCUGGCUUCCCGUAUAGAGACACGUGUCGCUCGAUGGAGAGGCAGCCACUUUCCCGCGCCUUUUAAUACGUCUACGAGCCCAUGAUGAUGGGCCUUGCACGUCUUGAAUUGCCGAGUACCGAACCUUAAUUUUUUUUAAUCCAAGCUUGUCCGACAUCUGAAAAAAUCAUCAUUCAUAUAAUAAUCGAGUAUGAACAAGAUCGAGUAGGCAUACAUAAGCGAGAUUGAGCCCGUGAAAGAAAAUGUUUGCUUGAUUCCGCUUGAUUUGUAAUAUCAUGCUCGAGGGUUUCACUUACGUAAUGGUAGACAUAAAUAAUUAUUGAAACUUUGCAAACAUCUAUAAAGAAAAAAUAAAAAUUAAAAAUUAACCAUAAAUAAAAUUUAUGAGAUAAUUAUUUAGCUUAAAUUAUAUUCAUGAUCAAAGUAUGAUAUCUCAUGAGCUCGAAAAAUAGCAGAUGAAUGUUUCAACGUCUUGAAUUACAUUGGCAUGAAUGCAAGGAAUGAUAACCCAAGCAAUUCAUGAAGUUCGCCGGUCUAGGAUGGACAUGUUUCUUAUUUUCAAAUUGGCUGACAAGAAUGCAACCGGAGAAGACUUUUCUCAUCUCACCACCAUGCCAAAUGCAAGACUAUUAGCAUCCACAAUGUGCGUCUCCAUUUAGAUGGCAACUCCAUGAUUCUAGUAAUUAAGGUUGUUGAGCUUAUGGCUCAAGUUCUACCAACUCAGAUUUGGAUCGAAGCCUGGAGAUUAAACUAAGUCACAUACGUGUUAGGAGGCAUUGUGGGCGUGUGGCAAAGUUAUGUGGAGAGGACCGGAUGCUCGAGCUCUGCCGUGCUACCGACCAAAUGAUAGCACUAGGUAUUGUCUGAGCUCCUGAGCAAUCCCUUCAAACACCGAAUAACUAGCAUAUUCAGUAUAUGAUAUUUUGUUUCCUAUGCGAAGCAAAAACUGCUAAUUAAAUAUGUCCUCCAUUGCAAAAGUUGGAAACUCAGUUUUUAUGAAGACGAUGGAUUUUCUUAAUUUGUGUGGAAUAGGUUGAUUCAUCCUCCAUGUAGAAAAAAAAAAUAGGGCUGUCAAUCAAAACUUUUUGAAAGUGAAACCAAAUCCAACCAAACUGAAAAGCGGUAUUAGCUUGGCUUCGGAAGAUACCAAGAAAAGAGUUCAUAACAUAAAUGAAGAUUCUAUUGUGUAAACUUCCGAAGAUUGUCUAUGUACAUAAAAUGCAAAUAACAUUGGUAAAUAACAAAACCAUCUAAUAACAAAAUGCUGACUAUAACUUAUUCAGUUACUAACAUUUUGGUAAGUUACCAAAACUUUUAAGAAAAUACCAAUGCUUAUCGUAAUAUUGUUUAUUAUAUAUUAUUGUUGACCUUUGAAUGUUCCCGAUGGUUAAAAUUAGAAAAAUUGGAGACUCAAGAUCUCGGAUUGCGGCCAGAUUCGUUUCUUGACUUAAAAAAAAUUGAUUAGUAUCAGGGAAAAUAAAACGUAACUUCUUCUUCUUCUUCUUCUUCGAAAUAUUUAUCGAACCCCAAGUGUGCUUGCUAUUUUUUUUACCCUUUUUCCUCUCUUGCUUCUUUUAAGGACACGUUUCGCAGUGAAAUAUGAAUCUUCUGAAUUAAAAGGUUGACCCUUGUUCGGCUCUAUUCCUCUUUCCAUUUCGUUUCAUUUCUCCAUUUUAUUCUGUUUUUAUUUCGUAGCUUCUAUUUUUUUAUCAACUAGGUCAAGAAAUCUUUAGAAUGCACAUAAUCUUCUACCGAUUAGUUUCGAAAAGCACUAGACUUUGUUAUAAUAUUCGUUAUUCCAAUGGAAGAAAGUUCAUAACACUUGGUAUAGCAAAGAUUGGUCGAAUUGGUGGUUGGUAAUCUUCAAAGAGUACAUAAUAAUUCGUUCUUCGAUAUUUGUUAUGAAAACGGUAGGAAUCAAGGAGUUUCCUUUUACCUUGUCUCCUUUUUGCUAAGCAAAUGAAGAUUUGAUGAGAUUGCACCAUAUGCUACAAAUAUGUAUUCGGAUACCUUAUGUUCAUUCAUUUUUUGCACCGCUUAUGCCCGACAUGAACUUUUGAUAAUUGCUCUAAAAAUUAUCCAGAAAUAAAUUAGCAAGAAUUCUUAAAAUGAACAAGAGAACCAACAAAAAGACUCCAGACAGAAUAGCACAAUAACACGAAAAAAAAAAUGAAGAAGAAAAAAACGAAAGAGAAAAGCAGCGCAUUGAAAAAAGUCAUAAAUUUUCUUUUACGAAAUCCUCUUGAUUUUUACAAGCUUUUUUUUUUUUUUUGGCGAACAGAGAAUUUUGAUCAAGUGGGUUCUACUACUAAAGACAAGAUGCGCUUUUUACGCACUAACGUGCGUUGUCGCUGAUUAAAAAGAAAUGAGGAAAAUCUAUAAGUUAAGCGCACAUGUAUGCUUGUGUGUUGAGAUCAUACGAGGUCCGUGACGAAUCAAAUUGUUGCGCUUUUAUCUACUGGCAAGUGUGAUAAAUGCCUAUUGGUCUCAAGUUUUUAUCAAAAGGAUGAAGCCAAGAUUGAUUCUAGAACAGUGAUCCAUAUUGAAUCGCUAGCUAAAAUCCUUCACGGAAAAGCGAAUAAUUUGGAAAAUUAUUUUUCAAAAAAAUCACUCGUACAGUUACAAAAAUGAACAAAUGCGAGACACUCUUGUUGAGUAUGCAAAUAUUUAAAUAUAGAUUAUUGUCAAGAAUGAAACAUAUUUCAUUAAUGGAUUCUUUCAAGCAAUACAAGUAAUAAUUUUUAGAAGAACGUUUUUCAAAUCAUUCAUUUUUUUUCCGUGAAACAAAUGGAGCCUUAAUUCACAUCAAUUUACGAAUAAUAUCAUAUAUGGCAUGAUAUUUAGAUUUGUCUAAGAAACGAUAUCAUUUGAUUCGAGUCCAUACGUUCAAUUGUACAAAUAAUCUCAUUGCACACCACAACAAAAUGAAGUGGCCCAACAGGAGGAGAUUUCGCUCUGUACCAACAGAGCUGGUACGGAAGGGGAGAAUUACCGAAAAAGUCCUAAACCUAUUGCAAUUGUGCUAAUUUAGUCCUAAUUUUUUUUUUUGGCCAAUUUAGUCCUAAACCUUUUAUAAUUGUGCAAAUUCAGUCCAUCCGGCCAAAAUUGGCCUGCCGGCACUAAUGUGGACGCCGGCGGGGGACAGCCGGUCGACGACGCUGUCGUGGCAAUUUUUUUUAAAUUUUUUUUUUUAAAAUUUAAAAUAUUUUUUAAUUCUUUUUUUUUUUUACACCUUCUCUUUCCUUUGGCCAGUCGGCGUCGGCUGGAGGCGAGGGCCGGUGAGGUCAGCCUCGCCGGCCACUGGCGAGGCUCGCUCCCGCCAGCCGGAGGCGAGGGCCGGUGAGGUUGACCUUCGCCGGCUGCUAGCGAGGGUGAGGCCCUGCCAGAUUCGGCGAGGUCAGCCUCGUUGGCUGCUGGCGAGGGCANNNNNNNNNNNNNNNNNNNNNNNNNNNNNNNNNNNNNNNNNNNNNNNNNNNNNNNNNNNNNNNNNNNNNNNNNNNNNNNNNNNNNNNNNNNNNNNNNNNNNNNNNNNNNNNNNNNNNNNNNNNNNNNNNNNNNNNNNNNNNNNNNNNNNNNNNNNNNNNNNNNNNNNNNNNNNNNNNNNNNNNNNNNNNNNNNNNNNNNNNNNNNNNNNNNNNNNNNNNNNNNNNNNNNNNNNNNNNNNNNNNNNNNNNNNNNNNNNNNNNNNNNNNNNNNNNNNNNNNNNNNNNNNNNNNNNNNNNNNNNNNNNNNNNNNNNNNNNNNNNNNNNNNNNNNNNNNNNNNNNNNNNNNNNNNNNNNNNNNNNNNNNNNNNNNNNNNNNNNNNNNNNNNNNNNNNNNNNNNNNNNNNNNNNNNNNNNNNNNNNNNNNNNNNNNNNNNNNNNNNNNNNNNNNNNNNNNNNNNNNNNNNNNNNNNNNNNNNNNNNNNNNNNNNNNNNNNNNNNNNNNNNNNNNNNNNNNNNNNNNNNNNNNNNNNNNNNNNNNNNNNNNNNNNNNNNNNNNNNNNNNNNNNNNNNNNNNNNNNNNNNNNNNNNNNNNNNNNNNNNNNNNNNNNNNNNNNNNNNNNNNNNNNNNNNNNNNNNNNNNNNNNNNNNNNNNNNNNNNNNNNNNNNNNNNNNNNNNNNNNNNNNNNNNNNNNNNNNNNNNNNNNNNNNNNNNNNNNNNNNNNNNNNNNNNNNNNNNNNNNNNNNNNNNNNNNNNNNNNNNNNNNNNNNNNNNNNNNNNNNNNNNNNNNNNNNNNNNNNNNNNNNNNNNNNNNNNNNNNNNNNNNNNNNNNNNNNNNNNNNNNNNNNNNNNNNNNNNNNNNNNNNNNNNNNNNNNNNNNNNNNNNNNNNNNNNNNNNNNNNNNNNNNNNNNNNNNNNNNNNNNNNNNNNNNNNNNNNNNNNNNNNNNNNNNNNNNNNNNNNNNNNNNNNNNNNNNNNNNNNNNNNNNNNNNNNNNNNNNNNNNNNNNNNNNNNNNNNNNNNNNNNNNNNNNNNNNNNNNNNNNNNNNNNNNNNNNNNNNNNNNNNNNNNNNNNNNNNNNNNNNNNNNNNNNNNNNNNNNNNNNNNNNNNNNNNNNNNNNNNNNNNNNNNNNNNNNNNNNNNNNNNNNNNNNNNNNNNNNNNNNNNNNNNNNNNNNNNNNNNNNNNNNNNNNNNNGGGGUACGCCGGUCGCUCUCAAUGGCGGCGUCCGCUUGCAACCGAGCGAUGUAGCGAGCUUCGACGUCCCUCGGACCGGCCCUUAGAUCGGGCGUUUGGCCGUCUCCUCAGCUUGGCUUCGCCUCCCCCCGAUUCCCUCUCCCCGCCCGGUUGACCGCCUCCCCGCCUCUGCCCUAGCCUUGGCGAGGGCCGAGCUUGCCGGAUCUGGCGGGGCCUCGCCCUCUCCAGCGGCCGGCGAGGCUAACCUUGCCAAAUCUGGUAGGGCCUCGACCUCGCUAGCGGUUGACGAGGUUGAACUCGCCGGUCCUCGCCUCCGGCCAGUGGGGGCGAGCCUCACCAGUGGCUAGAGAGGCUGACCUUGCCAGCCCUCGCCUCCGGCCGACGCCAGCCGGCCAGAGGAAAGAGAAGGUGUGAAAAAAAAAAGGAAUUAAAAAAUAUUCAAAAAAUAUUCAAAAAUUUGAAAAAAUAUUAAUUUUGUUUUUAAAUUGCCACUUCAGCGUUCGCCGGCCGGUUGUCCACUGGCGGCGUCCAUGUCAGUGCCAGUCGGCCAAUUUUGGCCGGAUGGACUGAAUUGGUACAAUUAUAAAAGGUUUAGGACUAAAUUGGUCAAAAAAAAAGUUUAGGACUGAAUUGGCACAAUUGCAUAUAGGUUUAGGACUUUUUUGGUAAUUCUCCCAGUACGGAAGCAUUGGAGGACUCAUGGAUCAUCACAUUGAUGUGAAUGUGAUCGUGGAUUAGUUCUUGAAAUUGUAAUUGGGAAAAAAACAAAGUGAUAAUUAAUCCUUAUUUACUUUUGAAUUACAAAAAAAUGCUAAUGAAUUAUUCGAAUCUUCAUGUCAUGAGAGCGAACAUCCACGCAUGCUAAAUGUCAAGACGAUGGGCCAAGCCCGAACUCGACCAAGCCAUUUGGCAUCACCACCCAAGCUCCAAACACUCAAGCUGAAUAGAAAUACUCUAACCUCAUUGUUUGCCAUCACGGCCUCAAACCCACCCCCUUUCCAUGUGCCUUUUUUUUUUGUUUUUGUUUUUUUUCCAAUUUGUGACUACUGCAUAGCGAACUUGGACAUAUAAAAUCCGUACGUUAUUCAUGUCUAUGCUUAUUCUCGUCCACACUCUGGACAGAUCACUAAGGGUGCACAUGAUAAAAUUUCUGGAACAUAAAUUGAUUUAUAACUAGAUUUCUAACUACAUAUAAAAUCCGUACGUUAUUCAUGUCUAUUUCAGAAAUUGAGAAGUUAAAAAUUUUAGCUUCUAAUUUCUUCUUCAAAUCUAUUUCUGAAUAAAAAUAUGUUCCAAAAAUAGAAAAAUCAAAUUGCGUUACUAAACAGAUUUUUGUUCCAAACCUGUUACGGAGAACAAAGAAACAGAGAAAUAAUGAAGUAUAACUUUUAUCACGUGCGCCCUAAGUCUUGUUACCAAUAAAUGUACAGGCCAUGUUUGAUCUGGCCCUUCCUCAUAUUGCGAGGCACAAGAAUUCUUCCCGCUACAGAACUUCACUCGUGCUUGGCUCGGCAUCUGAAGAGCGUGGAGACUGCUAGGUUCGUAGCUCGUUCUUUUGACUAUGACCUAUGUAAGCUUGCCUUGCCAAUGCUGCUUUCACCAAAAGACGCACUCCUGCUGGAGAAGAUGGUCAUUAACGUUGAGAGUAGUGGAAGAUGCCAAUCGAAAUCUCGAGUCUUUGCCACGGCUGGUUCUGCCCUAGAUGCAAUCUUUGCAGUAAAGUCUUGCUACAAGCUGCUCACAAUAGGGAGGUUGUCGGUGGUAGAACGGAUUUUCCAUGGGAAGCGAUUUGGAAAUUGAGGGUUCAUAUUGGAGUUUCUCUUUUUGCUUGGGAAGCAACUUGGGAAUGAAUCCUCCCUUCAAAUAACCUACAACAAAGGGGCAAAAUAUUUGUUAACAGGCGUUUCCUCUACAAGGAGGAGGCAUAAUCCGUGCGGCAUCUCCUCCUUCACCAUUCAUGGACAAGAAUGGUUUGGACAGUUUCCUAUGCUUGCACCGAAUUAUCUCUGGGUUAUUGGAGCUUUUAUGGAGCAAGAAAAGAAGGAUUAACUCAAUUCGUCUCUCUGUUUUUAGGCUUAUUUGGAAAGAGCUAAACAAGAGAGCUUGAAGUCGUACGCUUUUGGUAUGGUGGAGACUGCAUAUUGAUAUAAAUGCCUUGGUCAAUAUAGUCGAUGAUUUAUCUUGUAUUUGAGCUUACUUUUGGUUUUGGGAGUUGUUCUUUUGUACAUGGCUUUAAUUUUUGGGCUCUUUUCUUAUAUGCGUUUGCACUCCCUUGGUGCGCUAUAGUUGAACUUCUUAUGUGUUAAAAGAAACUUACUUUUCUAAGGAUUUUUAAGUUACUCUAAUUACCCUAUAUCCCAACAUUGUAUCUAAUCGUGUAGUUUCAAACUAACAUCUCACAUAUGAUUUUGUGCUAAUUGGCAUAACCAUCAUCCACUUAGCAUGUCAUUAUUGAGCACAAAAACACUCCAUUAACUCAAGGUUGUUAUUCCUUUUAUGAGUAAUUUCGUUGUGACAGAAGGGCGCCUUUACAGCCUAAAGUCAAGAUCUAAAAAGUUGAAGGGAAACUUUGGAUCCAAAGAGAGACCAACACACUUUCAACAUAGAACAAUAAUAUGGAUACAAAGACUAGCUUACAAAACUCGUUUGAAGUAGUAAAAUCCAAGUAUUUAGGCAAGUAUAUCAUAGACACCUAACACAAAAAUAUUUCACAUGUGACUUAGUAAACCAUUUUCAUUUACCAGGACUUAACAUCUUUAGCAUUACUCUGCCAAAAAAUGGUGCUUAGCUUAAAAAAAAUGGCGACCUAAUUGGAAAAAUAGUUGGUAAAAAAUAAAAUAAAAUAUAAUAUAAACUAACAAAUUCUCACAUCUAAGUACGCGAACAAAUUGUUGAGAACAGAGGCUCUCAAAACCAAGGUCAAGCAUCACAGAUGAGAUCAAUGUAGGUUCAAUUCACUAUCAUCCAAGCACUCGCCAGUUAUUAUAUCUACUCAUUUUCUUCUGAUAAUGAGUUUUUAUCCUCAAUUUUAGCUUGUCAACAGUAAUAAUACCAUAAGAAAGUAGAGUUUCAAUUACUACAUUGAGUCCAAAGAGCGGAAUUGAUAGCAUAAAUAAAUCCUAACUUCUCCUAGGCUCAAAUAGUGCUAUUCGUAGGUAAAAAUAGUUGAAUAUCAUUCAUUGAUACAAAGAUUUGAAUCUUGCAAUUAUGAGGGAUGCAUGCUCAAAAUGUGAAACUUUCCAGCCUAAAUUAAAUCCCUCCUUGUAAGAGACGCUCAACCAGUACAAGAAAAGUAGCCAGAAGUAAUAUUACACCAUGUGAGAGUCACCAACAGAAAUCGAAGAAAAACUAUUAUUGACUUGACAAUGUUAUGAUGAUACUUUGCAGGGGUUAAACUUGCCAGCUGCAAGUGGGCAUCAAGCAUUUCUACAUCUGACAUAAGUGUGAUAACAAGGCCAUGUAAUAUUAUUUGCCCGACUUGUAUCGGGUUUACCUUUUCCGCGUUUAUUUUCAAAUCAUUUCAAUUUCUUGGAUGUUUACUUACGCGCCGCUUUUCAUUAUUUUGAGUGUAAAUUUCUCUUCUAAAUUAUGUUAGGAUUAGUCUAGACAUUAAAAAAAAAAACUACAAAAACAUUUGCAUGGACACUUAGUGGUUUCAUAAAGAUUAUAAUUGGUAAUCAAGAUUGUAUGGCCAUUUAGAUAAACAACCUUCCAAGUUAGUGGUACCGCAAGGGCGCUAAUAGAAACAUUGGCGUAAACAAGUCCCCGUUCCUAGAAAUCUCUGGUUGCGUAUGAAUCGAGACAACACUCCCGUGUCUUGAUUGGUUUCUAGCCGACCUCAAUAGGCUAGUGGCGACUCCUAGAAUUACAUAGGUUGUUAAUAACUAAAAAACGAAUCCAACGUCGCGCGGGGUAUGGGCUUGGGAGAGCCCGCGCCUAAUCUAGGGCCAUUGGUCCACCUCUUUACGCAAAUACCCCUAAACCUUCUUCUUUUUCCCCGGACGGAAAAAAAGAGGUGGUGACAACUAUGUCGAUGCUUGACAAUGUUAUGAUGAUACUUUGCAGGGGUUAAACUUGCCAGCUGCAAGUGGGCAUCAAGCAUUUCUACAUCUGACAUAACUAGUCUAUCUAGCAUAAACGACAUUUCCUCAAAUUCGAGUUCUUUAUCUUCAUGAACACUUUGACCGGUGUACCGAAAAAGGCAACAAGAUGGCAAUUCAGGAGUAGGCUACCCUUCCGGUUCAUAGAUGAUUGUCCAUUAUGUUAUGGAAAUCUCCUAAGGUAACAAUCUUGUCUAGAAGUUUAUAGGAAUCUAUUCGUGCGUGUAAAUAAAAAUCCCACCAUUCAACUAAUAUUAGCUCGGGAUUCUUUACUUGCAACUAUGUCAGAUCCAAAUUUUCACUCCCAUCGCCAUCAUUCACUCUUCAUUUUUGUGUAAAACAUCAACUCCUUUGUUUGACAUCACGUUCUCAUUUAGACUUUCAAGCACUUCACCUCCAUAUUGACCGAAUCUCCAUCAAACACAAUUUCAACUAGGUUGGCAAUUGAAGUGACUUAUUUGGGGAAAAGCAUCGUAGCACAUGUAAGGAAAAGCAAAGGGGGAAUAAGGCCAAUGACUCAUAGGGCACACACUAAGCCAUCGUUGAAGAAAUGAACACACUAAAUAAAGCAUAAGCAGCAUGGUUGUUCAGUGAAACCGUACCUAUAAUCACAUCAGGCGCAUCCUCUGCCUGACCUCUAGUGAUAGUAUAAACUGUUCCCUGAGCUAGGGGUCUCAUCGAUCCACCCUGCAGUGCGUUCUCUAGUGCAAACCCUCUAAUAUGACCCAUCGGUGGUGGCGGUAGCUGCGGUUGUCCUCUUCGCCUUCUAGGACAAUCUCUAGCCAUGUGACUCUGUUGGCCACAUUCAAAAUAAGCGCUCGUCCUUCCGAGGCACUGGUUCACACCUGUUGUCUUCCAUAAAGGCAACGCACAUUAUUCAGGCUUGGCCCUACCUUGCCAACUCCACCCUUUUUGUUGGGCGGGACAUGGAGUUUUCCUCCAGUCAUGGGCCUAUUCCCAUGUCGAAUCCCUUCUCUGCUCGAACUAAACCUCGAUCCAAACGAGGCUGCUUGCUCAUUCAGACUUCUCUCCAGCAUCUAAGCUUGAUUAUACACCUCACGAUAUUCCUUCAUAUCCAAAGGUAUCAAUGGUUGCUUCAGCUCAAGAUGAAGGCCACUCUUGAAACUUCGAGCUUUUUCCUCUAAGUCCUCGAUCAAUCUCGGAGCAUACUGAGAUAGCUCCGCAAACUUCACCUCGUAUUGGUCAAUAGUUAUCGUCCCUUGAUGGAGACGUUGAAACUCUUCCAUUUUUUGUUCUCGGGCACUUCCUGAAAAAUACUUCUCGUUGAAAGCUCUGAGGAAGGCAUCCCACACCGGGACCACGCCCUCUGAAAACACUGCAUCUUUAGUGGCUCUCCACCAAGUAUUUGCAUUACCCUGCAGUUGGUAAAUUGCAAGGACAACCUUCUCUACCUUUGUGCACAUCAGAAGUGCAAAGGUCUUCUCCAGGUCUUGAAUCCAAAAAGACGUAGCCUCAGGGUCUCCAGUACCCGUGAACUUCAGCGGGUUUAGCUUCAGAAAUUGCUUGACCAAUUUAUGAAUCGGCCUCUCUCUCUACACCACUACAUGCUUAGGCUAAACUUCGGUGGGUGCAACAACAGGCAUGGCAACGGGUGUGGCAGCGGGUGCGGCCUUAGAGGCGGUGGCAACGGUAGUAGUAGCAGUGGUUGCAACAACGACAGCUUGGUUCUGGGCUUGCUGCCGUAUCAAGUCCCUCAUAGUUUCAAGCGCUUGCAUGAUCCCUUCGAUUCUGGGAUCACCAGGGGCUGCUACCUUAGCACCAACGGGAGGUAGUGCUACUCCACUCACGCUGGCUUCAGCCUGCGCUCUACCUCGGCCUCCUCGGGUACUGACCCUUAUUGGCAUUCUACCUCGAGUCACGGACUCGAUGGUACGCUUCCUAGGAGUCAUUUGCUCCUAAUCGCUCAUCUCGGAGGAUCCUUAGGGAAACCUGCUUUCCAAUCCCAUACCAAAUUAGAAUUCGAGCGAUCCACACAACAAACAAUUUUACCAAUCAACUAUCACAAACAUGCACCAGCAUGAAUUUAAAGACCUUUCCUAGUAACUAUCCUAACGGCCAUCGCACCUUAUCACUCCAAUCACUAACCAUGCUCUGAUAUCACUUAAACGGGAAUGUCACGCCCCGAUCCUCCGAGUACGCCCCGAUCCUCCGAGUGUGUGGCCAUCCCUCUAUAGUCGAUUAAUAACGACGUCCCAUGACGCAUCGCCGACUCAUUCGUUUUAAUAUGCAUGCGAAAGCAGAUAAGUAAUCCUUAGACAAUAACACAAUGGAAUAGAAAAGUAGGGCCACAGAUUUUUCAAACUGAAAACACAACCACACUUAUAUAUAUAUAUAUAUACAUAGCAAACCAUGUCAUAUAUAAUACAAGUUGGUCUAUUUAUAACAUCUACAAAACAGGGGGGUUUCACAAAUCUACUGGUCCUCAUCCUCGAUUUCACCUUCUUCCACACUCCAACUGGAGCCUUUAGUACACUGCACCGGUAUUUCAAGCCCCGGGUCCACCAUGUCUACGAUCGAGCCUUGAGGAGGAUCUGUUGUAUCCUCUCCAAAAGCGACCUCCAGAAUAUACAGAGGUAUCUUAGACUCCAGCUUGGGACCCUCUCUUUGGCCAUCCUGAGCCUGGUGGUACCACGAUUUGUAUCGGUGGGGCACCUUGUGGGUGAGAUCUACAUCGACCUAGACAAUGGACCUUACCAACUCAUAGGUCCAACCCCUAGGGCUCCCAUGCAAUGGAAUGUAAGAUGUUUGCUCCAUAACCUUAUUAAGUCGUCCAAAAAAACUCAUGAGUUGCCAUCUAAGGACUUGAAAUGUUGUCCCACAACGGGGUGAGACGAUGUCUCAGCGAGUUCUACCCCCUAAGACCUGACUAGGAAGAAAAUACGCCCCAAGGGCUGCCUAAGCACAAAUAUAGGUCGGAGGACUUACCUUAGCCUCAGUCUCUUCCUGUAAGUCAGUUUAAUUCAUAAACUAAACCAAUCACUUCAAUUUACCAAAUCAAAUCGAACUAUCGAUCAAUUGACUCAGUCGAUUACAUGUCAUCACGACCUUCCCUUAGUCGGCCCAAUCAAAUACUGUCUAAUAAGUCUGAUCAAAUUAUGACUGCUCCCUCUAAGCUGAUAAUAAAUAGUAUAGUUUGCGCUAAGCUGAUAAAUAGUAUACUGCUCUCUAUCUUAGCUGACAUAUCAAGCCCACAGGCGGAUAUGGUAUAUUAAUAACGUUCACUCCAAGCUGAUCAGGUAUAUUGCUCUCUAUCUAAGUUGACAUAUUAGAGCCCUUAAGUUGAUAUAAUAUACCGACAUUGCUCACUCUAAGUUGAUAAUAAUAUUGCUCGCUCUAAGCUGAUAAGGUAUACCGCUCUCUUAUUAAGUUGACAUAUCAAAGCCUGUAGGUUGAUAUAGUAUACCGGAAGCUAACAUGUCGCCCGUAGGUUGAUAUAGUAUACUACCCCAAACAUAUAACCAAUUCAUCAUUUUUAUCAUACCCGAUAAAAAUACUCGUAUGUGGGUACACGGUUGGCCUUAGCCAAAAUACAAUAUUUUCACUUUUGAAUGUCCCACUAGAUUCAGCGGUCCCAAAAUAGAUUUUUAGGGCUGCAAACUGACGCUCGAUAAUACCAAAAUUAUCAAUUUAUGAGAUAAUUACCCACAAACACCAAUCACACUCAAAGUGCACAAAUUAGCAGUCAAAUAAAUAAAUAGAUCACACCAUUGCAAUUAGCAUGAAAUUCCGGUUAUCGACUAUCUCGAUCUAAUUUCCGAAAAAUAAAUAAAUAAUUAAAUUAUUACGGAAAAUAAUAAAUAAAUGCCAAUAAAUAGAACUUAGGCCCAAAAAGCCUAAUUAAAAGCCGAGACGGAUUGGAAAUUUUUUUAAAUCACUCUAGAUAAAUAUUAGAGCUUGUCUAGGCUCUAACUACACUACUCUAACCACUUAACAUGCAAUGACAAUUAAUUAAAUUGGUAAUCUAAUCUAACUAUCCACCUAAUCCAUACUUAGUAUAAACUAAACAACCUUUAAGCGUCAUUAACCUACUAAGCAGGGAUUAGUGAGUUAAACUCACUUGUUAAGCGAUCUACUCGGAUCGAAACAACGGGGACACGGAGGAGCUCGACAAACUCCAAAGGGGGAUUGCUUGUCGAGAUCGGGAAAGGUUUGAAAUCAGGCUGAAUAGUGUUGCGGAGACCCACUUGGCUUGCUCUUUGUCUAGUGAUGGUUGGCAGCUGAACAAGUUGGUCGGAGGCGCGGCUGAGAUAAAAACGAGCAGCGGGGUCAAACGGGCUGAGGCGAGGCAGCAUGGCGGUCAGAGGUGGCUAGACAGUGGCUUGAAUUGGUUGUAGGACCUCCUAGACGCGCGGACUGGGCGAGAUGGCGUGACUGGGCUAGCGGUGAGGUGCGACGAGCUACGAAGCCCGUGGGGUGCGUGACGGCGAACGGCAAUGGUAGGGGUUUUCGGUGAGCUUCAACGGGCAAGAGGGGUUGUUGGUUCUUCUCUGGAGAUUUUUGAAGCUCACAAGACAGCAAUGGAGGGGGAGGGGUCAACGGUGGAGGAGAAAGAGGGGGCAAAGGGACAAGCUUGGCUUUGGUGGGUCCUCUUACCCUUCCUUCUCAUCUUCUCGGUCCCCCUGUUGGUCCCCACCAAUCCCAGUUGUAAUCCUCAGCCAUUUCCAACCCAUUUGCUUCUUCUGGAAGCCUUGAAGAGGUCCACAAGUUGGGUCCAAGGGGGGCACACGAAUUUCACAUUAUUUCCUUCCAAUUGGACUUCAACCUCACCUGAAUAAAUGCAAUUUAGUCUCUAUAAAUUCAACCAUCAUAGCCUCAAUCAACUUAGUAUUUUUCCUCGCCAAUUGAACUCACUUGCAUCCCAAUUACGGUAAAAAAACGAUCCUCUGAAUUUUCUGAACAAAAACGCCCCUACCUCAACUUUUUUCCAAAAAGUCUCGAUUUGUAGAAAAAUCUUCGAAGACUGAGUUGACAUUCCUAAAAUGACAUGUGAUAUGACAGAACUUUCAACUUCUAAAAUCGGAUUCAAAUUCACAGUUAAUUUUACGAUGACGCAUUUUUAUGGUGACCUAAGUUAUUAGGUAGCUUUCAAAAAAUUUUAGUGCAAAUGACUCGUGGUCAAUUUUUUUCGAGCCACAAUGAACCUCUUCGACACAUUAGCGACUCUCGAUUGUGAAAAUCUCGAGAAUUCAAAUACGGACAUAAGGUACCAAAAUGAUAGAAAAAUCAGUCUAGUGUCGGUUGACGAGAAUUUCUCAAUUUGGUGGAAUCACCCACGUUUAACCACACAUCUCAGUCAAACCGACAUAUUUCUAAUUUCCAAUUGACUUAUAUCCGUGCCGUAAUGAUCUCUGCAGAUGAGCACAAUCGAGUAGCCGAUUCCUGGUAGAAUCCUCAAGUUUAUUGUAUUAAAAUCUCUUAAUAACUUCCUUAGGUAGUCUAGUUAUUUCAGGAGUGAUCAACUCUAAGAAUAGCACUAUAGGCGCAUCAAUGAAAAGCCCAAUUUAAUUUAAUUGAAAAUAGCAUUGAAAAUUCGGGAUGUCACACUUUUUCUCUUCGGUGAAUACUCGCCUAGCAGAAAAUGUUCAUGGUAGGCAUAAAUUAUAACUCUCCAGAAAGGGUGGAGCCUAAGAGCUUUAGUCGAAAAGCACAUAUGCAUUGCUGCUUCUCACACUGAUGCCUCCUGCAGCUUCAAGCAUUAGAGGUUCACCCACAAGAGCAACAUCAACAUUACCGCCGCAAGUUCACAAACAGACGUUCAUUGUGAAUCUGAGAUUUCAUCUUCAUCCUUGUCCAAGUAUGUAGACCAGGGCCCGCUUUCUUGCAGCCAAAACACAAGCCAUGCCCCUACUUGCUAUCGCAAAAAAAAAAAAAAAAAACUUGAUUUCACUCCGGUGUUCCUAUAAUAUGGCCAUAACUAAUGUGACGUUUUGAUACCUCUGUUGGGUAAAAGUAAUAAGUACAUUACUUGCAUCACGCUGAAACACAAACCGAAGCAAUACUUGUGUACCUGAAGAGGCUAUGGUAUGCAUGUGAACCAUAAAUGCUCUACAAUAUCUUGCUAUACUAAAUACCAUGAUCGCAUCUAUCAUCAUGAACAUGUACGUUCUAGUUUUCACUCAGUAACUCUGACCACCAUAAGAAGAUAAUUAUUCUUUUUGUAUUUGUCUGGCCACUAAGAUUCAUCUUUUUCGCACUUUGACCUCCCAAUUGAUGUAAAUUAAUAGGAAAACCUAAUACUUUAGUAUUUUUCUUCUUCAAUUAAAAAAUACCCUACUUUGAAGCAUAAAUUUGCACAUUUCCAACCAUCGGAACAAACAUGAAACAGUCCAUUAGAGGCACAACCACAAUUUACCAACACCAGUCAUAUUUGAACUUAAGAGUAGGUUGUAAAAGUGGAAAUUUAGUAAGGAGCAUUGACAGGAUUAAUUCAGCCUAGUCCAUGAGAUAAAUUUGUUACUGACAUUGGCAAGUUUAUCAAACAAUGAUACAUAAAGGAAAGACUAUGGGCAACAAUAAGUUUCCAAACAUCCAAACUGCAAAUGGACAUGGUAAGAAGCUCCAAGAAAAUAGUUUUCAAAGUAUACAAUUGAUGGCAUGGCAAUGAAUUGAUCCUUAACUCGAUUGUAUGUCAAUAUGAAAAAUUCUUAACAAGGAGGAACUGCAGUAUGGGGAAUGCUGCAAAUCUUCUCAUUCAGUGUAAGGUCGAGUGCUAGAUGUGUGCUUUCACUAGGUUAGUGUUUUAGGAGUGAGAUGAGACAACUGAACAGAAGUGCUCUCACAAAAUAGAAGCAAAAGUGGCAAUACUAAUCCAUUAGGGUCAUCAAAUGCACAUUUCUUAACAUACAUACAAGUAUAGGACUCCUAACUAUCAAGAUUUGUUGGAACUUUUGAAGUUAUGUUAAGUCAAAAAGUAAAACAUCCUAUAAAAUUGCAGCAUGAAAUGGCAUGUACAUGCGCAUGCGCAUAGGAGGAAAAACUGAGCUGCUACUCCUUGUGUUGAUGAGGAGAGCAGAUACUAACAAAUAGGAAGAACAAAAGAACAAACGUCUAUACAAGAGGUUGGGGUAACAAACGUCUAUACAAGAGGUUGGGGUAACAAACGUCUAUACAAGAGGUUGGAGUUCCAAACCCCAACCCAACUCCAAUGCUCUUCCUCUAAGAUUUUGGAAAGCCCAGAACAAGUCCAUACUAGUUGACAAGUUCACUGGGUUACCAAUUGACAGUAUACCUGGUCACUUGUUUAACAAGGUCAAUAACAUUAGUUCUUGAGCACUAUGCUGUGAAACCAGACUCAAACAAAAAGCACAAUAUUUUUUUUUUCAUUUUGCCAGUAAUGUCUUAAAUAGUGAAUUGACAUGUAUUGGAACACAUAGAACUCAGGAGCAUCCUAUACUUAUCACAAGUAUGGAAUCAAUAUGCAAGCUUUGGAUGCACAAGUUACCUUCAGUUGGUACAAUUUCCAGUUAUUUGUACAAGUGGGUGCACAAGUGGAAGGUCACUGGCCUGCGAGAUCAUCAUCCAGGCAUCUCCCAAGUUUUCACGGGCAUCAUUCAUCUUAUUUAGCAGCAUAAAAAUUUGAUGUUAUUGUUUCCAACAGAAUAUAUUAGCCACAUAUGCAAAUAAGGGCUUUAAAAUAUGAUAUGACAGGCUCUUACCUUAUACAGAGCCAAAUCCACACAAUAGUAAUUAGGAGGGAUGCACAACAAGAUCGCUUCCAAAGGCCUUCUUUGCUUCACAUUGCUUGAAUCAUUCAUAAAUCACCACACCACUGCUAUACCGUUUGUAACAUCUAAAAAAGACCAUUUGGAAGGAGGUAUAAUCUGUAAACCCAAUUUCAUGAUUCCAUUAGAUGAAGCCAAUUCAGAGGCAUCCUAUAGUCAUACAAAGAAACGAAGCAGUUGUACUUUGUACAUGAAGAUCUCUAGAGAAAAUUGUAGUUUCAUAUUAAAGGUAUAUAACUCAUAGAAGGACAGUGAAAUGGGAACGUAUUUGGUAGAUGCUAAAAUAGACAUAGGAAGAAAUUGUGGCAAUAAAUUCAGAUUAAUAAUUUUUUUUAAAAUAGUAAAAAACGCAUCUUGGUAGCUUCUUGAAACUGUAAUGACUAAAUUAUUUCCUAAUCUAGAGAAAUGAGAUACUAUUUUUCCAUACACUAUGAUCAUAAGCUAAACAGAAAGCCCAAUUCGACAAAUCACUCAACUUAAGUUCCAAUUCCAUUGUCAAGUAAUCUAUCAUGCCCCGAUCCUCAAGCAUGCACCCAUCCCUCAAUGGUCGAUGAAAUAGCGAUGUCCUUGGACGCAUCGCCAACCCAUUCAUUUUAAAUGCACAUGCGGAAGCAGAUAUAAAAUCCCUAAACAAUAAAACAAUGGGAUAGGAAAGCAGGACCAUAUUUUUCGAACCUGAAAUCACAACCACACUUAUAUACAUUGCAAGCCAUAAUGUAUAUAAUGUCUCACAAAAUAUUAAAGUUAGGUUCUACACAAGCUAGCUCAUAAACAAAGUCUGCAAAUGGGGGUGGGGGUUUCAAAAUCACUAUGGAUCCUCAUCCUCUUCAAACUCCUUUGGCACCACAUCUUCAUCCUCUUCGAUCUCUCCUACCUCCAUACUCCAGCUAGAGCCUUUUGCUGAGUACACUAGAGAAUCUGGAUCAUCAAGCUUGGGAUACUUAGUGUCCACCACUGAUCCGUCCUGAAGGUCUGCUGUACCCUUUCCAAAAGCAACCUCCAAAAUCCACAGAGGCACCUCACACUCCGGUACAGGGCCCGCCCUCUGACCAUUAUGAUAAUGGCAAUACCAUGAUCAGUAAUGGUGGGGCACCUUUUUGGGGUUCACCCACAUCAACCUAGACGAUGAACUUUACAGCACAUACUUAAAACCUUUAAGGUGCCCAUGUAUCGGAAUAUGGUAACUCUGUUCUAUGAACUUCUUAGGUUGUCCAAAAUGUUCUGGUGGGACUGCCAUCUACGGGUCUGAAAUGUUGUCCCACAACGGGGUGAGACUACAUUUCAGCAAGUUCUACCCCCUAAGACUCGAUUAGGAAGCCAAUACGCUUAAAGGGUUGCCUAAGAACAACAUAGGUCAGAGGACUUACCUUGGCCUCCAUUCCUUCCUGCAAGUCAGUUCAAACAAUAAAUACCGACUAUCAUAACACCCAAUCAAAUCGGAUCGAAUCAUCGAUCAAUUGAAUCAGUUGAUUACAUGUCAUCACGACCCUUUCUUGGUCGGUUCAUUCAAUACUAUCUAUGAGUCUGAUCAAAAUCCAAGACUGCUCACCCUAGGUGAUAUAUAGAUAGUAGCUUGCCCCAAAGGCUAAUAAAUAGCAUACUGUUCUUUCUCCAAAUGACAUAUAAGGUCACCGAGCCAGUAUUGCAUACCAUUCAUUCUCUAAGAUGACAUAUAGAGUCAUCGAGCUGGUAUAGUAUAUCGUCCUUUCUUCAAGAUGACAUAUAAAGUCACCGAGUCGAUAUUGUAUAACGUUCUUUCUCCAAUAUGACAUAUAGAGUCACCGAGCCGUUAUUGUAUACCGUCCUUUCUCUAAGAUGACAUAUAGAGUCAUCGAGCUGGUAUAAUAUAUCGUCAUUUCUCCAAGAUGACAUAUAGAGUCACCGAGCCGAUAUUAUACCAUAUUCCAAUCAUACCAUCAAUUUACCAUUUUUAUCAUACCCAAUAAAAUACACAUGUGUGGGUAUACGAUUGACCUUAGCCAAAAUACAAGGUUUUAAAUUUUGAACCUCCCACUAUUUUUAACAGUCCCAAAAUAGAUUUUUGGCGUUGUAGACCGACGCUCGGUAAUUCUCCAAUUAAUUACCAAAAUUAACCAUUUUUGGAAUUAAACACCCACAAACACUAAUCACAAUCACUUUGCACAAUCAGGUACCCAAUUAAAUAAAUAGAGAACAUCACUGCAAUCAGCACGAAAUUCCGGUCACUGACUAUCUCGGUCUAAUUUUCGAAAAAUAAUUAAUUAAUUAAAUAAUUACGGAAAUUAUUAAAUAAAUGUUAAUAAAUCCAACUUAGGCCCAUAAUGAUUAAUUGAAUGCCGAAACGGACCCGGAAAAUUUUCAAGACUCGUUCAAUAAAUACUAAAGUCUAUUUACUUGCUAAUUGCACUAACUAUCCACCUAACAUGCAUAAGCAAUUAAGUAAAUUCUCUAAUCUAAUCUAAUCUAAUCUAACCAUUUAAUCCAUCUUAGUCUAAACUAAUAAACCCCCAAGCAUAAUUAACCUACUAAGCGAGGAUUAGUGAGUUAAACUCACUUCUUUAGCGAUCCAGUGGGUGUAAAUCGACGGAUACGCAACAGGGGACGACUUUCUCUAAAGUGGUCCCAACUUUCCGGGCCCGGAAAGUCCUCAAAAUGGGCCAAACCCUUGCUAGAAAAUCCACUCUUUUAGGUUCUGUUCUUGGCUGAAACAGAUGACAACAAGCUCUGUUUGAGGCAGGGAUGGACCAAGGAAGGUGGAAGGGGCCAAACCGGGUUCAAGCGGGGACUCACGGUGGUCGGAGGUGGGCCAAACAGCUUCGACUGAGCUCCACACGGCACGGGACAGUAGUUGGGACAUCGGAACAGUCGAGAGGGAGGUGGAGUAGCAUCGAGCUGGUGCAGGCGAGGUUGGGGUAGCAGCGGUGUGCGAGAUAACGAACGGUGACGGGGUGCAGUCCGACGGUGGCGUGGCUGCUCCGGCUGGUCUCCUUCGGCUGCUAAGGUGCUCGAAUGGCAACAACAAGGGGGAGGAAGGUUGUGGACGGCAGCUUGAGGGAGAAAUGGAACAAGUCUUGGUUUUGGUGGGCCACCUUAGUCACAUAUUCUCCCCCAUUUGUCCCCUUAACUUAUCCCCCUUGCAUGGCUGGAUUCCACCAGCAAUUUCCAGCUUCAACUUCCUUCUAGAAGGCUUUUUGAAUUGGUCCAUAAGUCAUGGAUGGAGGGGGGGGGGGGCAUACGAAUUUCAAGCAUUUUCCCUCCAAUUGGACUUCAUGUCUUUCUUAAAUCAACACAAACCGGCCUCUAUAAUAUCAAUCGACACCUUACCGAUCUAAUUGGUAUUUUCCCUCACCAAUUGAUCCCAUUUGUAUCCUGAUUGCAUGAUAAAAAACGAUCCUUGACUCUUUCUGGACAAAAACGGCCCUAGGAUGACUUUUUUUCAAAAAGUCUCGGUUUGUAGAAAAAUAUUUUGAGACUGACUCGACAUUCCUAAAAUGAUUUGUGACAUGACAGAACUUUCAAUUUGUGAAAUCAGAUUCAAAUUCACAGUUAAUUUCAAUUCGAUGCGAUUUUAGCUUGAUCUAGGCUACCGGAUAACUUUUAGAAAUUUUUAGUGCAAAUGACCCAUGGUCGAUUUUCUUCGAGCCACAAUGAACCCACUCAACACAUUGGCGACUCUUGGUUGCCGUUAAAAUCUCAAGGAUUCAAAUACAGACACAGGGUAUCAAAACAAUAGAGAAAUCAAUCUAGGGUCGGUCGAUGAGAAUUUUUCAAUUUAGUAGAGUCACCCACAUUUAGCCACACAUUUUAGUCAAACCGACUUAUCUCUAACUUCUAAUCGAUUUUUAACUGUGCCGUAAUUACCUCUAAAGAUGAGCACGGUCAAGUAGCUGAUUCCUGGUCGAAUUCUUAAGUCUAUUGCCUUAAAAUUUCUUAAUGGCUUCCACAGAUAAUUUAGUUAUCUCGAGAGUGAUCAGCUUUGAGAACAGCCCUAUAGGCGUGUCGAUGAAAUGUCUAAUUUAUUCAAUGGAAAACAGGAUUGAAAAUUCUGAGAUGUCACAUAAUCAACUUGAGAUCAAAUACGAAACACUAGAAUGUUAGGAAGAGGGUAGUGAAAAAUCACUAUCGACUACAAAACCCAGAAGACAACACCCCACUCCCAAAGGUUUCCUUUCCUUUUUCUCCUUCUCGCAUUAUAGUCUAAAUGUUCCAGCUACUCAAGCAAGGAAAUGAAAAAUAUUUGUAAAAUUUUAUGGUAAUAGGAAAAUGGAUAGUAAGAUCUACAGACAAACUCAAAUAAUUGAUGAGUUGGGUAACACCAAAAGCACAAGCUUUUAAGUAAAGGAUUGCAAUGUUCUCACAAACCAAUUUUGAACCCGAGCAAUCAUACUCAAACUCCUGUUAUGCAUACAAAGAGAUCAAUAAUUUCGCAUUUGGUGCAGAUAUUAGCAAUGAGGACAAGACUUGAAAGGAGGGAAGAAUCAAUCACUUCAAACAACAGAUAACAAUAAUGUUUUGUCCCAUAAUUCAUAUUUCUCCCACAAAGAAGGCAUGUGUAAGAAUACUUAUGCAUGGAAAACUAGAUAUAGCAUUCAUAUGAAGAAUCUACAAUAAAAGAGCAAUAAACAACACAUUCUGGUAAGACUUCUAUGCAAGAGUGAGAUACUAUUACAUUUUACAUUUCUAAUUCUUUUGCUAAUACCUAUGUUCCAUCUGUUGAAAUUCCUCCGCCAGUGUCCUUUGUAAAUAUUCACUAUCCCCAAAUCCUCCAAAUUGCAGUAAUUCUCCAGCGCAAUAAUACAUGUAAGACGUCUCGCUAACAUGACUGACAGAACACAUCAAGGCAGAAAAGUACAAGAAAUUACAAUUGAUCUUUUGAAAAGUGAGAACCUUCCAAUCCAAUGGGAAAUGACAAUCGACCCGUCAAUUUUAACCCUUGUUGCCAUGUGGAUAGCUGAAAUAGUGCUGGACCAACAAAAACCACGGUUGACACCCAACAAGCCAACCUAACUUGAGUCAACCUUAUCUAGUUGAAGCGUUCUAAGUAUUUAUGGGGAUGGUAACAAGAUGACAUGAAAUGAAGAACUAACCCACAAACUAGGAGUCAUUUACAAUCGCAUAUCAUUAGUCUAGCAACUAAUUUAGUCACAUUGGAUUAAAACAGAUUCAACUGCUAAAAAACAAUACCAAGUUGACAGCAUAUCAUUUUGCAUUUAAAGCAUGACCAAUUCCAUUACACCACAUCAUUAGAAUUCUCUGGCACACAAAUGCAUGGCACAGCGUAGUGAAGACCCACCCAAAUAGCCACUAGAGUAUAUGAAGGCAAUACUAAGCUGAACAUACUUCGCAGUGUCCAAAGAAUACUAAGUUGAUGAACUUUCUCUCUUCGAAGCAAUUACAAGGAGACUGUCCGCAACCUCUGCCAAUUGAAGUGAUGAAGCACCACCUUCAAGUCCUUUGUGACCGUCACUAGCCAACACUUCUUUGGUUCCCACUCCAUCAUCUUCACCUACCAAUCAGAAAUCAAGCAAACUUCACAAAACCGAUUCAGACCAAUCAAGUUGACCGCCCAUUAGGUCACAAAAGAACACUGGGAGCUAAACCUGAGAAGCCAAUGGUUUUUCGAACUAAAGUUGAAAUGGAAGCACAACACACUAUGGUCCUUUGCCAGUUUCCAUAGCUAAAGCUAUGUGAGCAACCGAAAACACAGCACCAACACUAUAACAAAUCAUAGGGAUGCAAGCUGAAAGAGGGCUUGUGAAGGUUAGAGUUCAAAGAACCCAAAGGAAACGUGGCUUGACAACAUGCAAAUAACCUUUUACCAUUAGGAUGCAUUGUCAGGGUUCGGAGAAGUUCAAGAAAUGUGGAGCUCCUCAUCCUUCUAUGAUUUCGAUUCCUUUUAGAAGUGCCUUUUGAAAGCUCUCUGGGAUGCUACCGCAUUUACAUCAACUGGUGGAAUGAUAAUCGAAUCCUGCUAAUGAGUCAGACAAAAUCAAUCCAGUAACUAACAUCAACGGACUAUUAAUAAUACUCCAAAGUUUAUGGAACUCUGUUUGUCAGACUUGAUAUUCUUUUUGAACUCUUUGGAUCCAACUAAUGGGGCUUUUAACAUCAUCAACCACAAAAGCUUUGAUCAAAUUAGCAUAGCGUAUUCAACUCAAGAUGCUUUCUUUUGUGGGACAUACUAUGAUUCUUUUCCUUGUCAUUAUGUGCUAUUCACGCGUUAAAAUUAAAGCAAGACAUUUUUCAAAUGGCAUAUAGGAUACCGAAAAGUUUCCUCAAGAAACUUAUGGAAAUGCUGCCUAUGUUUUUCUUUUCAGCAAGUAGAUGAAUUAACAAGAGCUUAUGCACAAUAUAAGCAAUCAUUUCAUAGUACAACCGAUUAUGUCAAAAGACAUUCUAGUUAAUGUCUUGCUUGACUCAAUAGUUUAGGUAUAUGACAGAUUGCUUUACCCACUCUACAAACAUCAAGGUGCAUUCUUUGGAAGCCUUGGAGAAGGUAUACCCUGGAUUAAAACCAAAUGAACAUGGAUCCAUAGUUAGAAAAAUUCAAAUUGCAAUAUUCUCGAUCGAUCCAAAUAAUUCAUGAUGCUUUUGCGUCUGCCAUGUUUGCUAGUUCACUCACAACUACACUACUCAGAGAAGAGCUUGUGCUUGCAUUUAGCAUUUCUAGAUUGAUACGAUUAUGUAAAUCUACUGACGCAAACAGUUCUAUGAAAUAAAAUGUAUGAAACUUAAUGGUUGUACAAAUUUUAUCCCAAGUCAGUAGCAUGUGCAUACAAAGGGAUGCCCUAUAAACAUACUCCUUUUGCAUUGAUAUUCACUCUUAAGUAUACCUUAGAAAUAUGCAGUCAUGAACUGCAUGAUGAGCGUAGAGCAAACUAAAGCCUCACAUUAGAAGGAUUGCUAUAUAGGGUCCUUCAUUUAGCAUUUUAUUCAACCUAUACAGUGACCUUUGGCAUGCUAUCAAAAACCUAUACACAUUAGUUUUUCAGUACUUCCAGCAUUCCAAAAUCAAUCAAACAUCGAGAAUCUCCAUUUUUCUGCAUAGGAUGAACAAUCUUACUUGAAAAUAAUGUCAAAUGAUGCGCUUUGAAAGCCUUAUCAUCUAUUUCCGCUACUGGCAUGAUAAGCAUAAUCAUUUUGCCAAAGCACACAUUAACUUCCAUGAACAUCUCCCCCUGGAUUCUUUGAAUUCAAGUAAGAAAAUAAUGGUGACACUAUCAACCAGGAAAUAAUAAUGACAAGAUCAUAGAUCUUGAAAUAUAUUGCAAGCAGGGAAUUCAAAUGAAAAUUGGGCAGUAGAUCUCAAAAGAGCAUAGGUCGAUUACUUGCUUUAUGUACCUUCGUCAGAAAAUGUGGAUCCUUCCAGUUAUUCCUCAUCCGAGUCGUCCAAAUAGUCUGAUCAUAUUCUAUCAUUUCAUCAUCUGCAAUCUCAUAGGGUCCAUAAAUCUGCGUUCCAGAUAAUUUUGGAAUUGAUUUGAGUGACUUGCAUCCAAUGAUAUUCAAUAGUUUUAAAAACUCCAACCUAUCAAGGCCCCGAAUUUCAACCAAGUUUUUGCAGUCUUUAGCAUCUAACAUCUUCAGACUCUCGGAUUUUGGAAGGAGUAGCCUUUCAAUUGAAAGGCACCCAGAGACAUACAGUGUUUUCAAGGACUCCAACCUGUCCAAGCCUUGAAUUUCAGCUAAUUUCUCGCAUGAAUCAACAUUUAAUCUCUUCAUACUUCUGGAUUUUGGAAGGUCUAGCCUUCUAAUUAAAGUGCACCUAAAGAUAUCUAGACUUUCCAAAUAUUCCAAACUAUCGAGCCCUUGGAUUUCGGCCAAGUUUACACAUUCUCUAGCAUGUAAUUCCUUUAGCCUCCCAAAUUUUGGAAGGUCUAGCCUUCCAAUAGAAGUGCAACUAGAGAUAUCUAGCCCUUCCAAAUUCUCCAAACUAUUGAGGCCUUGAAUUUCGACUAAGUUUACGCAUCUUCUAGCUUGUAAUUCCUUCAGGCUCCCAAAUUUUGGAAGGUCUAGCCUUUCAAUUAAAGCGCACCAACAGAUAUCUAAACUUUCCAAAUACUCCGACCUAUCAAGGCCUUCAAUUUCCGCUAAGUUUUUACAACUUGUAGCUUUUAAUUCCUUCAGCCUCCCGGAUUUUGGAAGGUCUAGCCUUUCAAUUGAAGCGCAACUGUUGAUAUCUAGCUUUUCCAAGUACUCCAACCUAUCAAGGCCUUGAAUUUCGACUAAUUUGUGGCAUUUGUCAACAUUCAAUUUCUUCAGACCCUCGAGUUUUGGAAGGUCCAACCGUUUGAUUGAAUCGCAAGAUGAGAUAGUCAAGCUUUCCAAAUAUAUCGAUUUGUCAAGAACUUGAACUUCAAGUAGAUUCUUGCAAUUGUAGGCCCCUAAUGUCCUUAGAUGGACAAACUGUGAAACAUCUAGCGUUUCAAUAGAUCCACAGUUCAAGACUUCUAAGAAUUCCAACUGGAAGGGCGUGUUUAGGGAUUGUGGUGAUUCCGAUUCUUCAAUGUCCGUCAGUUGGGAGCAUUUUGAACUCUUUAAUUGCAUUGAUGGAAGCUCCUGGAUGCACUGGAGAAAUCGACAACCCCAAACUCGUAGUUCCUUUAGAUGGGCUAGGUGGGAAAGCGAAGGUAAUUUGUGACUUCGACAGGUGACACCCAAAUCUGUUAAGCCGGAAGGAAGGUCCGGCAGCGAUUGGAGCUUGUCGCAACCUUUAAAAUCAAGGUGUCGUAGGGAAGAAAGAUUACACAUGCUUUCUACCAUUAUCUUUUUCAAAUUGCUGCAAUUGGGAGCAUGUAACUCUCGGAGCUUUCUCAAACUCCCAAUACCAUUGGGUAAUUCUUCUAUACCACUGAAAGAAAUAUCUAGAAUCUCUAGAUUCUCCAAAGACCCUAUGCUAUUUGGUAAUGCAGAAAGGGAGUGAGUACCGAAUAGAUCGAGUUGCUGCAGUGCUUUUAAUUUACCUAUUUCUGCUGGAAGCUCCCUGAGGCUAAAACAAGGAACGGGGUGUUCGGCGCUUGUGUCGACACCUACCGAGAGAUGAAGCGCGCUAGAUGAGCCCAGCUCCAAGCGAAGGAGGCCCUUCAUGUCUUCAAUGGAAGUGUUGAUUCGCUUCAGUCUCCUACAUCCCCUGAGGAUGAGAACCUCUAACUUCUCAAAAGCUGAGAGGAAGUCAAUAUUUUCCAAGGAACCACAAAAUGAAAGGUCUAGAUAUUUAAGCUUCUCUGCCAUCUACUAAAAAAAAACAAUAACGAAUGUCGAUGGGUGAGUGUAGAGUCAUUAUGAUUCAAAAUAAAGCAUAAAAGGAGAGGAAAAAAAAGACUUUAAUUCUUACCUUGAAAAAACUCCAUCCUUCCCAUUUCUCAUUUAUCUUACUUCCUUGCAAUUCGAGUACAACCAAUUCCUUUACAUCAAAAAUGUUUACUUCAAAAUUUGCGGGACAUUUUCGCCAUUGAAUCCAUUUUAACCCCUUCAUUAAGUCCUUAAAAUCUCCACUGAGAUGCGCAUUUAUCAUGUGAAGAUAUCUUAGAUUCGUCAAAUUCUCAAAUUGUUUUCCUGUGUAAAUGUCACCAUCUCCCUCAUCCUUUUCUAGCAAAAAUAUUUCGUCGAAGCCUUCUGCGCUACCUUCACUCAGAUUAAUCACCUCAAUCUUGUUCGUUCCCUAUAAGCAAGAAUCAAUGUUCAUUAGUACUAUAUCCAACUAAAGUCAUCGAAUAUCAUUUGUUCAUAAUGCUAUUGAUGUGUAUCAACGUGUUCAAGAGACUAGCAAUGUGAAGACAUUAUUUUCUUUUUAUGCCAAUAAACUACAAUUAUAAAGGCUCACAAAGUGAAGGUUGUCGACUUCCAUUUUGAAAUUUGGCCAUAUGCAUCCGGAUAUCAAAAAGAAUUAUGAUGUAAUGGCUCGUGUAGAGUAAAAACGCUACAACUUGUAAUCUUCUUCUUUUGGAACUGUAGUUUUAUUAUCACACUAGUUAAGACAUGCAUGCAAAGCAUGGAAUAUAAUCAAAUUGCAAAGUGCAAAAUCAAAAUUUUACUUGGUCAAUUUUAUAUUUCUAUUAAGGAGACUUUUUCUAUUAAGCAAUGCAUGGGUGAAAGGAUAGAUAAAAGGGAGAAAAACCUUAGAAGCAGAGAGUCGGCGAGCAAGACUUACCACAGAUUCGGUGUCAUUAAGGAGACUUCUAGCAAUAUAUAUAGUUUAAAAAGUUAAAAAUAAAACUCUUUUUUAUUUAUUUUUAAUUUCAACGCAUUCAUAACAUUUCAAAAUGGCCUUUACCAAAAGAAAAAAAAACACUUCAAAAUGGAAAUAACCGUUCUGACAACUCCAAAAAUCAAAAUGGAAGGGGGAAGAUAAAGAGGCCACGAGAUCCCGGCUUAACCGUUUUUUAUGAAAGAAAUUAAUUUCUUUCCAUCGAUUCGGAUAAUUGAAAUAACUUAGAAAGGCUUGUUUUGAGUAACUUUUAUUCUUCAUCUUUUGUUUUUUUCUCAAGAGCACGCACUUUGGCCAAUUUUUUUUUUUGGUGAUAUAUCCGUGAAACUUGUCGACAUGCCGAAUUAUACAUGCGUUUAUAUAUAUAUAUAGUUUUCUGGAAUCUGAGUAUUAUUUGAUCUUUUGAUGGGAGAGCAAGAUAUUUACUUUUGAUUUUUUAUUAGUUGCGGCGAGCAAUCUAUCUCGCCCUUUGCUUCAGCCUGUAGAUUUUGACUGAAGGUAUUUUGGGAGUACCUGUUAAGUAACCUGGCACUAAAAAAAAAAUCUAUGUGAAGUGGUUUUUAUUAAAAGUAUUGAUUUAACAUAAUACAAGAGCAUGAAAAUCGUGAAAGUCAUCUCGAAAGAGAAACAAAGAUUUUCAGCGAAGAGGGCCACUUAUCAAGUGAAAAAGUUAUACGCGAAAUACAAGAUUUUACUAAUUAAUAUAUCAAACAAGAGAUUUAAUAUGUAUAUAUAUUGCAAUGUCCACUUAAUUUCAUGUGAUACGGAAAAUUAAUAUAUGACAGAAAAACCAUAAAAGGAAAUUCUUUCUAUGAGAGAACAACUCCCUACUUUCUAAUCACAUCAAUGAAAAAUUCGGGGGCAAUAGUGAAGGUUCUUGGUCCUCUAGACCAAGCACUAAGUAGUGACCAACAUUACUAUUAAGCGUAGAACAUGGACUAAAUGAUAAAAAGAAACGAAACGGUUACCUUAUUUUCCUUUAGCACUUUUUGGGCUUCCUCAUAGUCCCAUAACCUGCUACGGCACCAAGGCUCUCGUUGGUUUUCUUCACGAACUAUUUCCCUACCAAGAUCUCUCAAUUGGUCAUGCAUUCUGAGCUUAUGAUCAUCUCCAAUUUUUAUCAAUGACAUGAAUAUCAAUACUUCAAUUCCCUCCCCUGGGUAAAAAUCACAAGCAUCCCACAUGUAGGAUGCGAUUAUGUUGUUAGUGCCAAUGAAAAGGCAAGCAAUAUCCAAAAAAAUUUGUUUUUGUCCAUAGUCCAAUGCUUCGUAACUUAUUCUUAACUUUUCUUGCACUUUCUUAGGAGGGACUUUUUUCAACUUCUUUAUUGUAUCUCUCCACUUUCUUGACUCUUUUCCACACAAUAAUGAACCAAAAACCUCAAGGGAUAAGGGAAGCCCUCCGGUGAUGGAUAUAGCUUCAUGAGUGAGGUCCUCAAAUUCCCUCGGAGGAGAGUCCCUUCGAAAUGCAUGUUUGCUAAACAGAAUCGAAGAUUGAUUGUAAUCCAUUUCCUUAUGUUCAUAGUCGUGGUCCACCUUGGCUUCUUCAAGAACCCUCUUGUUUCUUGUGGUAAUAAUGAUCUUGCUUCCCGAAGAAAACCAAUCACGAUUACCAGCCAAACUUUCCAACUGAACGACAUCAUCCACAUCAUCAAGAAGAAUGAGGACCUUUUUACUUUUAAAUUUGGAAGAGAUGAACUUAGUCCCUGCAUCCGCAUUACAAACUUCAUCUUUCAGCUUCAAUAUAUCGUAGAUUAACUGAUUCUGUAAAUAAUGUACGCCAUUACGCUUCCACGAUUCCCUUAUAUCAGCAAUGAAGCUACGAUGGUCAAAUUGAUCAAAGAGCCUGUUGUAGAUGGCUUUAGCAAGCGUAGUCUUACCAAUGCCUCCCAUUCCGUGGAUGCCAACAAAUAGGGUGUCAUGAGAUUUAUUAUCCACAAAUUCCAUAACCUUCUUCACAUGAGCAUCAAUUCCGACCAAAUUCUUAGAAAUGUCCAACUCAAACUUUUUCUUCAGUUCGUUCAACACUUUUCGGACGAUCGAUUUCACCAACUCUACUUCAGACCUGUCAAAUGUGACAUGAGUUCAAAUAUGUAGCAACAAUAAUUUUAUCUUGUUUAUCUAUAGAGAACAUAGUAAAUCUGGGGAUAGAUUGAAAAACUUUAAAUAUCAUUAUUGUCAUACCUCUAUAUAUAAUGAUAUAUGCUAAGUCUAAAGUGUGGUUGCUUCAAAUGGGGUGCCCCAUUUCACCGUUACUCCAACAUAAUUUAUCAAGCCAGGAAAAACAUGAGGGUAUCACUUAUAAAUCUUAAAUAUUGUAUAUAUUAUGGAUUUGAACCAAAUUUUAAACUGUUUUUUUUAUUAAGGAUAUUAGGAAUGACAUGGAUGUGACUUUAAAAAUUGUUUAGAGCAUUUGAAUAAGCAAAAAUCCUAUAAGCCAGCCCAAUAUGAGAGUUAGCUAUCAAUCAAUAAACAAGUCAUAACUUUUUAUGCAAGAUGAAUUCAGGUCCUGUAACACUAAUCGGAAAAGUUGUUCAAAUUGUGAUAUUGUGAACUACUUGAAUGCAAUUGAAGGGAUUUCUUCUUGUUUGCGCAAUAUUAUAGGCUCACAAGUUUAACCUGUGUUGUGAAUUUAGAAUCAUUCUAGAUAGGUGCUCUUAUCAGUUUUCAUUGCCUCUAGGGAUGAUUACAAGUUGUACUUUAUUUUCCUUUUAAGUAUCUAUGUUCUAUGACUUUAAUGAUCUAGUAUUGAGUUUAUAGGGAAGUAGAAGAAUAAUUUUUACCCAAAAAAGAACAUUGCUUCAAUAUAUGCAGAUGCAUGAGAUAGAAAUUACUUGUUGAAGAUAGAAAAUGCUUUGAAAUUAUUUAAACAGACAUAUAAUAAAAAUAAUCAUUUUUUUUGUCAUUAUCUUAUAUAACCAAUGAAACAUUUCUUUUCUAAAAUAAUUUUAAUAAUAUCUAAUCAACUUUAUCAAUGAUUUAAUAAAUGUAACUUUGGAAGAUAAAGAAUUAUAGCAAAGCUUGGACGCUACCAUCUUAUGAGCUUUAAAUAAAUAUUGCCAAUGAGUUGUACUAUUAAUCUCAAAUAAUUAUGUAAUUAGAAAAGUUUGUGAUGAAGAUUAAUGUCACGUACCCUAUAAUUAGAUUGGUCAAUAUCAUCAAAGCAAUAAAACUUAUUCAAGUGAAUGGGGUGUAAGAGUAAAAAAUCUUUUGAUAUAAAAGUAAAUUCGUUAAAGCAAAAAAUUUUACUAUUACAAAAAUCUUUUGAUAUAAGAGUAAAAAUUCGUUCAAAAAAUCUUAUUAUUCAAGUGAAUGGGAUCAUAACAAUAAAAUUUAUAAUUAGAUUGGUCAAUAUGGUUAAAGCAGAAAAAUAAAAAAGAAAGAAUAACUUAUAGAAUUCAUGCACCGUAGGAUCUUACUGCCAGCAAGAUCUUACAGUUCUUUUAUAUAUGAAAAAAAAGAACAUAAAAUGAAGCAGGUUGGAAUUAGAACAACCAACAUACCAACAAAAAAAAAGGAUUUAGAACAACCGGUAAACACCCACACAUAUUAAAAGAAAAUAGAGAAUGUUUUGGUGAGAAAUUUUACCCUAGGGCUUCGUAUCCUUUCAAGGUGCUGACUUCAUCGAGUGCUGACUUCCAUUUCUCCAAAGUAGUUGGGUCGAAAGACGACCUCUCACGCAAACGACUCUUGUGCUCAUGAAAUGCCUCUCCAAACCUCCCGGUUUGAUAUCGCACUUCAGUUGGUUUCACUUUGUAAAAUAUAGGCAACACUAUCUGCCUGUUAUUAUUCUUGCGCUCGAUUAUUUGAACAAGUUCAUCUAGGCACCAACUACUUGUAGAAUAAUUCACUGAGAAAAUGGGGAUUAGGAUCUUACUGCUCGUGAUGGCUUCCACAAGCACUGGUCUAAUGUCCUCGCCAUGGCAAAGCUCAUCAUCGUCUUUGAAAGCAUCAAUUCCCGCAUCAAGGAGCCCUUUAUAGAGGUGAUCGGUAAAGCCAUAUCGGGUAUCUGGGCCUCUGAAACUCAAAAAUACCUCAUAAUGGUUUCCAGUCAACGAACUAGAUGCACUGUUGUUAGUCCUUGUCGAAGAUGAACUAGAUCCACCGAAAUUAGUUUCUAUCGGAGACAGAGAUGAACUAGAUGCAUCGUUAUAAGACGAACUAGAUGCAUCGUUAUAAGUUUUUGUCGGAGAUGAAGUAGAUCCACCGAAUUUAGAAUUUGUCAGAGACAAACUAGUUUCACCAUUGUUAGUUUCAGUUGGCAGCAAACUAGAUCCACUAGAAUUAGUUUCUGCCGGAGACAGAGACAAACUAGAUGCACCGCUGUCAGUUUCUAUCGGAGACAAGCUAGAUCCACUGGAUUUAGUUUCUGUCGGCAACGAACUACAUCCACCAGUAGUUUCCGUCAGAGACGAACUCGAUGCACCGUUGUUAGUUUCUGCUGGAGAUGAACUAGAUCUGCCAGAAUUAUUUUCUGUCAGCGCAGUCAACGAACCAAAUGCGCCAGUAUCAGCAUUUUUAGCAUUGCUAUGCACACUCGCUUUCUUCUUAUUGAUAAAAUAGAACGCGAGCCCGGGAAGAAGGAUCAGUGCCACAAGCUCGAUGAAAGAAUGCCCAAAAAUGAGACGAUGCAUCUUGCCUUUACUCUGACUCUGGCCUUUGAUUUUCGCUUUCAAGUUUGACACAGAAAAAAAUUGGAAGCCACUCAGGAAACAGGAAAUGCGUUCUUGUUGCUCAUUCUCUUGUGGUUUGAUUUAUAUAAUCAAACCAAGUGGGCAACCAGAAUUGCGCAAAUAAGUCAAGUUUGUCAAACUACACAUAAAUUAACAAUUCAUUCACCGGGAACCGCAUCCACGUGCUUGGAGUCGUUGCCUUCAUGUGGCUGAAAUGGCAAUGCUCGAGGGAAUCCGAAUAUUAAAAAUAGAUAGGGGGCUCUUCAAGUUUCAAUACACAUAAAUAAAACGGCGAAUUUGUUGGGAAGAUGAAAAGUGGAGAGAGAGGCUUGGGACGAGAGCGUGACAUGGAUUUGUGGGAAAAGAUGGAAAGUGGGGGGAGAGAAAGAGAAAAAAAAAAUGCAGAGAUUCGUCCGGUCCAAUACUUUCCUGCCAGUGCUCCGAAUAGAUAAAUACAUACAAAGCGUUAAGACAGUGGUAUUGGGCAUGCCUAGUCCAGUGCUUGCGCCGUUGGACUUUCCCUCUUCUUUUGUUAAUUUAUUUUCCAUCAGAAAAGUUAUUUUUUAAAAUAAAUUUAAGCUCUAUCCCAUUUAGGAAUUUAACCCCUUUCACCUUGAGCUUGUUAAAAAUAUUCCUGUCAAAUUGAUAAACUUCAUUUCAAGACUGAAAUGUUCAACUAUUACUUAUGCUAAAAAAUUAUAUUAUUACGCGCGUCAAGAAUUAUAAAAAAUUAUCAACGUGUUAUAUAUAUCAUUUUGUGCUCAAGCAUAAUGAGAAGAAUUUCUUUUUUGCUUUGUUUCUGCCUUAAUUUCUCCAUCAAAUCUCAUAGGUAAAUCAAAAUGCCUUCUUGCUUUUGUUUUAAUUUAUUAUAAAUAAAUAAUUAUAUAUAUAUAUAUAUAUAUAUAUAUUUCUUUGUAGGUUUGAUUUAUCUAAUAAAUUAGUUGGCGCGCACCAAUAAUUCAAACUUGCCAAGCUAGAUAAGUAAUUCAUUGACUAGGACCACUAACUAUGUAUUUAUGGUCGUUGCCUUAAUGCGGUGGAAGUUUCAAUGGACGGAAGAAUCCAAGACGAUCCCACCGAGGAGAAAGAAAACAUGUGACCAAGUUUCAAUGCAGAAGCAAUAAAAAGAAAAUGAAAACCAAAAAUAAAAGACAAUUGCUGUUAUGUUAUCCCGAGACAACUGAUCACAAUUGGUAAAUACAUGCAAAACGUCCCGACAGUGAUUGCACGGUUGAAUUUUCCUUUUCUUGUGUUAAUUUAUCUUUCAGUAGAAAAAUUAUUUUUGUUGAAUAUAUUUAAACUCUUGAUCUCACUUAAGAAUUUACCCCUCCCACUUUGAGCCUAUUAAGUAUUAUCGUAUCAAACCGAUAAAUUUCGUUUCUCUGCUGAAAUGUUGCAUUAUUAACAAUCUCUUAUCAUAAAAUCGAUUGUAUAGAUAAAGUCGUCAAAAGAUUACACGCUCAGAGAAAGUGAAGAAGAAAACCCUAAUAGCUUGAUAUCUUGAUUCUUUAGGGGAAGCAGGUGAGGGCCCUAUAGGUCCUGCGAUGCUUUCUGAAACAACUUUCGGUAAUACGUAAUUUUUUACACACAUCUACCUUUAUUUUGCUAGUUAUUCUCUAAAUAUAUAAUGGGACAUCAACAGCCACUUGCCAUACAUUCGAACAACAAACAUACCAAUGCAUCGACCACUUAUAUAUUUUAUUAUUUUUUGGACUAACCAAAGAGCCGCCGAUGUUGAAUAAGAAUCAAUCAGAGGGUAAAUAUUUUUAUAGCCCUUACUACACUUCAUUUAAGAUGGGGACUUUGAACACAUCAAUGCUCAAUAUUUUUGACUUUUCCCUUGUUUAAUUUCUUUUCCUGAUAAGAUUUUUUAACUCCACGACAAUUCUUUCUAGUUCAUUUCUUGACCUUUGCACAUUACUUCCCUUCUCGCUCCAAAUCCUUGAUUUUCUACUUGUUGUCAUCGCUUUCCUUACAUUCACUAUUUCCCCUUACAUGCUUGCAGAACCCUAAACUCAUGCCGUGGUCAUUCUCAGCGACUGACGAGCCACCCUCCUCAAAAUCACCCGUUAGUUGGUGAGAGACGGAUGUGUGAGGCCCCAACUUGUCACUCCCUAUGAUGUCAAAAUUACACUUCGAAUUUAACCUAUAUAUAUAUGCUUUUAUAAUCAACAAAUCACUUUGAUAUUACUACUAUGUUUGGGAUUAGCCAUUGAAAUUACUACAACUCGUAUCCCGUUACAAGAAAAGUGUCGUCAAGUACUUGACUUAAGAUAAUGUCCACUCGAGGCCUCCCCAUGGAUGCGGGGAAAUACUUGGACUGUUGAUUAAUGAUUAGGGCUCCAACUAACCUUUGAAGCGUUCUGGUCAAUGGUCAAAGGGCAAUUAUAUCAUGUAGGGCUAAAAAAAAAAGAAAAAAGAAAUAGAAGAAGAUAUCAUCAUGGAUUACAAAAUCAAAAGGCGAAAAAAGGAAAAAAAAAAAAAGACAAAGAAAGAAAGGAGCGAAUUGUGCCGUUUUAAAACGAAAAGGAAGCUCGUCCACGGCGUAAAAGCCAAACCUCCAUUCAACAUUUGUACCUGUUAUUGCUAGAAAGAUAUUUCAAAGUAAUUACGAUUCGUAUAUAAUUAUAUCGAGUAUAUAUUAGGGAGCAUGCGUAUUAUAUAACAAAUGUGAAUAAAGCUUGCCCACAAAUAUUCAUUUGCUAAUCGAGUAAAAUCCAAACGGAAGGGAGCCAUCGAACAUGCGAGGGGGAGUGAGGUGACUAAAAAAGCUCUUUCUGCUUAAGAGAGCAUCGAUCUCCAAUGAUUUAUCCCCUCUUCUUUUUAAAUUACGUUAAUCAUGUCGCUUGAUGCGUUAGGUCAGGCCCAUUAAGCAUUUAAACAUGGUCUCUAGCUAGCUUAAUGUGAAAUAAGAGCUUUCGACUAGUGCUGUUAUUGCGCACAUAGACGCGGAAAAGUUAUUGCUAUUUAUAAAAUCAACUGCCCGUACAAUUAUUGUGCUAACCUUACACUUACGACGUGGACAUUACAUCAUUGCUCCCCCCCCCCCCCACCCAAAAAAAAAAGAAAAAAGAGAGAAGAAAUUACAUCAUUAUACUAAUUGUUGAUCGAUAGAUAUCAUGUCUAUAAAACACCUAAAUAUCCUUUAAGGAUACUUUUUUCUUUUUUUCCAACAAGCAACUUUGAAGUUAAAAGGGGUUUUGCUGCCUUUACAAGCUGUUCGACAUCAAUUUGCAGCCGCAACACCUUCGGAGUUACGGCACUUUCACGAUGCAACAACUUAUAUCGACUUUGAAAAUAUACUUGAUAACUCUCUCAAACUAUAAAGACCAGACCUAGUCUCACUAUUGCACGUGUACUUUUCUCCGGUGAAGUUAUUUGCCCUAAUAUAUGGUGUGUUCGCGAACAAAACGACGCGGCAUGAAGACUGCGUCCCCUUGCACGUCAAACCGCAGAUAUAUCCUGUUUCGUUAUUAAUCAAUAAAUUUGUGUAAAAAAACUUAUUAAUUACUAAAUUGCCAUUUCUCACAAAUUUAAUUUUUGGUCAGACAAUUUCUCGCAAAUUACAAAAAAUAAAAUAAAAUAAAAUAAAAGCAAUUGGCUACGUGCUGCCACCAAUGUGAACGAUCGAAACCCAACGCGCUUGUGCGUUAUUUUAAACCAAUUUCAAAUAGUUACUGCCCCGACCGAAAAUUUCCAUCAACGAAUUUUGGAGAAAGAAUUGGAAAAUCAACAAUAACAUAUAUGAUAUAAUACGAUUACAUGCCCUCGUUCUUAGAAAUCCAGCUUUACAAUGAUUAGUAAUUCGGAAUAUCGUCCUAUGCUCACACCACAUUUAUUUAUAAUAACACUAUAAAAUAGAAAUGUUUUUAUCCUAUGCUUGUUAGAAUAAAAUUUCGUGUCUCAACUAUUUUCAAUCAAGCAAAACUAUUGAAAAAAUUCUCACUUGGUCACGCUGUCAUUAAUAUAUUAUCUCAAUCUAUAAUUGCAAAUGCAUAAAAUUGUAAUUCGUAGUAAUUGAAAUGAUUGUCAAAUAAUUGCAAAUGCAUACUAGUUAUGACCGACUCAACUUAUUUAUCGAGGAUCUUGAAAUCGGUCUCUUUUCUUUACACCAAAGGGUGGAAAAAACAGGAUAACAAUUUUUCAUAAUCAAUGAUUUAUCGAAAUAUAGAAUUGAUUGCCCUUCUGUUGAGAAGCUUCAAUGUGAAUUUAUGGUAUACCAACUUGGGCCGAAAGACAAAAAAAAAAUGCGAAUAGAUACCUACUUUUCUAAAUUAUGUUGGAUUAGUAAAUUAAUUCAGAUCUAUUCACUACGACCCCAACCUAACCUGCGGUUUAGGUCACAGGAAAGCAUGCGGGAUCUUCGUCUUGCAGACGUAAUCGGACCACAGUCCCAGCGAGAAAAUAUUGGCUUGGUUUUACCCUCCACGUAGGCCAAAUGUAAGACCACUCAGGAGUCGACAUGUGGCUCUACGUAGGUAAUGGCGUCAGAGGUUCGCGGGCAACUAGCGGAGGAGAGAGAGCAGAGGAGGGGGAAGAGAAUUUUGUUUCUCCCCCGCAAUGGAACGGAGAAUGGGGAAAGAGAGAGAGAGAGAGAGAGAGAGAGAGAGAGAGAGAGAGAGAGAGAGAGAGGAGAGUGAGGAUGAGUCGACAAGUCGCAAAGGAGAGCAAAGGAGAGAGAGCGUUAGAGUGGUGGGCCCCAGGAGCACCCGCGCAAAUUUUGAACGUCUGAUGCCAUCGCCUACGUGGAGCCACGCAUCGAUCGCUGAGUGGUCUUACCCUACGCCUACAUGGAGGGUAAGACCCCGCCAAUAUUUUCUCCCCGCCUCUUGUCCACCUUUGAAAAGUCAACUUGCUCUUCUUUUUUAUUUUUUUUAACGCGCCUUUUUUUGGGUCGAAAUUUCUUAAACACGCAAGAAUACUAAAGAAUCUUGUUAAUUAACAUGUUUUUAAAAUAUAUAAUGACUAAUGGAAAAAGCAACGAUAGAGACUGAAAACUAGGGCUGACCAAUCAUAACGAGCGUAUUCAGCGAAAAGUUAUCAUAUGAAUGCAUAUAUAUACACACACGUACAUAUAUAUAUAUAUAUUAAGUUUGAAUCUAAAUUAAAAAAAAAUCAUGGAUUUUAAGUAGGUCUUACAAGAGAUUUAGCGGUGCAGAACCUAUUCAGUACAUUUAAGAAGUUCAUUGAUCAAUACAUUAUAUAUGAUACUUAUCAGUUGCUUCAAUAAUCCUUUUUCCAAGCAGGAUGGUUUGAUUUCGUAGCCAAUUGCUUAAAAUAUUUGCUAAAACACUCGGUUAAUGAGGUUCCACAUAUAUGAAAGUGAUGAGAAAGAAACACGAAGGCAAUUGGAGCAUUAUGGGGAGCAAAAAAUCGGCGGUGUUUAUUUCAAUUUGCACCAUUUAAUAUGAAUAACUGAAAAUAUAUUUAGAGGAAAGCUUUUCUAAAAAAAUUGGACAUGCAUGGAGUCUCGAUUCACUAUCCAAUGGACCUUAGAUCUUCGGCUUUUGAAAUUGCUUGGAUUGAUUCCUUAUUUAUAUUUUGACCAAUGGGUUUGCUUCAUGCCAUGGGUUUUCUAAUGCAGAUAGCUAAACAUGCAAAAUAACAGCCUAAAGGAAUUAAGAUAUUUCUUCUAAUUAUGCAGAGGAAUAGCAACAGUAAAAAAAAAUCACAAUUUUUGUAUUUUCAAAGGGUUAUAAAGGUAUUAUAACAGCCUACGUGUUCAUGAAAAAUUAAAUUUUAAACUGGCUGAGUAAUGACUUGCUUUUUAAAUAAUUCUAAUAUUAAAACGACGAUAUUGUUAUUUAUGGGUUCUGGAACCCUUUCCCCCAUUUCCCUAUUAAUUUUCUUCAAUCCAUACACCCUCAGAAUUGGAAAAAUCUUCCAGUUUGAACCUCACCGAAAUUCUUUUUUUAUAAAAAAAAAUGACCGAGUUAGUGACUUGAAUUUAGGAGAAUAUUGUUUAAACAGAAUUGAGAUGAACCUUGUAGGGGUUUAAGGUGUAGAUAUUUUUCUUACAAGGUGGCGCUAAUGCUUUGCGUGCAUCUCCCAAGUCCAGCAUACUAAUACGUCGAAAAAAAGUCAACCAUUGGAAUGAGCAUUGUCCUUGAUUGCGUUAAUUCUAUGCUUUCGCGUCAGUUGCUCUGUCCCCCGCAAAGAAGAAAACGAAUGUCAAUUUUGGAAUUACUUGAAUUGGAUAUGAGAACAAAAAUGCACAUUUCUUGUUAGACUCUGAUUAUUGCAAUUGUGCUUGUAUCUAUUCUAAUUAUCUCUUUGGAGAGUUAGUGUUACUUUAUGUAACAUGUUAAUUGAAGAGUGUAUAAGAGUAUUAGCAGUACUUGGUUAUUGAUGUUGAGAUUUAUUAGCUUAGAAUACAAGCAAUACGUGUUACGUGAUAACUACUUAUAAGAUUAUUAUUGGAAUCCAGCCUUGUUGGUCUAAAGAGAGUCGAUGUAAGUUUAAUAUAAGCUGAACCACUAUAAAAUCUGGGUGAGACAACUUUUGUCUCUUAACUUAAAUUUAUGUUUGGUUUAUAGAAGCAUAAUGUCUACAAUAUCAUCAAACUGUUGUUGCAUCUCUCAAUCUGCUCCGGUAUCUAUCAAAACUUAACUAGAGUUAUUUAACAAAAGGAUUAUUAAGUUUUGUGAAUCGACCUUUUCAUCUCGCUUUAAGUUACGUUAUUAGCCUCAACAUUAUUUAGUUAUUGCGAUGGGCUAUUUUUUAUUAAUAGGAAAUCGAAUUUUAAAACGAUAGAGUAUUAUGACAUGGAAUUCAGUUUUCUGCUUUUCAUUUUUGGCUUCUAUUUUUUUUUUUUUAAUGUCCUUAUUGCUAUGGAAUUUGGAUUCCUAACACGGGACACUUUCUGGUGCGUACUUUGAGCAAAUAUGAGUUCUAAUUAAUAUAUGUCCGCAGGACACUCUCUGGUGCGUGCUUGAGCAAAUGUCCUUUUGAUUGCGGUAUGUUCGAUGUGUUUCUAUAGGAGGAAAGAAGAUGCCGCUUGAAGAUGCCUUGAUGCGAAGCGUACAUACAGACAAAAGUAAGUAAAAAACUGUAUUAUACAAGCUGGCAAAUUGACUUUAGAAUAAUGUAAAUAGGAGUGCCUUUCUUACAGCUCAAUUCGACGGGGAUUAACGUAAACGAAGUUCCUGUCUAAUUUAUCGGUUGCUGAAGGUUUAUAUAUAUUUUUGUUAGGGCUAGUUGAAAUAGCUGUUAUUGAAUUGUUUUAGCGAUAUCUAGAGACGGUGGCAAUUUUAAGCGGGAAAAUUGCUAACAGAAGUAUCUUACCCACACUUUUUAGCAUCUAGUCAUUUUGUAAAACAUUUAAGCCAAUUUUCUUCUAUUCAAUAAAAUUUCUUCACGGUUAAGUUGUAUGAUAUAUGUGUGGAUAUAUAUAUAUAUAUAUAUAUAUAUAUAUAUAUAUUUGUAUCACAUCUGAAGAUAUAUUCGACCACUAUUAUGAAGAAACCUUUCUAAUUAGUGAAAUCUUUUUGAUGUCUUUGUAGAGAUUUCAACCCCUUGAUUAAAAUAUUCUUAUGCCACUUUCUAUUUAAAAAAAAAAAAGGAAUGAAAACUGACGAGAAAUAUUCACAUGCUCCAGGUGCUAAGUCCAGGAGUCAAUGACAAAAACAUAUUCGACCCAAACGCAAGAUGACAAAACCAUAGCAGGCAGAUUGGAUUUUGUUAAUAGAUAUCUAUAGCACGCUUAAUAUUCAAAUAAGGAAAGUUUAAAAUCAAACUUCAAUCUGAUUUUUUUCGAAAAUCAACACUUAUAAAUUAAUACAAAAAAAGGCCAAUAAUUGAUGGCAAGCAUUAGUCAAUGCUUUACGGGCAUAUAAAUCCCAUCCAGGUCACAUCUUCCACCUAAAACACUUAUAAAAAAUCUCCCCCAAAAAUAUGAGCAAAACUUCUGCCGACUCCUUAUAAUAAAAGUUGCAUAAAACCAAAGUUUACCAGCCAUCUAUCUAACAAGAAUCCAAUUAGAAUCAUUUGUGGUUGUUGUCAUAUGAAAUUAGACUUGCCACCGAAAAAUUUGGAUUUUUUUUAAUAAAUACCUGCAGCACGCUUAAUAUUCAAAUAAAGAAAGUUUAUUAUUUUCAAUCUUCAAUCUGAUUUUUUUUAAUCAAUGGUUAUAAAUUAAUACCAAAAAAAAAAAGACCAAGAUUAGAUGGCAAGCAUUAGUCAAGGCAUCUUCUUUCUUUAUUAUAAAGAGAAACGUCAUUGAUGACAUAUGAUUUACGAGUAUAUUAAUCCCAUCCCCGUCACACGUUCCACCAAAAACACCGUUGAAAAAUCUCCCCCUAAAAUAAGAGCAAUAAUUUCACCGACUCCUAAUAAAAAAAGUCGCAUUAAACCAAACCAGCCAUCUAUCUAGCAGGAAUCCAAUUAGUAUAAUUUGUGGUUGUUGUCAUAUGAAAUUGGACCGUCCACCGAAUAACUUGGAUCUUUUUAAUAAACAUCUGUAGCACGCUUAAUAUUCAAAUAAGGUUUAUUAUUUACAAUCUUCAAUCUGAUUUUGUUGAAAAAUCAACACUUAUAAAUUAAUACAAAAAAAAGAGAGCCAAGAAUAGAUGGCAAGCAUUAGUCAAGUUGUCUUCUUUCUUAUAAAGAGAAGACAUCAUUGAUUAUAUAUAAUUUACAUGAAUCCCAUCCCCGUCACAUCUUCCACCAAAGACGCCCUUAAAAAAUCUCCCCCUAAAAUGACAGUUUCGACGAACUAAUAGUUGUUGUCUUCUAAGAUUGGACUGUCCAUCGAAUAAUUUGCACCAUCUUCACCAAAAACUCGGUAGUCAUGUUGCAUGGUUUUGUUGGCUGCAUCAGGUUUAGUAAAUGGUUUGAUUGUCUUAUACUAAAUUCUAUGAAUGGGAAUCCAAUUACAAUAUUAUGUACGCACUCUUUGUGUCCUCGCAGUCAAAUGGGUUAUUUGACAAAAGAAAAAUAGUUAGUAACAAUAUCUCAUGUCUGGAAAUAAUAACAUUAGUCGAACGUGAAGCAUCUUUAUCAUUAGUUACUAGUAAUAUCCAGAUUGGGCUAUAUGUCGGACUUAACCUGUUCUCCGUAUCAUGAGAAAACCUUUGUGAUUUCGAAACGGGCCUCCAAGGCCUCAACUGGGCCGGGCCGGGCCGGAUUUUAAGACUAUAUUACCUUGUCAAACGACGCCCAUAAGUGCCCCCUUCGGGCACAUGUAGGAGUGGUGGAUUAAUUAUUGAAAUGUAAUUGGGAAAAAAACAAUGCGAUAUCAUCCUCAUUCACUUUAAAUUAGAAAAGUAUGUUAAGGAGCUAUUUGAAUCGGCGUCUUACAAUCAGCUGGUUAAGUGUCGAGAAGAUGGACUAGCUCGAGCUCGAUCGAGCCAUUUGCCAUCACCAUGCAAGCUUCAAACACUCGGCCGGAUUACUCAACCAAGUCAUUGGUCAUUACCACCUGAAAUCCACCCCUUUUUGCGCGCCAUUUCUUUUUUAACUUGGGAUGAUUGAAUAUCAAACUCAAUUGUCUAUGAUCAUUCUCUAGUCAAGCGGUGAAUGUCAAUGUUUGAUCCGGCCAUUUCUCGUAUGUGCAAUGCAAACGAAUUCGGCUUGCUGCAGUACUUCAAGUGCUUGGCUCUGAAUCUGAAGAGCGUGGAGACUGCCUAGUCCCUAGCUCGUUCUUUUGAUGACGGCGGAUGUUAGCUCACCUUGUCAAUCCUGCUUUUAUCAAAUGAUGCACUCCUGCUGGAGAAGAUGGUCAUUAAUGUCAAGAGUAAUGGAAGACGCCAAUUGAAAUCUUUUGAGUCUUUGCCAUAGCUGGCUCUACCCUACCGAGUUGCUUUUGAAAAAGCUAGGUUGUCUUUAACUAUUGUUAAAAGCGAGUUCUUGCUAGCAGAAUCAAAGAGUUAAAACAACUUAAGAAGAACCCCAGUGAGACUGUCCUGGGUGAGGAAUGUACUGAAUCCUAGUUCCUAUUAAGUCUAUUAGUCCUUCACAUGGGGCUUCUCUGCUCAGAUCACAAAGAUAAGAAGUCAAAUGAGCACCAUUUUGAAGUUUUUACCAAAAUAAAAGUUAUAUUGUAUCCUGCAAUGACCUAUGAAGAAAUUUGAAGCUGACUUUAUUUCCCAAGCAUCCUCGGAAGCUAGAGAAUAUCUUUACAAAAGAAGACUGCACCAAUGACAUCAAACCUUUCAAAAACUGGAAGGAGAGCCUUCGAAUUUAGUGUUAUUGUUGCUGGACUGAGUCUUGGCUUCCAGUAGUGUGAAUUUUUGGACUUCUAUUGAAAAUUGAGUAGAGCUGGUCAAUUGACGAAUCAAAUCAAUAAAUUGAGUGUUUUUUCCCCUCAAAUUGAGCAACGCCAAUCAAUUUGGAAUUUUGAAGAGGGCCUAGUCUAUACAUGAACUAUGCUGUCUCUCUCCCUUCUUUGCAAUCAUUAACAAACAUAUAUCGUUUGCCUUGAGAUUGGUUUUUUGCUUGAUAUUAGGAGGCAUAUAAUCCAUCUAACAUUGUUUAUUUUGAUUGUGGUUGAUAUUAGGUUUGAUGCCAUUAAAAAUCCCAAACUGUUGACUCAUGCCUCAUUUAUUCCAACUAUCCUUAAAUUGAACUUGCAUUUGAAAGUACUGAGAAAUAGCUUUAAAUGAUAUGAACAAACAAGAGGAUUAGGUUACUGUAAGCCACUACCGAAAGCGGUAAUCUAAUAGAUUAUCAGUACAAAGGCAAAAGGGCUAUCAUCAAGUACUUGCAUUUUAUCAAGGUUUAGUUUGUGAGAUACAACAUCAAUUUGGACAUGAAAGAUUUAAGAGUUGAUAUAUCAUAAUGACCUAUAAGGAUAUUCAAUGCGCUGAACAUUCAAUAUCCAAUGCUAAUUAUACACAAAAAGAUAUAUUCUAUUAAUUGUGAUUGUGCAAAAUAAGUCUCAUUUAAUAUACUUUGUCCAAUUCGCCAUAUAGUAGCAAAAGUAAAUUUUAUAAGCUCUAAACGGCCAUAAAUAGUGGGUUUACCCAAAGGUGUUUGGUGUGAUAGACAAGUUGUCUUCUAGACAUUUCCUAUCAAUAGUAAAGCUUCUCCCCAUUUUCUCCAGUAAUAUUUGUUUUACUAGCCUUCUCUUGUUUUCUCGAUCCUCAAAAACUUUUAAUUGCAAUUUCUCCAAGACGAGCUUGUGUAAAAUGGCUCAUGGAACUAAAAAUUUACAUGAGGUUUGCACCGACAGUGGACCUCAUAACAAUCAUUUGUUUUGUUGGUAAUAUUAUUAUCUCAUCUUCUUAUUAAUGUUUGACAUCAGUGUUUCUACACUUGCAUCAAGUAAAAAUAUAUAUUAUUUUCUGGGAAGAGAGGGGGAAGAAUACAUUGAAAACGAGAAUAUUUGGAAGGGCAAUAAAUAAAGGAGGAUUUAAUUUUAGAGUAAACUCAGCUAAAGUUCACAAAAAGCUAUCAUUAUGACAGAUAAUAAACAUAAGAAAAGAAAUAUCUCGUGUGCACAUGUUACAUUCAUACGUUCUCUUUCCUCGAGAUUGGCAAUAAUUCCAAAAGAAAGAAUAAUACAAUUAAACAAUUUUAGAUUCCUUAAUGUUGGUACAUCAUUAAGUUAAAAGGCUACACGAUACUCUUUAUUAAGGGUAUGAAAUCCAUUAACGAUAUUGCAGACAUAAUCUCAUGAUCUUGAACCCACCAUUUAUUUGAGGAUUCCAAAUCUCUAACAUUGGAAUAACCUAUGUUCUUUAUUGCCACCUUAAAACCAUAUAUCUGGCUAGUCAUGUUCCACAUAGGAAUAUAUUUUGUACAUCGGAUCGGAUGCAUCACUUAACAAUGACUUGUGGAGGAGUGAGUCAAUCUUGAGCGAGAGAUUUCAAUAUUCAAAUGCAGAGUUCGUUAGCCGAGCACACUGCCCGAACCACUGAACCUGAAGUAUAGAUAAUCCCAACCAAAUAUUUGGUUUUCUUACACAUGAAAAUAAUGAACAUAUACAGAUGAAGCAAAAGCUUGGCACUAUCAAGCAGGUCUCAAAGCUUAUAGCAAUACCAUGAAGGCGGUUACCACCGGAUAGAAGCCAUGACUCGCCAUCUUUCGGUCAAUUCUAUCCAAAUCAAUAGAUAAAUUGUUACCUUUUACUCCACUUUUUCCUUCAACAAAUGCCCGCCUAGCAGAAGAGGCACAUGGCAGGUAUAGGUUAGGACUUCUCGAAGAAGGGUGGAGUCAAAAAGCUUCAGUCAGAAAGCCCACAUGCAUUGUUUCUCACACCGAUGUCUGCAGCUUCAAGUAUUAGAGGCCCACCCACAGCAGCAACUCGAGUAUAAACAUCACAAACUCUUGAACAAACAGUCAUCCUGAAUCAAAGAUUCUUCUUCAUACUCAUUCAGUAUGCAGAUCAGGGCAUGCUUUCUUGCAGUUAAAACACAAGUCACACCUCUACUUGCUAUUGCCAAAAAAAAGUCAACUUGAUUUCAGUCCAGUGUUUCUUAGAUAUAUGGCCAUAACUAACGUGAUGUUUAGAUACCUUUAUUCGGUAAAUGUGAAAGUACAACACAUGAAUUAUGCUAAAACACAGGCGGGAAGCAAACCUUGUGUGCCUAAAGAGGCUAUGGCAUGCAUUUAACUAUGAAUGAUCUACAGUAUCUUGCUAUACUAGAUACCAUGAUAGUAUCUAUCAUCAUGAACUUGUAGAUAGCGGUUCUCAGUCCGUAACUCAAACUGUUAUGCACCAACGAUAAGAGAGAUUAUUCUUUCUGUAUUUGUCUGGCAAUUAUAGAUUCAUCCUUUUCACACUUCGUCCUCUCAAUUGAUUUAAGGGGAAACCUAAUACGUCAACAUUUUACUUCUUCGACAGAAAAAUAUUCUUCUUUGGAGCAUGCUUUUGCACUUCUUCAAUCUGCAGGAACAAACAUGAAGUGGUCUAUUAAAGAGGUACAAUGUACCUAUGCCAGUCACAUUUAAACUUAAGAGUAGGUUCGCAGUGGAAAUGUAGUAAGGAGCAUGGACAGGAUUAAUUCAGUUCCACUACCCAGCGAACAAGACAAACUGUUACUAACACUGGCAAGUUUAUCAAACGUUGAUACACAAAGGAAAGAGUAGGGCAACAAUAAGUUUCCAGACAUCCACAACUGCAAAUGGACAUGGUAAGAAGCUCAAAGAAAAAAAUCUUCAGAAUUAUACAAUUGAUGGCAUCACAAUGAAUUGAUCCUUAGCCCGAUAGUAUGACAGCGUCAAAAUGUUCGAGGAACUACAGCAUGUGGAAUGCUGCGAAGCUUCUCAUUCUCUGUCUCCAAGUUUAAUAUAGGGUCCUAGAUGUGUAGUUUCACUGGGUUGGUGUUUUAAACGUGAGAACACUAUAACCAUGCAAAUGUCCACACAAAAUAGAAGCAAAAAUGGCAGCACUAACCCAUUAGCGCCAUCAAAUGCACAUUUCUUAGCCUACAUACAAGUACAAGACUCUAGCUGUCAAGAUAUGUUGGAACUUUUGCAGUACGGUAAGGCAGAAAGUAAAACAUCGUUCGAAAUCAUAAGCAUGUACUAGCAUGUAUAUGCAUUAUGCACAUAAGAGGAAAAACAAAGCUGCUGCUACUUAUGCUGAUGAGGAGAGUAGAAAAACAAUAAAUAGAAACGACAAAAGAACAAGCGUUUUUAAAGCUGGAAUAUUUAUUCAAUUGGACAAACUGGUUGCAAUAUGCUCUUCCAGUUUGACCGCUUGAACUGAUUGCAUGUGAUGUCAUCCGAUUGAACACGAUGCAUAUAUUAGAUUACACAUGUUCAGAACAAAAGAAGCCCAGUGAGUCGGCAAGCGAACAAAAGAAGCCCAGUGAGUCAGCAAACACUGUAGCAUUUGAAUAGAUUACGCAUGCUUAAUGUCAUCUUAAUAGCAUCCUAUUCAAUUUUCUAAUAGAUUGGGCCAAAACGGUCAAUAAAAAAACUAUCCACCACAAAUUGAAGAAAGAAGACAAAGGAGCAAAUGGUUGGCAUGCUUGUUGAUUACAAGAGGAUGGAGUUUCAAACCUCAACCCACUUCCAAUACUACUCUUUUAAAUUUUUCUUAAGGCCCAGACUUGGUCCAGGUUAGUUGAGAGGUUUGCUGGAUACCAGUUGAUAGGUAGACCCAGUUACCGGUUGAACAGGGUCAAUACCACCAGUUCUUGACCAAUACUAUUUCUUCUGAGAAACCAAACUGGACAGGUCUGGUUCCCUGUCCAACCAAAGCCACUUCUUAAAACUCCGAAAAGAACAGGAGUCGACAGAAAAACACAAUAUGCUAGUUUUUUCCUUUUGCCAUCAAUGUCUUAGGCUGCGUUCGUUUCACGGAAAAAGAAUCAUCUCCGGAAAAUAUUUUCCCGGAAGUCAUUUUCCAGGAAAAUGGCUAUAUUUUCCGGUGUUCGGCGGAAACUUAAAUUUUGAGUGGAAAACAUUUUCCACUGUUCGUUAACUAAUUUCUUUCUUUUUCUUUUUCUUUUCUUUUUAUUUUUUUCCUUUUCUUUUCCUUCUCCUUCUUCCUCCUCCUUCCUCCACCGCCACACGCCUGACGAUGGCGAGCCGACCAAGAUCCGGUCACCAGAUCCGACCAACCAAGAUCCGGUCGCCAGAUCCGGCGAGCUCGCGGCUCGCUAGACCUCUGGCGAGCUCGAGCAAAGCCCAAGCCCCGCCCAGCUCGCCGGAUCUGGCAAGGCCAGAGCUCCGCCCCAAGCCGGCGAGGCUCACCCGUCCACCAGAAGCCUCGCACCGCACGACGAGCGGCCUGGACGGCGAGCUCCCCGCGAGCCUCCCGGCGGCGCCGCGGUGCUCCCUCUUGAGCCGGAUCCUCCCGAGCAGCUUCGAGCCGCCGGGGAAGCGGAGCGAGGCGGCGGCGGCGGCGCCCCGGCCGGAGCAGGCGGGCAGGAGCGGCUGGGGAGGGCGGAGGCUGAACCCGGAGAAGGACGUCGUCGAAGCCGGCUUCGUAGCAGGGAGAGCAAGAGAGAGAGAGAGAGAACGAGAAUCGGAGGAAGAGAGCUCAUGCGAGAGGCGAGAGGCGAGAAGCAUGGAAAAUUUUUUCCUCUUUUCAAAAGAGGAAAACAUUUUCCAAGAUUUCAAGAAGGGAUUUUCCGUUGACCGGAAAAUGUUUUCCUUGACCGUGAUUUUCCGCCCACCCGAACACCGGAAAUUUCGGAAAAUAUUUUCCUUGAAGUUAUUUUCCGCGAAACGAACGGAGCCUUAAAUAGUGAAUUGACAUGAUCAGAAUAAAACUCUAGAUAUCAGGAGUAAGAAAUCAAUAAGCAAUCUCCAGAUCCAUGAGUUACCUUCAAUAGGUGCAAUUCCCAGUUAUUUGCACAAGUGUUUCCUGCAAUAUGCAUAGAUGGAAGGUCACUGGCCUACAAGAUCAUUAUCCCGGCAUCUCCUAGAAAUCGAUUUGGAAAUCGAUGAAAUCUUUUGUGUGGAACAACUGAAGAGAUGGAAUCUUUUAUGUAAAGUCUUACUACAAGCUGCUCAAUUGGGAGAUUCGUGGUAGAACAAAUUUUCCUCACAAAUCGAUUUGGAAAGUGAGAAUUCCAAUUAGAGUUUCUUUUUUUGCUAGGGAAGCAAAACCUGGGAACAAAUCCUUACCUAAGAAAUGCGGCAAGCUACUGCUUUAUCAGGUAUUUCCUCAGCAAAAGGAGACAAAGUCCGUGUGGCAUCUCUCCUUCAUUGUUCCUGGACAAGAAUGGUUUAGAUAGUUUCCUAUGCUUGCACCAUGUUAUCUUCGGUUCUCAGAGGUUUUAUUAAGCAAGAACUUUGGGCAUGGCAGGGCAUUUGUUUACAGCAUAACAAGUAGGAUUUGCUCAAUUCCCAUGUCUUUUGGCUGAUUUGGAAGAGUGGAACAAGAGAGCUUCUGAUGGAGAGAAAUGAACCAUUCUAUUUUAUUGAAAUUUGGCUUAAAGUUGCACACUAUUGGUAUAGUACAAACUUGCAUAUGGAUGUAAAUGCCUUGGUUGAUUAGUCAAUGAUUUAUCUGACAUUCCAAUUACCCUUUAUUCCAACACUUGUUAUCUAAUCAUAUAGUUUCAAGUACCAACAUCAACAUCUCAUAUAUGAUUUUGUACAAAUCAGUAUAACCAUCAUCCACGUGGGAAAAAACACUAUUAACUCACAUUUGUAAUUCCUUCUGCAAAUAACAUCAUUGUGACAAAAAGGUACCACUACUACCAAAAGUCAAGAUCGAAAAAGUUCAAGAGAAACUUUGGUCCGAAGAGCUACGAACACACUGCCAAGAAAGGAGCAAUAUUAAGGACUAAGAGCAGUAUACAAAACUGAUUUGAAGAGGAAAAAUGCGAGUAUAAUGCGUAUGUAGGUCACAAACAUCUAACACGAAUCUAUUUGGCAUGCAACUUGGUAAAACCAAUUUUAGUACUAGGACUUAACAUCCUCAGCAUUAUUCUGCCAAAAAAGAGGUGGUAUAUAAAAAAUCGUGAUCUAAAGAUGUGAUAAAAAAUAAUAAUAUAAAAUAAUCAAUUCUCACAUCUAAGUACCAAACAAAUGAUUGCGAACAAAGGCCCUCAUAACCAUGGUUAAGCAUCACAGAUUAAAUCCAUCUAGGCUCGAUUCACUGUCAUCCGAGCACCCACCAGUUAGUUUUCUGAGCAUUUUCUUCAGAUAACUGAGUUUUCAAUCUUAGCCUUAGCUUGUUGAUAGUAAAUAUAACACAGGAAAGAAGAGUUUCACUACAUUAAGUUCAAUGAGUGGAAUUUGGUAAUAUAAAUAAGUCUAACUUCCCCUAGGCUCUAACAAUAAUAUUGGCAGGUAAAAAGAGUAGAUAUGAUUCUUUGGUACAAAAACUGACUCUUGCAAUUAUGAGGGCAUAUAUGCUAAGAUCGAAGUGGGCAAAAAAAACUCUAACCUUUUAAAUUGAGAACAUAACUCUAUACCUUCUAAUUAUAAUGUGAAUGAACAAACAUUGUACAUCCAAAUCUCCAUGUACAGAACACUUAAAUGUCAAACUUAGAUCAAGUUCAAGUUCAAGUUCAAACCAAUGAUUAAUGACCUACAAUUUCCAUUAUACGCUUAUAGUAGAGAUUGCCAAUUUGUUGAAUCAGAUUCUAAUAAGAUUUUACUUCACCCUUUCCAGCCACUUAAUGUUGGUAAUUCAUAUCAUUGCAUACGAUAUGUUCAUAUGAAGAAUUAACAUCAGGAUGUUCUAAAAAAUAUGGUGUGUCUCAAGAUGUGCAGAAGCAUAACUUCCUAUAACAAAUUCCUAUCUCUAUCUGAUAACCUCCAAGACUAUUCACUGAGAUGCACAAAAAUUAAUUAUUUGGGAAGAAGGCCAAAUGCAAAGAUAAUAAUCCACACCUGCAGAUGAUUGAGGACAACCAGCUGAAGUUCUUUUCCAGCACCACAAACAAUUUUUGGUACACACUUCAUACCCUAUCCUUGAACAAACUAGUAGACUAAGAUUAUAAAAGCCAACCAAAAAAGCCAGAGUCCUAUAGCAUCAUCAUAGCUUCAAAAAUCAGCCAACCCACUUCACCCAAAGAAUUAACAAGAAACUGAUAGACUGUAGGACAGGUCCUAGCACCACCAAGAAGACUCAAAAAUUCCUCCUGAGAAGAAGAGUCAAGACCUAGAUAAGAAGACGAAAACACUUAAGUGAAGAAAUUUGAAACGCCAUCUAUUGCUUUGUGAGGUCUGACAGGAAAUCAAACUUCCCAUGAAAUAUGUUAAUGGCAUCAGCCCACUGCUCAUUCAUGACUGAUAAUGAUGUUUGGAUGACAUGAAGUAAAUCUUCAAUGUUCAAAGCCUGUUGAGCAAACUUGAUGAAGUUUAUUAUUUUUCAGCAGACUUAAAAAGGAGGCAUUAAGAUUCUCAAAAGUUCGUUCUGAUUUCAAUUUGAGAAUUAAAACAGACCAGAAAAUGUGUUUGGAAACAAUCCAAAAGCACUUGAUGAAUAAAAGGAAAACUAUUCUCAAAAUCAAAAUCACAAACUUAAGAUGACUUUUUAGUAUUCUCAUUCCAAAUGCAAACAUGGAGAUUUGGAAUAACUAAGCCUGUUUUUUGAAUGUGAUGUAAGCCGAGCAUAUUCUCACAAUUUCCAUCCCUAAUGACAUAUAUCAUUUUCACUAAACAAAUAUUUCGUUAAAAAAACAUCGAAAACAAUUUCUAUGAAAAUGGAAACUAAAGGUGCACUUAAACAGUCGUGAACAAAAACGACAUGUGAAGCAUGCAACGAUAUUUAAAAUUUUGCAACAAAUUUGACUCACAACUUUCAACAUCUUAACUAAAUAGAUUUCUAGAGGUUUUUACUGAAAGCCAGUAUGAAAAUUACAGGUUGGCUUCGAAGCAGGAGGCAUCGUGUUGUUCAGCUUAUGGCAACUCUCAAACAUCAACUCAAGCAUUAAAAAUUUUCAGCAGGAAAGUUCUUCCAUCAUGUAAAUUUCAAAGUUAUUUCUAAGAAAACUGCCCCGAAAUUGCUCUACCUUAACUAUCCAUUUCUUUUUGAAGGAUGAUGAUAAUAUCCUGAGUUAAUAAGCGUUUUACUUUCCUUAUGACCAAACAAAGCUAGAUACCACCGAAAAAAAUAUUAGUGCACAUGAACAACCAUAAUAUAAUCAUAACAUCAAGUACAAUCACCACCACAUAAACUAGAACAGAAUCUAGAUUUCCACGCUUAUCACCUUCAUUCACUCUUGGUUUUCCCUGUAAAAGACCAACUCCUCAGUUCGACAUCAUCUUCUCAUAUAAGACUUCCAAGCACUUCACACACUGAAUAGAACCAAGAAAGAGCUUUCUCGAUUCGAAGCAAUUACCAAGAGAGACGGCCGAUCGACCGCCUUCGAAGUCAUCCGUGACCAUGGCCAGCAAACCCUUCUCCAGAUUCUACUCCGCCAUCUCCCGAAAGAACGGCCAAACGGGGAGCGGAACUUGAGAAGCCAAAGCGGGCCGUCGGAACUCAAGCUGAAAUGGAAGCGCGCGCCAUUGGAACAGAGCAGGAACAUAGCUGGUACGCUCCGUCUGAUAAUCGGAGGAAGGGGGCGGGAGCGGAUCUUUUUCUUUUUAUUUUUUUUGAAGAAAUUGAAAAUUGAAUCCUUUUCGUUUUCCCUCUCUUGCUUCUUUUAAGGACGUGUUUAACGUUGGAAUAUGAAUCUUUUGAAUUUUUAUUUCUUGACAAAAAAUCUUGUGAAUUAAUAGGUUAAUUUUCACAAUUACAGCCCAAUGCAAAACAGAGGAAACCCUCAUUCGACUCUAUUCCUCUAUCGAUUUCAUUUCAUUUUCCCGUUUCAUUUUUAUAUUCCGUACUUCUCAUUUUCUUGUGUCAAAGAAGUUAUAAGUUCUUUAAAAUGUGCAUGAUUGUCUACUAGUCUAUCGGCCAGUCCCGAAUGGCACAAGACUUUGUUAUAAUCUUCGUUGUUCCAGUGCAAGAAAGUUUACAAUGCUUGAUACUGCAAAAAUUGAUCGAAUCAAUGGUCAGUCAUCUUCGGAGAGUACCCAAUGAUUUGUUCUUUGAAAUUCCUUACAAGAACGGUGGGAAUCAAGGAGUUUCCUUUCACGUUUGUCUCCAUUUUUGCUAAGCAAAUGAAUAUUGAUGAGACUGAAGCAUAUGCUACGAAUACGUCACCGUAUACCUCAUGUUCAUUCAUUUUUUGCAUUGCUUAUACCUGGUAUGAACUUUUGAUAAUUGUUCUACAAAUUAUCCAGAAAUAAAAUCGCAAGAAUUCUUAAAACGAACAAAAGUGCAAAAAAAAGUUCCUGGCAGAACAGCACAGCAACGCGAAAAAAGAAAAGAAAAAGAAGAUGAAAAAAUGAAGGAGAAAAGCAGCUCAUCGAAAAAAAUCGUCAAUUUUAGGCAUUUCUUUUACGAAAUGUUAUUGCUUUUUACAAACUUUUCUCUUUUUGUUGCAAACAAGAAUUUUGAUCAAGUGGGUUCUGCGUAGACAAAAACGAUGUGCUCCUGCAUGCAAACGUGCGUCGUCACUAAUUAAGAAAAAAGAGAGAGGAAAAUCUAUAAGUUAAGCACCAAUCAAGUGGUCUGCCCAUUCGUGCCUUGAUCUUCAGACUACAUGUAGCCCGCAUGCACGCUUAUGCAUUGAGAUCAUAUGAGGUUCCUGAUGGAUCAAAUCGCUGCAUUUUUUAUCUAUUGGUAAGUGUGAUACAUGUCUAUAGCUCUAGAUUUUCGAUGGAACAAAUAAAGCCUAGAUAAAUUCCAGAAUAGUGAUCUAUAUUGAAUUGCCAACUAAAAUCAUUCACGGAAAAAGCGAAUGAUUUGAAAUAAAAUUUUUCAAAAAUAAUUGUUUAUAUGGUUACAAAAAUGAACGAACACGAAAAAUCCUUGUCGAGCACGAAAACAUUUGGAUAAUUGAGACAUAUUUCAUUGGUCGAUUAUUUCAAAUAAUACAAAUGAUCAUUUUAAAAAAGAUAUUUUUUAAAUCAUUUAUCUUUUCAUGGAACAAAAGGAGCCUCAGUUCACGUAAUCUACAAAUAAUGCCAUAUAUGGUAUAAUGUGUUCAAGUUUGUCUAAGAAACAAUAUUGUUUAAUUCAGGCCCACAUGUUCAAUGGUAAUCCCGUUGCAUACCCCAACAAAACAAAGUGCCCUAACGGGAGGACUCAUGGGACAUCGCAUCAAUGUGAAUGUGGUGGUGGAUUCAAUUGAAAUUGUAAUUUAGAAAAAAACAAUGUGAUUAUUCUCAUUUACUUUUGCAUUUUAAAAAAUAUACUAAUAAAUUAUUCAAAUCAACAUCUCACAAAAGCAAAUAUUCACGCAUGCUUAACAUGUUGAAACGAUAGGCCAAGCCCGAAAAUAUGGCCAAGCCAUUUGCCAUCACCACCCAACUUCAGACACUCGACUGGAUAGAAAUACUAUCACUAAGUCAUGUGCCAUAGUUCGCCCAAAAUCCAACCCCUUUCCAUGCACUUUUUUUUUUCCAAUUUGUGAUGAUUGCGUAUCAAACUUAUUCUCUAGUCAAGCGGCCAAUGUCAUUCAUGUCUAUUUUUAUCCUCAUGACACUUUUGGAUGGAUCACUAAGUCUUGUUACCAAAAAAUGUGCAGGCCAUGUUUGAUCUGGCCAUUUCUCAUAUCUGCAAUGUAGAGGAAUUAUGCCCACUGCAAAACUUCACGUGCUUGGCUCGGCAUCUGAAGAGCAUGGAGAUCAUUGGUUCACAGCUCAUUCCUUGGAUGGCGACGGAUGUAAGCUCACCAUGCCAAUGCUACUUUUACCAAGAGAUGCACUCCAGCUAGAGAAGAUGGUCAUUAACGUCAAAGCCAAUGGAAGACGCCAAUUGAAAUUUCUCAAGUCUUUGCCACGACUGGUUCCGCCCUAGUUGCAAUCUUACCAGUAAAGUCUCGUUGCAAACUGCCCAAUGGGAGGAAGUGGGUGGACAAGAAUAAUUUGGACAGUUUCCUAUGCUUGCACCAAAUUAUCUUUGGGUUAUUGGACCUUUUAUGGAGCAAGAAACUUAGUAUUCUUGCCACUGGCAUCCUUUCAAAAAAAAGAUUUAAAAAAAAAAAAAAAACAGCCCAGAAGCUCAACAUUGAACUAAAUGAGCUAUUGAACUAAAUGAGCUACAUCAAUUUUCAUAACAAAUUAUUUCCUAUCGAUCGUGUUCAAUUUUCCAUCUAAAAUAUCUCAUCUUAAAGUGAAAAUUACCUGUUCUAGGUAAAGGACAUAGGAUCUUGAAUUUGACUUUAAGUAGUCAACCGAGUCAAGACAUUGUGAUCAAAUCAUCAUUGACAAUUCAGAAACUUGUACAUAGAUCUGAAAAACCUGCCAAGUAGGAAACCAUAUUCCACACUAAUAGAUCUAAUGAUAGGCAGUGGGCCCAAGGGAGUCCAUUUGGGAGAGUCCCAACAAGGAAUUAUAACUAUUAAGGACUUGCUCCAUGAAACUAAAGAGAACCGAUAGGAACCUUAAUGAUACUGAUUAGAACAAUACUCCAGCACGCGUUUCUAGACCUAAUCAAAUGUCUGUUGAAUAGUUCAUCAUGUUUUCACGUUGAAACGGUAAUAAACCCAAACAUGCAGGAAAGUUCAGAGUACCUAAAAUUCUAAAUCUUCUAAUAGCUACACACCCACGGAGAGAACUAUCUACACACAAGCAUAGACACUCACAGAACACUUUCCCCAACUGACGGUCGUAUAGGCUCUCUUAAUCUGCCAAGAAAAGAGCAGAACGUCUGUACAGCAGGCUAACCCAGACAGACACCAAAUUCUCCUUUAAGUGCUUCAACUGCAGUAUAGGUAGAAGGAGCACUCAGGGCAAACAACAAAAGCUUCGGAUAAUUGUGCUGUAUUGAAGUCAGAGGUGUCAUCUCUGAAGUGACCAGUAGAAGUGAAAUCUAGAACUUUUACAAGAUAACUUUACCUAGUAUAGUUGUUUAAUUGACCAGUCCAUUAAUUUAAGGCAAUACUGAUUUCUGCCAUCAGAUCCAUUUAUUAAGAAAGACUGCUCUAUGGAAGCGAGAAAGGAAAGUAGUCAUUGAUUGAAUCUGAUAGACAAUACUGCUAAAUAUAUGAUCUGAAACAGACAGGAAGCUUACAACAUUUCCAAUUGGAAAGACACCAAACAUACUAAAGCACAAAACUCCAUCUUCAUCUCCACUGCAAAGGAUAUUGAAACAUUGCUUUGAAGAAUUUGAGAGCACUACGAAUGAAUCUUGACCAUUGUCAGUUAAACCAGUUUCUCCAUGUACUAGUCCAGGCAUGCAAGGAGCUCUUGGAGCUGGAGGGAAAAAAAGAGUAGUGCAAUCUUCAAAAGCCAAAGCGUUGCCAGAAGUGUCCUAUUAAAAAAUGGAUAAUUAUCUUUCCAAUUGGCCAAAAAAAAAAAAGAAAAAGAAGAAGAAGAAGAAGGUAAAUAUGACAAGAGAUUAAGGUUAAGGAGUCAACAAUCAACAAACCAACAACUCACAGUUGACACCAAACAUAAGUUUUCAAAAAACCUUCCACAAACCCACAUUGAAGGUGUUGAAUAAAAUCCUAAGUUUGGGAAAAGAAAUAUUUUAGUAGACCAGACUAAAAUAACUACUUAACUGCAAACAAAGCAUUAGAUAGAACAUGAAAGAUAUGAAAAAUAAAAUAUUGUCUGUUAAGAAUCAAGAUCGAGAAGUUAGAUGAACUUUUUUCAGUUGAAAGAUGCAUACUCUAUUCACUUGGGCAUCCUCCUCCCAAUUGAGACACACCCCAGCUGCCACAUGGGACUUAAGCUUCUUAACAGUUUUCCAUUCUGCUUAUUUAUACCAGUUAGAAAAAAAAAUACCACAGUACGUAUAACUGCUGCAAGCACUAGCAUAUAACAAGCAGCAUGAUGCAUAUCCAUGGUUCCAUAAAGACAGCUAGAUUGGUAAGAUAACAUUCAUAUGUAAAAAUAAGAUCUUCAAAGCAAAACAUAAUCCAUGAAGUGGAUAAUGAUUAGUAAAUUGGUAGACAUCGCAAAGAAACUUCAUGGCAGCAGCAUCAGCCAAGUUCUGAGCAAUUGUACCCAUGACCAAACAGCUAGCUUAACGAGUAACUGGUAAUCUAUGAACUAUUCCACCCACAAUCAUAAUGAAGGCACAUACAAAUUCUAUCAUUCAGGAGUCACCCGAACUAUUACCUGGACCUAUGACACUUUAAAUGGACAUAUGUCACUUUAAAUAAUAGAAAGAAACUAAUAAUUUGAUGAAAAUGAGCGUCCCAUGGAUAACUCAGUCAUCUUUGGAUAGGAAUGAACGAUUCAAUCUAAUUAUAUAUAUAUAAUUAGUUAAAUGGGUAUAUAUAAGAUACAAGAUAUCAUGAUAUCAUCUAAACCAAGGACUUUGUAAGUUUACGGCUAUUCUUCUUAUAAAUUAUAUGACAUUGAUGAAGAUAUGCAUAUUGCAUGUAUUGUACAAGUUAUAAAUGUUGCGCCGGUCAAUUUUUUAUUGGAAUGAACCAUUCACUUUAAUUAGUUAAAUGGGCUAUUCAUCUCUUGUUGUCUGUAGACCUAUUUAACAAAGGGGGCAUGUUCGAAAGGAGUGUUCUAAUAAGAUCUGUUAAGGCUUUCGUGCUCAGAUUGACCUAACUAGCAGUCCACUGUUCAUUUGACAUUGGCAGACAGGACCCAUAAACAUGGAUUGCCAUCUCUAUUAGCAGCUAAAUGUUUGUUGAGCAAGCUUGAUGUUUGCAAUGCAUCAUGCGGCUUUUGAGCAAUUCAGAAUCUUUCCCAAGAGAUUAGAGAAGAGCACAUUCUGAAGAUAAGGGAUGCUUGCAGUGAAACUUUACCAUCUUCUAGUCUCAAGACAACUACUUUGCCAUCAGGAUGCCAGCAUAAUGAUGUUAUACAUUUACCUAGAGUACAUUAGAAUAGUUAGAUAAUCCAGUAUAACGACAUACAACGGAAUGUGCAAAGAAAAGUGAUCUCAUAAACAACAACAACAACAAAAACAGAGAGAGAGAGAGAGACAGAGGGGGGGAGAGAGAGGAUGAAUAAUUUGUUCACCAUAAAAUUAAUAGACUAAGAGGAAAGAUAUAGACCACACAUAAACUGAGAAAAUGAUAAUCAAUAUUUGGGAAGUAAGGCAAACAUCAUAACAGUACACAUUAUAUCUGACAGGGAUAUUGGUAGCUUGACAUGGGAUUUCUUUGGGCUAGUAGAUCAUCUAAAGCUAGGGAAUCUAUAUUUUUUUGGCAACCUUCAAUCCAUUAUCUCAAUCCAGGAUCGAAUCUUAUUGUCAGCUNNNNNNNNNNNNNNNNNNNNNNNNNNNNNNNNNNNNNNNNNNNNNNNNNNNNNNNNNNNNNNNNNNNNNNNNNNNNNNNNNNNNNNNNNNNNNNNNNNNNNNNNNNNNNNNNNNNNNNNNNNNNNNNNNNNNNNNNNNNNNNNNNNNNNNNNNNNNNNNNNNNNNNNNNNNNNNNNNNNNNNNNNNNNNNNNNNNNNNNNNNNNNNNNNNNNNNNNNNNNNNNNNNNNNNNNNNNNNNNNNNNNNNNNNNNNNNNNNNNNNNNNNNNNNNNNNNNNNNNNNNNNNNNNNNNNNNNNNNGAACUUAACAUACUUGGAUGCAGCUCCGCCUACCCUCCUAGUCUUUUUGCUUUCUCCAACUCGUCCCUUCAUGUAUACAUGUAUGCAGCAUAGCUUGACAUAUAUCCUAUUCACAAGUAAGUUAAAUUCCCAACAACAAACUUGAUUAAUCAAAAUGAUGUGACGAAAUGCCCCUUUGUAAUCAGAAGAAGAUAAAUUAACUUCAAGUAAUACAAAUUGUGCGAAACUUUCCAGACUAGACUCUACAUUUUAACAAUACAGAAUGUGAGAAAUCCUUGUAGGGGAAUGCUCAAUCUGUACAAGAAGAGGAGAAGAGGAGCCAGAAGUAAUAUUACGCUCAAUCAGUACAAGAAGAGGAAGAGCGGAGCCAAAGUAAUAUUACAUCAUGAGAGUCACUAACAGAAAUUGAAGAAAACUAUAUAGAUGCCCAAUGGCAUUGAGAUCAUAUUUUGCAGGGGUUAAAACCUGCCAACUCCAAGUGGGCAUCAAGCAUUUCUACAUUGGACAUAACUAGUCUAUCUAGCAUAAACGACAUCCCCUCCAAUUCAAGUUCUUUAUCUUCAUGAACACUUUGACUGGUGUACCGAAAAGGGCAAAAAGAUGGCAAUACGGGAGUAGGGUACACUUCCAGUUGGUCUAGAUGAUUGUCAGUUAUGUUAUGGAAAUCUCUGAAGGCACCAAUCUUGUCUAGAAGUUGAUAGAAAUCUAUCACGCCUGUAAAUUAAAAUCCCUUCAUUCAACUAGUAUCGGCUUGAGAUUCUUUAAUUCCAACUAUGUCAUCUCCAAAUUUUCCCUCCCAUUACCAUCAUUCACUCUUCAUUUUUGUGUAAAACACCAACUCCUUAGUUUGUUCUCAUUUAGAAUUCCAAGCAUUUAACCUCUAUAUUCACCAACUCUUCAUCAAAUGCAAUUUGAACUGGAUUGGCAAUUGAAGUGAUUUAUUUGGGGAAAAGGACCGUAGCACAUUUAACGAAAAGCAAAUGGGGAAUAAGGCCAACGUGCAUGCAGAGUCAGAGACUUGCAAUUGGGCAAAGAAAAUGGCACACCUUGUACCUCUGACACAAGUGAUAAAACCUAAGCACAUUCAACAAUUGAAAGGCAAAAGAAUAAGACAGUUUACUCUUCCUUCCAAAUACAGUUUAAAAACCCAGCAAUUAUAUGCUUUGAGAACACUUUUGGUUCCCACCUAUGAGACAAAUUGAGUGACUAAAGCUUUUGAGUGUUGAAAUAGUAGAACUUAUAUACUAUUUCUAGUCAACAAUUGCUUUUUCGGUCUUUUAAAAAACAGGACACAACUACUUUUCAUUAAUAAUUUACUAUGAUCAUUGGAAUGAUGGUUAUGCACUACUGAGCAGGAAAAAGAAUGACCCUUAACCAGCUGCCUUUUCUUUGGUUUUUCAGUAGUUAUUCUGAAGGUACGAUGUGUAUUUGCACCAGUCGUGAUCAGGCAGAGUGGUGAAACGAUGUAAACCAGAUUCCUUGUGCUGAAGUUUGGAAUGAACUUCCUUAACUCGAGGAAGAGGGAACAAUGAAGUAUCCAUAAGUAUGAACCAAACGAGUUAAAUUUGAAAUAAAAAACAAUCUGCUCACCUGAAGGCACCAACUACCAAUCAAAAGCUUAGUCGCAUUCUGCAGCUUCUGAAGCAAUCCCUCAACCAGGUUGCAAUACCAUCUGUAAGGCUCGAACUGAUUUUGAACAAAACAAUUGGUUGGCCUUCCAAAAUCCUCGCCUCUCAUAAAAAAGUUCGACUCUGCUUCAAUCAAGGAUUGAGACUUCCGUUACCAGCAGCCUCAUCAUACCAGAAAAUCCUCUCAAACAGCAACGGAGGACUUGAAAUCUCCAAGGGGAAAGCCUCAUCAAGUGCAUACCGAAAGCAGCCAUUGCCCGCAAUUUCCCUCAAAGUUCUCGAACAAACCUCGAUGGUUCGCUUUAAACCGUAGCAUCCUUCCAAACUAAGGUCCUCGAGAACAGGGCUGUCAUUCGACAUCUCAGGCAUCACCUCCGAGUCACAGAUGGACAGGGACCUAAGAUUAAUCCAAGCGAUACUUCUACUCAACGAGAAGCAACAGAGUCCUGAGUGCAGGUUCACCAAACGAAGAGCAUCCAUAAAAGGAGCCGUGGUACUGCGAAAUGGCCGGCCAUCUCGCACGUCCUCUUAGUCGCAUCGACUGGAGAGGUCCUCGACACGGCGGUCGACAGCAAAGCGAAGCCACGGACUGAGCUCAAGCGCGCAACGGUCGAGAAAAUCGGGGUCGAUGUGGAACUUCCUCACCUUGGGCGACGCCUAGAGGAUCAAGACGCCGUCCACGGACGGGGAGGCGUUCCGUCAGGGGAAGGAGAAGACGAGGUCCGGGGGCGACGGUCCAGACGGAUCGCCACCGCUUCGACAAAAACGCACGUGCGGACAAUUUGGGGGAUCGACGAUCGAACGGAGGAACUCGGACUUUUCUGGCUUCCGGUAUAGAGACACGUGUCGCUCGAUGGAGAGGCAACCACUUUCCCGCGCCUUUUAAUACAUCUAUGAGCCCAUGAUGAUGGGCCUCGCAUGUCUUGAAUUGCCGAGUACCGAACCUUAAUUUUUUAAAUCCAAGCUUGUCCGACAUCUGCAAAAAUCAUCAUUCAUAUAAUAAUCGAGUGUGAACAAAAUUGAGUAGGCGUACUGCGUACAUAAGCGAGCUUGAGCCCGUGAAAGAAUAUGUUUGCUUGAUUCCGCUUGAUUUGUGAUAUCACGCCCGAGGGCUCAAUUUACAUAGUGAUAACCAUAAAUAGCAUUGGUGAAUAUCAAAACUAGUUGACAACGAAAUUUUGAUCAAUAACUUAUUCGGUCAAUAACAUUUUGGUAAGUUACCAAAAUUUUUAAAAAAAUACCAACAGUUAUUAUAAUUUUAUUAUAUAUAUUACUAUUGACAUCCAAAUAAUCCUAAUGGUUAAAGUUAGAAAAAAUCAAGAUUCAAGAUCCCAAUCGUGGCGACACUCAUUUCUUAACUUAAAAAAAAAUUAGAUUUGUAUCAGUAGUACUUUAAUUGCAUAUAGGUGUUAAUUCAACAUAAGCAUGUAGGAAUAGGCAUUUAGAUUUCAAGUUUUCAUAGAAAUGGCUUAAAAUCCUUUUUUUUUGGGUCAAAUCAAAGAAUCUACCUUUGACUGAAAAGAAAAACUAUUUCAAUAGUCUUUAAUUCUUUUUAGACAUUUGAUUUAGAAAUAGUGAAAUUUAAGUACCUACAAUCAAAUCAAAGAAAUAUCAAUUUCAAGAAUCGAUUAACCAGUUAGAACACCAUAUUUGUUAUCAUGGAAUUUAAGCUCACACCUUUCAAGAUCGUGUCACAUGGCACAAUUACACAAAAAUCUAUUGGAGAAUAAAAUCUGUUCUUUUCUCAUCUUGGAAGGGGUCCUUUUUUUUCUUCUUUUGGCUUCUUUUUAUGUUCAAGAGGGAGGCGCCACAAGUUAAAGAAAAGGGAGAAAAGAGAGAAAAAUAAGGAGGAUUGACUCUCCAUGAGCGCUGCGUAUACAUCUUCACCGUCGCCCCAUCACAUCCGACCUCAUCCUCGUCACCGCAAGCUGCAUCCAUUGUUCUUGGACUUCAUUCUCUUGAGGAGUUGGAGCAAUAGUGGCCGCUGCCCAUUCCGACGACUGAAACCCACGCCAUCACUUCGAUGAACCUCUCCAUCACUUCUCUCGACUCCAUUAGUUGCCAAGCCAGUUGCCCUCGCUAUUCUUGAGCCGCCCUUUCCCGCUUCACUAUUGCUCCCUGCCUUCCCAUCGUGAAAACUGAAGAGCCCAGAUCUUGUCCGAAGACUCCCUCAUUGGUCGUUGUUCUGUUCGUAAAUAGUUGUAAAGGUUCUAAUCGCCGGUUGCGAGUGCCCAUCGUAGCCUACUUACACCACUGAUAAACUAGGCUUUCCUGCUGCCUUCAACGAUGGUCAUCGAUGAGGAGCCACUCAAAACCUGAUGGUCCGAGGGUUAACUUUUGAGCUUGAAUAUUCCGGUUGAUUUAUCCGAUUCUAUCUCCACUUUUGUUCCUUACUUUUUGUGGAUGCAUUGGCCAACGCAAUGGUUAGCCGAUGGUAGGAGACGGUGGUUCGGCAAAGAGCAUGAGUAACAGUGGUAUAGGAGUACUUUUGAGCGUGAGAUUUUGAAUGUUUCCUCCUGGUUCGGGGAAGCUUUAGAUAGCAUGAAGAUGCACCGUGAAAAGUCAUUGAAGGUGGGAGUUCUGGGAAUAGGGAGCCAAGCCUCGAAGAUGAGAUGAGGGGGUGAAAAUGCGAGAAAAGGCUAAAAUGAUGAUGACGUGUCCGGUGGAGUGAGGCCCCACACGGGGACGGGGUGGCGUUGCGGAGGGCCGGUCUUUUCCUCCGUUCCCGUCAUCCAACCCUCUCAUUUGCUAAAUUAGUAAUUGCUAAUUGCAAUGGGGAUUUAAAAAUUAGUUCCCUGGAAUGUUCUAAAUUCUCGAGGAGAGGAUGGUAUCCCUACUACUGGAUUGCCAAUGCUGUUUCAUGGUAACGAUUUCCAGAAUGCCAUGUGGAGCGAUACGAUCCAUUCUUUGAGCCAAACGGACUAUACGGGGGGCGGGAGUGUCCUCGACUCUGAACCUCCCUAUGCCUCGACAUCAAGCUUCCGGUCUUGGAGUCCACUUCCUCAUCCUAAAGGCAAUCCCAUGAUGGGAGAUUCCCCAGCAAUUUAUUUAGAUGACAUUUUGGAAUGUGAUGACUUGUCAGAUCCCACGAUAUGAUGAUGAUGGUUCUGUUAGAGGUACCAGGAACGAUGGUGUUAAGUCCGAAAUUUAGCCCAAUUCUCUUUCUUCCUCAUAUCUGCAACUUUUCUCCGCGAAUUCUCAGACUCUGCUGGACCUCACAAACCUCCCUCCAUUGAAGCUCCAUCCUUCACAAGCUCACCAUGGGUUUGCAUUUCCCAUUGAUGCUUCUGUACCCUCCACGCGUUUUGUCACAGCAGAGCUGGUGGCUGCAUUUUCGGCUGCUAGUGGCGUGUGCUUCUGUUUCAGCUUCAGUUCGACAAACUGCUUUGGCUUCUCAGGUUCCGCUUCCGUUCGGCGUUCUUUCGUGAUCUAAUGGGUGGGUCAACUCGAUUGUUCCGACUCGGUUUUGUGAGGUUUUGGCUCGAUUUCUUCCAAUUGGCAGGUGAAGAAGAUGGAGUGGAAUCCAGAGAAGGAUUUGCUAGCGAUAGUCACGGAGGACUCGAAUGUGGUCGCUUCUUCGCUUCAUUUGGCGGAGGCUGUAAACAAUCUCUCCUGAGUAUAGCUAAGACUAGAGAACUUCUUUUAUUUAUUUAUUUAUUUAUCUAUUCAUUCAUUCAUUCAUUCAGUGUGUUGGUUUCUUCAACAAUGGGCAUUUGUGCUUCAGUAUAUUUGGUGUCUUUUCAAUCGGACAUAUCAUAAGCGUCCUGUGUGUUGAAAUCAAAUAUUUAGCAGUAUGGUAUAUUGGAUACAGCGAACGAUUCAUUCUUUCCUUGUUCUGGCUUCUCAUUCAACACUUUUUCUUAAUAAAUCAGGAUUGCCUAGAAAGUAAUGGACUGAUUAAGUAAAUAAUUAUACCAGGAAUGCUUGUGAAAGUUUCAGAUGUUUAUGCCAUUUCCCAGGCUAGAUUUCACAUCCGUUGGUCACUUCAGAGAUGACACCCUUCCAACUUGGAUAUAGAACAAUUAUCUUCUUUUUGUUUGGCCUGAGGUUAGCCUGCCUUACCUACUUGCUCCACUCUAGGCUAUGGGGUUUUUGCUCUAUUCUAUGGAGAUUUCCAAUCAAUUCUCUAGGCUUGAUUUGAUUCGUCCUUAAUGUUGUACUAGGUAAGAUGAUUAUCCGUUUACUGAUAGAAUUCUUGGUAUUCUUUUCUUAGAUGAGGGCAUAUAAGUUACUCAUCUGUGUUCAGUUAUUCAUUCGUGUAUAGAACAUAUUUGUUUAAAGGCCUUCUUAAACGAAUAAACUUUUUCAUCAGCUCUUUGAAAUUUAGUUACUUUCUCUCCUUUCUUAAAUCAAGCUAUACUACAUGAACAACACAUUAGGAGCUAAAUAAAAACAGCGAAUCGUUUGCAUUUAUGGUAGUGAGAACUUCGGUUCCUUUCAUUUGAUGACCCUCUUUGAUCAAAGAUGUUAUGUACGCAUUUGGAAUUUGAUAUUAUUGCCAAGAGAUAAUGAUAUUAGGCUAGUAUUGAUCGAUAUAUGUGGAUGUGGAUGCUCAUGGGCAGUUGAUCUUCUAGUUUGGACCAUUUGUGGGGCACUAGCAGCUACCAUCAGCACAUCGUGAGAGUAACUUCCAUCGAGGCCCUCAAAGCAACUGCCAUCAAGGCCCUCAGCGGCAACCCCGACAACUAAAAUUUUCCCUUUUUUCUUUUUUGCAUUUUUAUGCCCAUUUUCUAUUUUUGUGAACGAGAGACAACUAUGACGAUAGAUGGUGAUGGUGGUCAUGACGGAAGCCCUCUUGAUUUAUAGAUAUAUUGAUCCCAUUUAUCAUUAUUAUAGCUGUCGUUACUGUUCAAUGAUUAGUGGUGGAAGUAUUUCUUUUUCUUUUGUAUUCUACCCUCCAGUGAUCACGUGCGCUCCUGUCGAAACCAACCUGACAACCCCAAUCAAGUCGAGUGUAGAGACUGUGGGAGACAUAAACCCUUCAUCCAAGACUCCUAACGAUGAACAGAUAUUCAGUAUAAAACUAGAAUUGGACCAAGAACAUGCGUGAUCAGCAUGAGGAUGAACAUUCCGUGCGUCUCUAAGGAAACACACCUGGUACAAACAGGAUGAGCAAAAAGAUGCUCGAACUAUGUGAUAAUACUGAUGAGAUUCUGAGUCGGCGUCCUUCUAUCGUCGGAUGAAACAUUAUAGUGUCUUGACUGAGGGUUGAAUCGCGACUAAUCCUGGCAAAAAGCCAGGGUGACAAGAGGGGGUGGGGGAAAGAGGUGAGGCGACAAGUGCUGCGUUGAUCUGCUUUGGGACUCAAAAUUGCAUCUAGCCAAUAGGAUGUCCAAGUAGACAGAGAAAAUAUGAGAAACUAUUGGGUAGGGCUAUCGUUUGGACAAAAUGUGAAAAGAAAUAUGAAAAGAUUUAGGACUUAAUUUACACAAUUGAAAUAUUCGGGAUUAAAUUAGCAUAAAUGCAAUAGGUCUAGAAUUAUUAUUAUUAUUAUUAUUAUUUUUUGAUAAAUUUCCUGUCAAUGCCGUGGUUCAUACAAUUUGACAUUCUGACCACUAAAUGUAAAACAGGUCAAUCAAAUGAUGAAAUUUGACUUAAAGAUUAAUAAUAUCACACUAAUUCAACUCUUUUUCCCUCCUUACUCAGAUCUUACUAUUGCUUAAAAAAAAAAUAUUCAACGAUGGUUAUAGCGUAUAAUAUAUGGUCAUAAAAUCCCAUAGAGUUGCCUCCAGAAAAUUUUGCAAGCUAGGCAUUCAGAAUACUAUCAGGACAAUUCAGGAUUACUACACAUAAAUUUACGAUGUCGUGAUGCUUCAGUUGUAAUCAAAUUAUAUUAUAUUAUCUAACAGUACGGUGAGUGAAGGUGCCACAAAUUUGGCUUAUGGGGAGCGAGAUUUCGAGUACAUUUGACUUUCACAUUUAAUUCCAAGUUUUGGUAACGAUGUAUUUAGUAAUAACAACUUAAUUGAUUAAUCAAUAAUAAUAAAAAAAUAGAAAGACCGUGUAUAUAUGAAAAAUAAAAAAGUAUUAACUUAGAAUUUAAUAAAAGGAAGCAUCGAUUGCUAAAAUAAAUGUAGAAGAAUGACUUCAGGAUUAGGCAUGGGACGACUCAAAUAAGUGCUUAACGGCUGGAUUAUCGCACUUCCAAAUAAUAUUGAAAAUUCUAGGUAUGUAGGUUUAUUGCUCUAGAUCCCUCCGUGACUUUAUCUUCUUUUAUCAAGCUCAUGAAAUAUAUAUAUGUAUAUAUAUAUAUAUGUAAAUUCUUCAUGAUUUUCGGAAAUAUUGGAUAUUUCUGUUACUUUUUGGUUACUAAACAAUGAAUAUAUAGACAUCCAAAAUUUAUCUAGUUGAUCCGAUAAUAUUGGUCGUAUGAAAUUAUAAGCAGCGGCCUUUUAAAGGAUAGUGAGAUUAUUGAAGAAAAUACACUAGUAUGAUCGAAGUUUGGAAAAAAGAAUCUAAUUUCUAUAUGUUUUAUGGAAAAUGGAUGUAUUUUCUGCAAAAAUUGAGCAUUUUUUUUUGGAUGUUUCAAGGCUUUAUGUAAUUGUUGGACCAUCGGGGGUACUUUUUGGGCCAUGGACCCAAAAUGGAGUAUCGAAGGGCAAUUUCGUAAAUUUAAUACUAAACGGGCUUCUUGGCCCAAGUGAGUUUAGCCGCUAUUUGUGAGGGUGCAAAUUCCUGAAAAGGGGAUGAAACUUGCAUCGCAUUGUUACUGAAAGGUAAAAUUAUUUUGAGGCAUGUUAUAUUUAUAAUAUUGGAUCCGGUAUUGGCCAGACAUUUCAAGGUGGUGUUAUUUUGGAUAUACAUCGAGAAUGAUCAUAUGAGUGAAUCAUUUCAAAUCAUGUUGGAUAUUAUUUAUUGAUAUUUAAUUAUGCACAUGAUCGACUUAUCUAUUGAAAGAUGAUAUAUAGUUGCUUAUCAGCUCUAUUUUGGGGCUUAACUAUGAUAGAUAUGAUUUCUAGGGUUUAACUAGAUGGCGUCACCUACUGAAGUGUGGCCGUAGUGUUCCAUGCAAUUUAAAUGUGAUACUUUUGCUAACUUGGUGUGCCACAUAUUUGAUACAAAAUUUGCUUCAUUCACUACUCAAUUCCAUAGAAGUGACGAUUGUCACUUCCCUGGUCAAGGCUUUACCCGCCCCUUUCAAUAUUAUUUCGAGUCAAGAAUAAGGAAACUUAAUUGAACCACAUAAAGAGCAAUCUAGAAUAGCGUGGGACCCUAAUUUAGAUUACUUUUUUUUUAUGGGUAGAAAUAAUUUAGAUUACUUGAGUAAGGGCUAUUAUAUGUGUCAUAAAACUCUCAUUUUCAUUAAUUCACGGCACUCCGAACUUUGUUAUUGUUGACACCUAAAUUUUGGCGAUUUAGUUUAUUUAUUUAUUGCAUAGGGAAUUAGGGGUUAAUUUUAUUUAUUGCAUAGCAUAUAGAUUUAAAUUGCAUUUAUUUUGUUAUUUGCAUCUUUUGCAUUUUAUUGGACCGGUGGCGGAUGAGUUCGAAUUAGAUGGAUCAGGCCCAUGAAGCGAGCAGGUUGGCCAAAGCCCAUGUUUUUUAAUAAUUAAAAAUUAUCUCGUGGGAAUAUAAUAUUUUAAAAAUUUUCCGAGAUAUGAAUCUUUUUUUGGGAUAGGGCAUAUGUGACAGGAAGAUAUUGCGAUUUAUCUUUACAAGAUUUGGAUUUAGAGAAAAAUUCUAUCACAAUCUUGAAUAAAAUUGGUGAAGGAAUAUUGCGUUCGAAAAAAUCUUCGUGGAUAUCGAUUAAAACCCUAAUCCAUGGCCUAUAAAUAGAUUAAAACGCAUAGGGUUUUGAGAGGUCACACACAUUGGAUACACGGGGCUUUUCUCGAGUUUUAGGUCAAAAUCAAAAGAAAAGUUUUCCCAGGGGUUCUUCUCUGUUUUUUUUUUUAGGUCAGAAAUUUGAACAUAAGAAGAGGAGAUUUUUCCUUUUGGUUUGGGGUUCAUUCGUCGGGGGUCUUCGGAGGAGCAGCCAAAAAAAGUCAAAAGGGGAUUGUUUGAAAUUCUGAAGAGGUGCAGAGAGGGGACGUGAGUGGGAAACACGUGAGAGAUAAAAACUGGAGAAUCCUUCUUCUGCAGGUUAGACGUCUAUACAUUGAAGAAGCCUUGAAAGAGAAUCAGCGAGAAUCAAUGACACGCACUAGAGAGAGAACGAAAUAUUCUCUCUCCACGACGCUGCCCGUAAAACCUUGACUCCAUCUUCGUUGCAUCGUCUUCAUGUGACCGCCGCAACAGCGCGUCCAAGACCCCCACGAAUCCCGCAAGUCGGAUGCCACCCUUGCCGACAUAGUUCCAUUGCCUCACUUGAGUCCUUCGUGACGCCAUUGCUGCUUUGAACCGUGCCACGCCCAACGACGAAUUGCUGUCCAUUCAAGCCGCAACACCACCAAAAUCCAGUCCCGACAUCCAACACCGAGCUGUGAGCCUCACCGAGCAUUACCAUAUCACGUUGCGAGUAGCCGUAGUCGUUCAAGGAUCGGAAUUUGGGAGCCAAUAUUCGGAAUAGGUAAAAAUUUUGUCUAUUUUGAUUUCCGAAAAUUCCAUUUCCUUAUUUGAUAUAUUUGUUGAUGCACAUGAUUGAAACCCGAUAUUUGCAACUCGAGGAGCUCUCGAAUUAGGGAUUGACAGUCUGAUUUUCGCGCCCGAAAUCCGACUCGCAAUCCCUUACAAAAUCGACAAUCCAAUCUCAAGCCCGAGAUUCGAUUCGCGAUUUAAUUUAAAAUUGGCCAACCCGAUCUCAUGCGGGAGAUAUGGUUCGCUAAUUUUUGGAUAUCAAUCUUAUCUUGUUUGAUUUGCCAUCGUCAAGUUAGUUGAGUCAAUCUUAUUUUCGUAAAAGAAAAAUCCAAAAAAUACUUGAGUUAGGAAUAGAUUUGCUUUAGAAUAUUCCUAGUCUUAGGUUUAAAAUUGCAAUCUUAUUAUGAAUUUUUAAAUAAAAAAAUCCAAAAAAGAAAGUGCAAUCAUUUAGGUUGUUAGUUUUUUAUUUGAAUUGCAUGUUUAAUUAUGUGUUAGUUUUAAUUUCGAAUUUCUUAUAGAAAAACACACAAAAAAUCAUUGUGCAUAUUAGAUUAGAAUUGCAUGUUUCAUUUUAAAUUUAGAUCAUCUUUUUCAGAUAAAUUGCACUUUAGAUUUAGAUAAUGUCUUAGUUUAAAUUAGGAUUUAAUAUGACUUAAUCCCUAGUUUAAAUUAGAUAGAAUCUUAAUCUAGCUAGAUCAUUUCAAAUUUCAUAAAAUUUGUCUUAGGAUAAAUUAGUUGCAAUUUUUAGGAUAGAUUGCAUUUUUAAAAUAAAAAAUGUCAUUUGCAUGUCAUAUAGAUUUAGGUUCAUGAAAUGCACGUCAUUUAGUGAUUAUUGUUAGGUUCAUUUCUAAUUAGAAAUUGUCCGUCAUUAGAUUAGGUCAUUUGAUAAAUGUCGCGUGACAUAUAGCUCGCAUAUUAAAUUGCAAUGUUGCAUGUCAUUUUAGUUAAAAUAAUUUUGUACGUCAUUGCAUUGCAUUACACGUCAUUAGAAUUAAGUCAUUUUGGUUAAUUUAGGUUGCAAUUGCAUGUUCAUUAAGAGAUCAUAAAAUUUUUAUUCAUAUGUUUAGGACAUGUUGCCUUGCCAUAUCAUUUCAUAUUAGAUUAAAAGCAUUACAUUGCAUAUGGAUUAUAGUCUCGUUUAAUAAGUGAAAACAAAAAGAAAAGAAAUUGCGUGUUAAUUAGAAACCAUAUCUAGGAUUGUUGAUGUGGAUUUUAAUUUAACACUGCAGAUGCUUUCGUUUCUUUAAGGUAAGUUCUGCAUCAUUUAAUUGCUUUCUUGGGUGUUAAAUUGGUGGUUUACGUACCUGCAUGAACACCUCACAUAUUAGAGAAAUAUAUUUAAAGUCAAUCUAAAUUGCUUGCCAAACAUUUUUCAAAAUAAAAAGAAAGGUACCGAAAGGGCGUUAGAGAAAUCUAAUGUAACCAAGUCCCCGUACCCCUAGUCUCUGGUAGGAGUAAAGUGAAUCUCCCAUUACUUUACUUGGGUUUCUAAUCGACCCACCAAAAAUAGAUUAGUAGCGACUCCUAAUUAAAAAAUUUGCAUGUUAACAAUUCAAACCUAAGUCGCGAAUUGGUAUGGGCUUGGGAGAGCCCGAGUUAAGUCUAGGCUUAACAAUCCAUUAGCCAAACCCUAGGUGGUUCACACCCGAAAAACUGGUCGCGACAGUUAUUAUAUUCAUUCGGUGAAAGGUUUAUCAUUUUCGUAUGAUAGCUAUUAUCGGUUGGAGGUUUUGUGCUUUAUUUUAUAGGGAAUAUUCGGUCAUUCCCUAGACUUUAAGGUUGGAUUCGGAGUGCGGCAGUAGGUGUCAUUCGCGCGCGCACAUUUUUCACGAGAUGGAAGAAUAGUCAACCUUGAAAAGCCGACCAAAGAGAAAAUAUUACUUAUAAAAUAUUAAAGCAAUAGCAUCCAUAGCAGCCUAACUUUGUCCAGUUUUAACUUUAGCCUCCCUCGACUUAAAAAUAAAAUAAAAAAGUCGAAUGGCCUCCCUUGUAUAACUGCUUGAAAUUGCCCUUGUUUGUUUACGUGGGUCGAGAGUGCAUUAAUAAAUUUAUAUUAUUGAAAAAGAAACUUUUAUAAUUUUCUCUUUUUGAAAAGGAGACAAAAUAAAUAAAAUAUUAGAGUACCAUUAUAGAAGGAAUUCCUCCGGGCAAAAUUGCUAGUAAUAGUCCUCGUAAGCACAUCUUCUAUUUGAUGAUGGGCUCAAUUUCAAUUUUGAAUACAUUUUGGGACUUUGUUGAAAUAUUUUCGCGUCACCUGCGACGUCACCGUGUUACGUAAACGCGUCAAGAGGAUGAAGCUUGAACUACAAGAUUGGCCACGUACACCGUAAAGCCAAGCAGCCUUUGGCGUCGACAAAAUCGCCACUUCCCUUGGUUAGGUUUGCAAAUCAUUAAUUUAUAACUCCACCUCCUUAUACUAAUCCACACGCGUUCUUUGUCUUAUUAUUAUUAGAGUUAAUAUUAGGAAAACCCCAAACUAAUAGAUAUGAUAAAUUAAUUUUAAAUUAAUUUUUUAUUGCAAAAAUUUUUAACUGCUAUAUCUAGAAUAAAUUUACCAAAAAUUAAUUUUUUCAUUAAAAAACUCAAAACUAGUAUAUUUAUAAUAAAUUUACCAUAUAUUAAUUUCUAUUAAAUUUGAUAAUACGACAAAAAAAAAUCAAACUGAUAUAUACAUGACAAAUGGAUAGUAAAACCUUAAAUUGGUAUACCCGUCAAUUAUCAUGUAUUAUCCACCUCAGUAAUUUGAUGGUAAAAUUUAACGGAAAGUAUGAAGGGUAAAUAUAUAAUGUAUGUAUUAGUUUGAAAUUUUUUGUGAUAUUAACUCUUAUUAUUAUUAUUUUCAUAUUUUUCAUUAUUAUAAUAAAAUUGGCCACAUACAAGAGAAAGCACGUGAUUGGAAGUGAUCGAUGGAAUUUUUUUUAAUCGAUAUUAGAUUAAGUGCAUUGCAACUUCUAAAACUUCCUUUACCAAAAAAAAAAAAAAUUCUAAAACUUAUUAUAAAAAUGCAAAUGAGUCAUAAGACUUUCAAAAAAUACAAUCAAAUCUUAAAGCCUGUUAAAUUAAUGCAAUCAAGUGCUAUUAACUCCGUCACGAAAAAUGCUGACGUGACAUUCAUUAUUAUUUCCUUCCUCAAAUCUUACUUACAUUAGAUUUUAAAUUAAAAGGGGUAAAAGAAAAGCACCUUCGUAGGGCCGGAGUUCGCUGAGGCUGGGUGAGUUUGUUUUAUAGGCUGGUGCAGCAAUUUAUUUCAUCCAGAAGGAAAGAAAUGGGGCACUUCAUGGAGGAGGAACAUCUUCACUUGACAGAAUUAUAAGCAAUGUUCAUUUCUCCAUUAGAGUGCAGAUGUCCUCCUUCAUUUAUGUUGAGGAAGAAGGCAUUGCUGCAAGAUGAUGAGGAGCUUUUGGAGGUUAUGCAUGAUCACUCCAGUGCAGAUUUUUCACAACGAUCGCGGCGACCACAACCCAUCGGCGAGGACCCUAUGGCCCUUUUCUUGAUUUUUUUUUUUUUUGAGCUCCGGCUCUUUUUUUAAAUAAAACCUUAGCAUUUAUUUAUUUUUUAAUCUAAUUUAAGUAAGAUAUGUUUAAAAAAUAAUUAUAAAAAUGUCACGUAGGAGAAAGAAAAUAAAGAAGAAAAUGACAUGUCGGCAUUUUUAAUUUUCAUAGAUAACUGAAUGUCCCGAUUGCAUCAAUUUGAUAAAUUUUAAAACUUGAUUAUGUUUUCUGGAAAUUUUAUGACUGAAUUAUAUAUUCGUAAUAAGUUUUAAAAUUUCUAGUACACCUAUCUUUAACAUAAUUUCAAGCAUGUCCGUCAUUGAUAAAAGAUUGGGCAAAAUAAAUUUACCUCAAACUCACGCUGAAGGCAAAAAUAGCUUGAUUAUUUAAUUGGCUAUAGCUGGAAAAAGAAGAUGAUAAGAAAAAAAAAAAGUCGACGUAAUUUCAUAUGGAUAUAAGGAAGCAAAUUGCUAAAAUCGGAGAAAAUUUAAAUAAAUAAAUAAAAUCUAAAUCGGCAACGUUUCGGGGAAAUGCAUGAUGGAGUCACAUUUCGCGGAAAAUGAUGUGCUGCAGACAUAUAAAAAAAAGAGACGCACUCGUUACAGGAGCUUGAGUUCGUUGAUGAACUGCUGAUUCUCUCUCUCUCUCUCUCUGCUCUCUGCUGCGCUUUUUCAGUAACCAGACGUUCUCCUACAUCUUGUUGAGCUCCAGAAAGGAGAAGGGAAAAGCCAUGUGGAAGCCAAAGAGAGCUUUGCCUCCCUCUUCUUCUUCUUCUUCUUCAGGUCAACCAAGUCAACCCAAGAGGCUAUGCGUCCCUCCGAUCGAGUAAGCUCGCCCUACCCUCCAAACGUUUCGAUGCUUGGUUCACUGUUUGAUGAUCUUGCGUUAGUUUUAGCUUUACUUGAGGGAGAUUCAAUGAAGGGUUCUUGAGUUGACGAUUCUUGAAAUGAGAGAUAUGGUGAAAGCCCGCCAUCGAUAAGCUUUUGCCUCAUGACCAUCCUAAAUCGCUUUCGUUCAGUUCUUUGUUGGUGGGUUUGUGCUGUUGCUCAGAUGCGAAGUACUAAAGACCUCGAAUGUCGUGGUCUCGCAUCUGUUUGGGCCACUCGCUGUACUUCCUCCUUAUUUGAGCUGAAUUCUGUUAGAAUCAUUUAUCUAGCAAGUGAGCUGUUAUCGUUACCAGGUUAAUUUGCUAUCCUGUCGUCUAAAAUAUCCUAUCUGGCUUGUACUUUUGUGCUGCUUGUAAUUUUGUGCUGAUGUUCAUGCAGUCGAGCAUGGAAUGGGUCCGAAAUGAAUCCCGUGCCGAGUUGCUGUUUGACUUGCUGUUUGACAAAGGAGGAUCUGCGGAGUAUGGUAAGAUGAGUAAACUAGCUAAGUUGGACAUGCGAAAUACAGUCCUUAUUAUAUUUCAAUUCCUUAUCUCUUUGAUUAGAAGUGGUUAGACGCGUGAGAAAUUGCCGUUGAGAUGUAUAGAGAAUUAUUGGUUGAGUGGUGAAAAUGACCCGCUGAAUGUUCUAGGAUUUUCCCGGGAAGCAAUUGCACUAAGAACAUGCUUUAGGCUUUUCAUGUUGUAUUGGGCAGUAUGGAUCACAAAAAAGAUACAAAUUUUCGAUGAAGUGCCCUAGACAUAACUGUCGCCUUGAAUCCUGGAAAAUGUGGUCAAUGACCUUUUGAAUGUAGGAGGAGGAAAAUGAAGAUACCUGUGAUGUGAAACUUGAAUGUGAUGAUUAUGUGACAGAUGGCUCUUGCUUAUGUAAUUAUUUGCUAUUGCGUUCUUUGCUGGACAGUUCAAAGAAGAGCUGGAGCGUGCUAAAUCUGACUGGGCCGAAUAUUUUCAAAGGUGAUUAUAUUUCAUUUGGUUUGUUGGCAGUAUCAUAUCUGCAUGAACUGAUUUCUGCACAAAAAUUUCCAUGUCUAUUGUCUCACCAUAGUAUUAAUGCCAUAAAUCCAAAUUUCUGUUCCCAAAGUGUAAUACCUGCGCAUACCUUUUUCUGUAAAUCACUGAAAGGACGGUGCUUUGGAGAUAGCAACUAAUCAACAUUUCUUGCUUCUGUUAUCAAAGCACUGGAUAAAUUUGUAUUCCAGCUUUAUGUUGACUUUUUAUGUCGAGUUAGAUUAAGGAAUGCAUUUGAUGAGGCUGGUAUUUAUGGUAUAUACAGUAAUUAGAUCUGACAUUCAUUUGUACAAGUAACUAAAUGUCAAGGGUUUUUGUCUUUUUGUUAUGAAUAAGUCCACAAGACAGCAGUUGUUCAUGGUAUCAAUUUUUAUGGUGUAGUUGCAUCUGGAAUGCUCUCAAAGAUUUAGUGCCACAGAUGCGCUCAGAGAAUGAUUCUCAGAGAUUGGUAAGAUAAACAAGUUUAUAAAAUUUCUACUUUUUCAGACAUAUCUUCAUCAACACUUCAGGUAUGAGUUGUUUAUCUGCAUGUCAUGAAGUGAUAGAAUGAACUUACUAAUUGCUUUAUUCUGACAGUUUUAACAGCAUUCAUCGAGCACAAACUUCGCACGAUCUCCUUUGUCUAUAAGUAAAUAUUCAUUUCGUUGCGCAACCUGUGGAAAGAAAAAUAUGGGAAGGCCUAAUUUCCAUACAAGUCUGUUACAGCAUAAUGUCCCACAUAGGCAGCCGAAAUUGAGGUGCCAAACCUUCUUGUCAAUGUGAACUCUUGGGGAAGAUCAACCUGUUAUCCAUAGAGUAACUUAUAUCCGUUGAGUGAGGGCCUUCCACUCCAUACUGUCCACUUACUAGGGCCGACUUGCAUCCCUGCUCAGUCUGACGGUGUAGAUNNNNNNNNNNNNNNNNNNNNNNNNNNNNNNNNNNNNNNNNNNNNNNNNNNNNNNNNNNNNNNNNNNNNNNNNNNNNNNNNNNNNNNNNNNNNNNNNNNNNNNNNNNNNNNNNNNNNNNNNNNNNNNNNNNNNNNNNNNNNNNNNNNNNNNNNNNNNNNNNNNNNNNNNNNNNNNNNNNNNNNNNNNNNNNNNNNNNNNNNNNNNNNNNNNNNNNNNNNNNNNNNNNNNNNNNNNNNNNNNNNNNNNNNNNNNNNNNNNNNNNNNNNNNNNNNNNNNNNNNNNNNNNNNNNNNNNNNNNNNNNNNNNNNNNNNNNNNNNNNNNNNNNNNNNNNNNNNNNNNNNNNGCUUUAUCACCUAAAGCUAAAUCAUAACCAUUCUAAAGCACAUGAAAAAAAUUUCAUGGACAUGGAAUGGAAGGGGAAAAUGAAAAUGCUUAGGAUUGAUCAUAUGAGUUUUAUAGACAACUGCUGUUUGGUAAAAGACAGUGAAUUCAAAUAUGCAUAAAGAACUAAGCUCAAUAAGGUGUUUGAUAAGUUGUUUUUAGGAAAGAGCCACAGCAUAGGUUUUCCAACUCCUUUUGAUGGAAUGGAUUGGUUUUGUAUCCCUCCUGCUUCAUUUUUUGGAUGUCUCCAACUUUGGCAAUUCUGCUGUUGGUGGUUUUGAACAGAUGGAAGCAGCGGAGCUUGUAAACAUUCAUUCUCCCCAACGUGCAAGGUAUGGAUGCACUUCCCUCGUGAUGCUGUUGAGAAAGGCUUUCUGUGUAGUGUUGACAGGUUAUGCAUUUUUGAUGUUUUGGGGAAUAAUGGUCCGACCUACCACUACCACCCCAAGCAGGCAGUCUGAGCUCUCAGUGAGUGUCAUGCCACAAUGACUCGGUUGUGCACCAAAGUGUCAAUGCUCAAUUUAGAACAUAAUCCUUGUAGCUUGCCAGUGGAACAUUUUAUUUUAUUUUACUUCAUUUUUUAAAAUUGUGCAUUAUUAAACAAAUAAAACGAAAACGACGGGUCUAUUUAUCCUUGUAGUUUCCUCGGCAGUAAGACCUGUCCAAGUGGGAUGUUGGGUAUUUUGUCUCUCUUUGUCGUUACUUUUCCAAUUUUCCCUUUUUAUACACAUUCCUAUUUCUGAUGGUUGGUUUCUGGAGAGAAUGCAGGGCUAAUGCUAAUUCUACGGGAGAGAAUGAUGUGAGAGACUUACGGCUUCAAAUUCAAACCAAACUGUCAGAUUCCCUAUUUACUGGACAGAAACUAGAAGGAGUGGGGGGUGCUCACAUUUCCGUUGCCUUGAUCAAUUCAAAUACAGGGGAUGUAGUUAGAUCAGGCCUGGAAUCCUCCAUUAAGUUGGACGUCGUCGCGCUCGAAGGUGACUUCAACAAAGACGAUGAGGAUAACUGGACCCAAGAAGAGUUUGAGAGCCACGUGGUUAAGCAACGUGAAGGAAAGAGGCCGCUUUUGGCUGGAGAUCUCGUAGUGAAGCUCAAGGAAGGUGUUGGGGAGAUGGGAGAACUGAUAUUUACUGACAAUUCCAGUUGGAAUAGGAGUAAAAGAUUCAGGAUAGGGCUUAAAGUGGCAACGGGUUGUUGUGGGAACACACGAAUCCGAGAAGCAAAAACAGACGCCUUCCAAGUCAAGGAACAUAGAGGGCAAUGUAGGUCCUUCAUAGUCUUUCUACAGUAUAUAAACCUUACCCUUUAUGACUAAACAUAAACAUGAUUUUGGACAUCCUGAGUCUUCAAUUUUUUAAUUUAGAGCUUCAUUUCGUGUGGACCUUUACAACUUGAAAGAAAAUUCUGAUAAACAAGAAGCAAUCGGUUUGAUUGUUAUUAGUAAAUGUCGACACUUUAAAUCAGUUUCAGGGAGAGAUUGCAAGACUGUUAGAAGUUUUCUUCUACAAAUUAAUCUAAUAGUGCCUGGGACCUUAUUGUAUAUGUGCUCUUCAUUUUACAGCAUACAUGAAACAUCAUCCACCCGCAUCUGACGAUGAGGUUUGGAGGUUGGAGAACGUUGCCAAAGGUGGGAUAUCUCACCAAAAUCUGAGUGAUGCUGGAAUAUAUAAAGUGGAAGACUUUCUACUGCAACUGUUCACGGACCCCAAGAAACUGAGAGAGGUAAGCACUUAGUCAAUGAUUCCCAAUUAGGGCUUGAUUGACUGCCAAGAAUGUAAGCCCUGUGUGUUCACUCAUUAUAGAUUCUUGGAAAGAGCAUAGCAGAGAAGAAGUGGGAUAGCCUGAUACGCCAUGCAAAGACUUGCAAAACAAAGUGGAAACUUUACUUGGACUAUCCUGAUGGCGUGACGAAGCAUGGUGUUGUAUUCAACACUGAUGGUCAACCAAUCGGCCUAGUCAAAGACAGGGAAUAUUUUGCUACUCCUGGACUUUCUGCCCAAGAGAAGGUAAGUAACCAAGGUGUUCCCACUCAGUUUUGUCAAGCCAGUUCACUCGCUUCACACCAUCACGGGGAAUUUGAAUAAUUUGGCCCAUAUUUUCUAUGUAAUCACUAUUUUGAUGUUUACUUGUAGCUGUGGCUUAGUAUGUGUUAGAAUUGAUUAGAGAUAUGGAAACUUGAAACAAGGAGUUGGUCAUCUAGAGGCUUUGCUUUUCUUUUCUUUUCUUUUCUUUUCUGAUCAUAAAAGUAAAAUGAAGUUCCUGUGGAGAGAAUAAAAAGAAAAUAUAGAUACUACGUUUAGAUCAUAAUAGAGACCUUCUAUUAAUAGAGUGAUUUUGGGGUUGCGCUCUUUGUGAAACAAAGUUGAGGUUAGUGACCUUGUAAAUUUAAGUGGCCUUCUGCAUUGAGUAAGUUGAAGACCACUUUCAGCAGUUAAUUCGGUUUCGUCCAUGAGAAUCUGAGGCACUCAUCAACAAAUUGUAGUUUGAAUGAUUAACACAUUCCCGUCACAACCAUUACUUUCCAAGUUUAUAACUAUCGAGAUCUUAAUUACUUGCACAAUACAUAUUGAUGCGUGCUUUAUUUCUUCACUGGUCCUUUCUCGAUCAACUUUGCAUCUUUACAUUGAGAACCCUUGCCUUGAUUGUACUCUGCAUUACAUGUUUUAAACACCUGACUUUAGGUGGUAGAGAAAUGGGCAGAUAUUGGCAUAAAGUGAAUUGUGGUUCUUUCAAUAUUGUUCUUCUUCCUCUGUGCUGCACUCACGUACUAAUCUGAAUACAAGUUCAUUCAUUGGAAUGCAACUUUACUUGCCGAAAAAAGUAGUUGCUUGAAGCCAGAAUGUUUACCUGUCAAUAGUGGAGAUAAAUACUUCCAUUAGUCCUGCUUGAGCAAUGUACAAGUGUGUUUCUCCCAGGAACUUGGAGAUGCAAUCGUGAAAAAGGCCUUGGCUAACUGGAACGAUGUGAGAGAGUUCAGUGGCGAGACAUUUUCUGAUUCAAUGCGGAACAAUAGCUCAAGCUCAUUUUCAUCUCAAGUCUCUGGUGGACAAACUGAAAAUCUCGACCAUGUUCAACGUUAUUUGGCUCCACCAGACUUUGCUGCUCCAGUUGGUCCGGUUGCUUCUCAGGCAAAUGUGAGCUCCACUGCUGAAGGUACGUGCUCUAUAAAACAAAACUGUCUCUCCCUUUAAGCACAUACAAAGAUGUGGCCUGUGAAAUUACAAUGAAAAUAGGACUUUCCACUUGAUUGUUGAGCUUUAAUAUAUAAAAGCAUUGUGUACCCGAUCCUUAUGAUUUUGGGUUCCAAAUCAUAUAGAGACGUUUGUUUGUCCAGCUGUGAUUGUUGCAACAUGAGCCUCAUUCAAUGCAAUCUAUCCAUUUGGCCAAAAUAUGUAUCCAUGUAUGUAUGCAUGUAUGUGUUCUGUCGGAGCAAUUGAAAAGCAACUAAAAAUUUAGUUGGUAACAUGUGUCUUUUUUGAGAGGGGGAUUGGGGGAGGGGGAGGGUGGAUACUCGCGAACACCUUCAAUUAGGUGAUACUAANNNNNNNNNNNNNNNNNNNNNNNNNNNNNNNNNNNNNNNNNNNNNNNNNNNNNNNNNNNNNNNNNNNNNNNNNNNNNNNNNNNNNNNNNNNNNNNNNNNNNNNNNNNNNNNNNNNNNNNNNUCAAUUGAAGCACGUAAAGAUUACAAAGAUCAGGGGCAAGAAAAAUUAAGAGAUGUGCAGCGUAAGAGAAAAAAAAAAUAGCAGCACUUUCCAUGAUAUCAGAAUAGUAAAAGCUCAUAACCAAUCAUUGCAAGAAUUUUUGUAAGCUCGUAGACCAGUGCUUACGUCGGCCUCUGUUUAUGAACCACAUUAAUGUCUAAGUUCUUUCUCCAGGACUUAAUGCAAUGGCUUUGGCGUUGCCAGUUCAGCCAUUAAAUACCAAUUCUGGAAACUCCAUGAAGAUUUCAGUUGAUGAAAAUUUUCGUCCUGCUGCAUAUCAGAUCAUGUCUGCAGACCGCUUGAAUGUUCAGAUUCCUCCAGGAUAUCAUGGUAGUACUACUGCUGGAUUGCCAACACGGCCCCAUGGUAUCGAUUUACCAAAUGCCGUGAAUAGCCAAGUGAUCAAUUCUUUGAGCCAAAUGGUCUAUACAGGAUAUGAUCAUGUUCUUCCCUCUGAACCAUCCUAUGCCUUAACUUCAAGCUUCCAAUCUAGUAGGACACUUGCUCUUCCUGAAGGCAAUCACAAGACGGAAAAUAUCCAAUCAAUUGAUUCAGAUGAUAAUUGGUUGCAAUGGUUGGCUGAUGACCCAUUAUUUGAUAAUGGUUAUGUUAGAGGUACCGGCAGAGGUGUUAUUGGCUGGCUCAAGAUAAAGGCAGUGUUCAAGUGGGGGUACUUCAUCAGGAAGAGAGGUGGCAGAAUUGUGGAGUUAGACCAACCACUGAUCGAAGUCCAGGCUUGUUCAUAGUUCUUAUGCCGCUUUAGGGAAAGAUGAUUCUCUGUUUACUUCUGAGAGAAUUGAUGGUAUUUUUUUCUUAAACGGUGGUUAUAUUUCAUUGAUUCUAUAGAUUCACCUGUAUAUAGAACAUCUAUGCUGAACGCCUUCUUAAGCGACUGAUUGUUUCAUCAUAAAGUGUCUUAACUCAAUUCUUUCAACAUCUUUCUUUAGAAAAGUUCUCUGGUAUAUCACAUGUAACGAACGCAAGGUUAUAUCAUUCGAAGGGUGUACUUGGAUUCUACACUUAUUAUGCAUUAGAUUUGCGACCAAAUCCAAGGAGUCCCAUGUAAUAAGUCCUGCCUACUGCUGCUAUCCAGUGCCAAUGCAGCUCUUUUCCGGAACGCAUACACAGUCAAGCUUUGAUGCUAAGUUCCCUCGUGCUCAUUUUCCCGGCCUCCUCUUCUUGUUUUCUCGGUCCUCAAAUUUUUUUACUAUAACGAGCUUUUAGGCAAAGCAGCUCAGGGUUAGUUUAAUUUAAUGUUGGUUCUGCACUGGAAUUGUAACCUUAUAAAAUAGGAUUAAGUAUCGAGAUCUUUCAUCUUUAGUGUGUCAUUCCACAAUUCCUCCACUUCCUGAACUAUUUAAACUUUAUAUUCCUGCAUGUUUAUACAUCAUUAAAUUUAUUGGCCAAGUGAUAUUCUUGGUUAAGAAAACGCAAGUCCAUUGAAAAUAUUGUAGACAUAAUCUCAUAAUCCUAAACCUACCAUUUAUUUGCAGAUUCCAAAGCUCUAGGACUUGAAUAUGAUCAAUGUCCUUUAAAACCACCUUGAAACUAUAUAUCUAGCAGCUUGUCAUGUUGAUUAUAUUGAUCCCAAAGGGCAGCCCUUCCACGCAAGAAGGUUUUUUGUGCAUCAGAUUGGAUGCAUCACUUAAUGGUGACGUGUAGAAGCAAGUUAAAUUUAGGUGAGAGAUUUCAACACUCCAUUGCAAAGUUCGAUGGUCGAUUACACUGAGUGAACCACUCAACCCAAAAUAUAAAUAAUCUACACCAAGCAAUUUGUUCUCUUAUACAUGAAAGUUAUUGUUUAUAACAGAUGAAGCAUAAGCUUGGUACUGUCAAAUGGGUCUCAAAUCUUGCAGCAAUACCACGGAGACGAUUGCCACCACAUUGAAGCCAUGGCUCUAAUUAAUAGACAAAUAGUUACAUUUUACUCCAAUUUUCUCUUCAACAAAUGCCCACCUAGCAGAAAAGGCACAUGGGAGGUAUAAAUUAAGACUCCAAGGACGGAGCCGAAAAGCUUCAGUCACAAAAGCCAAAAUCCAUUGCUUCUCACACCGAUGUCUGCAGCUUCGGAGAGCAGAGGUCCACCCACAGGAGCAACACGAGCAUAACCACCACAAAAUCUUGAACAGACAGUCAUUCUGAAUCAGAGAUUUCAUCUUCAUCCUCAUCCAGUAUGUAGACCAGGGCCCGUUUUCUUGCAGCUAAAACACAAGCCACACCUCUACUUGCUGUCGCCAUAAAAACAUUAACUUGAUUUCAGUCCAGCAUUUCUUGAAUAUAUGGCCAUGACUAACGUGAUGUUUAGAUACCUUUGUUGGGUAAAAGCAAAAGUACAACACAUGCAUUAUGCUAAAACACAGGCGGGGAAGCAAACCUUGCUGCCCAGGGAGGCUAUGGUAUGCAUGUAAACUAUGAAUGCUUUACAGUAUCUUGCUACACUAGAUAUCAUGAUAGUAUCUAUCAUCAUGAACAUGUACAGGUUCUCAGUCAGUAACUAGACCGCAGUGAACCUACCAUAAGAAGAAUAUUCUCUGUACUUGUGUGGCCUCUAAAGAUUCACCUUUUUUGCACUUUGACCUCUCAAUAGAUUUAAAUUUAGGGGAAAACCUGAUACAUUAGUAUAUUACUUCUUCAACUGAAAAAAUAUUCUUCUUUGGAGCAUAAGUUUGCACUUCUUCAAACUGUGGGAACAAACAUGAAGUGGUCCAUUAAAGAGACAUAUUGUACUUAAGCCAGUCAUAACCAGUCAUAUUUAAACUUAUGAGUAGGCUGUUAAGUGAAAAUGUAGUAAGGAGCAUGGACAGGAUUUAUUCAGUCCACUACCUAGUCAACAAGAUGGAAUUGUUGCAAACACUCGCAAGUUUAUCAAGCAUUGAUACACAAGGGAAAUAGUAUGGGCAACAACAAGUUUCCAAACAUCCAAAAAUGCAGAUGGACAUGGUAAGAAGCUCAAGGAAAAAAAAUUCAGGACUAUAAAAUUGAUGGCAUGACAAUGGUUUAAUCCUUAGCUCAGUUGUAUGGUGGUGUCAAAAAUUCUUACCACUAACUGAGAAGGGAGGAACAACAGUAUGGGGAAUGCUGCGAAUCUUCUCAUUCUCCACAUCUAGGUGUAAUAUAGAGUCCUACAUGCAUAGUUUCACUGUGUUAAUGUUUCAGGAGUGAGAAUAAGAUAACCAAGCAAAAAAUGUUCUCACAAAAUAGAAGCGAAAAUGGCACUUCUUACCUAUUAGUGACAUUCUGACCAAAAAAAUAAAAAAUCAAUUAGGGACACCACAUUCUUAACAUACAUACAGGUAGAAGGCUUUAACUGCCAAGAUAAGUUGGAACUUUUGCAGUUAUGGUAAGGCAGAAAGUAAAACAUCCUUCAGAAUUCCCAAGCGUGAAAUAGCAUGUCCAUGCACAUAGGAGGAAAGACUAAGCUGCUGCUCCUCAUGCUGAUGAGGAAAGCAUAUAAAUAAAAGAUAGGAAGAAUAAAAUUCCAGUGUUUUUGAAACCGGACAAGUGGUUCAACUGGUCAAACUGGUAGGACUGUGCUCCACCAGUUUAACGGGUUUAACAUAUUGCAUGUGAUGUCAUCUGAUAGGAUACUCCACAUAUAUUAGAUUACACGUGUUCAGAUUAAUAGAUGCCUGGCUGAGUCGGCAGAGCCUCGUUGAGCACAAAUGACAGCAUUCAAGUUCUCAAGAACAUCAUUUAAUUUUCUAAAAGAUUAAGCCAAUAAGGUCAAUGAAUAAUAAUACACCACCAAAUUGAAGCAAGAAGACGCUGGAGUGAAUGGUUGGUAUGCUUGUUAGUUACAAGAGGUCACAGUUCCAAACCCCAACCCAACUCCAACACUCUCCCUUUAAGCUUUUUGAAUGCCCAGAACUGGUCCAAACUAGUUGACAGGAUUGUGGGUCAACAGUAGACAGCUACGCCUGAUAACAAUAGGGUCAAUACCACCAGUUCUUGACCACUACUGUUUCUGCUGUGAAACCAGACUGGACAAGUCUGGUUCCCGAUCCAACUGGAGCCAGUUCUUAAAACACUUAAAAGAACAGGAGUUGACUAAAAAACAAUUUCCUUUUUGCCAUCAAUGUUUUGAAUAGUGAACUGAUGCGUAUCAGAACAAACAGAACUCAGCAGCAUCCUAUACUUAUCACGAGUACGAAAUCAAUAUGCUAGCUCAGGAUCCAAGAGUUACCUUUAAUUGGUACAACUCCCAGUUAUUUGCCUGAGUGAUUCCUGAAAUAUGCACAAAUGGAAGGUCACCGGCCUGCAAGAUCAUCAUCCAGGCAUCUCCCAAGUUUUCACCAGUAUCAUUUAUCUUAUUUAGCAGCAUAACAAUUUGAAGUUCCUGUUUCAAAAUAAAAUAUAUUAGCCACAUCCACAAAUUCUUAAAGUAUGAUAUACAGAGCUCUUACCUUAUAUAGAGCCAAAUCCACACAAUGGUAACCAGAAGGGAUGCACAACAAGAUUGCUUCCAAAGGUCUUCCCUGCUUCACAUUGCUUGAGUCAUUCAUAAAUCCCCUCACUACAGCUAUACAGUUUGUAACAUCUAAAAAGGACUCGUCGGGUAUUUGGAAGGAAAUAUAAUCUGUAAACCCAACUUCCUGAGUCAGAUUACAUGAAGCAAAUUCAGAGGCAUCCUGCAGAGCCAUACGAAGAAAUGAUUAGCAUGACAAAGUAGUUGUACUCUGCACAUGCAGAUCUCCAAAUAAAAUUGUUCAGAGGGUAAAUACCUCAUAGAAGGACAGUGAAAUUGGAAUGUAUCGGGUGGAUGCUGAAACUGAUGUAAGAGGGAAUAGAGGCAAUAAAUUCUUACAACGCAUCUUUUUUGAAAUAGUAGAAAAAGGCAUUUGGGCAGCUUCCUUGAAACUGUAAAAAUUCAAAAUUAUUCCUAAUCAGUAAACAUGAGAUAUGGCAUUAUCACACACAAUAAUUAUAUGCUAAUCAGAAAGCCCAAUCCAAAAGAUCACCCAGCUUAAGUCUCCAUGUACAUUGUCAAGUAAUCAACAUGAGAUCGAAUAAGAAACACUAGAUUGUUAGGUAGAGGGUAAGUCAAAAACUAUUGUUGAGUACAGCCUCCAGAAGACAACCCCCCACCCCCAAAGGUUUCUUUCCUUUUCUUCCUUCUCUUGGUAUAGUCUCAAGGCUCUGGCCACUCAGAGAAGGAAAUAUAAAAUAUGGGUUUUAUUGUAACAGGAAUUGUCAAGAUACCUGAAUUAGCCAAAUGAGAAAUGAAUAUUUUGGCUCAACUAAAUGAUGAGUUGGGUGAAACCAAAGCACAAGGUUUUAAUUGAAGGAUUGCAAUGUUUACUAAAACCAUUUUGGACCUGGACCAUCAUACCCAAACUUCUGUUAUGCAUACAAAGAGAUCAAGGAUUUCACAUUUGGUACAAUUACAGCAAUGAGGACCAGACUUGGAGGAGGGAAAAAAUCAAUCACUUCAAAUGACAGAUGACAGCAAUGAUUUAUCCCAGAGUUCAUAUAUUUUCCACUGAGGUAGCAUGCAUAAAACACUUGGGAAUGGAAAAUCUAGAUAUAGCAUAAUUACAAAGAAUUGACAAUGAAAGAGCAACAAGACACAUUCAAAAAAGAACUUCCAUGCACGAACAAGAUUCUAUUAAAUUUCAAAUUUCCAAUUCUUUUGUCGAUACCUGUGUUCCAUCAGUUGAAACUCCUUUGCAAGUGUCCUUCGCAAACAUUUGCUGUCCCCAAAUCCUCCAAAUUGUACUAAUUCUUUGACUCUCUCCAUUGUUUCUCUGAAACAAUAAUGUGUGUAAAACAUCUUACUGACCUGACAACAUACAUCAACGCAGAAAAGCGCAUGAAAUUACAUUUGAUUUUCAAAAGACUUUCCAGUCCAAUGAGAAACAACAAUCAACCCGUCAAUUUCAAUCCCCGUUACUCUGUGGUUAACAACACAGUACUGGACCAAAAAUAACCACAGUUGAAGCCCAGCAAAGCACCCUAACUUGAGUCAACCUCAUCUCGUUGUGCUCUUAAAAGUAAUUAUGAAGACAGUAGCAAGAUGACUUAAAAUGAAGAGCCAACCCUCAAACAGGAGUCAUUUACAAUUUCAUAUCCUGAGUUUAGCAACUAAUUUGGUCACAUCGCAAUAAAGCAGGAGUGAGCCACUAGAGUGCAUGAAAAAAAUACUAGGCUUGACAGGAUACCACUCUGACAUUUAAAGCGUGACCAAGGUCCAUUACACCAUGGAAUUCGAAUCCUCUGGCUCAAAAAUGGAUAGCACAACCUAGUGAAGGGCUACAAAAAUUUGCUGNNNNNNNNNNNNNNNNNNNNNNNNNNNNNNNNNNNNNNNNNNNNNNNNNNNNNNNNNNNNNNNNNNNNNNNNNNNNNNNNNNNNNNNNNNNNNNNNNNNNGCUUCACCAAAUUUCAGCUACAAAGAAUGAAGAGAUGGCCCUCCCUUGGAAUUAGAAGGUUAGCCCACCCUUGGCAUUAGAAGGUUAUGUCAAAUUAUGAAUCCAGUCAUCAUGUCUGAAUGAUACAUAUGAUUCCAUAACUAGGGCUAGGCAAUAACAUUUUCUUAUUAGAUGAAUGAAAUUCAUUAAGAACACCAAGUAGGAGCAAAACUUCAGAUAAUUCACAAGAGAAGAAAUUUAUUAAUUCAAUGGGUAGCCAUUCUGUCAACAAUAAUGACAUGUCACAUCUCAGCCCAAGUAAAGUUAAUGUUGACUGAAAUGACAGGAAAAAAAUUAACUUUCAAGGAGUAUACAAGCCAUUUCUACUGGAAGCUUUCCACACAUGGCAAUGCCAAACGGUCCACUUGGUGACUCCAUCAGGUAUGAACAAGUACUAACUAAAGAUUCAGGGGCUCUGGGUGCCGUAUUGUAAAUUAGGAACUGGACAAGUUAGAGGAAAUCACUUACAAAUCAAUGUCAAUUUCUUCAUCAGCCUCGGAUAAAUCCAGAAGCUGCAUAACAGGAUCUUGAUCAUACAGAAACUUCAAGACACGACAACAAGUUCACUGUUGAAAUUCAUAAGAGUAAAUAGGGAUUCACCAUAAGGACUGAACCUGAUGGACAAAAGUUAGACAAACCUAUUGUAUGUUAAAAGUUGAUCACUUGGCUCUGACAUAAGUUGCUUUAUACAUUUCAGAAGCCAGCUGAAGAAAUUUGCAAACUGAAAGAGAAACAAAACCAAAACCAAAACCAAAAGUAUCAGCAACAUGCACAUUAUCAACCAAUACAAAAUGCUUAUACAACUGGCUCAAGAAUCUAGGAUCCUACCAAUAUUCUGAGCUUCUCUAGAUUUCAGUGGUCACACUGGCAAUAUUUUCAUUUUGAAACAAGAAAGAAUGCAUGUCUUCAGGGUAGUAUGUGCGAAAUUGAAAAGGCAUCAACAAACCCUAAGUUGUCCAGGUGCAAGAAGCAAAGAUUAAAAAAAGUCAUGCAAUUUCUCUUUGGCCCUUCAAAUACAUGAUGAUAUCAGCAAACAACAAUGUGAUAUUGUCAGCAUUUCAUCAUGGUCUUAAAAGGUGCAAAAUGGAACUUUGUUAAACAGGUUCAAGUCAUGUGCAAAUGCCUGGUCAACAGUAUCUUCUUCAAAAUCCCAACAAAAAAGCUCAUAUUUCAAAUAUAUAAUGCUAUUCGACUUAGAAUGAUAUGUCAUUCUGAGCACACAAGAUCUUGUGUCUUCUAUCCACAAGUAGUUCAACUCCAUGUUUAAAAUUUAUGAAUAUAGUGUGACUAAAGACAUGCACGAUGAGAGACGGGCAGGAUUUUAGAAAAUAGUAGCAAACAGGAGGUAUCAAGAAAUGUAGAGAAAUCAUAACAAAGAUUGUAACAGGCUACCUGCUGCACAACAGAGGAAAGCACCCUUAUGAAUCGCUCAACCUGUACAAGCAGCAUUCCAGCCUUUUCUACUGCAUUGUCCACAAGUGUCUCAUCCAAACCAAUACCCAGGUAACGAGAGCGCCAUCUCGAAAGACCCCUGAGCUCACCCAUUCUGAAGCCAAUAAUUUCUACAGCAGGCUGCUAGGUAAAUUAACAAUGUAANNNNNNNNNNNNNNNNNNNNNNNNNNNNNNNNNNNNNNNNNNNNNNNNNNNNNNNNNNNNNNNNNNNNNNNNNNNNNNNNNNNNNNNNNNNNNNNNNNNNACACUCAUGAGGGAUAAAGAUAACAUCGAACAUAUAAGUUAAAUGCUAAACAGCAAUAGGAACCAUCGAUGUUUAAAUUUUUUGAAUGAAAAUGUUUCACACAGCAAAUGGCCAUUACGAGCCAUCCUUAUCUUUCAACUGCAAACUGUGUUUGAAUUACACAGCAUACGCUAGAUUCUCUGACAAAUAAAAGUUAUCUUGGAAAAAUCAUUAAGAAAAUGGAGCCUAGUCUGCCAUGCAAUUCAUGCAAGCAGGCUGGAAGUUUGGAAUGUUUGUGUGAAAUGAUCAAAUCCUGGAAAAUGGAGCCUAGUCUACCAGCCUAGUCUACCAUCCAAUUCAUGCAAGUAGGCUGGAAGUUUGGAAUGUUCGUGUGAAAUGAUCAAGUCCUGCCCAAAGGGGGAAGGAGAGAGAGAGAGAGAGAGAGAGAGAGAGAGAGAGAUCUUAUUUAUGUGAUAGUUGUGGACUAUAAACACAAAGCUGACAGGAAUUCUUGAUGUUUUUAAGGAGACAAAGCCCCAGCCCUUGUGCUGUUAGCUUGGAAAAGGGUCCCUUCUUUAAAACAUUCAAAUAUCAAACUACAUCUCUAUCCCAUAGCUUACGCUUUUUGAUUAGUUAGAUUUGGUCCCACAAAAUUUUAUGUGGAAUUAGAGGAGGAGGUUUCAGGCUUAAAACUCACCUUGCUACCUAUUUACCUCCCCAAUUAUCAAAUUUCUAUCCUUCAAUCUAAGGCCAAGUCUUAGCCUACGUGAGAGGGGGAGCAUUAUAGCAAUUAAGUACCACAUCUUUAUUUGAUAGAUAAUCUUUUAGAUGACUUGGCAAUUGUUCCACAAAAUUCUACUCUGUCGUGAAUGCACAUUUUUAGUAAACAACAGGAGAAAGGAGCCCCAAAGCAUUGAUACAGACCAUGGAGUUAAAGAAAGUUCAUAAACUUUCAAAAGAAAAAAAUAGGCAGGUUCCUACAAAAGAGGAAAAUUGUAUAGGAGCUGUAAAGGAUAGAUAUUUGGAUAACCACCAUAUUUUUUUGGCAUUGUGGUGGCAGUUCUUUAGACAGUAAGUCCUUUUUUGAAUUAUCUUAGAUAAAAACGAGCUUAUGGGUGGUAAUUUGUAUAUAAGAGGAACCCCAUGAUGCUCUUCAAUAGAAUUACAUAUCAAAAAAGUAAAAAGAAGAGAGUCUAUAACCUUAAAGAAACUAACAGGAAACAUGAUUUCUCACCAUAGUGAUAAUCAACAAGAAUGUGCAUUGUACAAGAGAGUCCUGAACCCAGGAGAAGGAACCGAUCUAAUUAGCAACAGCCCUACAGUGUGCAUGUGCAAGUGCAGACACCUGUGCAAGCACAUGAUCGCAUGCAUGUGCUUGGGCAAUGCACAUGUUUACAACACACACAAAAUUGCCCAUAUGUAUGGAGAGAGAUCUGGCAGAGAAGAUAUUGGAUAUAUAUUUUCUUAUAGAUGAUAAAGGAUUUUAAUUAAAGAAAAAUUUUUAACGCAUCAGUUUACAAGGAUAAAACAAAAGAAAAACAAACAAAAAUAAAACAUCAGAAGACCAUAUGAAAUCAGAACAUGAUGCCCAAAGCCAUUUAAAAGGUACACCACCAAAACUAUCCAAGAUUUCAAACCCUACUUUUUUGUUGCUUUCCUUCCAAAGGCACCACAAGCAAUAAGGGUGUGGCGCUACAAGACUUCUUAGAAAUUGAUCCUCCUAAAUAGGCAUUCCAACAACUAAAAAGCGGAUGGCAUGUCUAGGCAAGGAAAUGAUCAUUUGGGAUAUUGAGUUUGUGAGACAAGCCCAAGAUUGGGAGUUUUUGCCAUCUCUUUUUAUGUAUUAUAUUAUUCCAAGAAUUCCGUUGCCUCUGAGGAUGCUUUUGUGUGGAACGAUGAAAAAGAUGGAAUCUUUCCAGUAAAGUCUCACUACAAGCUGCUCAAUAGGGAGAAAGUUGGUGGUAGAACGGAUUUUCCUCAAAAAGUGACUUGGAAAGUGAGGGAUCUGAUUAGAGUUUGGAAAGUGAGGGUACUUAUUAUAGUUUAUCUAUUUGCCUGGAAAGCAACUUGGGAAUAAAUCCUCACUUUAGAUAACCUGCAACAAAGAGGCAAGUACUGGUUAAUAGGUGUUUCCUCCGCAAGGAGGAGGCAGAAUCCGUGCAACAUCUCCUCCUUCACUGUUCAUAGACAAGAAUGGUUUGGACAGUUUCCUAUGCUUGCACCAAAUUAUCUUUGGGUUAUUGGAGCUUUUAUGGAGCAAGAACUCUGGGCUUGGCAGCACGUUUGUUUAUAGUACCACAAGAAAAGAAGGAUUAACUCAAUUCCUCUAUCCGUUUUUAGGCUCAUUCGGAAGGAGCUAAACAAGAGAGCUUUUGAUGGAGAGAGAUCUUCCGUUUGUUGAAAUUUGGCUUAAAGUCGUACACUUUUGGUAUAGUGGAGACUGCAUAUGAAUCUAAAUGACUUGAUUAAUAUGGUUGAUGAUUUAUCUUGUAUUUGAGCUCACUUUUGGUUUUGAGAGCUGUUCUGCACAAGGCUUUAAUUUUGGGCACUUUUCUUAUAUGGGUUUGCAACCCCUUGGUGUCCUAUAGUUGAACUUUUGAUCUAUUGAAAGAAACUUAACUUUCCUGAGGAUUUUUAAGUUAUUCCAACUAUCCUAUAUCACAACAUUGUAUGUAAUCAUGUAGUUUCAAGUACAAACACUAACAUCUCACAUAUGAUUUUGUGCUAAUCAGCAUAACCAUCAUCCAUGUAGCAUGUUUUUAUUGAGCACAAAAACGCUCCAUUAAGUCAUAGUUGCAGUUCCUUUUAUGAGUAAGAUUAUCGUGACAAAAGGGUGCCUCUACAACCUAAAGUCAAGAUCUAAAAAGUUCAAGAGAAACUCUGGAUCCAAAGAGAUACUAACACAUUCCCAAAACAUUUAGGCAAGUGUAUUACAGACAUCUAAUAUAAAGACCCGCAUACAAAACUCGUUUGAAGUGGUAAAAUCCAAGCAUUUAGGCAAGCGUAUUACAGACAUCUAAUACAAAUCUAUUUUGCAUGUGAGUAAGUAAACCAUUCUCAUUUACUAGGACAUAACAUCUUUAGCAUUACUCUGCCAAAAGAUGGUGCUUAGUCAAAAAAAAAAAAAAUAGCAACCUAAUUGGAAAAGUUGGUAAAAAAUAUAAACUAAUGAAUUCUCACAUCUAAGUACAUGAACAAAUUGUUGUGGACAGAGGCUCUCAUAACCAAGGUUAAGCAUCACAGAUGAGCUCAAUGUUGGCUCAAUUCACUAUCAUCUGAGCACCCGCCAGUUAUUUUAUCUGCUCAUUUUCUUCUGAUAACUGAGUUUUCAUUCUCAAUUUUAGCCUGUUGACAGUAAUAAUAAAAUUAAGAAAGCAGAGUUUCACUUACUACAUCAAGUCCAAGGAGUGGAAUUGGUAGUAUAAAUAAGUCUUCAACUUCUCCUAGGCUCAAAUAGUGCUAUUAGUAAGUAAACAGAGUUCAAUAUGAUUUAUUGAUACAAAGAUUGACUCCUGCAAAGAUCGAAGCAGGCAAUAAAGUUUUUCCUUUUGAAACAGAGAACAUAUCUCUAUACCUGUUAAUUAUAACGUAAAUGCAUAAAAAUUUCCAUACCCAUACCUCCAUUCACAGUAUUCUGAAAGCCCAAACUUAGAUCAAGUUCAUAUUCAAACCAAUGAUUAUGACCUAUAAUUUCUAUUAUACGCUUACAGUAGAGAUUGCCAACUGGUUAAAUCAUAAUUAAAUCAGAUUUUACCUCACCCUUUCCAGCCACUCAAUGUUAGUAAUCCAUAUCAUUGCAUAUGAUAGGUUCAUAUAAGAAUUCAACAUCAGGAUGCUUUGAAAGAUAUGGUGUGUCUCAAAAUGUGUGAAGCAUAACUUACUAUAACAAAUUCCUACAUCUAUCUGAUCACCAUCCAAGACUGUUCUGUGCGAUGCUUAAAACUCAAUAAUUUAUCAGAGAGAAAGGCCAAAUGCAAAGGUAAUAACGUGCACCUGCAGAUGAUUGAGGACAACCAGCUGGAGUUCUUUUCCAGCACCACAGACAACUUUUGAUACACGCUUCAUACCCUACCAUUGAACAAACUAGCAGACUAAGAUUAUAAAUACCAACCAAAAAGAACAGAAGUCCUAUACCGACACCAGAACUUAAAAAAAACCAGCCGCACCACUUCACCCAGAGAAUUAACAAGAAACUGAUGGACUGCAGGACUGGUCCUAGCACCACCUAGAAGACUCAAAAAUUCCUCCUGAGGAGAAGAGUCAAGACCUAGAUAAGCAAACAAGAACAGUUAAAUGAAGAACAAUGAAAAGCCAUCUACCGCUUUGUAUUAACAGGACCACUAACCAUGAUCAUUAAUAAGGCUUGUUAACAAAUCAAACUUCUCAUGAAAUAUGUUCAUGGCAUCAGCCCACUGCUUGUGCAUGACUGAUAAUGAUGUACGGACAACAUGAAGUAAAUCUUCAAUGUUAGAAGCCUGUUGAGCAACUUGAUAAAGUUCAUUUUUACUGCAGACAGGAAGAGAUUGAGAAUCUAAGGAGGCAUUCGGCAGAUAAAGAUUCUCAGAUAUCUGUUCUCAUUUUAUUUGAGAAUGCAAACGGUCCAGAAAAUGUGUUUGGUAACACUUCGAAAACAGUUGAAAGGAAAACUAUUAUUAAAAUCAAAAUUGGGAACUGAAGACAACUUUUCAGCGUUCACAUUCUAUGUGCAAACGUGGAGAAUAACUAAGCCUCUUUUCUUAUUGUGAUGAAAAACAAGCAAAUUCUCACAAUUGUCAUCCUUAGAACGUACAUCAUUUUCACCCAAACAAGUUUUCUGUGAUAAAACAUUGAAACCAGUUUCCACAAAAACGAAAACAAAAAUGUUAUCAAAAACUUGGCAGGCCUCUAAUUGUAGAGAACAAAAAUGUUCUCUGAAUCAUGCAACAAUGUUCAAAAUUUUGCAAAAGUAACUCCUGCAAUUUUGUCCCAUCACUUUCAACAUCUGAACUACAUUGAUUUCUAGAUGUUUCUAUGGAAAGAUGGUAUGAUACUUGAAGGUCGGGUGACAACCUUAACAAGCAUGAAUAAAAUCAUUCAGGCUACGAAGUAUGAGGCAUCAUGUAGUUCAGCUUACAGUGACUCUUGAAAGUCAACUUGGGCAUUUAAAAUUAUCAGAAGGAAAGUUCUUUUAUCAUGCAAAGUGUAGAGUAAAUUCCAAGAAAAAUGCCUCAAAAUUGCUCCAUGUUAACCAUCAGUUUCAUUUUAAGGUUGAUGAUAAUAUCCUGAAUUAAUAUGAGUUUUACUUUCCGUAAAAUCAAACAAAAUUGAUACCUCUGAAACAUAUAUCAGUGCACAUGAACAAUUUUAAUAUAAUUGUAAUACGGAGUCCAAUUACUACUGCACAAACUUAAAAAAAAAAAAACAGUUUCGCCUAAAAUUUGAAUAACACUAAAUGCAAGUGCAAUUUUACCUCUUUUGGAAUAUUGAAGUAUCAAGCACUAAGCAAUGAAAGCCAUGCAUACUAUCUCCAACUGUUUGACACCCUCUUGAUUCAACAAUGUCUUCAACAAGUUCUCCUGAGCAUGCAACCAUCAAAUGACAAAGAUCCUUGGAUAAAACCACCUAAUGAUAACAAUUACAUGGCAGUUAGCUUGCUCUGGUGAAACAUCUGACAUGAUAUCUGGAAUAAUCCAAUGACAGGAAUAAACUUACAGUAGGUACAUUUGAAGUUUAGCAAAAAGUCAGCAUCUUACGUCUAUAAAAUAUUAUCCAAGCUGUUUGACAUUUUUAUAGAAACAUGUUUAGUUACCACUGAGCUUUUACUCGAUAGUUUCUCUAUCAAAUUCCAAUAAGGUGUUCAUGAGAAGACAAUGUAUCUGAUCACUAUAACUUAAAUAUCACAAAGUGAAUGAAAUUCUUUGCUGGUUACCAAAGCAUUUUGAGCAAGAAACUAUGCACAAUUCACAGUAAUUUUUUGUUUCAUUUAGUCUAGGUUCCUUUGUUUAACUUUAAGUUUAGCUUGAUCACCAAUUGUUCAAAAAGUGUCUCUCAAGGUUUAUUUUGUAUUUUCUUUUCCUAAUGCAUGGGAAAAACCAGAGAAAAGACAAUCUAACAUCUGGUGAAGUUGAAAUAUAUUGGAAGACUAAUUAGGAAGGAAAAUAAAAUUAGUCCCAGCAGAGCAAAAAGACCUCCUAUCAUUAACCCAUUAGUUGAAGAAACAUGAAGGCUCUUGAGAGGCAACUAUGUUAGUGUACCUUCCUCACAGCCGCAUUCAGAAGUCGGCAAACGGUGUCUCUGUCCUUGGUUGUCGUAGGAAUAUCACAUUCAUGUAUAUUCUGGUGCACAUUCCCAUGCAUUACGGCAAUCACACAGCAGAAGCAAUAAGUGACUGAUUAUCAAACGAAAAUAGCAACUCAAUAUAACAAAGCAACUAUACAAAUAAAGUCGAAACAGAGAGUUAAAAAGCUUCCAAACUAAAAUGACUCGUGGAGAGUGGAACUGUGCUANNNNNNNNNNNNNNNNNNNNNNNNNNNNNNNNNNNNNNNNNNNNNNNNNNNNNNNNNNNNNNNNNNNNNNNNNNNNNNNNNNNNNNNNNNNNNNNNNNNNNNNNNNNNNNNNNNNNNNNNNGGCAACAGCACAAGUGCAGUAUAGGCACUGAUUCAACUUUUCUGAAGGCUGUUAAAUGCACUUACCUCAACACCAGACUACAGAAUAUCUACAUCACAUUGCAACUUGGAAGGCUUUAAAUUAGCAGUUCUAAAUUGUGGUUCCAACAAAACUUAGUAUUCCUGCCACUGGCAUCUUUUCAAAUUUAUAUAUAUAUAUAGACAACCCAGAAGCUCAACAUUGAGCUAAAUGAGCUACAUCAAUUUUCAUAACAAGUGAUUUCCUAUAAAAAAAAUUUAAUUUUCCAUCUAAAAUAUCUCAUCUUAAAGUGAAAAUUACCUGUUCUAGGUAAAUGAUUUUGGACUUGACUUUAGGUAGUCAACCGAGUCAAGAAAUUGUGAUCAAAUCGUCAUUGACAAUUCACAAACUUGUAUAUAGAUCUGAAAAACCUCCCACUAGGAAACCAUACUCCACACUUAUGGAUCUGGUGAUAGGCAGUGGACCCUAGGAAGUACAUUUGGGAAAGUCCCAACAAGGAAUUGUAACUAUAAGGACUGGCUCCAUGUAACUAAAGAGAUAACUGAUAGGAACCUAAAUGAUACUGAUUUGGACAAUUCUUCAGCAUGCAUUUCUAGAUUAAUCAAAUGUUUGUUGAGAAGUUCAUCAUGUUUUCACGUUGAAACAGUACUAAACCCAAACAUGCAGGAAAGUUCAGAGUACCCAAAAUUCUAAAUCUUCUAAUAGCUGCACACCCACAGAGAGAACUAUCUACACACAAGCAUACACACUCAUAGAACACUUUCGCCAACCGACGGUUGUAUAGGCUCUCUCAAUCUCCCUAAAAAAGAGCAGAAACUCAAGAGUCUAAAACAACAGCAGAAAGUCUGCACAACAGGCUAACCCAGACAGACACCAAAUUCUCCUUUAGGUGCUUCAACUGCAGUAUAGACAGAAGGAGCACUCAGGGCAAACAACAAAAGCUUUGGAUAAUUGUGUCGUAUCAAAGUCAGAGGUGUCAUCUCUGAAGUGACCAAUGGAAGUGAAAUCUAGAACUUUUACAAGAAUAACUUCACCUAGAAUAGUUGUUUAAUUAACCAGCCCAUUACUUUCAGGCAAUACUGAUUUCUGCCAUCAGAUCCAUUUAUUAAGAAAGACUGCUCUAUGAAAGCAAGAAAGGGAAGUAGUCAUCGACUGAAUCCGAUAGACUAUACUACUAUUAUUUGAUCUGAACAGACAGGAGGCUUACAACAUUUCCGAUUGGAAAGACACCAAAUAUACUGAAGCACAAAACCCCAUCUUUAUCUCCGCUGCAAAGGAUAUUGAAACAUUGCUUUGAAGAAUUUGAGAGCUCUACGAAUGAAUCUUGACCAUCGUCAGUUAAACCAGUUUCUCCAAAUACUAGUCCAGGCAUGCGAGGAACUCUUGGAGCUGGAGGGAAGAAACGAGUAGUGCAAUCUUCAAAUGCCAAAGAGUUGCCAGAAGUGUCCUAUUAAAAAAUGGAUAAAUAUCAUUCCAAUGGGGAAAAAAACAAGAACAAGAAGAUAAAUAUAACAAGAGAUUAAAGUUAAAGAGUCAACAAUUAGCAAAUCGACAACUCACAGCUGACACCAAACAUAAGUAUUCAAAAAACCUUCCAUAAAUACAUAUUGUAGCUGUUAAAUAAGAUUCUAAGUUUUAAAAAAGAAACAUUUUAGUAAACCAGAAUAAAAUAACUACUUAACUGCAAACAAAGUAUUAGAUAGAACAUGAAAGGUAUGAACAAUAAAAUAUUGUCCGUUAAGAGUCAAGAUCAAGAAGUAAGAUGAACUUUCUUAAGUUGAAAGAUGCAUACUCUAUUCACUUGGGCAUCCUCCUCCCAAUUGAGACACACCACAGCUGCUGCAUGGGACUUCAAGCUUCUUAACAGUUUUCCAUUCUGCUUAAUAUUUAUACCAAGUUAGAAAUAAGUAUACCACAGUACAUAUAACUGCUGCAAGCACUAGCAUAUAAAAAGGAGCACAAUGCAUAUCCACAGUUCCAUAAAUGGCUAGAUUGGUAAGAUAACAUUCAUAUGUAGAAAUAAGUUCUUCAAGAGCAAAACAUAAUCCAUGAAGUGGAUAAUGAUUAGUAAAUCAGUAGACGUCUUAAAGAGACCUUUUGCAGCAGCAUCAGCCAAGUUCUGAGCAAUUGUACCCAUGACCAAACAGCUAGCUUAAUGACAUAACCGGUAAUCUAUGAACUUUUCCACAGACAAGCAUAAUUGAGGCACAUACAAAUUCUGUCAUUUAGGAAUCACCCAAACUAUUACCUUCCUAAUAUGACUGAACUGGACAUAUGUCACUUUAAAUAAUAGAAAGAAACUAUUAAUUUGAUGAAAAUGAGCGUGUCAUGGAUGACUGCUUCUAUAUGCUGUCUCGGUCAUGUUUGGAUUUAGCACUUCUAAAUUAAUAUGAUUAUCUUAAUCCCCUAAUGAAGACAGUUCUGCGAGAUAAAACGGGUGGAACACAAUGGUUGGACAAAUUUUAUCCCAAGUGAGAAGCAUAUGCAUACUAAGGGAUGCCAUAUCAACAUGCUUCUUUUGCAUUGUAAAUUCACUCUUAAGUGUACUUAGAAAUAUGCAGUCAUGAACUGCAUGCUGAGCAUAGAGCAAACUAAAACCUCACAUUAGAAGGAUUGCCAUAUAUGGUCCUUCAUUUAGCAUUUUCUUCGACCUAUAGAAUGACUUUUGGCAUGCUAUCAAAAACAUGUACACAUCAGUUUUUCAGCACUUCCAGCGUUCCAAAAUCAAUCAGAUGUCGAGAAUCUCUAUUUUUCUGCAUAGGAUGAAGGAUCAUACUUGAAAACUUAUGUCAAAUGAUGCGCUUUGAAAGCCAUAUAAUCUAUUUCCGCUACUGACAUGAUAAGCAGAACCAUUUUGCCAAAGCACACAUUAACUUCCAUGAACAUCUCCCCCCGGAUUCCUUGAAUUCAAGUAAGAAAACAAUGGUGACACUAUCAACCAGGAAAUAAUAAUGACAAGAUCAUAAAUCUUGAAAGAUAUUGCAAGCGGGAAAUUUAAAUUGAAAUUGGGCAUUAGAUCUCAAAAGAGCAUAGGUCGAUUACCUGCUUUAUGUACCUUCAUUAGAAAAUGUGGAUCCCUCAUCCAAGUCGUCCGAUCCUUCAUCCCGAUCCCUCAUCCGAGUCGUACAUAUAGUAUGGAUUUGGUUCGCUACAUCUGCCAUCUGUAAUCUGAUAAUGUCGAUAAAUCCGCGUUCUAAAUAAUUCUGGAAUUGUUUUGAGUGACUUGCAUCCAAUGAUAUUCAGUUCUUCCAAAAACUCCAACCUAUCAAGGCCUUGAAUUUCGACCAAGUUUUCACAAUCUCUAGCUUCUAAUAUCUUCAAACUCUCGGAUUUUGGAAGGAGAAGCCUUUCAAUUGAAGUGCAUCGAGAGAUAUCUAGACUUUCCAAAUACUCCAAAUUAUCGAGCCCUUGAAUUUUGGCUAAGUUUUUGCAACACCAAGCCUUUAAUUUCUUCAGCAUCCCGAAUUUUGGAAGGUCUAGCCAUCUAAUUGAAGUGCACCGAGAGAUAUCUAGACUUUCCAAAUACUUAGACCCAUCGAGCCCUUGAAUUGCGGCUAAGUUUAUGCAUUCUCCAGCUUGUAAUUCCUUCAACCUCCUGGAUUUUGGAAGAUCUAGCCUUUCAAUUGAAGUGCACCAAGAGAUAUCUAGACUUUCCAAAUACUUAGACCCAUCAAGCCCUUGAAUUUCGGCUAAGUUUACGCAUCUUUUAGCUUGUAAUUCCUUCAACCUCCCGGAUUUUGGAAGAUCUAGCCUUUUAAUUGAAGUGCACUGAGCGAUAUCUAGACUUUCCAAAUACUCCAAACUAUCGAGCCCUUGAAUUUCGGCUAAGUUUUCACAACAAGGAGCCUCUAAUCUCUUCAGCAUCCCGGAUUUUGGAAGGUCUAGCCGUCCAAUUGAAGUGCACAAAUAGAUAUUUAGACUUUCCAAACUAUCGAGCCCUUGAAUUUCGGCUAAGUUUUUGCAGUUUAUAGCCUCUAAUUUCUUCAGCCUCCCGGAUUUUGGAAGGUCUAACCUUUUCAUUGACCCUUCGAUAUGUAGCCAUUCCAAAUACUCCAACCUAUCAAGGCCUUGAAUUUCGGCUAAUUUGCAGCAAUCGUCAAUAGUCAAUUUCUUCAGACCCUCGAGUUUUGGAAGGUCCAGCUGUUCGAUUGAAAGGCAGGAUUCAAUAGUCAAGCUUUCCAAAUAUAUCAAUUUGUCAAGACCUCGAAUUUCAAGUAGAUUCUUGCAAGGGCCGACACAUAAUGUCCUUAGAUGGACAAACUGUGAAACGUCUAGCAUUUCGAUAGAUCCACAAAAAGAGACUUGCAAGUAUUCGAACUUGAAGGGCGUGUUUAGGGAUUGUGGUGAUUCCAUUUCUUCAAUGUCUGUCGGUUGGGAGCAUUCUGAACUCUUUAAUUGCGUUGAUGGAAGCUCCUGAAUGCACUGGAUAAAUCCGCAACGCUCAACUCGUAGUUCCUUGAGAUGGGCUAGGUGGGAAAGCAAAGGCAAUUUGCGACUUUGACAAGUGACACCCAAAUAUGUUAAGCCGGAAGGAAGCUCCGGCAGCGAUUGGAGCUUGAAGCAGUAAAGAAAAUCAAGGCGUCGUAGGGAAGAAAGAUUAGCUAUGCUUUCUACUAGUAUCCCUUUCAGAUUUCUGCAAUAGAAAGCACGUAACUCUCGGAGCUUUCUCAGACUCCCAAUACCAUUGGGUAAUUCUUCUAUACCACUGUGAGAAAUAUCUAGAAUCUCUAGAUUCUCCAAAGACCCUAUGUCAUCUGGUAAUGCAGAAAGGGAUGGAGUAUGGAAUAGAUCGAGUUGUCGCAGUGAUUUUAAUUUACCUAUUUCUGCUGGAAGCUCCCCAAGGCAGAAACGAGGAACGGGGCGUUCGGCGCCUGCGUCGGCGCCUACCGCGAGAUGAAGCGCGUAGGACGAGCACAGCUCCAAGCGAAGGAGGCCCUCCGUGUCUUCAAUGGAAGCGUCGAUUCGCUUCAAUCCAUAACACCCCCUGAGGAUGAGAACCUCUAACUUCUCAAAAGCUGAGAGGAAGUCAGUAUUUUCCAAGGAACCACAAUACGAAAGGUCUAGAUAUUUAAGCUUCUCUGCCAUCUACGGAAAAAAGAACGAAAAAAACAAUAAUGAAUGUCGAUGGGUGAGUGUAGAGUCAUUAUGAUUCAAAAGAAAGCAUAAAAGGAGAGGAAAAAAAAAGACUUUAAUUCUUACCUUGAAAAUACUCCAUCCUCCCCAUUUCUCAUUUAUUUUACCAAAUUGCAAUUCGAGUACAGCUAAUUCCUUUACGCAAAAAUUGUUUACUUCAAAAUUAGCGCGACAAAAUGGCCAUCGAAGCCAUCUUAACUCCUCCAUUGAAUCCUUAAAAUCUCCACUUAAAUGUUCCCCAUAUAGGUGAAGGAAUCUUAGACUCGUCAAAUUCUUGAAUUGUUUUUCUGCAUAAAUUCUGCCAGUGCCUUCACGAAGAUUAAUCCCCUCAAUCUUGCCCGUUCCCUAUAAGCAAGAAUCAAGAGUCAUUAGUACUAUAUCCAACUAAAGUAAUCAAAUAUCAUUUAUUCAUAUUGUGAUUGAUGUGCAUUAAUGCAUUCAAGAGACUAGCAAUAUGUAGGUAUGAUUUCUCUUUUUAUGCCAAUAAACAGUAUUUAUAAAGACUAACAAAGUGAAGGAUGUCAACUUCCAUUUUGAAAUUUGGCCAUACAUAGUCAUAUCUAAAAGGAAUUAUGAUGUAAUGGCUUGUAUAGAGUAAAAACUUUACAACUUGUAAUCUUCUUCUUUAUGGUAUUGUAGCUUCAUUAUCAUAAUAGUUAAGACAUGCGUGCAUUUAAUCAAAUUGCAAAGUGCAAAAUCAAAAUUUUACUUGUCAAUUUUAAUAGAAUUAUACUUUUUCUCUUGAACUUUCACAAAUGCAAUUACAAUCACAUACUAAAUUAUACAAAAUAGAAUUUGAGUAAUUAUCUCUCGGACUUUUUAUGAAGAAAAAGUAGAACAUUUCUCUUUUUAAUAGUCAUUGCAUGAAGUACGCUUGAUGAUAUACAUAUACAUGUAUACACAUGCAUAUAUAUUAUAUUUAAGGAAUUUAUGUUCUUGUCUUAUUUGGUGAGUUUUAAAUCAGUCAUUGUCCUAUGAAUAUUGGUAAAUGGAAUUCCUAACGUAAUAUUACAUAAAAUUAGUGUCCCUUUCAUUCUCCACUAUGGAAUAAUGACUAAAAUUUCAUGAGAAAUGCGGGCACCAUUAGUCCUAUUAUCUCAAUUUUAACAUCUAGAGAAUAUAAUUCUAUGAUUUAUAUAUCCUAAGUAGUUAUGAUAUAUAUAUAUAUAUAUAUAUAUAUAUAUAUAUAUAUAUAUAUCAUAACAUCAGAAUUGCACAAUGCACCACCGGAUAAAAGGGGGGAAAAAACAGAUGUUCCGACGACAAAUUCACCAUCGCCACAGCCCAAAACGCAUUUUACACACCUAGAAAAAAGUAUCUUCGUUGAAGAACAAGCGAAAUUGGCAUGGAUGAAAGGAUAAAUAAAAGCGAGAAAAACCUCGGAAGCGGCGAGUCGGCAAGCAAAACUUACCCCACCACAGAUUAGGUGUUAUUACGAAGACUUCUAGGAAAAAAGAAAAAAAAAGGGUUAAAAAGUUAGAAAUAAAACUCCUUUUUAUUUCGACGCAUUCAUGACGCUUCAAAAUGGAAAUAACCAUUCUGACUACUCCAAAAGUCAGAACGGAAGGGCGAAAAUGAAGAUGCCAUGAGAUCCUGGCCAAACUGUUUUUGAUGAAAAAAUUAAUUUCUUGCCAUCGACUCUAAUAAUUAAAAUAACCAUCAAAAAGACUCGUUUGGUGUAACUUUUACUCUUCAUCUUUUGUUUUUUUCUCAAGAGCAUGCACUUUGGCUUCUUCUUUUUUUCAGUGGUAUAUCCCUGAAACUUGUUGACACGCCCAAUCGUACAUGAGUUUUUUCAUAGUUUUCUGGAAUUUGAGCAAUGUUUUGUCUUUUGACGGAAGAGCGAGAUAUUUAUUUUUGGUUUUUUUAUUAGUUGCGGCGAGCAAUCUAUCUCGUCCUCUGCUUCAGCUUGUCUAUUACUUGCCAAUAUCUUGGGAGUACCUGUUAAGUAACCAGGCUGAAAAAAUAAAUCAUAAGAAGUGGUUUUUAUUAAAAGUAUUAAUUUUACAUAAUAUGAGAGCGUGAAAAUUGCACGUUAAGUAACCUGGCUGAAAAAAAAAAAAAAAAACUCUAUAUGAAGUGGUUUUUAUUAAAAGUAUUGACUUAACAUAAUAUGAGAACAUAAAAAUUGCAGUAGUCAUCUUAAAAGAAAAACAAAGAUUCCGUGAAGAGGGCCAUUUAUCAAAUGAAAAAGUCAUAACUAGAAUUCAAGAUUUUACUAAUUAAUAUAUCAAACAAGAGAUUGAAUAUGUACAUAUAUUGCAACGGACACAUAAUUUUAUAUGAUAUAUUCAUAAUCAUAAAUAAGUUAUUAGCUAUAUUAAUAAUCUCUAAACUUACGAUUUUAUCGUAAUUUUUAGUUUAAAUAUAAAUUACAAUUUGAUAUAAUCAUAAUCAUAAAUAACUGAGUUACUCAAAUAUAAUAAAAAUAUUUAAAAAAUUAAUUGUGGAAAGUGCAAAGCAUUUUUAGAAAUGAGAAAAUUGAAGCUAUUUUUGGCUACAAGCCUACAUGGAAUAGCUAUUCCUUGGCCCCGACAGGAAUAACUAUUCCUGAUUUUAAGAGUAUAGUAAUUUCUACUCUGUUUUUUAAUCAAAUGAAGGAAUAAUUGCUUCAUCAAAAUAGAAUGGAAAUAGAAUAGUUAUUCUUGAGAACCAAAUUGUAGCAAGCUUUCACAAAUAAAAUAAAAUAAUAAUUAUGCAUAAGAAGUCAAGAAGCAAUACAGAAAGUUCACGGACUUCCACAUGUCAUUUUCUUGGAACCAGAAAUUUUGCUAUUGUACUUCACAAUGUUGUACAAGAUUUCGUUGAUACUCAUAUGUGAACAACAUAAUAAUUUGGGAAGGAUUUAGAUCUCAACACUCAAAAGGAAUCCAUGAAAAAGAAAGAAAUCUUCAACAUAAGUAAUCUACUCAGAUUAGUCAUUGCUCCCAAAGAAAUGCUCAAGUGACUAUUAUUAAUCAACUGUAAGAUUAACAGUUGGUUGUGGGUCACAAAAAAACAAAUAACAGAUAAUUAAAAAUUAUUUGGAGAUUCACUCCUUUAAGAAUAUGUGGCUAACCUUUUCUAUUUUUGGGGCCCCCCAAAGCUUUUUUUGUUAACGGGGUCCCUCCCCCCCCCCCCCCCCCCCUCCCCCUAAACUUCCCUCUCAAAAUAUUAGAAUGCCCAAUCUAUCUUCAAGACUUCUUUGUGUGGUGUGUAACUCUUCUCAACUUAAAAAAAUCGAUGGCUAGGGUGUGGCCGAAUCCUGAAAAUAAGCCAACCUUUUGUACUUGGACAAAAGUCGCAAAACCUUUCAAACAUCUAUCAAGCCUAACCUUCAGCAUCUACGACAAAGAUAACAUAACCUUUCAAACGCAAUAAAGAUAGCCCAACUAUUUAACCGUAGAACAAAAUUGACACCCAGUACAAAUUUCAUCUAUUAUAACUGUUAAAUCGCCACCGAUGCCCUACAUUGUUCAUUGUGCUAAUGUACACAGUGACUGAUGUCAACCCACACCAAAAAGGAUGUUGUGUUUUACUUUAUAAUCAUGUUAACAAUUUGUUACAAAAUUCCUGGCUUUUUGUAAAGAAAAAAAGUUUUAGUCAUGAUUAACAUGGUUCAUUGUGCAUAUCCGCACAAUGAGCUAUGUAGAAUGACUCGAGAUGAUUUAAAGUGAAAAUAGGCAGAAUUGAUGGCAGGCGUCAUUUUUGUCCCAUUAGUAAAAGGAUGAGUUUGAAAGCUAAUGUCAUCUUCAUUCCACAUUCAAAAUGCUGGAUCCUUUUAGGAUUUUUUUCGACUUGUGUAAUAUUUAUCCCAAUUGCAAAAAGUCGUACUUCUUUUAUUUGGCUGUGUACUCAUUAAUAUCCAACGAGUGAGUUAUGAGUGUGUUUCAAUUAUGCUUUAAAUGUCUUUUAUUUUUUCGUUUAUUUAGUAAGUCGUGCUAGUGCUUUGUCCUUGCUUCGCACUUGGCAUGCAUUUUUUUCAUAAACACUUCAACAAAGGAGAGUAUUGGGUGACCUCUCACGUCGCUUUGCCAUGUUAUAGGACGUAUUGUACAAGCAAUCUUUCUACAAUGUACUAUAGGUGCAACACUUGAGAAGGAUGUGGAGGAAAUUCAUCUCCUUGAUAGAUCCAAGUGGCAUUUCGAUCGAGCCUACGCUGGAGGGCCCUUCUAAAGGUUCGGCAUAAUUGUAAAAGGAAGAGGCUGAGAGUUGUGAGUGGCUAACCCAGCCUCCUUCGUCCCUUGGGACCAACAAGGGUAGCAGUACUUUUUCAAAAAUAAAGAAGGAUAUUUGGCAUUUGUUUUUCAAUUGGAAGUGGUACAUAUUGUGGUUCUUUCAGCCGCUUGUAUUUUAGAUAAUAUAUAUGAAAAUAACUUCGGAUAUUUUCAUUCAAUGUUGGAAUAAACUGAAAAGAACUUAUAUCAUUUUUAGAAGAACUUAUAUCAUUUUUAGCAAAACCACUCUGAUUUCAACUUAAGAUAAUGCCAUGGAUGGAAAACGAAAUGGAAUCAUGGAAGAAUACUGACAUAAUUAUAUCAAACUGUACAUUUGUAGUUGUAAAAUUUAGUUAUACUAUUAUAUUUGUAUAUAAAAUAUACAGCAUAUUCAUUUUUCUUUUGCUUAGUUUAGUUUGUUUUAUCAUGUAGUACGAAAGACAUAAUAAAUGGACACCGGCUUCGAACUUGUUAAUAUAUGAAUUGGCACUUGUGAUUACACGUACGGCGCACGUUGAGACAGUAAAUAAGUGUGAGUCUUUUGAUCAACAACUAGAGUCAAACCAAAUGAUGGAUUAAAAAGGGUAGAGUCGCAAUCAUGAUUAAUUCACAAAUGCAAAUACAAUCUCAUGCUUAAUUAUACAGAAUAAAAUUUUAGAGUAUUUAUCUCCUUGACCUUUAAUGUAGAAAAUAAGUAUUCCUUCCAUUCCUAUUAUGGAAUAGUGACUAAAAUUUCAUGAGAAAUGUGGGCAUCGUUAGUCCUAUUAUAUUAAUUCUAACAUAUGAUUUAUAUAUCCCGAGAAGCUAUGGUUUACAAUAGUAUAGUCAAGUUAUUUAUUGCAUGUUUCAAGGACGCAACUAAAUCAAUAUAGAAAUUCAAGAUUUAUGUCAAUAUAGAAUACCCCUAUCAAUAUCUAAAAAAUUUGAAAGUACCUCAUUCUUGGAGAUGACUUUGUAAUAUACACUUGCUUAAGAAAUAUCUUAGAUAAGCAGCGGUACUUCCUAAGAGAGAAGCGACCUCCUACUUUCUAAUCAUGUCAAUGAAACGAUACAAGGAUGCUAAUAUCAUAAGGUUCUCUGUUCACUAGAGCAAGAACUGAGUUGACGACCAACACUACUCUAACAAGAGAACAUGGACAAAGGGAACAAAAGAAGAGAAAUAGUUACCUUAUUUCUCUUUAGCACUUUCAAGGCCUCCUCGGAGUCCCAUAACCUGCUACGGUGCCAAGGUUGUUGCUGGUUUUCCUCACAUACAAUUGCUCUACCAAGAUCUCUUAAUUGGUCAUGCAUUCGGAGCUUAAGAUCAUCUCCAAUUUUUAUUAAUGACAUAAGUAUCAACUCUUCAAUAUUCACAACUGGAAAAAAGUCACAAGCGUCCCACAUGUAGAAUGCAAUUCUGCUAUCAGUGCCAAUGAGAAAGCAAGCGAUAUCCAAAAAUAUUUGUUUUUGUCGAUAUUCUAAUGCAUCGUAACUUAUCCUUAACUUUUCUUGCACUUCUUUAUUCUGGACCUUUCCUAACAUUUUUAUCAUAUCUCCCCAUUUUUCUCUUCCUUUUCCGCAAAAUAAUGAACCUAAAACCUCAAGGGAUAAGGGAAGUCCUCCAGCGGUGGAUACAACUUCACGAGUGAGGCCCUCAAAUUCACUCGGAGGAAAGUCCUUUCGAAAUGCAUGUCUGCUAAACAAAAUCGAAGAUUGAUAGGGAUCCAAUUCCGUAAGGUCAUAGGUGUGGUCUACCCCAACUAAUUUAAGAAUUCUCUUGUUUCUGGCAGUAAUAAUGAUUCUACUUCCCAAAGAAAAGCAAUCAUUAUUACCGGCCAAAUACUUCACUUGAUUGACAUUAUCCACAUCAUCAAGAAGAAUAAGGACCUUUUUAUCUUUAAACCUGGAGCGGAUGAAAUUAAUCCCUUCAUCCUUACUAUGAACUUCAUUUUUUUGAUUCAAUAUAUCAGAGAUUAACUUAUUUUGUAAGUUAUUAGCAUCACGAUUCCGUGAUUCCCUUAUNNNNNNNNNNNNNNNNNNNNNNNNNNNNNNNNNNNNNNNNNNNNNNNNNNNNNNNNNNNNNNNNNNNNNNNNNNNNNNNNNNNNNNNNNNNNNNNNNNNNAAAGCUACGAUGCUCAUAUUGAUUGGAUAGCUUGUGUAAGUGGCUUUAGCAAGAGUAGUUUUACCAAUGCCUCCCAUUCCAUGGAUGCCAACAAAUAGGAGGGCAUGAGAUUUAUCAUCCAGAAGUUUCAUAACAUUCUUCACAUGACUAUCAAUUCCAACCAAAUUUUCAGAAAUAAUCAACUCAAACUUUUUCUUCAGUUCACUCAACACUUUUCGAACAACUGAUUUCACCAACUCUGCUUCAAACCUGUCAAAUAUGACAAGAGUUCAAAUAUAUGGCAACAAUAAUUUUAUAUUGUUUAUCUAUUGAGAAUGUCGUAAUAAAUGAAUUCGUGACAAAAUUUAAAAAUCGCUUUUGUCACACCUCCAUAUAUUAUCUUAUAUGCUAAGAAUAAAGUUUGAGAAAUGCUUUUGGUCGUUUCACAUGGCAUGCCCCCUUCUACUAUUACUCCGACAAUUUAUUAAAUUAGAAGAAACUUGAGGGCAUCACUUAUGAACCUUGAAUAUUGUAUAUGUUAUGAAUUUGAAACAAAUUUUAGACUUGUUGUUUGUUAAAGAUAUUAGGUAUGACGUGGACAUAACUUUGAAAACAUUCUGGAGCCUUUGAAUAAUCAAAAAUCCAAUAAGCCAACAUAGUAUGAGAGUCAGUAAUCAAUCGAUAAACAAGUCAUAACUUUUGGUGUGAGACAAUUUCAACUCGUGUAAUACCAAUCCAAAAAGCCGUUCAGAUUGUGAUAUUGAGAACCAACUUGAAUGCAAUCGAGAGGAUUUCUCCUUGUUUGCGCAAUUCUACAUGAUUGCAAGUUCCUACUUGUGUUAUCAUUAUAGAUUGGUGCUCGUAUCAGUUUUGAUUGCUCUAGGGAUGAUAAGUUCUUGUACUUUGUUUUCCUUUUGAGUAACUAUGUUCUUUGAUUUUAAUUCAUCUAAGUAGAAGAAUAAUUUUUUUCCCGAAAUAAGAACAUUGAUUCAAUAUAUUUAGGUGUAUGAGACAGAAAUUACUUGCUGAAGAUAGGAAAUGCAUUGAAAAUUAUUCAAACAAAUAUAUAAUAUAAAUAAUCCCUUUUUCCUUUUUCUUUUUUUUUAAAUAUUUUCCAUCAUCUUAUAUAACUAAUGAAACAUUUCUUUUGUAAAAUAAUUUUAAUAGCAACUAGUCAACUAUAUUAAUGAUUUAAAAAAUGUAAUUUGGGAAGAUAAAGAAUUAUGCGUUGGACGAUCACUAUGCACGGUAUAUGAUGCUAAGAGCUCUAAAUAAAAAUCACCAAUAAGUUGUACUAUUAAUCUCAAAUAAAUACGUAAUUAGAAAAUUUUGUGACGAUGACUAGUGUGANNNNNNNNNNNNNNNNNNNNNNNNNNNNNNNNNNNNNNNNNNNNNNNNNNNNNNNNNNNNNNNNNNNNNNNNNNNNNNNNNNNNNNNNNNNNNNNNNNNNNNNNNNNNNNNNNNNNNNNNNNNNNNNNNNNNNNNNNNNNNNNNNNNNNNNNNNNNNNNNNNNNNNNNNNNNNNNNNNNNNNNNNNNNNNNNNNNNNNNNNNNNNNNNNNNNNNNNNNNNNNNNNNNNNNNNNNNNNNNNNNNNNNNNNNNNNNNNNNNNNNNNNNNNNNNNNNNNNNNNNNNNNNNNNNNNNNNNNNNNNNNNNNNNNNNNNNNNNNNNNNNNNNNNNNNNNNNNNNNNNNNNNNNNNNNNNNNNNNNNNNNNNNNNNNNNNNNNNNNNNNNNNNNNNNNNNNNNNNNNNNNNNNNNNNNNNNNNNNNNNNNNNNNNNNNNNNNNNNNNNNNNNNNNNNNNNNNNNNNNNNNNNNNNNNNNNNNNNNNNNNNNNNNNNNNNNNNNNNNNNNNNNNNNNNNNNNNNNNNNNNNNNNNNNNNNNNNNNNNNNNNNNNNNNNNNNNNNNNNNNNNNNNNNNNNNNNNNNNNNNNNNNNNNNNNNNNNNNNNNNNNNNNNNNNNNNNNNNNNNNNNNNNNNNNNNNNNNNNNNNNNNNNNNNNNNNNNNNNNNNNNNNNNNNNNNNNNNNNNNNNNNNNNNNNNNNNNNNNNNNNNNNNNNNNNNNNNNNNNNNNNNNNNNNNNNNNNNNNNNNNNNNNNNNNNNNNNNNNNNNNNNNNNNNNNNNNNNNNNNNNNNNNNNNNNNNNNNNNNNNNNNNNNNNNNNNNNNNNNNNNNNNNNNNNNNNNNNNNNNNNNNNNNNNNNNNNNNNNNNNNNNNNNNNNNNNNNNNNNNNNNNNNNNNNNNNNNNNNNNNNNNNNNNNNNNNNNNNNNNNNNNNNNNNNNNNNNNNNNNNNNNNNNNNNNNNNNNNNNNNNNNNNNNNNNNNNNNNNNNNNNNNNNNNNNNNNNNNNNNNNNNNNNNNNNNNNNNNNNNNNNNNNNNNNNNNNNNNNNNNNNNNNNNNNNNNNNNNNNNNNNNNNNNNNNNNNNNNNNNNNNNNNNNNNNNNNNNNNNNNNNNNNNNNNNNNNNNNNNNNNNNNNNNNNNNNNNNNNNNNNNNNNNNNNNNNNNNNNNNNNNNNNNNNNNNNNNNNNNNNNNNNNNNNNNNNNNNNNNNNNNNNNNNNNNNNNNNNNNNNNNNNNNNNNNNNNNNNNNNNNNNNNNNNNNNNNNNNNNNNNNNNNNNNNNNNNNNNNNNNNNNNNNNNNNNNNNNNNNNNNNNNNNNNNNNNNNNNNNNNNNNNNNNNNNNNNNNNNNNNNNNNNNNNNNNNNNNNNNNNNNNNNNNNNNNNNNNNNNNNNNNNNNNNNNNNNNNNNNNNNNNNNNNNNNNNNNNNNNNNNNNNNNNNNNNNNNNNNNNNNNNNNNNNNNNNNNNNNNNNNNNNNNNNNNNNNNNNNNNNNNNNNNNNNNNNNNNNNNNNNNNNNNNNNNNNNNNNNNNNNNNNNNNNNNNNNNNNNNNNNNNNNNNNNNNNNNNNNNNNNNNNNNNNNNNNNNNNNNNNNNNNNNNNNNNNNNNNNNNNNNNNNNNNNNNNNNNNNNNNNNNNNNNNNNNNNNNNNNNNNNNNNNNNNNNNNNNNNNNNNNNNNNNNNNNNCUUUCGCAAGAGAGAUUAGAGGAGAACACAUUCUGAUGAUAUGGGAUUGUUGCAGGAAGAUUCCUAGUUGAGAAGUUGUGAGGGUAACAUUAAAGUAAUAACAUAGAAAACUUACUUCAACAUCAUGCAGUGAAACUGUACCAUCUUCUAGUCCCAAGACAACAACUUUGCCAUCAGGACGCCAGCAUAAUGAUGUUAUACAUUUACCUGGAGUACAUUAGAGUAAUUAAGAUACGAUGGAAUGUGCAAAGAAAAGUGAUUUCAUAAACAACAACAACAACCAAAAAAAGGAAAAAAAAAAUAGAAAGAGAGAGGAUGAAUAAUUUGUUCACCAUAAAUUAAUAUGUUCACCAUAAAUUAAUAGACAAAAAGGAAAGACAGAGAAAAUGAUAAUCAAAAUCUGGGAAGUGAUGCAAACAUCAUAACAGUAAUAGUAUAUCCGAAAGGGAUAUUGGUAGCUUGACAUGGAUUUCUUUCGGCUAGUAGAUCAUCUAAAGCUAGGGAAUCUAUGUCUUUUUGGCAGCCUUCAAUCCAUUAUCUCAGUCCAAAAACAAAUCUUAUUCCUCAACUUUGGAACCUCAAGGUGGAGUGGAUCAAUGAAAGCAUACUUCAAGGAAGGAUCACGAGUGUACAAGCAUCUACAACUUAACAUCUCAACAGAAACCUCUCAAGGAUUAGGUCAAGAAGCACUCAACAACAUGUUUUUCAUAUCCAGAAGGCAAUAUGAUGCAUGAAGCAUUCAAAUGUUACCUCCUAUCUAAAUUUUUCAAGUGAGAAUAGAUUAAAAAAACCACCAAGGCUAGGCAUCUAAUCCUAAGCUCUUAUGAAUUCGAAUUACCAAAAGAUAAAGUCAUAUAAGAACUUAACAUACUUGGAUGCAGCUCCCCCUACCCUCCUAGUCUCUUUGCUUUCUCCAACUCCUCCCUCCAUGUAUACAUGUAUGCAGCAUAGCUUGAGAUAUAUCCUAUUCACAAGUAAGUUAAAUUCCCAACAACAAACUUGAUUAAUUAAAAUGAUGUCACGAAAUGCCCCUUGUAAUCAGUAGAAGAUAAAUUAACUUCAAGUAAUGCAAAAUGUGCGAAACUUUCUAUACUAGACUCUAAAUUUUAGCAUUACAAAAUGUGAAAAACUUUCCAGCCCAUACUAAAUCUCUCCUUGUAAGGAACGUUCAAUCAGUAUAAGAAGAGGAAGAGGAGGAGCCAGAGAUAAUAUUAUGCUCAAUCAGCAGAAGAAAUAGGAAGAAGCAGAGCUGGAAGUGAUAUUACAUCGUGAGAGUCACCAACAGAAAUUGAAGGAAAACUAUAUAGCUGCCUGACGACGUUGUGAUGCUACUUUGCAGGGGUUAAACCUGCCAACUCCAAGUGGGCAUCUAGCAUUUCUACAUCUGACAUAGCUAGUCUAUCUAGCAUAAACAACAUCCCCUCCAAUUUGACUUCUUUAUCUUCAUGAACACUUUGACUGGUGUAGCAUGAAAAUGGCAACAAGAUGGCAGUACAGGAGUCGGGUACCCUUCUGGUUGGUCUAGAUGAUUGUCACUUAUGCUAUGGAAAUCUCCUAAGGCACCAAUAUUAUCUAGAAGUUUAUAGGAAUCUGUCACGCCUGUAAAUAAAAAUCCCUUCAUUAAACUAGUAUCAGCUUGGGAUUCUUUAUUUGCAACUUUGUCAUAUCCACAUUUUCCCUCCUAUUACCAUCAUUCACUCUUCAUUUUCGUGUAAAACACCAACUCCUUUGUUCGACAUCACAUCCUCAUUCGGACUUUCAAGCACUUCACCUCUAUAUUGACCAAAUCUCCAUCAAACCCAAUUUGAACUGGAUUGGCAAUUUAAGUGACUUAUUUGGGGAAAAGGCUCGUAGCAAAAUUAAGGAAAAGCAAAGGGAAGAAUAAGGCCAACGACUCAAAGGGCACACACCAUGCCAUCGUUGAAGAAACGAACAUGCUGAAUAAAAAAUAAAAAGAGGAGAACUUUCUCGAGUCAAAGCAAUUACCAGGAGAGAUUGUCCACAGCCUCUGCCAAUUGAAGCGAUGAAGCACCACCUUCGAGUCCUCCGUGACCAUCGCCAACAAAUCCUUCUCCGGAUUCCACUCCGCCAUCUUCACCUGCCAAUCGGAAGAAAUCGAGCCAAAACCUCACACAAAACCGAAUGGGAAAACAAUCGAAUCGACCCGCCCAUUAUCAGGUCGCAAAAGAGGGAUGAAACGGGAGCCGAACCUGAGAAGCCAGCGGCUUGUCGAACUGAAGCUGAAAGGGAAGCAUGUGCCGCGACCCUUGGUCGGUCUCCAUAGCUGGAAAAAGCUCCGGGAGCAGCCAAAAACGCAGCCAAAACGUCCGGUGGCAAAUGCGAACUUAGAGGGAGAGCUAGUGGUGGAGGGUUAGAGCCCGAAAGCCCUAGAAGAAAGCCUGAUGGAAGAGAAGAGCGAGUAACCAAGUGCAAUGGAGCCUGAUAAUUUUGCAGAGAAGAUUAGGGAAGAGGAAGAACAGGCGGGAGAGAAUUUGACUACUGAGGAAGCAGAGUGAAUUUGAUUACGGGCCGAGCCUUGGGGCCCGGUCCCAAUAUGGGCUGCGAUAUUGGCUUAAACCCAAGCCCAAUAAACUCUAAUUCAGCCCAAAAUCCAAACCCAAAUUUAACCGACAUCCUAACCAAGCCCACUUCCCCGCCAUUCUCUCUCUCUACUGCCGUCCCCCGAUCUGCCGUCGCCUCUCAAUUCCUCCUUCCAAACGAACAGAACACGAGAACCCACCACGGUUGAAGUUCACCGAAAAUGUACUUGCUGAUCAUAGGACACAGAUUUACACCGCACCGCACGUAUUCAUGUUGCCCACUUUGGAUAACUCGACAGUUGAGAUUAAACCGAGCGGGGCUUUGGUUCAGGCAUUUCGUCGAACGUUUGAAGCGCACUGGCUAAAAGGAGGCAAACCCGACCACCAACUCGCGCCAGGACUCGCAAUGAUUGACAGACAGCGACCCCAAACGGCGGCGCACGGACGAAGGGGGCCAGUGCUCGCGUGAACCAGACAAGGACGAAGCCUGGUCUGGCGAGCCCAGAACGGGGCAAGACUGGGGCACGAACAGAGGAGGCAUCGGCUGAGAGUCCCUACCCGGCUCGGCGACGGUGAAUGGAGGGCGAGUUCGAUAGACCGGACCACGUCGGGUCGCCUCGCACGCCUCCGAGCCAGGAUGCUCGGAAAAACGGCUCGUCCCACGAAAAAUGGAAAGAAAAAGAAAAAGAAAGGAACUUGACCUACCGGAGACUUAGCGCGGGGAACGGGAGAUGCGAGCUUAAGAGCGCGGUCGGGAGUCGUCGGACGGGUUUCAGGCGUGACCGAACUGCCGGAGGGCUCCUCGCUCUCAAACUCUCUCUCUCUCUCUCUCUCUCUCUCUCUCUCUCUCUCUCUCGGUUGCUCUCAGUCUCUCCACCCUUCUCUCUCUCUCCCUCUCUCACUCUAUUUCUCUCCGAAAAUCCCACCUUCGGCUCGCUCUCCUUCUCUCCGUUUUUGCUCUGCUGCGACUAAUUUUACUUUCCUUCCUAAUUAGUCUAAAAUAUAUUUCGACUUUAUGAUAUGAUAAAUUGUCUUUUCUUUAAUUUUCCCCAUGCAUUAGGAAAAUAAAAAUAAAAAUAAACCGUAUUUGUGAUCACAUUAAAGUUAUACAAAAGAACUUAGACUGCACGAAGCAAAAAAUUACUUGACCCCUUUGAUGUUUCUGGCCUAUUUCGGUAUUUAGUUCCUCAUGCCUAAGUUAUUUUAGAUUGCUCGCUCUAUGGCCUUCACGCAUUGGUGUGCCACCUUUAUGGGAUUGGAAAGUGGAAGGAAUGGCUAGGACUUUAUUGGAAUGCUUUUAAAGGGGAUGAUUGAAAUUAGGGUUAGUUGUCAGUGCAGUCUUCCGGUUAGAAGGAUAAGGGCUUUUAUUAAUCAACUAUCUUUCAUAUUCUAUUUAGAUUAUUUAAUUAGAAAAAAUAGAGUAUAUAUAUUUAUUAAAGGCUUGUUUGAUAAUAAUCCCGGGAAUAAAUUUUUGCUCUAUUUUUUUGUUCCCGAGAACAAAACAAGUUUUUUGUUUCAUUUAUUUAUUUUUGUUUACGGGAAUAGAUUUGAAAUAGAAUCAAGAAGCAGAAAAAAAUUGCUUAUUGUUCUCAGGAACAAUUCCUAGAAUCAACCUAAUUUUUUCUUUUUUAUUCUUCUCUUUCCUUUUUUUCUUCUUCCUUUUGGCCAUUCGCUGGCUUUGGCCAUGGCCAACAAUGGCCGAUGAUCGGCCAACAAGGACUGGCGACCUCGCUGAAGCGUUACUAAACAACAAGGCUCAGCCUUGCAAAGCUAGGGCAAGCCCAACCUCACACCAUUAGGGGGAGGACGAGCCUCACAGUGGCCAGGCAAGCCUCCAGCGAGCUCGCUGACCCUUACCCUGGCUUGGCUCGCCCAACCAAUUGCUGGCCACAACGCUAGCCAUCGUCGUGGCUAGCGACUGGCCACAAAAAAAGGAGGAAGAAAAAGAGAAAAGGAAAAAGAAAAAAGAAAAAAUAUAACAAAAGUAUUAAAAAAAUUUAAGAAUCCUACCAAAUACAUUUUUAUCCCAAGAAUAAAAAUUUUGUACAGUUCCCAAAUGCGUUCUUUUGUUCGAAAAUUGUUCCCAAAAAUAGAAUCAGAAAAUAUCAUUUCUGAUCAAAAAUUACUUUCGAGAAUAUAAUUGUUAUCAAAUGUGUCCUAAAAAUGUUUUCCAAAAAUAACUAUGUAACUUGUUCUCCUUAAACUAAAGCACCAGUUAAAACAACAAUUUGUAUGCCCUUGUGGGACUCAUAUAAAUGACAGUUUUCCACUACUCAUGUAUCACACUGAUCUUAGACAAUAAUGUGAUGAAAGACAAUAAUGUGAUGAAAGUUGUCUUUCCUAGAAAAUCAAGCUAUAGAUAGAUGUUUAUUUAUUUGUAUAAGUUGGGCAUGCUUAUCGUCAUUUUCUAAAAUUUAUUGCAUGCUAUAAAUGAGUUUGUAAUUGUCCAUAGUUUCUUACUCAAAAUGCUUCAAUCGGUCUCGCCAGAUUUGGUGAGGGCUGACACUCGCCCUCAUUGGCCAUGGCUAUGAUCGGUGGCUAGCAAUGGCCAUCAACGAACAAAAAAGGGAAAGGAAAAAAAAGAAAAAGAAAUCAAUAAAUUCAAAAAAAUUAUUAAAAUCAUACACCUUAGCAUCAAUCAGCCGGCUGAUGUCCAUCUUCACAAUUUCUAGUUUAAAUUGGCCUGAUGAAUUGAAUUGAUACUAAUGUGAGAAGGUUUAUAACUAAAUUGGUCCAAUUGAAAGAAUUAAAAUUGAAUUAGUACCAAUAUAAUAUGUUUAGGACUUUGUUUGGCACUUUUCCUCUUGACAAGUGGUAGCAAAGAUAGACGGUCAAGGAUUGACUAAACUUUGCUCAAAUCUUUGUCCAUAUGCCAGGUUGAGGUGAGUGAUGACGUGAUCGAGAAGAUUUUGAUGGGAGGCCUUGUUCUUGAGUACUUACAUUUAAUUGAGAAAUUUGAAAGAGCAUGAGAUUGAUAGAUGUUGGCUAGUUGAAGCUAACGAUCCACUCUUAAAGAUUCUCACUCCUCAUAACACGAUGUUUUCCACAAUAAGAAGGUUAGAAUAGUUCAAGCCUUGCAAUGAUUCUUCUUGUCAGUCGAAAUAGCAGCACUCUCAUAAAAACUGAAAAGUGAAGAGGAUUACAAUGAAGGUCGGGAGAAUUAGUGCUGCAACUGUCAUCACCAAGAGAGGCCAGUCAAAACAAGCACCAUUUGAUCUUUUUUUUACCAAAAUGAAAGUUAUAUUCUUUCUUUGCAAUGAACUUUGAAGAAACUUUAACCUAAUUUUACCCGAGCAUCUCCGGAAGCUAGAGUAUAUCUUUCAAAAAGAGGAUUGCUGCCGACAUCAAACCUUUCAAAUUUAGCAAAUUGAGCAAACUUCGCAAAAUUGAGUCAAAACAACUGAGUCGAUUGCCCAUUAGCUUGCAAAAGAAUGGCAACCGGGGGUUGAACCUGAGAAACCAUCGGUUUAUUGAACUAAAGCCGAAAUGGAAGCACAGCUGUAGUCCUUCAUCAACUUCCAUAACUAAAAAGCUCUGCAAGCACCCAAAAAACGCAAUGCUAGGGCUGGAACAAAUCGCGAGGAGUGUACAAAAGCAUCGAUGGAAAAUGCAAGCAAAAAGAGAGCUUGUGAAGGAUAGAGCUCGAAAGAUUGAGAGGAAGGCUCUAGGCUAGUGAGCGAGGAUAGAGCUGAAGAGCGAGAUAAAGAAAGGAAAAGUGAGAGAGAGUAAGAAAGUCCACUGGAGUUUGAAAUCAUGCGGAGAAAAUUGCAGAAAAGGAAUGGGCAGGAGAGAAUAAGAGAUCGAAACAAGAUUACAGGAGUGAAGGCGAACUCAUUUGAUUGAUGGGUUGGCCAAGCUAGGUCGAAUCGUGCCAUAUCUUGACGAGAACUUCUUGUCUGGGCUCAUUCAUCAUAAAUAUGUGAUUUUGGAACGAGUUGGAUUAUCAUAGCGUUUGGUUUAGUUAUAACCAUGGUAGCCACCUUUUUCAUACAUUUAUUAUCAAAUUGAGCUCUCAUUAUCAAAUUGAUCAAAAUCAUAACAUAUUGGAAACCACAUCAACAAAUUUCAUUAAAUUUGAAUUAAUGAAAGACAAUAUUGAACUUUUUUAUAUAUCUUAGGGAUUAGAUUGAACAUUAAAUUAAUGAAAAGUUUAUGGAUGACAUUACACGUUUGGCUAAAGUUCAUAGGCUGUGUCUUUUUUUCCUUUUGUUAGAGCACAAUCUUUGUUACAAAGCUAAACCGACAUCAAUCAAACUUCAAUAUCCCAAUAGAAGCACAAUCUCAAAUGCACAUCAAUUGGGCUCUAGUGACCUUGUUUUUCAACACUAGAAACUUUUCUACUUCGGUGCCAACAACGAUGUUAUUGGGGAGAAUUGGGUAAUGAUUCAAUAAGGACUAACUCAAUCCAUGAUCAAUUUCUUCCCAAAACUAAAUUGACCAAAAUGGAAUUAACCUUAGCAAUAAACAGCAGUGUUUUCCAACAAUAAAUAUCAAAAUAAGUAAAUAUAAUGCUGAAAUGUUAAAGAAACAAGACAACAAUAAUACCAAGAUUUUUGCAUUGAAAACUCAAUGCGGGAAAAAAAAUCAUGAAUUGCUCAAAAACUUUCACUAAUCAUACUAAUCACCAGUAACAUCAACAUUGCAAUAGUAUUUCAUCAUUAUGGAGAUGGAUAAAUAAAGAUAGAGCAAGAAACCUUAAUCGCAAUUAGAAAAAACAAGAGAGAAUCUAGGGAAGAUUUUCAAUGAGCAAAACUGAUCAACUAGGGGGUGCAUGAUAAAAAUCAUUUCUGUUCCAGAAAUGAUUUUUCUAUUCCAGAUCAAUUUCUAGAACAGAAACUUGUUUGAUAACGCUUAUCAAAUUUUCUAUUUCUGGAAUAGAUUUCUAUUCCAGAAAUAGAAAUGGAGGAGAAAUCAGAAGUAGAAAUUUUCUACCUCUAAUUUCUCCCAAACCCUAAUUUCACUCUUUUCUCCCUCGUACGCCUCUUCUCUGCCCAAAAUAAAAAUAAAUAUAUUUAUUUAAAAAUAAAAUUGAAUUUAUUAAAAUAAAUAAAUUAUUUUUAUUUAUCAUUUUAUUUUUAGUUUACUAAAAAUAAAUUUAUUAAAUUUAUUUAUGAUAAAUAAAUAAAUAUUUUUAUUAAAAGUAAAAUUAUUUUUUAUUUGCCUUGAGUGUUUUGCCAAAUAAAAUUAUUUUUAUUUUUUAUUUUUAUUCAUUUAAAAUAAAUUUAUUCGUAAAAUAAAAUAAAUUUAUUUAAUUUAUUUAAAAUAAUUUAUUUAUGAUAAAAAUAAUAAAUUUUUAUUUGCCUCGAGUGUUUUGCCAAAUAUUUUUUUUUAUUCAUUUUAAAAUAAAUUUAUUCGUAAAAUAAAAUAAAAUAGAAUAAAUAAAAUAAAUUUAUUAUAUUUAUUUAAAAUAAUUUAUUUAUGAUAAAUAAAAAUAAAUUAUUUUUAUUUGCCUUGAGUGUUUUGCCAAAUAAAAUUAUUUUUAUUUUUAUUUUUAUUCAAUUUAAAAUAAAUUUAUUCGGAAAAUAAAAUAAAAUAGAAUAAAUAAAAUAAAUUUAUUUUUAUAUUUUAAUUUUAAAAUAAAAUGAUAUUUUUAUUUUAUUUUUUUAUGAUUUAUUUUAUUUUAUUUUAUUCAUUAUUUUUUUUGUUACUAAAUCAUUUUUAUUUUUAUUUUUUAUAUUAAAGGUCGUCGGACGGCGCCGUCCAGAAGGAAGAAAUUUUGUAUCGUUAUCAAACGAAUUUCUAUUUUUAGAGUAGAAAUUUUAUGUCGUUAUCAAACGGUUAUUUUCGCUUAGAAACUCUUCUAGAAAUAGAAAUAGAAAAAUCUAUUUCUGUUCCAGAAACUAUUUCUGGAACAGAAUGGUUGUCAUGCGCGCCCCUAGUAGUCUUGAUUUAACGACCAACAAAUCGAAAAUUGAGCUAAUUUUGACAACGUUGGCCUUCGAUCCAGGACUUGGAACUUGCUUUCCCUUUUUCCUUCUCGUGUGUUCUUUCUGGGGCCGCUCUCUCUCUGUCUUUCCCUUUUCCUUUUUUUCGUGUUCUUCUUGGGAAACUCUCUCUCUCUCUCUCUCUCUCUCUCUCUCUCUUCCUCCCUCCUCUCUACACUCUUCACUCCACGAACGGCUCCUCUCUUUGUUUUUUGUUUUGACUUUUUGGCCUUUUUCUUUAUCUUUCAUGUUAUGUUAGCUGAGCCACACUGACGCCGACCCAGCCAACAAUCCUCCACCAAUAGGAAUAAGAUCUCAAUCUUGCAAAACUUUGAUUCCAAGACCUUUGACCCGACAGGCUUCACAUAGAUAGAAUCUCUAAGUACUUUAUCAACCCAACAAACUUUGGAAGGCAAGCAUCGAAUUGCUUCCACUUUAACAUGAAGAUUUUAACAUGAAGAUCAAAACCCGAAUUACAAAGAACUCUCUUUGAAUAAUGACCCCAAUAGACUUGCAAACAGCUGUCAAGUAUGAUACCAACUUAAAAUACAACCGUCUAAUUCGAAGGCCAUUAUAUCAAACAAGUUGGCUAGACUUUCAGUAUUUUGGAAACCUGUUAAGUUAAUGGACAGUUUCAGCUCUGCAAAGCUUCGAUAUAAAAUAAUUAGGGAAAUGUGGAAUGAUACUAUGCAAGCAUCCUUUGCCAUUCCAAGGAUGCAUUGUCAGAGUUUGGAGAAUUUCAAGAAACAUGGAGCCCCCAAUCCUUCGAUGAUCUCGGAAGUCUUCCAUAAACCCAUAUUAAAGCCGUUGGACUUUGAAAUAAGAUUUCAACUUUGAAACUUAACUGCAAACAAAAAAUUAGAAAUAACAUGUAAGAUAUGAAGAAUAAAAUAUUGUUCAUUAAGAAUCGAGAUCAAGAAGUCAUAUAUAAGCAAAUCCAGAGUCAUCCUAUAGAGCCACACAAAGAAAUGAAUAGCACGAAAAAGUAGUUCUGCUCUGCACAUGUGGAUAUAUGGAUCAUAUAUGUAGUUUCAGAUCAAAGGUAUAUACCCCAUACAAGGACAGUGAAUUGCGAAUGUAUCCGAUGAAUGUUGAAACUGACAUAAGAGGGAAUAGUGAUAAUAAAUUCUUACAAAGUUUCCAUUUCAAAAUAGAAGAGAAAGGCAUCUGGGCAGCUUCCUUCAAAGUGUGAUGAUCAAAUUAGGUUUUAAUCAAGAAAGGUGAGAUCCGUAUUUCUAUACACAAGGGUAACAAGCUAAACAGAGAGCCCAGUCCGAUAAGAUCACUCAACUAAAGCUUCCAUGUACAUUGUCAAGUGAUCAAACUUGAGAUCAAAUACCAAAAAAUAGACUAUUAGAUGGAGGGUAAUCGAAAAAUCAUUGUUGAGGAUAACCUCCAGAAGACAACCCCAAACCCCCAAUGGUGUCCUUCUUUUUCUCUCAUUAUAGUCUCAAGGUUCUGAUCACUCGGGCAAAGAAAUGAAAAAUAUAGGUACAAAUUUAUGGUAAUAGGCAUUUGGAUAGAAAUAUCUACAUACGAACCCUAUUAACAAUAAAUUCUAAACUAACCAUUCAAGAAAUGGCUAUUUCAGCUCAAAUAAUUGCAGAGUUGGCUAAACCUAAAAGCAAAAGCUUUUUAUUAAAUGAUUGCACUGCUUAUAGAAACCAAUUUUGAGCCCAGAUAAUCAUACUUAAACUCCUGUUAUGCAUAUGAAGAGAUCCAGAAUUUCACUUUUGGUACAAAUAUCAGCAAUGAGGACAAGACUUGAAGGGGGGAAGAAGCAAUCACUGCAAACAACAGAAACCAGUAGUGAUUUAUCCCAUAGUUCAUAUUUUUCCCACUGAGGCAGCAUUUGUAAGAACAUUUAUGAAUGGAAAAAGUAGAUAUAGCAUUAAUAUGAAGAAUCUACAAUGAAAGAGCAAUAAACAACACAUUCAACUAAGAACUUUUAUGAGCAAACAGGAUUCUAUCACAUUUCAGUUUUCUAACUCAUUUGCUGAUACCUAUGUUCCAUCUGUUGAAAUUCCUUUGCAAGUGUCCUUCGCAAUUAUUCGAUGUCCCCAAAUCGUCCAAACUGCAGUAGUUCUCUAACUCUCUGCAUUGUUUCUCUGAUGCAAUACUGAGGUUAAGACAUCUUACUAACUGAACAAGAUAUAUCAAGGUAGAAAAUAUUAAAGCUAUUGGAUGGUGAAAUAAGAUUCUUAGUUUGAAACUUAAGUGCAAAUAAAGCAUUAGAAAAAACAUGUAAGAUAUGAAGAAUGAAAUAUUGUCUAUUAAGAAUCAAGAUCAAGAAGUCAUAUCAACCUUUAAAUUGAAAGAUGCAUAAUUGUUCACUUGGGCAUCUUCUUCCCGGUUGAGACACAGCACAACUGCUGCAUGGGACUUCAAGCCUAGUAAUAGUUUUUCAUUCUGCUCAAUAUUUAUAUCAUGUUAGAAACUAUUGUACCACAGCAUGUAUAAGUGCUGCAAGCACUAGCAUAUAAAAAGCAGCACACCACAUAUCCAUAGUUAAGUAAAGAAAGCUAGAUUGGUAAGAUAACAUUCAUUAUGUAUUAUGUAAAAACAAACCCUCUUCCAAGCAAAACAUAGUCCAUGAAUCAGAUGAUGGUUAAUAAAUUUGUGGAAGUCUCAAAGAAAGAAAUGUAGUAGUAUCAACCAAUUCGUAGCCAUCGUACUCAUGACUAAACAGCUAUAGCUUAAUGACAUAACCAGUUAUUUAUGAACUUUUCCACCCACAACCAUGAUUAAAGCACAUACAAAUUCCAUCAUUCAAGAGUCACCUAAACCAUAACCUUUUUAAUUUGACUGAACGUAUUUGAGUUUCAACAUUCAAAAUAAACUAUUAAUUUGAUGAAAAUGACCAUGUCACAUAUGACUGUUUCUAUUAACACCAUUGACUGAGAGUGUAGAUCCUCACAAUGAGCUCCACCUCUGCAAAUGCUAUGCUGAAAGUUGUCAUCGACAUUUGAAGCAUUUUCAAUCAUCAAUGACAACAUCAGCAGCAAGGUGGCCAUUUCCAAUCCUACGGGAGAAUGCGAUUAACCACAUCAAUUAGAUUCAAGUCCUAAAAUGUACAUAUAUAUUGAAUCUAUUAUUAAUGUAUAACAUGUGAAAAAAACAAUUCAUUUAGGCUAUAUAUCUCUUCUAGUUUGCUCAUCUGUUUAACAAAUGGCCAUGUUCAAUGAUUUAAUAGGAUUUGUUAAGCUUAUCCUGCUCAGAUUUUCCUAUCUAACAGUCCAUAUUUACUUGACAUUGGCAAACAUGACCAGUAAACAUGGAUUGCCAUCUCUCUUAGCAGCUAAAUGUUCAUUCAGCAAGCUUGCUAUUUGCAUUGAAUCAUUCAGCUUCUGAGCAAUUCAAAAUAUUCCUCAUGAGAGAUCAAAGAAGGAACACAUUUUGAUGAUAAAGGAUUCUUGCAGAAGGAAGUUCUUGUUGAGAAGUAAUGAGGGUAACAUUAAGCAAUAGCACAGAAAACUUACUUCUACAUCAUGCAGUGAAACUGUACCAUCUUCAAGUCCCAAGACAACAACCUUGAUAGCAGGACCUCAGCAUGAUGAUGUUAUAUGUUUACCUGGAGUAGAUUAGAAUAAUGAAGAAGCCAAUAUUGACGAUACACAAUGAAUGUGCAAAGAAAAGUGGGUUCAUUAAAAAAAAAACAGAAAAACAACACACACAGAGAGAGAGAGAGAGAGAGCAAUGAAUAAUCUCUUCACAAUAAAAUUAUAGAAGAAAAUGGAAGAUAGAGAACGCACAGUAAACAGGAAAUGUUGGUCAAAAUUUGUUAAGUAAAUUAAAGUGUCAUAACAGUACAAGAUAACUGAGAGGGAUAUCGGUCACUUGAUAUGGGGAUUUCUUUGGGCUAGUAGGUCAUCUACAGGAAUCUAUAAUUUUUUGGCAGCCUCCUAUCCAUUAUCUCAAUCCAAAAAUGAAUCGUGUUGUCCGCUUUGAAACCUCGAGGUAGAGUGGAUCCAUGAAAGCUUACUUCAGGUGAGGAUCACAAGGGUACAAGUAUCUACAAUUGAGGACCUCAACAAAAAGCAUUCUAGGGUUGGCUCGAGUAGGAUAGUGCACUCAACACCAUGUUCAUCAAAUCCAGAAGACAUAUGAAGCGUUAGAUGUUUCAGAGGAGAAAAAAAAGCCUCCUCUCAAAAAAUUUCCAUUGAGAAUAGAUGGCAAGAAUUGCCAAGGAUAGGCAUCUAAUCCUAAGCUCUUACGAAUUUGAAUUACCCAGAGCUAAAGUCAUAUAAGAACUGAAGAUACUUGGAUGCAGCAACCUCUACACUCCUAGUCUCUACACCUUCUUCGAUUCCUUACUCCAUCCCUCUCGACCAAAUUGUCAUACAAGUAUGUAGCAUAGCCUGAGGUAUCCGCUUAACAAGUUAAACUCCCACCAGUGAAUUAAAUUAAUCUAAAUGAUGCGACAAAAUGCCCCUCUCUAAUCAGAAGAAGAUAAAUUUACUUCAAGUAGUACAAAAUGUAAGAAACUUUACAGCCUAUACUCUACAAUCUAGUAUACAUUGAAUAUCUCCUUGUAAGGAACGCUCAAUCAUUAAAAAAGAGGAAGAAGAGGAGCUAGAAGAAGCGUUACAUUUUGAGAAACAAAAUUAGAAAUCUACAGAAAACUAUAUAGAUGCUUGACAGCAUUGGGAUGGUAUUCUACAGGGCCUAAACCUACCAACUCCAUGUGGGCAUUAAGCAUUUCUGCAUCCGACAUACCUAGUCUAUCUAGCAUAAAUGACAUCCCCAUCUCCCCCUCCCAAAUUCAAGUUAUUUAUUUUAAUGGACACUUUAACUGGUGUACCCAGAAGGAUGACAACAUGCAAACACCAUAUACCAUUCCAAGGAUGCAUUGCUAGAGUUUAAAGAAGUCCAGCAAACAUCAAGCUCCUCAUCCUUUGAUGAUUUUGUUUCCUUUUAUAAGUGCCUUGCGAAAGCUCUCUUGAAUAUUACAGCACUUACUUCAACUAGUGGCAUGAUAACCGAAUCCUGCCAGUGAGUUAGAUGAAAUCAAUCCAGCAAUGAACAUCAAAUGAACUACUAACAGUACGGAGAAAUUUACAAGUCUCUAUUUGUCAAACUCGAUAUUCUUUUUGAACUCUUUGGAUCCAACUAAUGGGGUAGCUAACAUCAUUGACCAUAGAAGCUUUGACCAGAUUAGCAAAGUGAAUUCAACUCAAGUUGCUUGCUUUUGUGGGACAUAGUACAAUUUGCCAUCAUUGACCAUAGAAGCUUUGACAUGAACAGGAGUCGACAGAAAAGCAUGAUAUGCUACUUUUUCCCUUUUGCCAUCAAUGUCUUAAAUAGUGAAUUGACAUGAUUGGAAUAGAACUCUAGAUAUCAUGAGUAAUAAAUCAAUAUGCAAGCUCGGAUCGAUGAGUUACCUUCAACUAGUACAAAUCCCAGUUAUUUGCACACGUGGUUCCUGCAAUAUGCACAAAUGGAAGGUCACUAGCCUGCAGGAUUGUCAUCUCGGCAUCUCCCAAGUUUUCACCUGUGUCAUUCAUCUUAUUUAACAACAUUAUAAUUUGAUGUUCUUGCUUCCAACAGAACAUAUUAGCCAUACUUGCAAAUUUAGGCCACAAAAUAUGAUAUACAAAGCUUUUACCUCAGAUAGAGUCUAAUCCACACAACAAUGACCAAGAGGGAUGCACAACAAGAUCCUUCCAAAGAUCUUCCCUUCUUCACAUUGCUUGAAUCAUUCAUAAGUCCACUCACUACCGCUAUGUGAUUUGUUACAUCUAAAAAAGACUCCUCAUGUAUUUGGAAGGAAAUAUAAUCUGAAGCAAAUUCAAAGUCAUCCUGCAAUACCAUAUAGAGUAAUGACUAGCAUGAAAAAGCAGUUGGACUCCGCACAUGUGGAUCUCUGGAUAAUAUUUGUAGUUUUAGAUUAAAGGUAUAUACUCCAUAAAAGGACAGUGAAUUGGGAAUAUAUUUGGUGGAUGCUAAAACUAACAUAAUAGGGAAUUGUAGCAAUAAAUUCUUACAAAGAAUAUUUUUCAAAAUAGAAGAGAAAGGCAUAUGGGCAGCUUCCUUGAAAAUGUGAUUAUCAAAUUAGUUUCAAAUCAGGAAACAUGAGAUACAGUAUUUCCAUACACAAGGAUCAUAAGUUAAACACAGAGCCCAAUCCGAUAAAAUCGCCCAACUAAAGCUUCCAUGUACAUUGUUAAGUAAUCAAACAUCAAAUACGAAAAACUAGAUUAUUAGACAAAGGGUAAGUGAAAAACCAUUGUUGAGGACAACCUCCAGAAGACAACCCCCAACCCCCAAGGGUUUCCUUUUCUUUCUCUCCUUCUCCAUUAUAGUCUCAAGGUUCUGGCCACUAAGACAAGGAAAUGAAAAAUAUAGGACAACUUUAUGGUAAUAGGCAUAUGGAUAGAAAUAUCGACAAACCCAUUAACAGAAGUCCUGAAUUAGCCAAACGAGAAAUGAAUAUUUCAGUUCAAAAAAUUGAUGAGUCGGGUAAAACCAAAAGCACAAACUUUUAAUUAAAGGAUUGCAAUAUUUACAUAAAACCAAACUCAAACUCCUGUUACACACACAGAGAUCUAGAAUUUCACAUUUGGUGCACAUAUCAGCAAUGAGGACCAGAUUUGAAGGGGGGAAAAGCUGCUCAAUAGGGAGUUCGUGGCAAAACAAGUUUUCCUCAGAAAUCGACUUGGAAAGUGAGAAUUCCAAUUAGAGUUUCUCUUUUUGCUUGGGAAGCAACCUGGGAACAACUCCUUACUUUAUAAAUGAGACAAAAUACUGGUUAAUAGGUGUUUCCUCAUCAAAAGGAGGCAGAGUCCGCAUGGCAUCCCCUCCUUCAUUGUUCUUGGAAAGAAUGGUUUGGACAGUUUCCUAUGCUUGUGCCAUGUUAUCUUGGGUUAUCAGAGGUUUUAUUGAGCAAGAACUGUGGGCAUGACAGGGCAUUCGUUUACAGCACAACAAGUGGGAUUAACUCAAUUCCCCUGUUUCUUUUGGCUGAUUUGGAAGGCGUGGAGCAAGAGAGCUUCUGAUGGAGAGAAAUCAUCCGUUUUCUUUUAUUGAAAUUUGGCUUAAAGUCACACGCUUUUGGUAUAGAGCAGACUUGCGUAUGGAUGUAAAUGCCCUGGUUGAUUAGUCAAUGAUUGACCUGGUAUUUGAGCUCCCUUUUGGCUUUGGGAGUUGUUUUGUAUAUGGCUUUAAUUUUUUUGGGCUCCUUUGGUAUAUGGGUUGCACCCCAUAGGUGCCCUACAGGUGAACUAUAUAAUCUAUAAAAAGAAACUUCACACUUUUUUGAGGAUUUUAACUUAUUCCAAUUGCCCUUUAUUCCAACACAUGUUAUCUCAUCCUAUAAUUUCAAGUACCGACAUCAACAUCUCACUUUUUUGCGAGUAACGUCACCAUGACAAAAGGGUGCCGCUAAGUCAAGAUCGAAAAAGUUCAAAAGAAAUGUUGGAUCCAAAGAGCUACCACCACACUACCAGAAAAGGAGCAAUACUAGGGACUAAGAGUAGUAUACAAAACUGAUUUGAAGAGGAAAAAUGUGAGUAUAAUGCGUCAGUAGGUCUCAAACACCUAAUAUGAAUCUAUCUGGCAUGCAACUUAGUAAAACCAAUUNNNNNNNNNNNNNNNNNNNNNNNNNNNNNNNNNNNNNNNNNNNNNNNNNNNNNNNNNNNNNNNNNNNNNNNNNNNNNNNNNNNNNNNNNNNNNNNNNNNNNNNNNNNNNNNNNNNNNNNNNNNNNNNNNNNNNNNNNNNNNNNNNNNNNNNNNNNNNNNNNNNNNNNNNNNNNNNNNNNNNNNNNNNNNNNNNNNNNNNNNNNNNNNNNNNNNNNNNNNNNNNNNNNNNNNNNNNNNNNNNNNNNNNNNNNNNNNNNNNNNNNNNNNNNNNNNNNNNNNNNNNNNNNNNNNNNNNNNNNNNNNNNNNNNNNNNNNNNNNNNNNNNNNNNNNNNNNNNNNNNNNNNNNNNNNNNNNNNNNNNNNNNNNNNNNNNNNNNNNNNNNNNNNNNNNNNNNNNNNNNNNNNNNNNNNNNNNNNNNNNNNNNNNNNNNNNNNNNNNNNNNNNNNNNNNNNNNNNNNNNNNNNNNNNNNNNNNNNNNNNNNNNNNNNNNNNNNNNNNNNNNNNNNNNNNNNNNNNNNNNNNNNNNNNNNNNNNNNNNNNNNNNNNNNNNNNNNNNNNNNNNNNNNNNNNNNNNNNNNNNNNNNNNNNNNNNNNNNNNNNNNNNNNNNNNNNNNNNNNNNNNNNNNNNNNNNNNNNNNNNNNNNNNNNNNNNNNNNNNNNNNNNNNNNNNNNNNNNNNNNNNNNNNNNNNNNNNNNNNNNNNNNNNNNNNNNNNNNNNNNNNNNNNNNNNNNNNNNNNNNNNNNNNNNNNNNNNNNNNNNNNNNNNNNNNNNNNNNNNNNNNNNNNNNNNNNNNNNNNNNNNNNNNNNNNNNNNNNNNNNNNNNNNNNNNNNNNNNNNNNNNNNNNNNNNNNNNNNNNNNNNNNNNNNNNNNNNNNNNNNNNNNNNNNNNNNNNNNNNNNNNNNNNNNNNNNNNNNNNNNNNNNNNNNNNNNNNNNNNNNNNNNNNNNNNNNNNNNNNNNNNNNNNNNNNNNNNNNNNNNNNNNNNNNNNNNNNNNNNNNNNNNNNNNNNNNNNNNNNNNNNNNNNNNNNNNNNNNNNNNNNNNNNNNNNNNNNNNNNNNNNNNNNNNNNNNNNNNNNNNNNNNNNNNNNNNNNNNNNNNNNNNNNNNNNNNNNNNNNNNNNNNNNNNNNNNNNNNNNNNNNNNNNNNNNNNNNNNNNNNNNNNNNNNNNNNNNNNNNNNNNNNNNNNNNNNNNNNNNNNNNNNNNNNNNNNNNNNNNNNNNNNNNNNNNNNNNNNNNNNNNNNNNNNNNNNNNNNNNNNNNNNNNNNNNNNNNNNNNNNNNNNNNNNNNNNNNNNNNNNNNNNNNNNNNNNNNNNNNNNNNNNNNNNNNNNNNNNNNNNNNNNNNNNNNNNNNNNNNNNNNNNNNNNNNNNNNNNNNNNNNNNNNNNNNNNNNNNNNNNNNNNNNNNNNNNNNNNNNNNNNNNNNNNNNNNNNNNNNNNNNNNNNNNNNNNNNNNNNNNNNNNNNNNNNNNNNNNNNNNNNNNNNNNNNNNNNNNNNNNNNNNNNNNNNNNNNNNNNNNNNNNNNNNNNNNNNNNNNNNNNNNNNNNNNNNNNNNNNNNNNNNNNNNNNNNNNNNNNNNNNNNNNNNNNNNNNNNNNNNNNNNNNNNNNNNNNNNNNNNNNNNNNNNNNNNNNNNNNNNNNNNNNNNNNNNNNNNNNNNNNNNNNNNNNNNNNNNNNNNNNNNNNNNNNNNNNNNNNNNNNNNNNNNNNNNNNNNNNNNNNNNNNNNNNNNNNNNNNNNNNNNNNNNNNNNNNNNNNNNNNNNNNNNNNNNNNNNNNNNNNNNNNNNNNNNNNNNNNNNNNNNNNNNNNNNNNNNNNNNNNNNNNNNNNNNNNNNNNNNNNNNNNNNNNNNNNNNNNNNNNNNNNNNNNNNNNNNNNNNNNNNNNNNNNNNNNNNNNNNNNNNNNNNNNNNNNNNNNNNNNNNNNNNNNNNNNNNNNNNNNNNNNNNNNNNNNNNNNNNNNNNNNNNNNNNNNNNNNNNNNNNNNNNNNNNNNNNNNNNNNNNNNNNNNNNNNNNNNNNNNNNNNNNNNNNNNNNNNNNNNNNNNNNNNNNNNNNNNNNNNNNNNNNNNNNNNNNNNNNNNNNNNNNNNNNNNNNNNNNNNNNNNNNNNNNNNNNNNNNNNNNNNNNNNNNNNNNNNNNNNNNNNNNNNNNNNNNNNNNNNNNNNNNNNNNNNNNNNNNNNNNNNNNNNNNNNNNNNNNNNNNNNNNNNNNNNNNNNNNNNNNNNNNNNNNNNNNNNNNNNNNNNNNNNNNNNNNNNNNNNNNNNNNNNNNNNNNNNNNNNNNNNNNNNNNNNNNNNNNNNNNNNNNNNNNNNNNNNNNNNNNNNNNNNNNNNNNNNNNNNNNNNNNNNNNNNNNNNNNNNNNNNNNNNNNNNNNNNNNNNNNNNNNNNNNNNNNNNNNNNNNNNNNNNNNNNNNNNNNNNNNNNNNNNNNNNNNNNNNNNNNNNNNNNNNNNNNNNNNNNNNNNNNNNNNNNNNNNNNNNNNNNNNNNNNNNNNNNNNNNNNNNNNNNNNNNNNNNNNNNNNNNNNNNNNNNNNNNNNNNNNNNNNNNNNNNNNNNNNNNNNNNNNNNNNNNNNNNNNNNNNNNNNNNNNNNNNNNNNNNNNNNNNNNNNNNNNNNNNNNNNNNNNNNNNNNNNNNNNNNNNNNNNNNNNNNNNNNNNNNNNNNNNNNNNNNNNNNNNNNNNNNNNNNNNNNNNNNNNNNNNNNNNNNNNNNNNNNNNNNNNNNNNNNNNNNNNNNNNNNNNNNNNNNNNNNNNNNNNNNNNNNNNNNNNNNNNNNNNNNNNNNNNNNNNNNNNNNNNNNNNNNNNNNNNNNNNNNNNNNNNNNNNNNNNNNNNNNNNNNNNNNNNNNNNNNNNNNNNNNNNNNNNNNNNNNNNNNNNNNNNNNNNNNNNNNNNNNNNNNNNNNNNNNNNNNNNNNNNNNNNNNNNNNNNNNNNNNNNNNNNNNNNNNNNNNNNNNNNNNNNNNNNNNNNNNNNNNNNNNNNNNNNNNNNNNNNNNNNNNNNNNNNNNNNNNNNNNNNNNNNNNNNNNNNNNNNNNNNNNNNNNNNNNNNNNNNNNNNNNNNNNNNNNNNNNNNNNNNNNNNNNNNNNNNNNNNNNNNNNNNNNNNNNNNNNNNNNNNNNNNNNNNNNNNNNNNNNNNNNNNNNNNNNNNNNNNNNNNNNNNNNNNNNNNNNNNNNNNNNNNNNNNNNNNNNNNNNNNNNNNNNNNNNNNNNNNNNNNNNNNNNNNNNNNNNNNNNNNNNNNNNNNNNNNNNNNNNNNNNNNNNNNNNNNNNNNNNNNNNNNNNNNNNNNNNNNNNNNNNNNNNNNNNNNNNNNNNNNNNNNNNNNNNNNNNNNNNNNNNNNNNNNNNNNNNNNNNNNNNNNNNNNNNNNNNNNNNNNNNNNNNNNNNNNNNNNNNNNNNNNNNNNNNNNNNNNNNNNNNNNNNNNNNNNNNNNNNNNNNNNNNNNNNNNNNNNNNNNNNNNNNNNNNNNNNNNNNNNNNNNNNNNNNNNNNNNNNNNNNNNNNNNNNNNNNNNNNNNNNNNNNNNNNNNNNNNNNNNNNNNNNNNNNNNNNNNNNNNNNNNNNNNNNNNNNNNNNNNNNNNNNNNNNNNNNNNNNNNNNNNNNNNNNNNNNNNNNNNNNNNNNNNNNNNNNNNNNNNNNNNUUCAAAUUUCGGCUAAUUUGUCCGCAUCCCCAUGACUUGUAUUUCUUCCAGCCUCCCGGAUUUUGGAGGGUCUAGCAUUUCCAUUGAAAUGCACCCUUUGAUAUCUAGCCUUUCCAAAUACUCCAACCUAUCAAGGCCUUGAAUUUUGGCUAAUUCGUAGCAUACCCUAAUAGUCAAUUUCUUCAGACCCUCGAGUUUUGUAAGGUCCACCUGUUUGAUUGAAUGGCAGCCUGUGAUAUCCAAGCUUUCCAAAUAUAUCAAUUUGUCAAGAACUAGAAUUUCAAGUAGAGCACAAACGCAGACAACUAAUGUCCUUAGAUAGACAAACUGUGAAACAUCCAACAUUUUGAUAGAUCCACAGCUACGGACUUCCAAGAAUUCGAACUUGAAGGGCGUGUUUAGGGAUUGUGGUGAUUCCAUUUCUUCAAUGUCCGUCGGUUGGGAGCAUUCUGAACUCUUUAAUUGCGUUGAUGGAAGCUCCUGGAUGCACUGGAUAAAUCCGCAAACCUCAACUUGUAGUUGCUUGAGAUGGGCUAGGUGGGAAAGCGAAGGCAAUUUGCGACUUUGACAAGUGACACCCAAAUAUGUUAAGCCGGAAGGAAGCUCCGGCAGCGAUUGGAGCUUGUUGCAGUAUCUAAAAUCAAGGCGUCGUAGGGAAGAAAGAUUAGCCAUGCUUUCUACUAGUAUCCCUUUCAGAUUCAUGCACCGGGAAGCACGUAACUCUCGGAGCUUUCUCAGACUCCCAAUACCAUUGGGUAAUUCUUCUAUACCACUUUCAGAAAUAUCUAGAAUCUCUAGAUUCUCCAAAGACCCUAUGCUAUUUGGUAAUGCAGAAAGGGAUCUAGUACCGGAUAGAUCGAGUUGUCGCAGUGAUUUUAAUUUACCUAUUUCUGCUGGAAGCUCCCCAAGGCAGAAACGAGGAACGGGGCGUUCGGCGCUUGCGUCGGCGCCUCCCACGAGAUGAAGCGCGUAGGACGAGCACAGCUCCAAGCGAAGGAGGCCCUCCGUGUCUUCAAUGGAAGCGUCGAUUCGCUUCAGUGCAGUACACCCCCCGAGGAUGAGAACCUCUAACUUCUCAAAAGCUGAGACGAAGUCAAUAUUUUCCAAGGAACGACAAAUGAAAGGUCUAGAUAUUUAAGCUUCUUUGCCAUCUACGAAAAAAAAAAAAAAAACAUAAUGAAUGUUGAUGGGUGAGUGUAGAGUCAUUAUGAUUCAAAGAAAUCAUAAAGAGAGGAAAAAAAAAGAGUUUAUUCUUACCUUGAAAAACUCCNNNNNNNNNNNNNNNNNNNNNNNNNNNNNNNNNNNNNNNNNNNNNNNNNNNNNNNNNNNNNNNNNNNNNNNNNNNNNNNNNNNNNNNNNNNNNNNNNNNNAUUCUCCUUGCAAUCAAGUAUAGCUAAUUCCGGCAUGUGAAAAUUGUUUACUUCAAAACUCGCGGGACAUUUUCGCCAUCGAAGCCAUUUUAACUCCUCCAUUGAGUCCUUAAAAUCUCCACUGAGAUGUGCCCCUUUCAUGAAAAGGAAUCUUAGACUCGUCAAUUUUUUGAAUUGUUCUGCUGUGUAAUUGUCGCCAUCUCGCUCGACUAUUUUGCCGAGGCCUUCUGAGUUGCCUUUACUUAGAUCGAUGGCCUCAAUGUUGUCCGUUCCCUGCAAGCAAGAAUCAACGUUUAUUAAUACUAAAUCCAACUAAAGUAAUCUAAUAUUAUUUGUUCAUAUUGUGAUUGACGUGCAUUAAUGUGUUCAAGAGACCAGCAAUGCGAAGAUAUGAUUUUUCUUUUUAUGCCAAUAAACUACAAUUAUAAAGGCUCACAAAGUGAAGGAUGUGGACUUCCAUUUUGAAAUUUGGCCAUACGCAUCUGGAUCUUAAAAAGAAUUAUGAUGUAAUGGCUCGUGUAGAGUAAAAACUUUACAACUUGUAAUCUUCUUCUUUCUGGAACUGUAGUUUCAUUAUCCCACCUAGUUAAGACAUCCAUGCAAUGCACGGAAUAUAAUCAAAUUGCUAAGUGCAAAAUCAAAUUUUACUUGGUCAAUUUUGUAUUUCUAUUAAGGAGACUUUUUCUAUUAAGCAAUGCAUGGGUGAAAGGAUAGAUAAAGGGAGAAAAACCUCAGAAGCAGCGAUUUCGCGAGCAAAACUUACCACAGAUUCGGUGUUAUUAAGGAGACUUCUAGCAAAAAAAAAAAAACAUAUAGUUUAAAAAGUCAAAAAUAAAACUCCUUUUCUUUUUUUUCUUUUUUUAUUUCAACGCAUUCAUGACGCUUCAAAAUGGAAAUAAUUGUUCCGACUACUCCAAAUGUCAGAAGCGAAGGGGGAAAAUGAAGAGGCCACGAGAUUCCGGGCUAACUGUUUUUGAUGAAAGAAAUUAAUUUCUGGCCAUAGAUUUGGAUAAUUGAAAUAACUCAAAAAGAGUUGUUUCGAGUAACUGUUAUUCUUUAUCUUUUGUUUUUCUCAAGAGCAUGCGCUUUGGCCAAUUUUUUGUGUGGUAUAUCCCUGAAACUUGUUGACACGACGAAUUAUACAUGGUGUUUUUCUGGAAUUUGAGUAUUAUUUGAUCUUUUGACGGGAGAGUAAGAUAUUUACUUUUGGUUUUUUGUUAGUUGUGGCGACCAACCCAUCUCGCCCUCUAUUUCAGCGUGUCCAUUAAAUGCCAAUGACAAAGAAGGAUGAUUAGAUUUUGUCAAAGGUAUGUUGGGAGUACUUGUUAAGUAGCCGGGCUGAAAAAAAAUCUCUUUAUUAAGUGGUUUUUUUAAAAGUAUUGAUUUAACGUAAUACAAGAAAGUAAAAAUUGUGAAAGUCAUCUUAAAAGGAAAACAAAGAUUCUCAGCGAAGAGGGCCAUUUAUCAAGUGGAAAGGUAAUACGCGAAACACAAGAUUUCACUAAUUACUAAAUCAAACAAGAGAUUUAAUACGUGUAUAUAUGUGUGUGUGUAUACUUAUAUUGCAAGGGACGCUUAAUUUCAUAUGAUAGGGAAUGUUAAUAUAUGACAGAAAAACCAUAAAAGGAAAUUCUUUCGAUGAGAGAGCAGCCUCCCUACUUUCUAAUCACGUCAAUGAAACAUUCGAGGGCAAUGGUGAAGGUUCUCAAUACACUAAAGCAAGCACUAAGUAGUGACUAACAAUGCUCUUAACCAUAGAACAUGGACUAAAUGAGAAAAAGAAAUGAAACUGUUACCUUAUUUCCCUUUAGCACUUUUUGGGCUUCCUUAUAGUCCCACAACCUACUACGGCACCAAGGCUUGCGUUGAUUUUCCUCACGAACUAUCUCCCUACCAAGAUCUCUCAACUGGUCAUGCAUUCUGAGCAUAUGAUCAUCUCCAACUUUUAUCAAUGACAUGAAUAUCAAUACUUCAAUUCCUUCCUCUGGGAAAAAGCCACAAGCGUCCCACAUGUAGGAUGUGAUAUUCUUGUCAGUGCCGAUGAAAAAACAAGCAAUAUCCAGAAAUAUUUGUUUUUGCUUAUAGUCUAAUGCUUCAAUACUUAUCCUUAGCUUCUCUUGCACUUUCUGAGGAGGCACUUCUUUUAACUUGCCUAUUGUACCUCUCCAAAAUGGUAGCUCUUUUCCGCACAAUAAUGAACCUAAAACCUCAAGCGAUAAGGGAAGCCCUUUGGUGAUGUAUACAACUUCAUGAGCAAGGACCUCAAAUUCCUUUAGAGGAGAGUCCUUUCGAAAUGCAUGUUUGCUAAACAAAAUCAAAGAUUGAUUGCCAUCCAGUACCUCAUGUUCAUAGUUGUAGUCUACCUUAGCUUCUUCGAGAACCCCCUUGUUUCUGCUGGUAAUAAUGAUCCUACUUCCCGAAGAAAACCAAUCAUGAUUACCAGCCAAACACUUCACCUGAUUGACAUCAUCCACAUCAUCAAGAAGAACGAGGACCUUUUUACGCUUAAACUGGAGGAGAUGAGCUCAAUCCCUUCAUCCUUAGUAACAACUUCAAUUUUAUGCUUCAAUAUAUCAAAGAUUAACCGAUUCUGUAAAUAAUGUACACCAUUACGCUUACACGAUUCCCUUAUAUCAUCAAUGAAGCUAUGAUGCUCAAAUUGAUCGAAGAGUUCAUUGUAGAUGGCUUUAGCAAGCGUAGUCUUACCAAUGCCUCCCAUUCCGUGGAUGCCAACGAAUAGGGUGUCAUGAGAUUUAUUAUGCACAAAUUCCAUAACCUUCUUCACAUGAACAUCAAUUCCGAUCAAAUUCUCAGGAUUGACCAACCCAAACUUUUUCUUCAGUUCGUUCAACACUUUUUGGACAAUCGAUUUCACCAACUCUGCUUCAGAACUGUCAAAUGUGACAAGCGUUCAAAUAUGUAGCAACAAUAAGUUUAUAUUAUUUAUCUAUAGAGAACAUAAUAAAUCUGGGGAUAGAUUGAAAAACUUUAAAUAUCAUUGUUGUCAUACCUCUAUAUGUUAUGAUAUAUGCUAAGUCUAAAGUGUGGUUGCUUCAAAUGGGGUGCCCAUUUCACUGCUACUCUAGCAGGAUUUAUCAAGCCAGGAAAAACUGGAGGGUAUCACUUAUGAAUCUUAAAUAUUGUAUAUAUUAUGGAUUUGAACCAAAUUUAUUAAAGAUAUUAUGGAUGACGUGGAUGUGACUUUAAAAAUUGUUUAGAGCAUUUGAAUAAGCAAAAUCCUAUAAGCCAGCCCAAUAUGAGAGUUAGCUAUCAAUCAAUAAAUAAGUCAUAACAUUUUAUGCAAGUUGAAUUCAGGUCUUGUGACACCAAUCCGAAAAGUUGUUCAAAUUGUGAUAUUGUGAACUACUUGAAAGCAAUUGAAGGGAUUUCUUCUUGUUUGCGCAAUUCUACAGGCUUGCAAGUUUAAAUUGUGUUGUGAAUUUAGUAUCAUUCUAGAUUGGUGCUCUUAUUAGUUUUCAUUGCCUCUAGGGAUGACAACAAGUUGUACUUUAUUUUCCUUUUGAGUAUCUAUGUUCUAUGAUUUUAAUGAUCUAGUAUUGAGUUUAUAGGGAAGUAGAAGAAUAAUUUUUACCCAAAAAAGAACAUUGCUUCAAUAUAUGCAGAUGCAUGAGAUAGAAAUUACUUGUUGAAGAUAGGAAAUGCUUUGAAAAUUAUUUAAACGGACAUAUAAUAAAAAUAAUCAUUUUUUUACCAUCAUCUUAUAUAACCAAUGAAACAUUUCUUUUGUAAAAUAAUUUUAAUAAUAACUAAUCAACGAUAUCAAUGAUUUAAUAAAUGUAACUUGGGAAGAUAAAGAAUUAUGGCAAAGCUUGGACGCUACCAUCUUAUGAGCUUUAAAUAAAAAUUGCCAAUGAGUUGUACUAUUAAUCUCAAAUAAAUAUGUAAUUAGAAAAGUUUCUGACAAGGAUUAAUGUAACGCACCCUAUAAUUAGAUUGGUCAAUAUCAUCAAAGCAAUAAAAUUUAUUCAAGUGAAUGGGGUGCAAGAGUAAAAAAUAUUUUGAUAUAAGAGUAAAAAUUCGUUCAAAAAAUCUUAUUAUUCAAGUGAAUAGGAUCAUAACAAUAAAAUUUAUAAUUAGAUUGGUCAAUAUGGUUAAAGCAGAAAACUAAAGAAGAAAGAAUAACUUAUAGAAUUCAUGCACCGUAGGAUCUUACUGCCAGCAAGAUCUUGCAGUUUUUUUAUAUAUAGAAAAAGAAAGUAAAAUGAAGCAGGUGAGAAUUAGAGAAACCAACAUACCCAACGAAAAAAAAAAGAAUAAUUAGAACAACCAGUAAACACCCCCACAUAUUAAAAGAAAUUAGAGAAUGUUUCGCGAGAAAUUUUACCCUUGGGCUUCGUAUCCUUUCAAGGUGCUGACUUCAAGGAGUGCUUUCUUCCAUUUCUCCAAGGUCACUGCGUCGAAAGAAGACCUCCCCAGCAAACGCUUCUCACGCUUAUGAAAUGCCUCUCCAAAACUCCCGAUUUGAUGUCCCACGUCAGCUGGUUUCACUUUGUAGAAUAUAGGCAACACUAUUUGCCCAUUCUUAUUCUUGCGCUCCAUUAUUUGAACCAGUUCAUCUAGGCACCAACUACUUGUACCAUAAUUCUCUGAGAAAAUGGGGAUUAGAAUCUUACUGCUCGUGAUGGCUUUCAUAAGCACUGGUCUGAUGUCCUCACCAUGGCAAAGCUCAUCAUCGUCUCUGAAAGUGUGAAUUCCGGCUCUAAGGAGCCCAUCGUAGAGGUGAUCGGUGAAGCCAUCUCGAGUAUCCGGGCCUCUAAAACUCAAGAAUACCUCAUAGCAGUUUCCAGUCAACGAACUAGAUGCACCGUUGUUCGCUUUUGUCAGGGACGGACUGGAUCCAUCAGAAUUAGUUUCCGUUGGUGCAGCCAUCGAACUAGAUGCACCGUUGUUAGCUUUUGUCGGAGACGGACUGGAUCCAUCGGAAUUAGUUUCCGUUGGUGCAGCCAUCGAACCAGAUGCACCAGUAUCAACAUCUUCUGCCUUUCCACGCACACUAGCUCUCUUCUUAUUGAGAAAAUAGAGCGUGAGGCCGGGGAGAAGGAUCAGUGCCACGAUCUCGGCAAAAGAACACUCGAAAAUGGGACGAUGCAUUUCGUCUUUGCUCUGACUCUACCCUUGAUUUUCACUUUCAAGUGUGGUAGAGAAAAAAAUCGGAAUGCCUCUCAGGAAACAGGAAAUGCGUUCUCGUUGCCCAUUCUCUUUGCGGUUUGAUUUAUAUAAUGGAGCCACCGACCAAAAUCGCGCCAAAAAGUCAAGCUUUGUCAACCGCGUGCUUAGAGUCGUUGCCUUCACGUGGCUGAAAUCUCAAUGCAGAAGAGAAUCCAAAGAUAACACGCAUAGAACGGUGGGUCUGUUGGGAAGAUGAAAAGUGGAGAGAGAAUUGGGACGAGACUCCGACAUGGAUUUUCGGGAGAAAAUGAAAAGUGGGGGGGAGAGAUGGAGAGCGAGAUUCGUCCAUUCCACUAAUUUUCCAAACAAGUGCUCGGUAACAGACAAAAUAUGCAAAGCGUCAGGACAAAGGACAAUGAAGAGGGCACGCUUGGUCCACUGCUUGCACAUUUAACUUUCCUCUUUCUUCUGUUAAUUUAUUUUCCAACAGCAAAGGUAUUUUUUUGUUAAAUAUAUGUAAGCUCUUAAUCCCACUUAGGAAUUUACCCCUCGUACUUUCAGCCUAUUAAAAAUUGUGCAAUCAAACUGACAAACUUUAAUUUAAUAAUGAAAUGUUGCAUUAUUAACAAUAAUUUAUUCUAAAAAAUUAUGUUAUUAACACAAUAGAGCAUCGGAAAAGUUAUUAACAUGCAUAUAUAUAUAGUACCUAAGCACAAUGAAAAGAAUUUCUUUAUUGCUCUAGUUUUGUCUUGCCUUUUUGCUUUUGCUUUUGUUUUAUUUUAUUAUAUAUCUUUAUUGAUUUGAUUUAUCUAACCAACCAAUUGGGCAUGCAUUCAUAAUUUAAACUUACCGGACUAGACAUAAAUUAGUAAUUCAUUGACCGGGAUCACUAAACAUGCAUUUAUGGUCGUUGCCUUAGUGUAGUGGAAGUUUCAAUGCACAGGAAAGAUGAACUUUAAGGAAAUUUAGAUGCUACAAGUAGAUUAAUCUUUCGGUGAAAUUGCGACUUUUUGCUCUCCAUCAUUUCCUCAUGCGUGUUCCGAUAAUUCUCUCUCUCUUCAUUUUUUUUCUUUUCACCUCCUCUGUUCUUCUUUUCUGACCAAUUUCUCAAUUUUCUUUAUAAUUAAAAAAAAAAAGCUUUCUCUCUUUUGCUGACCAUAACCGUCUCUCUAUAUCUCCUUUUCUUCAUCGUGAAGAAAAGCUCAAUCCUUUCCUUUUUUGAGCUCUCUCGGGUAAUGAUUGCAUGCGGAAAAAUCACCCACCCAAUGGGGCGAGAAUCCUCUGCUUUUUUCAAGCCUAGAUUUUCUUCUCUUCUUUGGCCAUGAAUUUCAGUCCCUCGAUGCCAAGAUUGUCUUCUUUGGUCUUUUUAGACAAAAAAAAAAAAAGUUGUUAAGGCUAGAAUUAAACCGAAUGCAAAAUUUGAGGGUUUUUAGAAAAUUAGGAAGAGGGAAGAGAAAUUCGAGAAGCUUUACUUGUUUUAAUCAUCUAGGGGCAGAUUUGUAAUUAGAUAGCAUAUAAUUUUCUUUUUGCACCCUCACCUAGUGGCUGAGUUCCAUCCGUUCUUGCUUAACCUGAGGCUACCCCCCUCUUCUUUACCGAUUUUUUGUCUACUUUUUAUUUUGAAUGAGUGGCUUGCUCCCAACUCUUUUCUCUUACUUUUUGAUUUCACAAUUUCUUAAUCAACCCAAAGUGAAAUUAAUAAAUCUCAAUUUUCAAUUUUGCCGGCUAUGGUUUUCCUUGGUUUAGUUUAGGGAUUGCUGUACUGUUUUGCCCCUGUUCUUGUCUUGGUCAAAAAGUGGGUCUUUCUUUUUUCUUUAAAAAGAGAUAUAAAGAGAUAACGGAGGGGACGCAACGGGGAGAGAAAGGAAAAGAAACGGAAAAUAAGAGGAAGAAACGGACAGAAGAGGGGAAAAAAACAAGAGAAAGAGGGCUUUGCACAAACAUGAGACCUCAACAAGUCAGAUUUUUUUUUAUUUGCAAUGCCAAAUCUUUUGUUCAUCUAAUCAGAGUUUUUUUUUAGAAUUAUAUUUGACUUACAAAAUCCAAUUUUGAAGUUUUUAAACUGUGAAAGUAAAUGCAUUUUGAAGUUAUGAGAUUUGACGAAAGAUGAUUAGAAGUAACAUUUCGUUAGAGCGAAAUUUUCGAGUUUUGCAUGCAAAAUUUUGAAAAAUCACAUCUGUGAGCAAUUUGUUGAUGUGUGAGAAUCAUUUGUUGGAGAGCAAGUUUUCUCCGAAGGGGUGGUCUGUGAGAAUAAUCUAUCACCAUCGACAAUGACUUUUGCAAGGUCUCCAACGCUUAUCACCCUUGCGUCCUCCAAUCUUCAAAGAUAAAAUGAUUUAUCUUACUUUGGUUCUAACUUGAACAAAAGUUGCACAACUUCAAAGCAGUGCUGAACUUGGAUUUCGUUUUUGGCUUUGAAAUUAAAAUGAUGACGAAAUUUAAUCGUGAGGAGUAAAAUUCUUUGAAAUUAAAGUGUAAAAGGAAAAGCGAACUUGGAGAAAACGUGGGUAUCACGAAAGUAGAUUAAACGAACUUUUGCUCUGUCCUUCCGUGACGCGCGCCUUGACAACUCUCUCUCUCUCUCUCCAUUUUUUCUUUGCACCUCCACUGCUCUUCCUUUUCCUUCUUUUCUUUUGCCGACCACUUUCUCAAAUUUCUUUAUAAAAGCUUUAUGUCUUUUUACGACCACAAGGUCCACAACCCUCUCUCUCUAUCUGCUUUUCUUGGCCAUGCAGAAAAACUCGUUCCUUUUCUUUUUCAAUCUCCCCUUGGCAAUCAUUACGUGCUGAAAUAUCGGCCACCCCACUUGGGCGAGAAUGCUUUGCCUUUUUUUAAGCUAAGAUUUUCUCGACUUCUUUGACCGGGAAUUCCGGUCUCUGAAUGCCAAAAUUACCCCCCUUGUCAAGAUGCAAAUUGCUCUUUAGCGACCUUGUCCUUAAGGUUCUUCUCAUUAUUCGGAGCACAUUUGGGGCUGAAUAUAAAAUUUGGAAAGUUUUUUAGACGAAAAAAUUGAUGAUUGAUAUAACAUUGAGUUUAAAGUUGAGAAUUUUUUGAAAAAAAAUUUGAGAUAAAAUUAAGAUUGAACUUAAAAUUUGAGGGUUUUCAAGGAAUUAGGACCGUAUAAAAUGAGGAAAGAGAAAGUCAAGGACUUCACCAUCGUCCGGAGGGGCAUAUUUAUAAUUAGAUAGCAUAUGAAAAUUUUAUUUUUACCCCAGCUCACGAUGGCUGGGUCCAACAAGUCCUUCCUUAACUUGAGGCUAUAGCUCUUUUCUACCAAGUUUUUAUCCAUUUCUUAUUGCAAAUGAGUGGCCAAGCCCACUACUCUCCCCUCUAUUUAAUUAUGAAGUUACCAAUUAAUCAUUUAAUCAAAUUUAUUGAUGUCACAAUUUCUUAAUCAACCCAAAGCCAAAUUCAUAAAUUUUUUCCAAAUUUUUUUCUUGGUUUAGUUUAGUGGUUGCAAUCUACCUCGACACCUAUAAUUUGUAAACCAUGUUAAUUCAAAUAUCUAUAUUAUUGAAUGGAACUAAUAUGUGCAGUGUUAGUUCAAUAUUUUAAAUAAUGCUUUAACAUAAUGCAUGCGGUUCCCCUUAAAUAAUGAGGGAUAGCUAUGUUAAUGAAAAUGUAAAUAGGUUUUACUUACCACCAAUAAUACACCUAGGCAUAUUACUCUCAUCCAACAUUUUAUAUAGAUCUAUUUGUAGGUGACUAUCUUUAUAAAUAUGUUAAAUAUAUUUUACUGAUCGCUCAAAAUAUAUCUAAGCAUAUUAACAUUGUUAUUCAACUUGGUUGGUGCAAGAUGUGAAGCAAUUUGUAUGUUCAAUAGAAGAAGCUGUAUUUUGAUAUCCACUUGUGACAAUGCAAGUUAAAGGAAUUAUCAGUGCUAUUUAUAUACCAACAAUCCAAACUAAAUUGUCGGUAAUUGAAAUUGUGAAGUGUUAAGAAAAAAACAAAAGAGUGCUCAUGGCACGAGCACUCCUUUUAUGGUAUCGAUUUACAACACUUUACCAGUGCUAAAUUAUCACAUCAGUUUCCUUCUUAUUGAGAAAAUUGAACGCAAGCAUGGAGAGAAGGAUUGAUGCCAUGAACACGGCAAAAGAAUGCCCAAAAAUGGGACAACGCAUUUCGGCUUUGCUCUGGCUCUGUCCUUGAUUUUCCCCUUCAAGUCCGAUGGUAAAAAAUACAGAUUGCAUCUCAAGAAAUAGAAAAUGCCUUCUUGUUGCCCUCUCUUGUGGUUUGAUUUAUGCAAUGGAACCAGUUUGCAAUCAGAACUCGCACCAAUAAGUCAAGCUUCGUGGACCAUGUGCUUAGAGAUGUUGCCUUUACGCGGCUGAAAUCUCAGUCCACAAGAGAAUCCAAAGAGACUUGGGAUGAGACUUGACAUGGAUUUGCGAGGGAAAAUGAAAAGUGGAUGAGAGAGAGAUAGAGAGAUUCGUCCUUUUCAAUAAUUUUCAGACAAGUGCUCAGUAAAUGAUAAAAACACACAAGGCGUUAAUACAUUGAAGAGGGCACGCUUGGUCAGUCAGCUGCUUGCACCGUUGAACUUUCCUCUUUCUUUAUUGAUUUAUUUUCCAUCGGAAAAAGUAUUUUUGUUAAAUAUAUUUAAGCUCGUAAUCUCACUUAGGAAUUUACCCCUCUUGCUUUAAGUCCGUUAAAUAUUAUACAGUUAAAUCGAUAAACUUCAGUUUAAUACUGAAAUGAUGGAUUAGCGAUAAUUUAUUCUGAAAAUUUAUGUUAUCAACACGUGUCGCGGAUCAUAAAAGAUUAUCAGCCUAAUGAGAAUAAUUUCUUUUUUGCUUAGGUCCUAUCUUAAUUUUUCCUUCAAGUUUCGUAAAUAAAUCAAAAUAUAUUUUUGCUUUUGCUUUUGCUUUUACUCAUUGGUUUGAUUCAUCUAAUCCAACCAGUUGAUAUGCUCUUAUAAUCCAAAUUUGCUGAACUAGAUGUAAAUUAGUAAUUCAUUAGCCUAGACCAUUAAAUAUGCAUUUAUGGUCGUUGCCGUGGAGUGGAAGUUUCACUGCACGGGAAAAGUAAAUUUCAAGGAAACGUAGAUGCUAUAAAAGUAGAUUAACAAUUUUUUCUGUAAAAUUGCAACUUUUUACUCUGUCCUUUCUCCACGCGUGCCCUGACAAUUCUGUCUCUCUUUCUUCAUUUUUCUUAUUUUCACAUCCUACGUUCUUUUUUCUUUCCUUUCUUUUGCGGACCACUUUCUCAGUUUUUCUUCGUAAAAGCUUUUCUCUCUUUUGCCGACCACAAGCCUCUCUCUGUAUCUCCAUUUCUUGACCGUGACGAAAAGCUCCGUCGUACUUUUUCGUCCUCUUUUGACAAUGAUCGCACGCUGAAAAAUUGCCCACCCCAUUUGGCCGAGAACCCUUUGCUUUUUCCAUGCCCAUAUUUUCUUGUCUUCUUUGGCCGUGAAUUCCGGUCCCUGAAUGCGGAGAUUACCCCCUUGUCAAGAUGGAAAUUGCUCUCUUGACCGUGUCCUCAAGGUACUUGUGGUUAUUUGAGGUUCAUUUGAAACUGAACAUAAAUUUCGAAAAUUCUUUUUAGAUGAAAAACCGGGGGUCGAUGUAGCCUUGGGAUUAAAGUCGAGGGGAGACAAAAAAAAAAAAAGUUAGGGAUAAAAUUAAAAUUGACCUAAAAUUUGUGGGUCUUUAGGUAACUAGGACUGUAUAGACAGAGGGAAGCAAAGCUUCACCGGUUUUGAAAAUCCAUGGGCAGAUUUGUAAUUAGAUAGCAUGUAAUAAUUUUCUUUCUCCUCUGUUGAUAGAUGGGUCCCACCAGUUCUUGCUUUUUGUCAUUUCUUAUGUCGAAUGAGUGGCUGGCCCACCAGGUCUUCUCCUAGUUAAUUAUGAAAUUACCUAUUUAAUCAUUUAAUCAAAUUUAUUGAUUUCAAUUUUUUGAUCAACCCAAAGCCAAAUUGACUCAAUUUUUUUUCUAGCCAAUGUUUUUCUUGGUUUUAAUAAAUAAGCUCCGAUAAAAUAUUGAUACCCGUAUAAACAGUGGAUUUGUUGGGAAGAUAAAAAGUGGAAAGAGACUUUGGACGAGUCUUCGUUGAACUUAGUCCAUCGCAUGCACUGUUGAACUUUCCGUUUCCUUUCCUUUUGUUAAGUUAUUUUCCACUGAAAAUGGUAUUUUUAUUGAAUAUAUUUAAGCUCUCGAUCCCACUUAUAAAUUUAAUCCCUCUCACUUUACGCCCGUUAAAUAUUAUACUAUUAAAAUGAUAAACUUCAUUUCAAUAUUUAUAAAUUUAAUGAGAUAACAUGUGUCAAAGAUCACAAAAAAUUGUCAACAUGCUAUAUAUAUUUAAUCCCUCUCACUUUACGCCCGUUAAAUAUUAUACUAUUAAAAUGAUAAACUUCAUUUCAAUAUUUAUAAAUUUAAUGAGAUAACAUGUGUCAAAGAUCACAAAAAAUUGUCAACAUGCUAUAUAUAUUUAUUCUGUACCUAGCACAGUGAGAAGAAUUUCUUUUUGCUUUGGCUAUGCCUUAAUUUCUCCUUCGAAUCUCAUAAAUUAAUCAAAAUGCCUUUUUGCUUUUGCUCUUGCUUUAUUUUAUAUAUAUUUCUCUAUCAAUUUGAUUUAUCUAAAUCGAUCAGUUGACAUAUAUUGAUAAUUCAAAUUUGCCAAGCUAGAUAUAAAUACGUAAUUCGUUGACUGGGAACCUCGACUAUGCAUUUAUAGUCGUUGCCUUAAUGUUGGGGAAGUUUCAAAGGAUAGGAGAAUCCAAGGCGAUCCUUCCCGGAAGAAAAUAACAUGUGAGCAAGUCUCGAUGCAAAAGCAAUGAAACAAAUAAAACCAAAAAUAAAAGAGGACUGCUUUAUUUAUUUGUAUCCAUAGAAAGUGGUCAUAAAGCGUCAGGAUAAUUGGUGCACCAUUGCACUUUCCUUUGCUUUUAUUUAUUUAUUUAUUUAUUUUCCAUCGGAAAAGUUACUUUUGUUGAAUAUAUUUAAACUCUCGAUCCCAGAUACAAAUUUAACUCGAAUCAGUUAGGUAUUACCAUAUCAAACUGAUGAAUGUCAUUUCCCUAUCGAGAUGCUACAUUAUCAACGAUCACUUAAUAUAAAGACUUCAGAUGUGUAUAAAUCCAAAAAGGGUAAGGAGGAAAACUCUAGUGACUUGAUAUCCUAAAUACUUGUAGGAUUCCUUGCGUUUCUCCCUUUGUUGUUUCUUGGACAAACAAAAGGGCAGCCAAUAGCAUUGAAUUAGACCCAACGAAGAACAGACUGAAACGACUUUCAAUGACACACAAUUUUUUACACACAUUUUUUACACCCAAGAGCCAGAUUGGGAGGAUGAGCUCCUAAUUUCUGGAAUCAGGACCAAACCAGUUUGUCAUGGGCACUAAAAGAGAUACCUAACAACCAGCCCUAUCAAGGAAGAAGAGAAAAUAGGUGGGGUCCACCACCUAAAUCUUAUUUCUUUUAGUGAAAAUAAUACUUUUGGCAUGAAUUCAAACCCCAUUAUAAGAACCUUUUUCCCUUCAUCCUAGAAAAUUAAGGAACUAGAAAUAGGUAUUUUUAUCAUAUUAAAUAACAGUUUUACCUCAUCUCAUUCAUUGGGAUCAUAAUAUUAGGUAAGAGAUCAUAAUAUUAGGUAAGGGUACAGUGAAUAUUUUAAGAGAGGGCAAGAAGUUCUCAAGUUUUCUGUUUUAUAUUUGUAUAAAUAGAUAAUGUUUAAAACUUAAAUAAAGCUUUUCAACCAUAGACACUUCACUAAUUAUAAUUCCACAAAGUUUAUAGAGCUAUUUCCUUACCUACAUAGUACCAAUAAUCGCCUCAUCUUUUGGAUUACGAUAAUUUUAAAAGCAAAGUACUUAAUUUCAAAUAUGUUGAGUAUAUAAUUGAAAUGAAUAAAUUUGAAUUUACUUUUUUUUUAUAAAUAUUAUGGAACGAUCAUGCCCAUGCUUCUUCUAAAAUGAAUUUAUUGUUUUGUUUGGACAAAAGGAUAAUCUAGAAGAGUACAAGCUCUCAUGUACAAGCUUUUAUGGUGCCUACAUGCACAAGCCUUCUAAGAAAGUAAACUUUUGAUCAUCGUAUUCCUGUGAAUGUUCGAUUUUAAUCCUUAUAAAUUAUUUUAAUGACAAAACAAGUCAAAAAUAUAUUUGUUGGAUUGAUUAAAUGUUUUUGACCCUUUAACAAAUUAAAUUCAUUUCCUUAGAUAAUCCAAAUCAAGCACAUUUGUGUGCCCUUUUUUGCUAGUGAGUUGAAUAAGCAAACUAAUCUAGGUGGACUGAUUCCUCAUUUUGGACAUAACUUUUCAUAUCACUUUGUUAAUGUGGAUUUUUUAUUGACAUAGAAAUGUCAUGUCAAACAACUAACAAUGUUUUUGAAUGUAAGGUUAAUGAUGUAGAUUUGAGACUAGUCAUUAUUUUUUUAAAUAAAAAAUGUUCAGGUUUAGGAUUAGAUUUAAAAUUUGGGAUUUUUUUUAUACAAAACAAUUGGUGGCAGACUUAGGACUCGAUCCAAAGUUGAGGUUUUUUAUCAAAUAAAAAAGUUCGAAGUAGAAUUAAAAUUGGCCUUUGAUAUUUGAGAGUUUUUAGGACAUUAGGCCUAUAUAAAAAAUAGGAAAUAGAAAAUUGAGGAGUUUCACCUGGUUUAAUCAUCCAGUGGCAGAUUUGUAAUUAGAUAGCGUAUAAUUUUCUUUCUGCCCCUUUGCCUAGUGGCUGUAUCUCACAAUCCUUGCUACUGCUCUUCUUUACCAAGUUUUUUUUGUUCACUUCUUAUUUCGAAUGAGAGGCUCACCAGUUUUCUAUCUACUUAAUUGUCAAGUUACUAAUUAUUAUAUCUGCUUUUUUUUUCUGCCCAGAUUUUCUCUUCUUCUUUGGCCGUAAAUUCUGGUCCUAAAUGUCGAGAUUACUCCCUUGUCAAGAUAAAACUGCUCUCGCUUCACCUCGUCCUCGAGGUUCUUGCCCUUGUUCGGGCCGAAUUUUUGAAACUAAAUAUAAAAUUCGAAAUUUUUUAAGACGAAAAAAUUAGGGGAUGAUUUAACAUUGAGUCUAAAAUUAAGAAUUUUCUGAGAUAAAAAAAAAAGUUUGGGUAAAAUUAAAACAGAACCUACAAUUUGAGGGUUUUUAAGAGAUGCAAAGGGAAAAGGUAGAGCACGCACCAGGAGAGAAACAAAAAGAGAGUGGGUUUUGCGUGUAGAUCUCCCCUAGAUUUACUACCAUUCGCGGUGUGCUUUUCGGAAUUAGAGUGCAAAUUAAAAAAAAUAUAUGAAAUUUAUAUUGCGAAAUUCAAUUUUGAAGUUGUUAAGCUGUGAAAGUAAGGGCAUUGUAAGGCGUAAACGGGAGUUGAUUUGAAAUAACAUUUUAGUAGACAAGGUCUGAUAAAAUUUCAAUACUCAUAUAACGGUGGAUUUGUUGGGAAGAAGAAAAGUGGAGAGAGACUUGGGACGAGUCUUCGUUGAACUUAGUCCAUUGCUUGCACCACUGGACUUUCCUUUUCCUUUUGUUAAGUUAUUUUUCUUUGGAAAUGGUAUUUUUAUUGAAUAUUUUUAAUCUCUUGAUCCCACUAAAAAAUUUAAUCCCUCUCACUUUAAGCCUGUUAAAUAUUAUAAUGUUAAAUCGAUAAACUUCAUUUCAAUACUUAUAAGUUCGAUGAGUUAACACAUACAAUUAUCAACAUACUAUAUAUAUUUAUUUGUACCCAAGCAUAAUAAGAAGAAUUUCUUCUGCUAUGGUUCUGCCUUAAUUUUCCCUUCAAAUUUCUAAAUUAAUCAAAAUGCCUUUUCGCUUAUGCUCUUACUUUAUUAUAUAUAUACAUAUUUUUAUUGAUUUGAUUUAUCUAAUUCAAUCAAUUGGCACGUAGCAAUAAUUCAAACUUGCGGAGGUAGAUAUCAAUUACUAAUUUGUUGACUGAGACCACCAACCGUGCAUUUAUAGUCUUUGCCUUCAUGGCGGGAAAGUUUUGAUGGGGUGCAUUUAUAGUCGUUGCCUUCACGGUGGGGAAGUUUUGAUUGAUAGGAGAAUCCAAGGCGAUCCUGCCCCGGAAGAAAAUAAUAUGUGAGCAAGUUUCGACGCAAAAGCAAUUAAAAAAAGUAAAAUAAAAAAAUAAAAGAGAACUACUUUAUUGAUAUCCGUGGAAAACGGUCAUAAUUGAUUAAUACGUGCAAAGCAUCAAGACAAUUGCUGCACCAUUGAACUUGUUUUUUAGGACCCAAAUAAAAACUUUCCUUUUUUUUUAAAAAAUUUAUUUUUCAUCAGAAAAGUUACGUUUGUUGAAUAUAUUUAAACUCUUGAUCCCAAUUAAAAAUUUACCUUGAUCUCAGCCAAUGGCAUUGAAUUAGACCCAUAAUAAAUAUAGUCUAUAAUGAAGAAUAGACCAAAACGACUUCCAAUGAUACAUAACUUUUUUACACACAUCUACCUUAAUUUUGCUAGUAAUUGAAUAUGAUGGCAAAUAGAGUGGGAAGUUUUUCUAAAUAUAAAAUAGGACAUGGACAACCACUUGAAUCCAUCUAGACAAGAAACAUGCAGAUGCAUGGGCCAUUGUUAAAUUUUAUUAUUUCUUGGACUAUCCGAAGAGCUGUCAAUGUUGAAUAAGAACCCGUACGAAGAUAGAUAUUUUCAGAGCCCUUAUUACACGUCUUUGAAGCUGGAGAUCACUUUGAAAACAACUACUCCGUACUUUUUGUCUUUCGUCUUAUCUAACUUCUUUUCCAAGUAGAUUGCGACUUUGAAUUGCUNNNNNNNNNNNNNNNNNNNNNNNNNNNNNNNNNNNNNNNNNNNNNNNNNNNNNNNNNNNNNNNNNNNNNNNNNNNNNNNNNNNNNNNNNNNNNNNNNNNNNNNNNNNNNNNNNNNNNNNNNNNNNNNNNNNNNNNNNNNNNNNNNNACAAAGUGUCAGGACAAUGACGAGGGCACGCUGCACCGUCCAACUUUCUCUUUCUUUUGUUAAUUUAUUUUCCAUCAGAAAAGGUGUUUUGGUUAAAUAUAUUUCAGCUUUUUAUUACACUUGGGAAGUUGUCCCUCUUACUUUUGAGCCUGAUAUAUGUUACCUAUAAUCUUCACUUUUAUACUGAAAUGUUGUAUUAUUAAUGAUAGGUUAUUCUAAAAAAUUAUGUUAUCAACACGUGUUGAGGAUCAUAAAAAAAUAUUAACAUGCAUAAAUAUACGUGUGUAUAUAUAAAUAUAUAUUCAUUUAGUACUGUAACACAAUGAAAAUAAUUUAUUUUUUAUUCAGGUUCCGUCUUAAUUUCUCCUUCAAAUCUCAUAAAUAAAUCAAAAUAUGUUUUUACUUUUACUUUACUUCAUAUAUAUAUAUAUAUAUUGAUUUGAUUUAUCUAAUCUAAUUAGUUGAUAUGCAUCAAUAAUUUAAAUUUGCCGAACUGAAUAUAAAUUAGUAAUUCAUUGACCAAACCAUUAGACAUGCAUUUAUGAUCGUCGCCUACAACCGGUGGAAGUUUCAAUGCACAGGAAAAGUGAACUUUCAAGGAAAUGCAGACGCUGCAUAAGUAGAUUUUCAAUGUGAAUGCAACUUUUUGCUCCUUGUUGUUUUUACACGCGUGUCCUGAUAACUCUCUCUCUCUCUCUCUUCAUUUUUUCUUUUCACCUCCUCUGUCCUUCCUUGUCUUUCUUUUCCAUUGCAGGCCACUUUAUCAGUUUUUCUUUGUAAAAGCUUUCUCUCUUUUGCUGACCAUAACCUCUCUCUCUCUCUCUAUCUCCUUUUCUUGGCCCAAAAGAAAAGCUUCAUCUUUGUUUCUUUUUCGAGCUCCCCUUGGCAAUUAUGGUAUAUGGAAAAAUGCCCCACCCACUCGGUCGAGAAUCCUCUGCUUUUUCAUGCCUAGAUUUUCUUGUCUUCUUUGGCCGUGAAUUUCGAUCUCUGAAUGUCGAGAUUUCGCCCUUGUCAAAAUGGAAAUUACUCUCUUGAUCUUGUCCUCAAGGUUUUUGCUACCAUUCAAAACAAAUUUGGGACUGGAUAUAAAAUUUGAAAAACUUUUUUAGACGAAAAAAAUUGAGGGUUGAUAUAGGAUUUGGUUUUAAGUUGAGGGUUUUUGAAACAAAAAAAAAAAAUUCGGGAUAAAAUUAAAAUUGAACCUAAAAUUUGAGAAUUUUUAAAGAAUUAGGACCGUAUAAAAAGAGGAAAGAAAGGUGGAGGAGCUUCACCUCUUUUUAUCAUCCAGGGCAUAUUGUAAUUAGAUUGCAUGUGAUGAGUUUAUUUUCUACCCCACUCCCGGUGGCUCGGCCCAAGAAUCCUUUUCCUUCUUGAGGCUACCGCUCUUCCCUACCAAGUUUUUGUCCACUUCUUAUUGCAAAGGAGUGGCUAGCCCACCAAUUCUUUCUCUACUUAAUUACGAAGUUACUCAAAUUUAUUGAUGUCACAAUUUCUUAAUCAACCCAAAGCCAAAUUAAUAAAUUAAAAAUUUUCAAAAUUUUCCAAUUUUUUUUUGCUUGGUUUUAGUUUAGCACUUGCAAUAUUCCUUCAACUCCUAAAUUGUAAUGUGUGUUAAUUCAAAGAUUUAUAUUAUUGAAUGGAACUAAUAUGUGAAAUGUUAAUUCAUUUAUAUUAAACUACAUUUUAAAUAACACUUUAACAUAAAUACAUGCGAUUCCUCUUAAAUAAUGAGGGUAGCUAUUUUAAUGAAAAUGUAAAAUAAACCAACAAAGGGUUGGUCUAGUGGUAGCAUGCUAAUCCCGCAUGGGCUUCACCUGCCAAUGGGCAAGGGUUCAAAUCCUGGCAAAAAAACCCUUGUAGAAGGGAAGAAAUCCUUGAUGCUCAAUCCCCAAAGUAGUUGCGUACUUUAGCCACCAUUUUAUUUACCAAAUAUAUAUAUAUAUAUAUAUAUAUAUAUAUAUAUAUAAUAGGUUUUAUUUACCAUCCAAAAUACACCUAGCCAUAUUAUUCUCAUCCAACAAUUUAUUUUAUAUAGAUCUAUUCCCAUUAAAUAAUGAGGGUAACUAUAUUUGAAAAUAUGUUAAAUAGAUUUUACUAGUCACUCGAAAUAUAUCUAAGCAUAUUAAUAUUGUUAUUCAAGUUGAUUGAUACAAGAAGUGAAGCAUUUUGUAUGCUCAAUAGAAAGAAACUUUAUUCCAAUAUCCACUUGAAUAAUUAAUGCUAUUUAAAUACCACCAAUCCAAACUAAACCAUUGAUACUUGAAAUUGUGAAGUGAAAAAAAAAAAAAGAGUGCUUCUGCAUUUCACGAGCACUCUUGUUCAUACUAUUGAUUUACAAUACUUUAUAAUUGCUAAAUUAUCACAUCAAUUCAAGAGCUUAAUUGCAUUAUUCUCUAAAGCUAAUCAACUCUAACUCGUAAGUUGAGAGUACUUUGCCUAAAAUGCAUCCAAUAUAAGAGGCACCAAACAUGAAUGUAAUAUAUCAGCCUAUGCAUUUUUACCACUCUAAUAGAAGAGUAUUAGGUGUAUUUACCAUGUCAACUAUUGCAAUACUAACAUAUUCAACCUAUUAAUAUAUACAAUAGUCCAUCAUCAAUUUGAUGUAUUAAAGUUGACCUUUGAUAACAACUAACACAAUUUUAUCGAAUUCAACACAGUAUUGUUAUUAUUAAUUCAUUAUAUGCAUGCUAUUUAGUGCCGUAAAUAUUGCUUUAAGUUUAUAUUUGUGAUGUUCAUUUUUUCACUUGUUUUUCCGACAUCAUAUUGUGCAAAAGUUUGACAAACAUCAUGGCCCUUCAAGUAAAUUUUCUCAUGAAGUCUAUACUAAGGCUUCUGCAAUGUCUUUGGCCUGAAUUAUACUUGCUGGGUAGGGGAAGAUCUUCAUAGGCUCUCUCAAUCUUCCUAGUAUAGAGCAUAAUCCCAAUAGUCAGGAGAGGAGCGAUAAGUAUGCAAGGUAGGCCAACCUCAGGCCAAACAACAAAAAGCAUAAGAUAAGUGUUCAGUAUCAAAGUUAGAGGUGUCAUCUCUGAAGUGACCAAUAGAAGUGAAAUCUAGCCUAAGAAAUGACAUAAACAUCUAGACCUUUUACAAGCAUAACCUUGCCUAGGAAUAAUUGUUUACUUAACCAGCCCAUUACUUCCCAAGCAAUAAUGAUUUGCUAUCAGUCUACCAUCAAAUCCCUUUAAUAAAAAAAACUGCUGUAUGAGAAGCAAGAACAAGGAAAGGACUCAUUUACUGAAUAUGACAGACCUUAUAGCUAAAUAUUUGAUUUGAACAGACAAGACACUGGCAAUAUUUUCGAUUGGGAAGACACCAAAUAUACUAAAGUGCAAAACCCCAUCUAUAUCUCCACUGCAAAGGCUAUGCAAACAUUGCUUUGAAGAAUUUGAGAGCUCUACAAAUGAAUCUUGAACCUUGUUAGUUAAACCAGCAUCUCUGGGUACUAGUCCAGGCAUUUGAGGAACUCCUGGAGCUGGAGGGAAGAAUUGAGUAGUGCAAUCUUCAAAUGCCAAAGAGUUACCAGAAGCAUUCUAUAAAACAAAUGAAUAAUUACUUUCCAGUUGGAAAAUAAUAAGGUGAAAAAAUAUGAGAUCAGAGCUAAAGAGUCAGACAAAUCAACAAGUUACAGAUGACGCCAAACAUACGCAUCCAAAAAUCUUCCAUAAACCCAUACUAAAGCUGUUGGACUGUGAAAUAAGAUUCUAAGUUUGAAAAAGAAGUAUUUAAGAACACCACACUAAAAUAACUACUUAACUGCAAACGAAGCAUUAUGAAAGGUGUGAGCCAUAAGAUAUCUGCUAUUGGUAAUAAAGAUCACAAAAUUGUACCAACUUUUAAGUUGAAAGAUGCCAUACUCCAUUCACUUGGGCAUCCUCCUCCCAGUUGAGACACACCCCAACUGCCAUACUUCAAGAUUCUCAAGAGUUUUCCAUUCUGCUUCAUAUUUAUACCCUGUUAGAAUGAUUAUACCACAGUUUGCAUAACUGCUGCAAGCACUAGCAUGUCAAAAGCAGCACCCUGCACAUUUAUAGUUCCAUAAAGACAGCUACUUUGGUAAGUAACAUUCAUUAUGUAUAAACUUCUCUUCUCAGUAAUUCUUGUGGAUCCAUAAGUGCUAUAUUAGAUUUGAAUCAGAUUUCGGAUCCAUCUAUAUUGAUUGCCUGCAAUCCAAGAAGUGGAUGAUUAGUCAUAAACUGGUAGAAAUCUCAAAGAAACAGAAUUGCAGCAUCCUCAGCCAUGUACUCAGCCAUUCUACUCAUGACCGAGCCGCUAUAGCUUGAUAAAAACAUAACCAGUUAUUUACAAACUUUUCCACCCACAAGCAUAAUUGAGGCACACACAAAUCCCAUCAUUUAAGGGUCACCUAAAUUAUUACCUUCCUAAUUUGACUGAACUGAACAAAUUUAUAACAAUUGAAAGAAGCUAUUAAUUUUCAUGAAAAUGAGCAUCUCAUGAAUGAAUGCUUCAGUACAACACCUUCCACCUAGACCAUAGAUGUAGAUUCUCACCACAAGCUGGACCCCAGCACACACUAUCCUGUAAUUGUCGUUGACAAUUGAAAUAGUCUCAACCAUCGAUGACAACAUUAGCAGCGAAGUAAAAAUCUUGUCCUACACGAGAAUGCAAUUGAGCACAUCAAUAAGAUUCAACUCCUAAAGUAUAUAAAUCUAUUAAAUGAGCAUAUUAAUUCUGUAUGAUAUGUGAUUAAAGUAACUCACUGCUGAUUUCACUGAUUAGAUAUGAGUCAAUCAAUUUCCUUGAUUCAUAAUUUAACGCAUGUAUCAAACAAUGUAACGUCAAAAACAUUUCACGGCUUUGAUAUAGGACUGAGUCCCACAAUAAAGAAUAAAUAUUUAAGCAUCACACGCAAAAUUGCCCAAGCAACACACCCAGGGUUUCUUAAGCAUCAUGCCAAAGAUGAAUUGCAUCACACAAUCUGCAAAGCAAACAAUUGCCAAGUUCAAUAACAAGAAACAUUAUUGGAGUAUACGUAAGAUCCUACUAAGCAAGCUUAAAAAAAGAAAGAAAAGGAAAUUUCGUAAAAUCCUAAUAAUACUCAAAUCCUAGUUGAUAAUUUUAGUGAUUAAACUUCAAGAAGAAUCCUGAUCCUUGUUUGAGUUUCAAAGUCAAUCUUCACCAAAAACUUGGUAGUCAUCCUGCAUGAUUUUGUUGGCUGCAUCAGGCUUAGUGGAUGUUUUGAUUGUCUCAUACUCAAUUCUAUGAAUGGGAAUCCAAUUACAAUACUACGUAUAAGAUCUUUGCGUCCUUGCAGUCAAAUGGGUACUCAUUGGGCAAAAGAAAAAUAAUUUGUAGCAAUAUUUCAUGUCUGGAGAUAAUAAAAUUAGUUGAAUUUGAAGUAUCUUUGUGAUUAGUUAUUAUCUAAUAAUUAAUUUACAUAUGUCAUGGAAUACCAAUCUCAAACAUUAUAUCAGAUUUUAUGAUUCCAUUGGAUGAAAAUCACGAUCCACAAUCGAAAGAUUUAAUUUUUUUAUUCAUGACUCACAUUUCCAUGUGACCACUUAGGUGAGGCUACCUACUUUAACAGUUAAUUAAUAAACGAACAUUGUUCCAUGUUCAAAGUUCAAACCGCGAAAGACAGAUUGACUCAUGUAAUCUAUAUAACUAAACGAUAGAGCCAACUUGAUCAACAACCUGACCUAUCAUGACCUGUUUAUAUUUAGUUCAGUAAGUUCUCUAAUAAAAAAUCAUACAUAAAUUUGGUUUCCUUAGUUGUUAGAUAUUAUGAUUUGAUCACACCAUAUAAAUAAAACAUUUCAUGUAAACCUAGGAUUUUGUAAGCUUAUGGCUAGUCCCUUUUCAAACUUAUUUGACAUCGAUGAAGAUAUGCAUAUGGUACAUAUGUCACGUUGGUCAUGUUAGGAUGGGAAUGACCCAUUCAAUUCAAUCAAAUUAGUUAAACGGGUUAUACAUCUCUUGCCUACUUAACAAAUGAGUCAUGUUCAAAUAGAAUUUUCUAAUAAAAUUUUUUGUUAAUCUUAUCCUGCUCAGAUUGACCUAUCUACCAAUCCAUUGUUAACUUGACAUUGAGGGACAUGACCAAUAAAAAUGGAGUGCCACCUCUAUUAGCAGCUGAAUGUUCAGUUAGCAAGUUUGUUAUUUGCAUUGCAUCAUGCAGAUUUUGAGCAAUUCAGAAUAUUUCCCAAGAGAGACUAGAGAAAAACACGUUUUGAUGAUAAAGGAAUGUUUCUGGAGGAAUAUCUAGUUGAGAAGUAAUGAGGGUAACGUUCAAGUAACAACAUAGAAAACGUAGUUCAAGUAACAACAUAGAAAACUUACUUCGACAUCAUGCAGUAAAACUGUACCGUCUUCAAGUCCCAAGACAAAAACCUUGCCAUCAGGACACCGGCAUAAUGAUGUUACACAUUUAUCUGGAGCAGACUAGAAUGAUUAAGAGAAGCUAGUAUUGACGACACACAUUGAAAUGUGCAAAGAAAGUGAAUUCAUUGUAAACGAGAGAGAGAGAGAGAGAGAGAGAGAAUAUUUUGUCCCAGUAAAAUUAAUAGAAGAAGAGGAAAGAUAGAGGAUAGACAUUAACCAACAAAAUGUUAAUCAAAAUUUAUGAAGUGAGGGAAAAUGUAAUAACUGUACAAAAUAACUGAGAGGGAUAUUAGUCACUCGAUAUGGGAUUUCUUUGAGCUAGUAGGUCAUCUAAAGCAAGGGAGUCUAUAUCUUGUUGGCAGCCUCCAAUCCAAUAUCAUCAAAAAACAAACCUUUUUGUUCAAUUAUGGAACCUCAAGGCGAAGUCAAUGCACGAAAAAUUACUUCAGGUGAGGAUUACAAGUGUAAUAGUAUUUACAACUUAGGAUCUUAAGAGAAACCAUUCAAGGAUUGGCUCUAGUACUAUAGUGCACUCAAAACAUUCUCCAUAUCCAGAAGACAAUAUGAUGACCGAAGCAUUGAGAUGUUUCCAGAGAAAAAAUCUCCUCUCUAAAUUUUUCUGGUGAGAAUAGACAUCAAGGACUACCAAGGCUAGGCAUCUAAUUCUAAGUUCUUACAACUUUGAAUUACGAAAAGAUUAAGUCAUAUAGGAACCCAACAUACUUGGAUGUAGCUCCCCUGACCCUCCUAGUCUUUUUGCUUUCUCCAAUUUCUACUCCAUCCGUCUUGACCAGAUUGUCAUACAAGUACGCAGCAUAGCUCGAGAUAUAUCCUAUUCAAAAGUUAGAACUCCCACCAUCAAACUUGAUUAAUCAAACUGACGUGACGAAAUGCCCCCCAGUAAUGACAAGAAGAUAAAUAAAACUUCAAGCAAUACAAAAUGUAAGAAACUUUCUGCCUAUAGUCUAUAUUUCAGUAUCCAAUAAAUCUCUCCUUGCAGGGCAUGCUCAGUCAGUUAAAGAAUGCUCAAUCAGUAAAAGAAGAGGAGUCAGCAGUAAAAUUACACUGUGAGAGUCAUAAUCAGGAAUCUAAGAUCUUUUCAGAUGCCUGAUGACAUUUAGAUAAUAUUCUGCAGUGGCUAAACCUGCCAACUCCAAGUGGUAAUCAAGCAUUUCUGCAUCUGACAGAGCUAGUCAAUCUAGCAUACAUGGCAUCCCCUCCAAUUCACGUUAGUUAUUUUCAUGGACACUUUAACUGGCGUACGAAGAAGGGCAACAAGAAGGCAAUACAGUAGUAUGGUACACUUACGGUCGGGGUAGAUGACUGACCGGCUAGGUUAUGGAAAAAAUCUCGCAAAGGCAACAACUUGGUUGAGAAGUUAAUAGGAAUCUAUGUGCCUAUAAAUAAAAUCCCUUCAUUCAACUAAUACCAGCUUGGAAUUCUUUACUCGCAACUAAGUCAUCUCUAGAUUUCCACUCGCAUCACCAUCAUUCACUCUUCAUUUCUGUGUAAAAGACCAACUCCUUAGUUCGACAGAACCUCCUCAUUUAGACUUUCAACCACUUUUAUCUCUAAAUUCAUCCAAUUAUCCAUCGAACGCAAUUUGAACUAGAUUGGCAUUACAAUGGUCCUAUGGUGAAAAAGGAAGCACGUUUAGGAAAAGCGAAAGAAGUAGAACGAGAUAAGGCCAAUGACUCAAAGAGCAAAGCAAGGCAUCGUAGAAGAAAUGAACACACUAAAUAAAGGAAAAAGGAGAACUUUCUCGAGUCGAAGCAAUACCUAGGAGAGAUUGUCCACAGCCUCUGCCAAUUGAAGCAACGAAGCACCCAAAGCACCCACCUUCGAGUGCUCUGUGACCAUCGCCAGCAAAUCCUUCUCCAGAUUCCACUCACCCCAUCUUCACCUGCCAAUCGGAAAUUGACCAAACCCCUCACGAAACCGAAUCGACCUGCCCAUUAGGUCACCAAAGAAUGCCUAACGGGAGCUGAGCCUGAGAAGCCAGGCGGUUUGUCAAACUGAAGCUGAAACUGAAGCACGCCUGCUUAAAUGUCGAGACGAUGGGCCAAGCUCGAAUUCAACCAAGCCAUUUGCCAUCACCAUAUAAACUCCUAGCGCUCGGCCGAAUGUUAAUACUUGACCAAGCCCCAGUUGGUGAGCUUUAUGCUAAACUCCUGUUAUAAGGUACGCACGUGCAUCAAUGAUACAGUAGGGUGAAAAAAUGAGAUCCAAUGUCUUUCUUUUUCUCUUUUAACUGGAAUUAGACAAUUCACCUUGUUACAAGGUACAGUUUUGCUAUACUAGGAAAAUCUCAUUUCUCCACUUGUGCAUGCAGAGUUAGGGACUUGCAACUGGGCAAAGAAAAUAGCACGCAUAGUACCUCUGCUGCAAGUGAUAAAACCUAAGCACAUCCAACAAUUGAAAAGCAAAAGAAUAAGAUAAUUUACUCUUCCUUCCAAAUACGAUUACAAAAGCCCUGCAGGUAUGUGCUUUGAGAGCUAUUUUGGUUCCCGACUAUAUGACAAAUUAAGCGAUGCCCAAGCUUUCAAUUGUUGAAAUAGUAGAUCUUAUAUACUAAUUCUAGUCAACAAUUGCUUUUUCAGUAUUUAGAAAAUAGGACACAACUACUUUCCAUCAAUAAUUAUCAUGAUCUUUGGAAUCAUGCUUAUGCAAAACUGAGCAGGAAAAAGACUGACCCUAAACCAGCUGCUCUUUCUUUGGUCUUUUUGGUAGUUAUUCUGAAGGCACAAUGGGUAUUUGCACCAGUUGUCAUCAAGCAGAGUUGCAAACGAUGUAAACCAGAUUCCUUGUGCUGAAGUUUGGAAUGAACUUCCUUAACUCCAGGAAAGGGAACAAUGAAUUAUCCAUAAGUAUGAACCAAACGUGUUAAAUUUGAAAUCAAAAUCAAUCUGCUCACCCGAAGGCACAAUUUACCAAUCAAAAGCUUAGUCACAUUCUGCAGCUUCUGAAGCAGCUCCUCAACUAGGCUGCAAUACCCUCUGUAAAACUCAAACCAAUUUCGAACAAAACAAUUAGUUGGCCUUCCAAAAUCCUCGCCUCUCAUAAAAAAAAGUUCAACUCCGCUUCAAUCAAGGAUGAGACUUCCGCUACCAGCUGCCUCAUCAUACCAAAAAACCCUCUCAAACGUAAUGACAGGACAGCAAAAGAGGACUCGAAAUCUCCAAGGGAAAAACCUCAUCAAGUGCAUACCAAAAGCAGCUAUGGACUGCAAUUUCCCUCAAAGUUCUCGAACAAAGCUUGAUGUUUUGCUUCAAACCACGGCAUCCAGCUGCCCUUCAACAUCUCAUGCACCACCUCAUCAGUCACCUCCGAGUCACAGAUGGACAGGGACCUAAGAUUAAUCCAAGCAAUACUCCUACUAAACCAGAAGCUCCGGAGCCUCAUAUGCAGGUUCACGAGCUAAGAGCAUUUAUGAAGGAGCGGCGGUACCGCGAAAUGGCCGGCCAUCUCGCACGGCCUCUUUAGUCACAUCGAAUGAGAGGUCCUUGACGUGGUCGUCGACAGCAAAGCGAAGCCACGGACUGAGCUCAGGCGCGCAACGGUCGAGAAAAUCGAUGUCGACGUGGAAAUUUCUCUAGUCGAAGCAAUUACCAAGGGAGAUCGUCCACAGCCUCUGCCAAUUGAAGCGACGAAGCACCACCGCCUUCGAAGUCCUCCGUGACCAUGGCUGGCCGGCAAAUCCUUCUCCGGAUUCCACUCCCGCCAUCUUCACCAGCCAAUCGGAAGAAAUCGAACCGAAACCUCACAAAAACUAAUCGGAAAAAAAAUCGAAUCGCCGCCGCCCAUUAGGAGGUCGAGAAAGAACGCCCGAACGGGAGCCGAACUGGAGAAGCCAAAGCGGUUCGUCGGAACUUGAAGCUGAAACGGAAGCAGCCCGGCGACCCCCUGCUUCGUCGGUCUCCAUUGCUAGAGAGAAUGCUCCGCAAGCAGCCCAAAAACCACAGGCACCAGCUCUGCCGAAACGAACCGCGAGGAACGUACGGACAGCGACGGAGGCGAUUGAAGAGCGAGACGAAGGAUGGAAGAGCGAAAGAGAGGAAGGUAGGAGAGGAGGUCCCGCCCACUGGAAGAGCGAGAAUUCCGGGCGAAAGAUUGCAGGCAGAGAAAGGGGGACCAAAAGAAGAAAGAGUGGGACAGAGAGAUUUUUUUAAAGGGUCGCCACGGGAUCUAAUGGGCUGGGCUGGGCCAGUCUGGGCCGGGAUGGAGUUUAUAACAAAUAUAUCAUUGUCAAACACUUUUGGGCCCAUGGAGGCUGAAGGAUCUUCGCCCGCCAGACUCGUGGGAAAUCACAUUCACGUCGGUGCAAGUGUGGCGGACUAAUUAUUGAAAUGUAAUUUGGAAAAAGUGAUGCGAUAAUCCUCAUAAACUUUUGAAUUAAAGAAAUAUCCUAAUGAAUUAUUGAAUCUUAUGAGAGCAAAUAUUCAUGCCUGCAUAAAUGUCAUGACGAUAAGCCACGCUCAAACUCGACAAAGCCAUUUCUUUUUCAAUUUGGGGUGAUUAGAUAUCAGACUUGAACAUACAAAAUCAUUCUCUAGUCAAGGGGCAAACUGUCAUUCAUAUCUAUGCUUAUCCUCAUUGCGCUUUAGACAAAUCACUGAGUCCUGUUACCAAUAAACGUCCAAGCCUUGUCCAACCAUUCCUCAUAUAUGUGUCGGAUGUAUGCCCUAAAGUUACUAUGUAAUAGUUAUAUAUUAGGGAUUUCAGUUGUACUAUUAUUAUUAAUAUUUAAUUAAUGGCAAUGACAUAUUCAUUUAUUUGUCCAAUUAUUUUAUAUUUAUGAAUGAUUCCAUAAGAUCAGUUGCAACUAGACCUAUUCUUGAGACGUUAAGAAUAUAUGUGACAGGUUCAUAGUUAGACUGAAUCUUUAAAUCGUUCCCAAUCGAUGGAUUAUUGAGUGGAUAUUAAUAAUCUUGUUGAGACCGGUGUGUUCAUAAUUUCACCAUUAAGUAUUAGAUACUUAAGGGAAUGGUGAGUGAUGCCUGAGUUAAGAACACACGUAUUUGUAUUAGAAAAGUUCACUAAACGUGAUGCAUAGGGAAUGAUUAGCGAUAUAGAAGCUUUUAGCGUGAUCAAUGUCUAAUUGUUUUUUUUUUUCUAGUACCCAGGGAACUUUCGUGUGUCGCUUCGCAGCGGAGUAAACCCAGGAGGAGCAGUAGAGUCACCACUACCCUUACUGCCCCGGAUAAGUCGUGGGUUCCUUUCUUGCAAGGCAGAUGACGCAACGGUUCGAACUCAGAACCUCUUCUGAAAGGAACCUGCGCUCAACUACUACGCCGCCACCACGGGUGGUCAAUAUCUAAUUGUUCAUGCUUUGGUUUUGUGUAAAUAAUCCUUAGACCUGAGGCACAGUGUUAACUUGUAUGUUGAACAACUACGGUUCAUGGGUGCACAUAAUGCUGGGUUGUUGAUCCAUCAUUAUACCUAAUGGUUAUAGUUUGUUCAUAUACGCAGUUGCACGUGUACGCAAUAUGGAAUCUUUCUCCUUGUUACAUGCAAGGUACAAUAAUGAUGUCUUAUGCGAUCUAAUUAUGACACUGCAUUGAAAUUCUCGGCCGGGGUUGUAACCGAGAAUAAAUUGUUUAUGUCUCGAAUAAAAUGCAUGUUAAUUAGAUUUGUACAUAUGAUCGAAUUGGUGAUUUGACAAAUAUUCCAUGGUCUUUAUUUGAUCGGGACAUAGUAAGACAAAGGAAUUAAAUUACACUGUAAUCAAAACUGAAAUGUUUAUUAUAUUCUUAAAGCAUUCACACUGUCUGGGUAGUCAUGACAUAUUGCUAGAUGUCAAUUAUGACUUGUAGGACCCAAAGAUUAAUUGGGACAAUUAAUUCUUUUGGGAGUACUAAUAUGUUAGUAUAAGUCUUACUACCAGCUUAGUGAUGAACCUAGGGAUGUCACAUACCAUAAACAAUUAGGAUAGUGUGAAACAAGAGAAAAAUAUUGUUGCAAAUGUGUUUGCAAUUACUGCAAUUGAAUUGAGUUGAUUUGAAUUAAAUUAAAUGAGAUUUAAUUUAAUUUGUAUUAUAGUCACGAGCCUAGAUGCACACGCAUGCCCAAAGUGGAUACAUGUUAAUGUAUUCCAUUUAUACAUAUAAAGAUUAUGUUCUUUUUUUUUUUAUAAAGGGGAUUGAUUAAUUAAUUAUUUAUUCGUUUAAUUAAUUAAUUAAUUGAAGCUUCACACAUGCACGAAGCAUGAUGGUCAGCGGUUGCACGAAGCAUGGAUGGUUAGCAACCGCUGACCAUCAUGCACAAGAUGGUGCAUGAGCAAUCGCUCCUGCACGAUCGUUUGUGAAUAAGCGGACGAUCAGCAACGGUUGCUGAUUGAACGGUUGUUGAUCAUCCUUUGAUAAGCAACUGUUGCUGAUUGGUUUAUAUUUUUAUUUAAAAAUGCCGGUUUUGCGAUAUAACAAAAGGUUGCUAAAAAUAGAGAAAAAGGUGCGCGUUCUUGUGUUUUUCGAGACGCAAGAAAGAAGAGUGUUCUCUCGUUCGGGCCGUGACUAUAAUACAUCAAGGAUAUGGUGGAUUGUCUCCACGAGAUUGCUAGCACGAUCAUAGUGGUGAUUAUCCGAAAGUUCUCUCUUCCAUUCGACAUCCAUUGUUAGUAUGUCUAAACUAGAGGUCCGACGUUUGUAGGACUCGAACUGAAGAACAUCCGAACCAAUUUAUUUAAAGCGCGCUUCGAGAAAUAAUUCGUUUAACUUUCUUUUUACAUUCAGGUUUUUGAUUAAAACGCACGAACAAUACCUUCGGAGAAUCAUGUAUAAAAUAUAUCAUCUUUGUUUCCGUUGUGUACUUUUGUUAAAUUUUACCUAUACAUGAUUCAUGAAACCCCAACAAUCUGCAAUGCAAAGGAAUUCAGCCUUGUGCAGUACUUUAUGUGCCCCAUCUGAAGAGCAUGGAGAUUGUCGAGUUCCAAGCUUGUUCGUUCAACGAUGACGGAUGUAAGCUCACCUUGUCAAUCUUGCUCUUAUCAAGAGAUUCAUUCCUCCUGGAGAAGAUGGUCAUCAACAUUAAGGUAAGUGGAAGAUGCGAAUCAAAAUCUCUCAAGUCUUUGUCACAAAUGGUUCUACCCUACCGAACAUCUUUUGAAAAAGCUAAGUUGUCUUUAACUAUUUUUAAAAGUGAGGUCCUGUUAGCAACAACAAGAAGUUAAACAACGUAAGAAGAAUUGCGGCGAGACACUCCUACGUAAGGAAUGUACUGAAUCCUAGUUCUUAUUAAGUUUACUAGUCCUUCGCAUGGUGCUUCCCUGCUCAAAUCACAAAGAUAACUAGUCAUAUAGGCACCAUUUUGAAGAUUUUAUCGAAAUUAAAGUUAUAUUGUCACCUGCAAUGAGCUAUGAAGAAAUUUGAAGCCGACUUUAUUUCCCAAGCAUCCUCGGAAGCUAAGGAAUAUCUUUACAAAAGAAGAUUGCGCCGGUGACAUCAAACCUUUCAAAAACUGGAGGGAAAGCCUCUGAAUUUAGGGUUCUCGACUGAGUUGUGGCUUCAGGCAGUGCGAAUUUUUGGACCUCUAGCUAACCCAUCCAUGAGGCGAUGAUGAUGGGGGCUUGCUCAUGUCGAAAAACUGAGUAGAGCUGGUCAAUUGACGAAUCAAAUCAAAAUAUUGAGUUUUAAUCAAUUUGGAAUUUUGAAGAAGACCUAUUCUACAAAUGAACUAUGCUCUCUCUCCUUUGCAAUCAUAGAAAAACAUGUAUCGUUUACUUUUAAAUUGGUUUUUUCCUUGAUAUUAGGAGGCAUGUAAUCCAUCUAACAUUUUUUAUUUUAUCUAAGUUUAAUACCAUUAAAAAUCUCAAAUUAUUGCCUCAUGUCAUAUUUAUUCAAGCUGUCCUUAAAUUGAACUUGCAUUUGAAAAUGCUAAGAAUUUUUUUUUUUUUAUCUGAUGAACAACAAACAAGAGGAUUAGGUUAUUGUAAGCCACUACCAAAAGCAAUAAUCUAAUAGAUUAUCAGUACAAAUGCAAAAGGGCUAUCAUCAAGCACUCAUAUUUUAUCAAGGUUUAGUUUAUGAGAUAGGACUUCAAUUUGAACACAAAAGUCAUAAGAGUUGAACUAUCGUAAUGAUCUAUAAGGACAUGCUAUCCAAAGCAAAUUAUGCGCGAAAGAUAUAUUCUAUAAGUUGUGAUUGUGCAAAAUGAGCCUAAUUCAAUGCACCUUCUGUAAUUCGCCAUAUAGUAGCAUAAGUAAAUUAUACCCAAAGAUGUUUGGUGCAAUAGACACAAGUUGUCUUCUAGACAUUUCCUAUCAAUAGUAAAGCUUCUCCUUGUUUUCCCUAGUCAUAUUUGUUUUUCUGGCCAUCUCUUCUUGUUUUCUCGGUUCUUGAAACUUUUAAUUGCAAUUUCUCCAAAACGAUCUCGUGUAAAACAGCUAAUGGAAUUUAAAAUUUAUAUGAGGUUUGCAUUGACAAUGGACCUAAUAACAAUCAUUUGUUUUGUUGGUAAUAUUAUUAUCUCAUCUUAUAAUUAAUGUUCGAUGUCAAUAUUUCUGCAAUUGCAUAGGGAAAGAUUAAUUUUUUUUUUUUUGGGAAGAGAGGGGAAGAAUACAUUGAAGACGUGAAUAUUUGGAGGGGCAAUAAACAAAAAAGGAUUUAAUUUUAUAAUAAGUUCAGCUAAAGUUCGCAAAAAACCUAUCAUCAUGACAGAUAAUAAACAUAAGAAGUGUCACAUCAGCACAUAUUACAUUCAUACAUUCUUUCUCCUUCAUAUUGGCAAUAAUUCCAAGAAAAAAAAUACAAUUAAACAAUUUUAAAUUCUUGAAUGUUUAUACAUCAUUAAAUUAAAAGACUACAUUAUAAUCUUUAUUAAAGAUACAAAAUCCAUUAACGAUAUUGUGUACAUAAUCUCAUGACGUUUGUUUUUUGGGUGGAAAAUCUUCUUUAUCUUAAACCUACCAUUUAUUUGAGGAUUCCAAAUCUCUGAUAUUGGAAUAUAGCCUAUGUUCUUGAUUGCUACCUUGAAACCAUAUAUCUUGCUAGUCACGUUCUACACAAGAAUGUAUUUUGUCCAUUGGACCAGAUGCAUCACUUAACAAUGACACGUGAAGAAAAUCUUAGGUGAGAGAUCUCAACACAAGAAUGUAUUUUGUCCAUUGGAUCGGAUGCAUCACUUAACAAUGACACUUGAAGAAGCAAGUCAAUCUUGGGUGAGAGAUUUCAACAUUCAAUUGUAGAGUUCGUUAGUCGAGUACACUACCCGAACUAUUCAACCCAAAGUAUAGAUAAUCCAAACCAAACAUUUGGUUCUCUUACACAUGAAAAUAAUGAAGAUAUAGAGAUGAAGCAAAAGCUUGGCAUCGAGCAGGUGUCAGAGCUUACAACAAUGCCAUCAAGACGGUUACCACUAGACUCAGCAUCUUUCGGUCAAUUCUAUCCAACUCAACAAAUAAAACAUAUCCUUUUUACUCCAUUUUUUUUUUCUUUGAUGAAUGCCCACCUAGCAGAAAAGGCACAUGGCAGGUAUAGAUUAAGACUUCUCCAAGAAGGGUGAAGUCGAAGAGCUUCAGUCAGAAAGCCCACAUGCAUUGCUUCUCACGCCAAUGUCUGCAGCUUUGAGUAUUAGAGGUCCACCUACAACAGCAACACAAGCAUAACCACACAAAUUCUUGAACAGACAGUCAUUUCUGAAUCAGAGAUUCCAUCUUCAUCCUCGUCCAGUUUGUAGAUUAGGCCCGCUUUCUUGCAGCUAAAACACAAGCCACACCUCUACUUACUAUUGCCAAAAAAACAUCAACUUGAUUUCAGUCCAGUUUUCCUUGAAUAUAUGGCCAUAACCAACGUGAUGUUUAGCUACCUUUGAUGGGUAAAAGUAAAAGAACGAUGCAUGCAUUAUGCUAAAACAAAGGUGGGAAGCGAACCUUGCAUGCCUAAAGAGGCUAUGGCAUCAUGUAACCAUGAAUGCUCUACAGUAUCGUGCUAUACUAGAUCCCAUGUAGUAUAUACCAUCAUGAACUUGUACCUGGCGGUUCUCAAAUAGUAACUCAGACUGCUAUGCACCUACCAUAAGGGGAUGAUUAUUCUUUUCAAAUUUGUCUGGGGACUAUAGAUUCAUCCUUUUCGAACUUUGUCCUCUCAAUUGAUUUAAGGAAAACUAAUACUUCAGUAUUCUACUUCUUUGACUGAAAAAAUAUUCUUCUUUGAAGCAUAUUUUUGCACCUCUUCAAUCUGUAGGAACAAACAUGAAGUGGUCCAUUAAAGAAGCACAAUGUACCUAUGCCUGUCACAUGUAAACUUAAUAGUAGGUUCUAAGUGGAAAUGUUGUAAAGAGCAUGGAUAGGAUUAAUUCAAUACCACCAUACACCUACGAGAUAAAUUUGUAACUGACACUGGUAAUUUUAUCAAACAUUGAUACAUAAAGGAAAGAGUAUGGGCAACAGUAAGUGUCCAGACAUCGAAAACUGCUAAUGGACAUGGUAAGAAGCUCAAAGAAAAGAUCUUCAGAACUAUGCAAUUGAUGGCAUAGCAUGAAUUGAUCCUUAGCUCGAUAGUAUGACGGUGUCAAAAUGUUCUUACCACUAACUGACUAUGGAGGAACUACAGUACGGGGAAUGCUACAAAGCUUCUCAUUCUCCAUCUCCAGUUGUAAGAUAGGGUCCUAGAUGUGUAGUUUCAUUGGUUAGUGUUUCAUAAGUGAUAUAACCGACCAAAAAUGUCCUCAUGAAAUAGAAUCAAAAAGGGCACUAGUAACUUGUUAGGGCCACCCAAUGCACAUUUCUUAACCUACACACAAGUACAAGGCUCUAGCUGUCAAGAUAUGUUGGAACUUUUGCAGUUACGGUAAGGCAGAAAGUAAAACAUCCUUUGAAAUUGCAAGCAUGUAAUGGCAUGUAUAUGCAUUAUGCACAUGGGAGGAAAAACUAAGCUGUUGCUACUCAUGCUGAUGAGGAGAACAGAUAAAUAAUAAAUAGGAACAACAAAAGAACAAAUGUUUUUCAAACUGGACCAACGGUUCAACAGGACAAAUUGGUAGAACCGUGCUCUACCAAUUUGGCCGAUUGAACCAAUUGCAAGUGAUGUCAUCUGAUAGAAUACUCUACACGUAUUAGAUCACACACUUUCAAAACAAAAGAAGCCCAGUGAAUCAACAGGCACCGUAGCAUCUUAGUAGAUUAAACAUGCUUGAUGUUGUCUUAAUAGCAUCCUGCUCAAAUUUCUGAUAGAUUAGGUCAAUACGGUCAAUAAAUAAAUUAUCCACCACAAAUUGUGGCAAGAAGACACUGGAGCUAAUGGUUGGCACGCUUGUUAGUUACAAGAGGUUGGAGUGCCAAAACCCAACCCAAAUCCAAUAUUACUCCUUUAAAUUUUUUUAAGGCCCAGAGGUGGUCUAGACUAGUUGAUAGGCUUGCUGGGUACCAGUUGACAGGUACACUUGGUUACCGGUUGAAUAGGGUCAAUGCCACUAGUUCUUGACCAACAAUAUUUCUGUUGGGAAACUAGUCUGGACAGGUCUGGUUCCCAGUCCAACCAGAGCCACUUCUUAAAACUCUGAAAAGAACAGGAGUCGAAGGAAAAGCACCAUAUGCUAGUUUUUUCCUCUUGCCAUCAAUGUCUUAAAUAGUGAAUUGACAUGAUCGGAAUAGAACUUUAGAUAUCAUGAGUAAGAAAUCAACAUGCAAGCUCCGGAUCCAUGAGUUACCUUCAAUUGGUAAAAAUUAUCGUGACGAAAGGGUGCCACUACUACUAAAAAUCAAGAUCGAAAAAGUUCAAGAGGAACUUUGGAUCCAAAGAGCUACCAACACACUACCAAAAAAAGAGUACGACUAGGGACUAAGAGUAGUAUACAAAACUUAUUUGAAGAGGAAAACUGUGAGUAUAAUGCAUAAGUAGGUUACAAACACCUAAUACGAAUUUAUCUGUCAUGCAACUUAGUAAAACGAAUUUCACUACUGGGACUUAACAUUUUCAGCAUUAUUCUGCCAAAAAAGUGGCGGUACAUAAAAAAAAAAAAAUCGUGAUCUAAAGAUAUGAUAAAAAAAUAAUAAUACAAAAUAACAAAUUCUCACAUCUAAGUACUAAACAAAUGAUUGCAAAUAGAGGCUUCCAUAGCCAUGGUUAAGCAUAACAGAUUAGAACCAUGUAGGCUCGAUUCACUAUCAUUUGAGCACCCACCAGUUAGUUUUCUGCUAAUUUUCUUCAAAUAGCUGAGUUUUCAUUCUCAUCCUUAGCUUGUUGACCGUAAACAUAACACAGGAAAGAAGAGUUUCACUUACUACAUUGAGUUCAAUGAGUGGAAUUUGGUAAUAUAAAUAAGUCUAACUUCCCCAAGGUUCUAAUAGUAAUAUCAGUAGGUACAAAGAGUUGAAAAUGAUUCUUUGGUACAAAAAUUGACUCUCGUAAUAAUGAGGGAUAUGUGCUUAGAUCGAAGUGGGGAAUAAACUCUAUCCUUUUAAACUGAGAAUAUAUCUCUACACCUGCUAAUUAUAAUGUGAAUGGAUAAACAUUCUAUAUCCAAAUCUCCAUGUAUAGUAUGCUUAAAGCUCAAACUUAGAUCAAGUUCAAGUUCAAAAUAAUUAUUAAUGACCUACAAUUUCCAUUAUACGCUUAUAGUAGAGAUUGUCAACUCGUUGAAUCAGGCUCUAAUCAGAUUUUACUUCACACUUUCCAGCCACUUAAUGUUGGUAAUUCAUAUCAUUGCAUAAGAUAUGUUUGUCUGAAGAAUCAACAUAUGUUCUGAAAAAUAUGGUGUGUCUCAAGAUGUGCGAAUCAUAACUUCCUGUAACAGAUUCCUAUCUCUAUCUAAUCACUAUCAAGACUGUUCUCUGAGAUGCAUGAAAUUUAAAUAUUUGGGAAAAAGGUCAAAUGCAAAGAUAAUAAUGGGCAUUCGCAUAUGAUUCAGGACAACCAGCUGAAGUUCUUUUCCAACACCACAAACAACUUUUGAUACACGCUUCAUACUCCAUCACUAAACAAACAAGCAGACGAAGAUUAUAAAAGCCAACCCAAAAGAACAUAAGUCCUAUAGCAUCGUCAGAGCUUAAAAAAUCAGCCAUACCCCUUCACCCAUAGAAUUAACAAGAAACUGAUGGACUGCAGGACAAGUCCUAGAACAACCAGGAAGACUCAAAAAUUCCUCCUGAGGAGAAGAGUCAAGACCUAGAUAAGCAAACGAAAAUAGUUUUUUGAAGAAAAAUGAAACGCCAUCUACCGCUCUAUAUUAACAGCACCACUUGCCAUGGUUACUAACAAGGUUUGACAGCAAAUCAAACUUCUCAUGAAAUAUGUUAAUGGCAUCAACUCACUGCUCAUGCAUGACUGAUAAUGAUGUCGGGAUGACAUGAAGUAAAUCUUCAAUGUUCAAAGCCUGUUGAGCCACUUGUUCUGCAGACAGAAAGAGAUUGAUAAUCUAAGGAGGCAUUCGGCCAACAAAGAUUCUCAAAAGUCCAUUCUGAUUUCAAUUUAAGGAAAAAAAAAAGACCAGAAAAUGUGUUUGGUAAAACUCCAAAAGCAGCUGAUGCAUAAAAGGAAAACUAUUCUCAAAAUCAAAAUCACAUACUUAAGAUGACUUCAUAGUAUUCUCAUUCCACAUGCAAACAUGGAGAUUUGGAACAACUAAGCCUGCUUUUUGAAUGUGAUGUAACCCGAGCAUAUUGUCACAAUUUUCAUCCCUAAUAACAUGUAUUAUUUUCACUGAACAAUUAUUUUGUCAACAAAACAUCGAAAAUAGUUUCCAUGAAAAUGGAAACUAAAGGUGUCUUCUAAAACUAAGUAGGCCUGAAAACAGUCGAGAACAAAAACGACGUGUGAUCAUGCGACAAUGUUUAAAAAUUUCCAACAAAUUUGCCUCACAACUUUCAACAUCUGAACUUAAUAGAUUUCUAGAGGCUUUAUACUGAAAGAUAGUAUGGAAAUUACAGGUCGGCGUCGAAGCAUGAGGCAUCAUGUUAUUCAGCUUAUGGCGACUCUCGAAAGUUAACUUAAGCAUUUAAAAUUAUCGGCAGGAAAGUUCUUCGAUCACGUAAAUUUCAAAUUUAUUUCUAAGAAAACUACCUCGAAAUUGCUCUACCUUUAACUAUCCAUUUCUUUUUGAAGGAUGAUGAUAAUAUCCUGAGUUAAUACAAGUUUUACUUUCGUUAUGACCAAACAAAAUUAGAUACCGCCAAAACAAACAUUAGUGCACAUGAACAACCUAAUAUAAUCCUAAUAUCAAGUCCAAUCACCACCACAUAAACUAGAACAGAAUCUAGAUUUCCAUUCUUAUCACCUUCGUUCACUCUUGGUUUUUCCUUUAAAACGCCAACUCCUCAGUUCGACAUCAUGUUCUCGUUUAAGACUUCCAAGCACUUCACACGCUGAAUAGAAAAGAGAGAGAGAACUUUCUCGAUUCGAGGCAAUUACCUUCGAGUCCCUCGAAUCCUUUGCUGGAUUCCACUCCCACCAUCUUCACCCGCCAAUCGGAAGAAAUCGAGCCAAUCGAAACUGAAUCAGAGAAGGAUCGAAUCGCCGCCGCGCAUUAGGAGGUCCCGGACAGAAUGCCCGAACGGGAGCCGAACCUGAGAAGCCAAAGCGGUUCGUCGGAACUUGAAGCUGAAUCGGAAGCACGCCUUGGUGACGCCACCUUUGCUGGUCGCAAAAAUACGUCAUCGUCUGUCUUAUGUUCAUUCAUUUUUUUCGCAUUGCUCAUACCUGAUAUCAACCUUUGAUUAAUCGCUCUACAAAUUAUCUAGAAAUAAAAUCACAAAUAUUCUCAGAAUGAACCAAAAAAAAAAUUCGGACAGAACAGCACAGCAACACGAAAAAGAAUAUGAAAGAAAUGAAAGAGAAAAUUUGUAAAAAGCAAAAAUUCCUCACAUGGUCGCUUAAUAAGCGUUUAGGCAUUUCUCUUACGAAAUCCUAUUGCUUUUUACAAUUUUUUUUUUUUUGGUUGCAAACAGGAAUUUUGAUUAGGUGGGUUCUGCCGUUGCAGACAAAAAUGAUGCAAUCUUGCACACUAACAUUCGUCAUCGUUUAUUUAAAAAAAAAAAAGAGGAAAAUUUAUAAGUUAAGCACGGAUCAAGUAAUCUAUUUAUUCAUGUUAUAUUAUCUUCAGACGGCAUAUAGCCCAUGCUUGUAUGUUGAGAUCAUACGAAAUUUGCAACUAAUCAAAUCGUUACGCUUUUAUCUACCGGCGAGUGGGAUACAUGUCUAUCACUCUCGAUUUCUGAUCGAAAAGGUAAAGCCAAGAUCAAUUCUAAAAUAGUGAUCUGUAUUGAAUUGCCAGCCACAACCCCUCGCGGAAAGAAUCUCGUUGUGCACGAAAAUGUUUGAAUAAUUGAGACAUAUUUCAUUGAUUGAUUAUUUCUAACAAUACAAGUGAUAAUUUUUAAGAAGGUAUUUUCUAAAUCACUCUUUUUUUGCAGAACAAAAAAUACCUUAAUUUAUGUCAUUUUACAAAUAAUGUCAUAUAUGGCAUUGUGCUCAGGAUUGUCUGAGACACGAUAUCAUUUGAUUUGGGUCCAUACGUUCAUUGGUAAUCUCGUUGCACGCCCCCCAGUAGAAUGAAGUGGCUUCACUCUGUUCCAACAGAGCUGGUACAGAACCAUUGGAGGGCUCAUGGGACAUCACAUUGAUGCAAAUGUAAUUUGUCAAAAAGGAAUGUGAUAAUCCAUCCUCAUUUACUUUUGAAUUAAAAAACAUAUGCUAAUGAAUUCAAAUCAACAUCUCACGAGAGCGAACAUUCACGCUUUGCUUGAAUGUUGAGACGACUAGCCAUGCUCGAACUUGACUAAACCAUUUGCCAUCACCACCCAAGCUCCAAACAUUCGGCUAGAUAGAAAUACUCUAACCGCAUCAUUUGCCAUCAUCGCCCGAAACCAAAUCCCUUCCCGCACACCAUUUUUUAUUUAUUUUCCAAUUUGUGAUGAUUGGGUAUUGAAUUUGAACAUACACAAUCAUUCUCUAGCCGACUGGCGAACAUCAUUCGUGUUAUGCUUAAUCCUCAUCACCACUUCGGAUGGAUCACUAAAGUCUAGCUACCAAUAUAUGUGCAGGCCAUGUCUGAUCCAGCCACCCUCAUGUCUGCGAUGCAGAGGAAUUUUGCCCUCUGCAGAACUCCUGCACUCGGAAGAAGUAGAAGGUGACGGAUGUAAGCUCGCCUUGCCAAUGCUGCUUUUAUCAAGGGAUGCACUCCUGCUGGAGAAGGUCAUAAACCUCAAGAGCAAUGGAAGACACCAAUUGAAAUCUCUCGAGUCCUUGCCACGACUGGUUCUACCCUAGAUGCAAUCUUUCCGGUAAAGUCUCACCACAAGCUGC